CUUAUUUUAUUAUUCAUAUCCAUAAAAGUAACCAUUAUGCUGGUCCCCCGAACUUAGCAUAAGACAGUAAUUUAAAAAAAGAAAAAAAAGGACGUUUUUAGAUACCAAAACAAGCACAAAGCGAGACAUACAAACAAAUGUUAUGCUACUGCAUUCAAGCAGAAGCCACCAACUGUUCACGACGGCGUUUGAAAACAACCAACAUUUCAUCCUGAUUGGGAAGGUUUUCUUCAAUUAUGGGGACUUGCUUGAAAUUUUCAAGCCAGGCAUGCAAGCGAGGGAAUUUGUGUGAUUCAAAUAGUUUAACUCCCACUGCAUCUUCAAUGACUUGCAACCAAUAAACAAUUGAACCAAACGCUAGGUCCACUAAACCAAUAUUGUCUCCAUUGAAAAAUUUUUUCUCUCCCAAGCCAUGCUCUUCAACGGUUUGUAGCAUUUCCAAGGCUUCCUUCAUUGUGUUUUGUAGUUCUUGUCCAGUGCUACGAAACAUUUUCCAAACCGCAACACCCUGCCACAAAUAUUUUACAUCUGAUUUUAUCACCGACAUGGUUAAUUAAUAAUAAUAUGUAUAUAAAAGCGAAAUAUCGUUAGACAAUAUGCACACGUGUCGCAAUAAACUUUAAUUAGAGGUUUAAUAAGUUAAUUAAGAGAGUUCAACCACUGAGUUGUAAAAUCUGUCAUUAGCUAGUAAAUUCACUUUUUCCCAAUGCUUCAAAAGUCAUCAAAAUUCCCCGUGAAGUUAAAAACGGUUGUGUUAACUUUAACUUAUUACAUCUUUUCAUAUUUAAGGAUAAAACAUUGAAGACACCAGAAAUUAACAGUUUAGAGAACUUUUUACAAAUAAAUAUGAAAAAGACCCCUGGGUGGCUGGGCUCGACUGGCUAUGAAUUCACUUUCACUUUGCGCCAUCACCCGAGUUCGAGUACAUAUAGAGAAUAAGAGUUAGUGUUUGGCGGGUGGAUUUUCUUAUCCUCGUCACCUCAUCUAGAUCUUAAAAUAAAUCAAUAAAUAAACAAAUUUGAAAAGAAUGAACUUAAUCAUAAACGUGUUUGCCAGAGUUGUGAGCGAACCUUGUCUUCAGCGAAUUUGAUCCAGAAUCGAGCAUGAGCUCUAUCAUAAGGAUUAUUUGGCAUCAAGGAGGGAUUCUGUGGCCACGUCUCUUCAAUGUAUUGUAGAAUAACCAUGGACUCACAAACUGGUUUUCCGCCAUGGACGAGCACUGGGAUCUUCUUGUGAACCGGAUUAUACUUCAAAAGCAAUGCACUUUUGUUUGAGAGAUCUUCGGAAACAAAUUCAUAUGGCACGCCUUUCAAUUUCAGAGCCCAAAUCACCCUGUAAACAAAUGGACUCAGCAGGGUCCCAUGAAGCUUCACUUCAGCCAUGAUAAUUCUAAGAUUGAAUUUGAAUUAUCGGUUUUUGUGAUCGAUGUUGUGUAUGGCUGUUAACUCAUUACAUAUGUUUCUGAAUUUAUAGUGAUUUAUGGUAUGCACUUUCUUGAGCAGAAAGCUUCAAUUUUCCAUUAAUAAAACGAUUAAUGAUGAAUUCAAAGAACUAGUGCGAUGACUUUAAUUAAAUAUUUUUUACGUUGUGUGCAACCGCAUUUUGAGGUUAAUUUAAAGGAUAUUAUUUUCUCCUCAUCAAAAUUUUUAUAUAAAAAAAUAUAAUUAUGUGAUUGGUAAUUAUUAAAUAAAAUAAAAUAAAAAAUAAAUUUUGACCGUAAAUAAAUAAAAGUUCAUACAGGUUAGAAAGAGUUUUUAACACUCAAAUAAAUGGACCCAAUUCCUAAUUUAAAAGGCUAACCGAUGAGAUCAAUAAUUUGGUCAACCAGUCAGAGAUAACCAUACAAUAAUUAAUAAAAAAUUUGCCAUUUGUUUUACAUUUAAGACCUUUGCGUCAUGCAUGAUGAUCAAUUGAUCAUGGAUCAAUUAGUCAACAAGACAUUUGCCUUUUGUGCAUGUAUCCACAUUGGACGCAAAUAUAAUUUGUUAUAAAAAAAUUGGACUAAAUUAUUUUUUAAUAUAUUUUUUAAAAAUAAUACAUCUGAUCCUAGAGGGCCUGUUAUUUAGUUCGUGAAUCUUAUAACAGGACAGGACCCAUGAUUUUUUUUACAAAAAAAAUCUUAUGGGUCCCCUAUUAUUUAAUUUGUGGAAUUGACGGAGGUAGCUUAGAGUUUCAUUUUUGUAAUUUACAGCUUUCAAUAAAUUCUGAUAAUAUUAGGCGGUAAAAGUCGGCAAGGCUGGAGGAGUAGAUCUAUAAAAUUUGCUAGCACUUUGCACUAUCUGUUUGGUGCCCAAAAACACACAUAUAUAUCAUCCACUUUUUAUUUAACGCUGGGUUUUUUUCGACCCAUAAUAAUUUCUCUUUGCACAUCAACUUGUUAAUAAAAACUUUUAUUGUCAAGAUAAAUUGUUAGUAAUUACUUCACUAAUCCUCCUUUUUUUUUGGGCCAAUUUCUCUUUCGCAACUGAAAAAAUUUAAUUCACAUCAUGUGAUAGUAUGAUUGCAAAUAAAUUUGAAGUUAUCUCUAGCAAGUUGUUCAAAAAUACAUUGACAUGUCUUGUGUAUAAAACUAAAGAACAAUAGCAAACCACUAUCCUAUAGCCGACCGCUGCUAUUAGGACGGAAAAAUUAGUCGUAAAUAUGUAAAUUUGUCUAAACCCAUUUACAAAAAUAUGUCCACUGCGAAUAAUUUUGUAGAUUGCGGAUAAGUUUGGUAUUUUAAAUUUAAGUUCGUUGUAGGUUACGGAUGGAUUCAAUAUUGAGAAAAAAUUUGGUAGGUGUCUGCCGACUAGCAUUUUUUAAAUUAUUUAUGUUUUUAAUUUUAAUCACAAAGAUUGUCUUAAAAAAAUUUAAUCAUAAAACAGUUAGGAAUGGCAAGUGCUCUGGAAACAUUAUGUGGGCAAGCAUAUGGAGCUCAGCAAUAUCAAAGAAUUGGAACUCAAAUUUACACUGCAAUAUUUUGUUUAUUCUUAGUAUGUUUUCCGCUUUCCUUUCUAGGGAUUUACAUGGGAAGGCUGCUAGUUUUGGUAGGCCAAGACCCCCAGAUUUCACACGAAGUAGGCAAGUUUAUAAUCUGGCUUCUUCCAGCUCUGUUUGCUUAUGCAGCAAUGCAGGCGCUUAUUCGAUAUUUUCAGUCUCAAAGUUUGAUCAUUCCCAUGUUCUUAAGCUCCUAUGCCGCUCUUUGUUUGCAUAUUCCCAUCUGUUGGGGUUUGGUAUUCAAGUCUGGACUGGGAAACCUUGGAGGAGCAUUGGCAAUUGGUAUAUCGUAUUGGUUGAAUGUAACUUUCUUGGCAAUUUACAUGAAGUUCUCCACUGCUUAUGCAGAAUCCAGGGCUCCAAUUUCAAUGGAGUUGUUCCGAGGAAUUGGAGAGUUCUUCCACUUUGCUAUCCCUUCUGCAGUAAUGGUUUGGUAUGUUAAUUAUCUUCUGGAGUUUCAUUUUCCCUUCUCAUAGAUAUCGUAGACACGUCAUAAAUUUUCAUGCAUCUUCUUUUGUUUAUAAUUUUGCAGCCUAGAAUGGUGGUCAUUUGAAUUGCUCAUUUUAAUGUCAGGGCUGUUGCCUAACCCACAGCUUGAAACUUCAGUCCUAUCUGUAUGGUAUGUUGACAUAGACUUUGUAUGUGAAAGUUCUAUACAGAGAAGCACCUACCAAAGGAAAUAGAUUUUUUUUCUUUUUUUCUUUUUUUUCCCGACUGCUCAUUAUUUGUCAACUUCUUUGGGCAGUCUCAGUACUAUUCAAACCCUCUCUGCAAUCCCUUAUGGACUUGGUGUGCAGUGAGGUUUGUUCAUAACAAUCAUUUAAAUAAUAAUUGUUUUAUAUCAACUAAUUAGCAGAUUAACCAUUAUUUCCUUCUAUAGUACUAGAGUUUCAAAUGGACUAGGAGCUGGGAAUGUGCAAAGAGCCCGUGUAGCUGUCUAUGCUGUGGUCUUUAUGGCAGUCAUGGAGACUAUCAUAGUAAGUGCAUCUCUCUUUGCCAGCCGGCGUGUUUUUGGUUAUGUUUUCAGCAAUGAGGGACAAGUUGUGGAUUAUGUCACAACCAUGGCUCCUCUGGUUUGUUUGUCUGUCAUCAUGGAUAGCUUACAAGGAGUCUUUUCAGGUUAAAUUAACUUCUUCAACUCUCUCAAUUGCUAAAUAGUUCUCUUUAAGUAGAAAUAAUUUUUUUCAGGUUUCUAAAUUCUUUUUAUUAUUUUUAAUGUGUUGCAAGAGGAUGUGGGUGGCAGAAUAUAACUGCUUUUGUGAAUCUUGGGGCUUAUUAUUUGUGUGCAGUCCCAACUGCUGCCAUUUUGGGUUUCUGGUUAAAGUCUAGAGGAAGGGGCCUAUGGAUCGGGAUACAAGCCGGUGCUUUUACACAAACACUUCUGCUUGGCAUCAUAACAACAUUUACAGAUUGGGAAAAACAGGUCUGUUUCUCAACAUUUAAUCCCUUAAAAAUUAGAGAAGCUUAUUGGACUAUAUAUGUAAAUAUGUAGCAAUUUUUUUUCCCAACCAAGUAUAUGAUACCUUCUGACUGAAAGUUCAAGAUUAAAAUCAUUCAGCUUGAUCUGAAAUGGUUAGUAUUAUCAUCUUAUGCAGAAAUGGUUUUGCUCAUUGGGAAAAUGAUAUUCAAUAACAGACGUGCAAACUCAUUUGAAAAUUUGCUUUUUUGGAAGAAUUAUAACCAUUUUCUAGUUUGUUAAUUGUUACAAGUUCUGUGUUUCUAAGGGGUUUCUCAUGUUGCAGGCAAGUAAAGCAAGGAAAAGAUUAUCAAAGGGAAGAUCUUUAGCAGAUAACAGAGCAGUAUGCGAGUGAGCAGAGUCAAUCAAUGAGCUGAUAUAUACAUUUUCCAGUUGAAAGAGAUAAUCAUUGCUUGAGAAAAUGAGCUGAUCAUAUGUCAAUUGAUGGCCAAGAAGGUCCCCCAAUCUGAUCUAUGGAGCAUGACAUUUCAUAAAACUCUGUUUCUAGAGAAAAAAAAAAAAAUUAACAGCUUCUUAGGAUUGCAGCAUCAGGUGACUUAGCAUUUCCAGUAUGAAUGAAUUAUAAGAUAGAUGAUGCUGCAAAAAUGAAUAGAGAUAAAAAUUAAGCAAGAGAAAAUGUUUGAAUGUUAUUAUUUAAACCUUUUGUAGUGUUUAAGAGUGACUAACUAUCCCAAUCAACUCAAAACACUUCCCAAGAUCACAACCAAACAAACAAGAUGCACCAAGAAUCAAUCCAGCAGAAUACACACAGAUUAUUAGAACUGAAAGAAAUAAAGAAAAGAACAAGAAUUAACGUGGUUCAGCUAGCUUCAGUCUAGCUUACAUCCACGGGAGAAACAGAACCCAAUUCUAUUGAUUGUUCAAAGAAGUUACAGAGAGUUUAUCAAGCUUGUUACAGAGUCUCUCAAGAAGCCUUUGGUUUCCAGUCUUCUCAACUCACAAUAGCUCUUUCAUCACCCCUCUCUGUUGCCAGAAUCAGCUGUAUAUAACAGCUCGUUAACGAAUCAGCAACCAACCCAGAAAACCACGUGACAGUCAUGUGAGUUAACUGAUUCUAACGAACCAAGAACGCAACUUAUCCGUGCACGUGAAACUCUCGUGCAUCACUUAACCAAAACGACCUUCAUACAUGUCGUUCCAGGAGAUACGAGUUUGACUUUCCAAAACGCAGCAUCAGCUGACGUUUUCAACAACAGAUUUGCUUCACAUCACAACACCUUUUCCAGUGAUUGUAGAGAUAAUUUCUUUGUAUUGAACACUUUCACCAUCUGAAAGAUAAGGAAAAUAUUAAAAGAAAAAAGAAAAUUCUUAAAUCUUUUCCAUGUCAUUCUAGCAAAGUUGAAUUGUGAUUCUUAACCCUACACCACAAUGUAAGGUGGCCUGUGGCCUGUGGGUAACACACAAUUUGACAACCCCAUAUAUUAAGUAAUCUAGAUGGAGGACAUUAUAUUUUUCAAUUUUUUAAUUUUUGUUCUUUUUUUUUUAAUUCAAACGACACCUCUUUCAUUGUGGCAUUGGAAUGUAUAGAGAUUUGCACACUGAUUUUGGACCAUACUUCACAAAUAAUGCGACGCACAUCUUUCUUUCAGUACUUCUUCAGGAGGAUAAGCUACAGACGUUGUUGUCCUUUUACCUGAAGCAAGUGCAUGUGCAUGAAUUGUUGUUGUCUGUUAAUCUGCUGCCACUUUGCUGCCAAAAACUUGAAAAAUAAACCGGGAAAAUUUUCAAUAAGCAAAGUCAAACAACUAACCCCUGUUUUAAGUUAUAUUCCUAAGAAAACUUUUAACACUCAAAUAAAGCACACAGCUAAAGUAUUUCUAUCACAUUAGGUUUCGAGUGAGGUUUGAUUUACAUUUAUAUCAGAUAUACCAAGUGUUUUUUCUUCUUUUAAUUAAUGUAUAUUCCUAAGAAAACUUCUAAUUGAUUAUCCACAUAUAUAAACAAACCUAGCUCGCAAUGUGAAAUAUAUUAAAACAGCAACCAUAAGAUUUUCAAACAUUUAAAUUAACGGUGAUGAUAUUUCCACCCCAUGAAUUUUAUAAACCCACCCAUUUUUAAAAAAAAUAUUAUAAUCAGUUCACAUUAUUUUUAAAAAAUUUAAAUUAAGAAGAAAUUAAAAAAUUGAUCAAUAAAUUCAUAUUCAUUUCUUUUUUAAACUGUGUUUCUUUAUUAUAUUUAAUCAAUAAGAUUGCUUUAACAUAAAUUAGUAUGACUAUUUUACCCUCAUAAGGUAAAAGUACCAAAAUAUCUAAAAAUUUACUUUAACUUUAAUAAAUUUUUAUGCAAUUUUUUUAUAUUUUAAUGAUGUAUUAGUAAUUGUUAGUACAAUUAUUAUUACUCCACUAAACUAACAAGAUAUAAUUAGGACAUGUGGUGAAUUGAAAAUAAUUAAAUUUUAUAUAAUACAUAUUGGAUUAUAAAAUAUAAAAAAAAUGUCUAAGCAAUUAGUUACAAUAAUAUAUAUAUAUAUAUAUAUAUAUAUAUAUAUAUUUCUUAGAGUAAUUUGGUAAUUUUAUAUUACAAGGGAAAAAUAAUCAAAUUAAAUUUAUCUUGAAGCGCUUCAAAAGUUAAAGAUUGUUAAAAGACUAAGUCGGAAAAAAUAAGAAAAAAUAUUAUAAAAUUAAUUUAAUUAAUUAAUUAUUUAAAUUUUUUAUUAAUUUAUAAUUUUAUAAAAUAAUAUGAACUUAUUGUAAUUAUUUUAUAUAGGUGGACUGGGUUUAUAAAAAUAGCGGGGUGGAUAUACUUACACCCUUGAAUUAAUAGUUAGUAUAAAUUUUAGAUAUCUCCCCUAAAAUUUGACUUUGCUACACUUAGAGAGAAUGUAAACAUAUAUUGACAAUAUACCCCUUGGUCGUGUAUAAGGGUUAGGCACUGGUUAGGUAGUUGAGGGCAAUAACGUACAUGUUGCAUAUUUUUUUAUUUUUAAAUCUUACAAAAGCUGUUAUACUGUAACUAAUUAGACAAGAGCAGCGAAAAUGCAUACAGUGCUUUGAAGCUAGGGAAGCCCAAGGGGAUAGUAACCCAUUUUCAUUGUCAAUGCCUAGCUUCAUUUCUUCUUUUUUCUCAGCAUAACUUGAUGAGUGCUUAGCUUCAUUUCGAAGGUCGUGACACCAACUGAUUUUAGCAAAAGCAGAGAUACUUUGUGAUGCAGUAAGCUAACAAGUUUCUGAAAUCAACUAUGUUUUAAACCAAAUUCCGGCGACGACCAGCAGCUGAAAAAGCCGGUGAUUAAAGGUCAAUCUANNNNNNNNNNNNNNNNNNNNNNNNNNNNNNNNNNNNNNNNNNNNNNNNNNNNNNNNNNNNNNNNNNNNNNNNNNNNNNNNNNNNNNNNNNNNNNNNNNNNGGCAUUUUGGUCUUUUCACACUCAAUUGAGUUUUGUCUUAUUAUAAGAAUUUGUAAUGUCAACAACAAUUAUCAUAAGGGUAUAAUAGCCUUUCACCCCCCCAGGCGCAAAAAAAAAAAUUGCCCCAAAUAUAAAGAUCAUCUACAGUGUCAAUUAAUUAUGAAGGGCAUUAUUGCACAUUCACUCAACUACCUAACGGGUGCCUAACCUUCAUACAUGGCCGGGGGUAUGUUGUCAAUAUAUGGAUACAUUCUCUCUAAGUGUAGCAAAGCCAAACCUCAGGGGUGGUUUCUAAAAGUUUUCCUAAAUAGUUAAUAAUUUUAUACAACAGAUUCUUGGAUACCCCUCAAGUUCACUUAUUCUACGUUAUGGCUGACUUUCAAGAAAUUAAAUUCUACAUUAUGACCCCUAGGGAAACAACGUAGCCAAUAAAAUUAUAAAAUAUAUGUGUGUAAUAGUUGUCAAACCUGAACCUAUGUCGUUUAGCAAUUUACAAAAUGAGAAAGACGACAAAAGCCAAGUGUUAAGAGUGGCAGUGAGCCAACGAGACAAGCUCAAGUUCACUGUGUUUUUGUUGAACCUUCUGAAGACCCGAAACUCGAGGUUUGUUUUUCACGUUCCCUAAUCGUUUGACUACAUUUUAAUUCUGUGCUACGCUCGUUAAGAACUGUUCAGGCUUAUGAACUGUUCAGGCUAAGUGUUCGACGAAAUUCCUAAGUGAGUAUAUAUAAUGGUUUGCUCUUGUAUUUAUUCUGUUAUAGAAGGUUUUGCUUUGGGUGGUUAAAUAGAGGAGAUUAGACAUUGAACUUUAUGCACUUGUAUGUUUUCAAGUAAUUGUUUGCUGAGGCACAUGUACUUUGAAUGGCUUCAUUCAUCUACAGAGAUAUCAUAACAUUUUUGCUUAAUGUGAGUCUUAUUGUUGUUAAUUUGUCCAAAGUGAAGGCUUUUUUAACUUUUAUUUCUUUGAUUUAUUUAUUUAUUGGUGUGUCGAAGUUCUGUGUCUCAACUUUAUUUGAUAAGUUCUUUCAGACUACUAAUUAGAAGAAACAAAUGCUAGAGAGUGAGUAUGAGAGGGAAUGAUGUUUGGGCAAGGGGUGAUUUGUUCACUUGGCUCAUGAAGGACCCCAACUAUAAUGACAUGUAUCAAUUUCGCAGCCUAAUUGGAAGGUAAGCUCAUUUCUUGAUUUCCUUCAAUUUUCACUUUCAUUUUACUGUUUUCAAGUAGUAGGUAAUCUAAAUAAAAGUAAAAUCAGUAGUGAUUUGCUUCAAGUGCAUAUGGAUAGUAUAUCACAUGUGAGAAGAUUGUAUUUGUUAUAUGAAAAUCCUUAAUAACUGUAAUGAAAAAAUAUAUUCUCAAACCUGAUCGUGGAAUGUACUAUUUCUUAAUAUCUGAGUUUGGAUCCACACAUUUUUUGCCAUGCAAUUUGACAAGUUGUCAUGUCCUCAUAUUCUGCGCUAUCAUAAGUUUUGCCAAUCUGCAUAGGUGUUUAAUAGAUUGAGUUAAUCUAGUUUCGAGAGCAUGCCUUACUAAAGGGCAUCGAGUUUCUAAGUGAGGGCAAGCACAACUAUAAUUAUCUAUUUCAUAUCCUCCCUAUCAGCGGGGCAGGUCUGUUACCUCUAAAUUCUUUCAAUAACUUGGGGACGUUAAUCCUAUUAAUGACAGCCACAUAUUAUAAGUCAAGAAAACUGAUUUUUUGAUUAUUGAAAAAUCAAAUUUUUUGUAUUAUUCUAUUUAUGAUCUCAGUAACCUACAUGUUGCGAUUGUCUUGUAUGGAUCAUUGUUUCUCUUUUAAGCUGUUAUAGUGACAAUUUUUAGCUCUUAUUGCAGUUCUUAAAGUCAUUGCAAGCACAUGUUCUGUCGAUCUCCAUAAAUUCAGAUACAUAUGCAUAGUUAGCUAUUCAAACAACCACACUGGCAUUUAACUUCGAUAUUCAGAAAUAUGGCUGAAGUGAAGCUUCAUGGGGCAUGAGCGAGUGAAUUUUGUUACAGAGUGAUAUGGGCUCUGAAAUUGAAAGGCAUAGCAUAUGAUUACAUUGAAGAAGAUCUCUCUAACAAAAGUGCUUUGCUUUUGAAGCAUAAUCCAGUUCACAAGAAGGUCCCAGUGCUUGUUCAUGACAAAAAAUCAGUUUGCGAGUCCAUUGUUAUCCUUGAAUACAUUGAGGAGAUGUGGCCACAGAAUCCCUUAAUGCCAAAUGAUCCUUAUGAUAGGGCUCUGGCUCAUUUUUGGAUUAAAUUUGCCGAAGAUAGGGUUUUGCUUCAGAACUCUAGCUAAUGCCUUUAUAAGUUCAUUAUUUUCAUGUUUAUUAGUUAUUAGAGAAAAUGAUCAGUAUCCCCCAUUGUAUGUCAAAAUUAAUUAUUUGUUCUUUUAUGUUUUAAAACCUAUCAAAAUCUCCAUUGUCGUUCAAAAGAUUCUGUUAACCUUCAAUUUUUUUGUCUUUUACUAAUUUUACCUCUGGAAAAAUUUUUAUUAAUAGGAAGUUGAAAGUUUAAUAGAAUUUUUUUAACGGCAAGGGAAAUUUUGAUGGCUUUUGAAAUAUGAGAGAGAAAAGGAUUAAUUUACCAAAACAACAUUGUGGUUUUGUUGUUCAUUUACCCUUUGUCAUUCAAUGUAGUUGUUAACCUCUAGUAUAAGGGUGCUUGACAAAUGACAAGGAUAUGUAUUGGCUAAGUCUUUUAGUUCAUACAUAUUAUUAAUCAUGUGAUGAUAUUUUGGCGGGGAGCUACUGUUUGGAAAAUGUUUCGUAGCGUACAAGAUCAAGAGAAUACAAUGAAAGAAAUCUUGGAAAUGCUAAAAACCGUUGAAGAACAUGGCUUAGGAGAGAAGUAAUUUUUUCAUGGAGACAAGAUUGGCUUAGUGGACAUAGCAUUUGUUUCCAUUGUUUAUUGGUUGCAAAUCAUUGAAGAUGUAGCAGGAGUGAAACUAUUUGAAUUUCACAAAUUCACUCGCUUGCACGCAUGGUUUGAAAAAUUUAAACGAGUCCCAGAAAUUGAAGAGAACCUUCCUAAUUGGGGUGAACUAUUGGUUUUUUUCAAACGUCGCCGUGAAAAGUUGGUGGCCUCUUCCUCAUUGCAUUAGCACAAAAUUCGUGCAAUUGUAUUGUUGUCAAGAGGCCGCUCUUUGCUUAGUUUUUGAUUAUCUUGUGUGCUCAAUUGGGAGGCCCCGCUUUGCUGGGUACUUUCGUAUGGAUUUGAGUAAUAAUGGGGACUUGACUUUAUAUUUAUGAAUUAUUGCAUGUAUUUCGUUAAUUAUUAAUGGACUACUGACGGUUAUGUAUUGUUUGGGAAUUGUUUGGGAGGAAGUUUAAAAGCUGAUAUAUACUAAUGACUUGAAGAAAAGUCAACUUAUUUGAAGUAAUAUAACUCUAAAAAAUCAGAAGAAAAACUCUUUGUGGAAAAAGAUAGUUCUGGUAAACAUGCCCAGUAUUAAAGGGUAUUAUCGAAACUUAAAUGUGAAUGGUUAGAGCCAACAUGUGAACAGUACACCAUUAUGAAAAGAUUUUUUUUUUUCGCUAAGAAUAACAAGCCAAUAGGACUUUAGUGAUUUUUUUUAGAUCUAAUUUCUUGAGAGACUUCUUCAUCUUCUUCUUCCUUUAUGGUUGGGGUUUCUUUCUCCAUUUUAACACCACCAUAGGAAAUUUUAACCAUCUAUCUCCCAAAGAAGCCUUUUCCCUUACUCUUCUCCUGGAAAACUCUCUAAUCUCUAUAAAACUCAUAUCUCCCUCAUGUCAUUAUUCCUCAUAACCAACCUUUAAUAAAGUUUUGUCCAUAUUAUAAUGCAAAUUAUGUAAUACUUCAUUUAUAUAGUGGAUUGGAGAUGAGUUACUCUUAUGGAUGUAGAUCAAAGGGCCGAACAAUGUAAAAUCUUAUGUGUUCUCUAUUGUUUAUGCUUAUUUUCUAUUUAUUAGGAUGAUGAUAAUACUCAAAUCGUAUUCCAUACAUGAGCUCAUAUAGAGGCAUAGCACGAGCUCUAUUGAGCUCCCCAGAUAAGCUCUAUAGUUAAAGCUAUCCUCGAAUUCGCUAGAGCUACUUCCUAAACUCUCUUGAGCUCCCCAAAUCAAUUCUUUAAACUAAAUCCCAUGAGCUCCAUAGAGAUUACCUCCCAAAACACUUCAAUUUACCUCUCAAAUUACCUCAGUUCACCUUCCAGAUCACCUUAGUUAUUUCUUUUGUCCUUAACAGUAGAAAAACACACCUAGAUUUUUACUAGCUCAAUCUCCCCUCAAAUAUAAAUUUAUUUAUUUAAAUUAUAUUUAACCUUGUUCUGGUGAGGACAACCACUAAAUGAUUCAAAUCAGAUCCUAGAGAAAAUCCGAUGAAAACAUGUAUCUAUGUAUAAUAUUUAACAUCACCCUAACAAUCAAUACGAAUGCACUUGGAUUUAUUCUUAAUAGUACACAAAGUGGAAAAAGCAUGACAAGCAACACUUGCACACUCGAGGCUCAAUAUAAGCACAAACGUCAUAAUUCCAAGCAACAAACAAUGACCAUCAUUACUAAUUUUUUCUGAAAGCCACCAAAUUGGAAAAGUACUGCCAAGCAAUUAAUUAACGACUGCGACUUGCCAGCCUAAGCUUAUCCAAUGCUGAGAGUUCAUUAUUCUUCAAGGUUUGGUUAAUGUAAAUAUCUUUUAGAGUAAUUUCAGGGUAGAGCGGAGGAUUUUCUUCUGAUAGCAACUGUUUAAUUGGACCAUAUCGUCUCGAGCAACUAUUAUUCAUGAAAAACUUCCGAUUGAAAUUCUGGAGCCUUCCUUAUUUGAUAACACUCUAUAAUAGGCACUCUUGAACUUAUCAUUGGUAAUCAGCUGCAUAAACACAAACACGUUGGUAAUCAGCUGCAAAAACUCACACUUCAUAUAAACCAUAAUUAAGUUAUCUGAUAGAGAUUCAUGCUUGGGUGUUGACGUUCACAUGAAAUUUUGUAAGGACGAUUCUUUCACAGUAUUGUGAAAGAACGUUUCCGUACAAAAUUUAGUGCGAACGUCCCACUUGAGAAUUUUCAAUCUGAUGGAUAGUAUUUCUUAAUAAGUUAUCUAACACACACUUGCCUGCAUCAUGUAGCCUAAGUUUACAACUAGAGUUCCCGGAACAGGGGCAAUGUCAAACCAUUGAUCUUCGUGAAAGACUUGGAGGCCACCAAUUUGAUCUUGUAUGAGCACAGUGACAAAUUUAGGGUCAGAAUGUGUUGCUAUGCCGAUGGACAAUUCUGGUUGAGGGUAUUCAGGGUAAUAACCAUUCCCAAUAGUCAUUUCCUCUACACAACCUAUGUCUUUCAGGUAAUUGAGGUCAAGCCCUAAAGCUUCGGAUAGAAGUUCAAACAGAGUAUCCCCUGUUUUCCACAUUAGGUUGUUGUAUGCGAUCAUUAUCUCUCUGCAAAUUAAUAAAGACAAAAAAUAAUCACUACUAAAAGAAAGGGAGAAUGGCAUUUCGACUUUUAGAAAUUUUUUUUUUAUUGGGUUAACAACUAGAUGAAAUGAGAGUAAUAAAAACUUAUUAGGAACCCAAGUGAUGCAAAACGUUUUAAGAAAGAUGCGAGUGUUAUCCACUGUAAAAGAAAUAAAAUCUAUUGGUCAUCGUCCACAUACCUGCAAGCUUCAGGCAAAUCUUCAGGAUUUGAAAAAUCGCGACCCAUAACACAACUCAAAGUAUCUUUCAGUUAAGGAAGCUCAUUGUGCUAAGUUUAUGAAGAACAUGAAGGCAAAGAAGUUCUCAGUCUUAGUCAGUGAAGCAAGUCAAUAGUGCCAGCUCAUCAGUGCCAGAUCAGCAGAAUUAGUUACGGGAAUUAACAAGUCAGCAUAAGUUGUUAAUGCUUGUUACUAGUUUCUUUAGCAUGUGUAUGUAAAUAUCUUCAAGUAUAUAAGCUGUAGAAGUUCAGUUGGUAUGUAACGAAAAAGAAUUAAGAAAUAAGAACUUUGAUUUUUCAUCUGUAAAUUUUCUCUUGAAACCAACAGCCUUUAACUUUCUUUCAUGGUAUCAGAGCCAACCAUGGCUAGUUCCAGUACACCUAAUCAAGUUCAUUCCACAAACAAUCAAUUUCAAUCUACGCAAACUUCAUUUACUUUUGCUGCGACUGUAAACUCGAUCGAUCGAAUUUUCUUCUUUGGCGCAAACAAGUACUGACGUCAAUCAGAGGAAAUCGACUUGAAGGAUUAAUCUCAGAAGGUCAGAAUAUUCCAGAAUAGUAUCUAUCUCAAUCAAGAGCUGACAGAUCUAUGGAGAAGAUUGAGAAUCCAGCUUAUGUUAAUUGGAGAGCUCAGGAUCAGACUCUGCUUAGCUGGCUUCUUUCAACAAUAAGUGAAAGUAUUCUAAGCUCAGUUCUCAAUUAUGAUACUUCCUUCGAUAUUUGGAGAUCCAUUGAAAAACAAUUUAGAGUUCAAUCCGAAGCAAAAAUAAUGCAACUUAGAUAUGAAUUGGACACUUUGAGAAAAGAAUCAAUGUCAGUUGAAGAAUAUUGCUCAAAAAUGAAAACUCUUGUGAAUAAGCUUGCUUGUGCUGGUGAUAAUAUAACUGAAAAAGAUCUGUUGAUUAGGACUCUUAAUGGAUUAGGAUCUGGUUAUUUGGAUCUAGCUUCCAUAAUCAUAGCUAAUAAAAUGAACUUUGAUGAUGCGUAUGCACUGUUGUUGACACAUGAAGCUCGAUUAGAACAGAAUUAGAAUCCACAGCCUAUGUUUAAUGCCAACUAUAGUAUGGUGAAUGCAAAUUAUGCAAAUUCUUCGCAUAUGAGAGGUUUUCCUAGGAAAUGCUUCUAAUGGUCAAUAUGGAGGAAGAGUUCAGUAUUUUGGUCAUGGUAUGUUCUCUACUUCUUAUCCUAGAGGUUUUCCAGCUGGUAAUGGUGGUUUUGGUAGAGGGAAUGAUGUUGCAAGUUUUGGCAGAAAUCAGUUUCAACAUUUUCACAGACCACCACACAUCAGAAAUAUGUUUUCUCACGCACAUAAUCAAAACAAUUCUACUGGUGAACAUAAUGAACUGACACCUAUAUGCCAAAUAUGUCAUAAGCAAGGUCACACUGCUGAUGCUUGCUGGUAUCGAUAUGGUGAUAAUUACCUUCUUAAGAAUUUUGGCAUAGGUAAAAUGAUGGGAUCAAAGGCUGCUUAUAUGGCUAAUUUUGAGUCAUUUCCUUAUCAACAGUCAACAGAGGAAGAUUCUUAUGGAGUUGCAGAUAUUAACUACAGCUAUCAACCAGUGAAUUACUCACCUGUCUCUUCUUAUCAAUCUGAAGCUUUUACUUUCUCGGAAGCUUAUGUUGCUAACCUUGAAGGCUCAUCAGAUGAAGGGUGGUAUCUUGAUAGUCGGGCCACACAUCACAUUACAAAUAACAUGGGAAACAUGCAUGUGAGAGAAGAGUUCAGAGGUGCAGACCAGCUGACCAUUGGCAAUGGACAAGGUGUGAUUAUUACUCAUAUUGGUGAUGCUUGCUUUAGCUAUAAAAGUCUUAAUGCUGCCCACAAACACACACCUAUAGCACUUAAGGAUAUCUUAUUAGUUCCUUCUAUUACUAAGAACUUAAUAAGUAUAUCUAAGUUAACCACUGAUAAUAACCUUUCCAUUGAAUUUGUUGGUAAUGUGUGUUAUGUAAAGAAUUCACUGAAGGGACAAGUACUUCUGCAAGGUCUUGCUGAAAAAGGAUUAUACAAGUUGCUGUUACAAUCAUCUCAGUCAUCUCCUUCCUCUUUCUUGAGUCAAAUUUCUUCAAACAAGCCUCUGUCUAUGCUUUCUACAUGUCAUCUUCAAUUUCCUGUUAUAACGGAUGUCCAGAAUAAAGAUUCAAAGUCUGUAGCUUGUUAUCAAACUGCUGUCAAUUCUUUCUUUCCUUGUAAUGAAUUAGUUAAUAAAGUCAACUUGUUUCAUAGAUGAUUUGGUCAUCCUCAUUAUGAUGUACUAGUGCAUUUACUUAAGAAUGAUCAGUCUAUCAAUAUCUCUACUUCCAUUAUUAAACAAGCUGCACAACAAAUAUGUGAGGUAUCUCAAAUGGGUAAGGUUCAUAGGCUUCACUUCCCUGCAACUAAAACCAAAACUUCCCACAUACUUAAACUUAUUCUUACUGAUUUGUGGGGUCCUUCCCCUUAUUCUUCCAGAGUUGGUUAUGUUUAUUACAUCAGCUUUGUUGAUGAUUUCAGUAGGUACACUUGAAUCUAUCCACUGAAACUGAAAUCAGAAGCCUUACAAAUUUUCAAACUCUUCAAACUGCAAGUUGAAAAACAAUUCCAGUGUUCCAUUAAAAAGUUACAAUCUGACUGGGGGGGAGAAUAUCGAGCAUUCACUGAAUUUUUGAACCAAAAUGGAAUUAUUUUUAGACACUCUUGUCCAUACACACAUCAUCAAAAUGAGGUAGUUGAGAGAAAGCACAGACACAUUGUUGAGUUAGGACUUACACUUCUAACUCAAGCUAAAUUACCCUUAAACUUUUGGUGGGAAGCUUUCCAAACCUCAGUCUAUCAUAUUAAUAGGUUGCCUUUUGCAACUUUGAAAUUUCUUACUCCCUAUGAAAAGCUCUUCAAUCAUAAGCCAGAUUACAAAAUGCUCAAGUGCUUUGGUUGUGCAUGCUAUCCUUACUUGAGAGAUUAUAAUAAGUAUAAGUUUGCCUAUCAUUCUAACAAGUAUGUCUUUAUUGGUUACAGUCCUUCUCAUAAAAGGGUAUAAAUGUUUGCAUCCAUAUGGUCAGGUCUAUAUAGCUAGACAUGUCAUAUUUGAUGAGCAUUCCUUUUCUUACUCAUCAGAUUCUGUUUUCACUUCAAAUAAUUCAUGUCAACCUCUGUCAUUUACUCCUCAACAAGUGUAUCAUCUAUUCACUUUGUCAAUACCUUCUAAUUCAAAUGACAGUAACUCUUAUAAUCCUGUUUCUGUAAGUUCUACCAGCAGCAGUUCUCAUCAUUCAGUGAAUCAUACACAUAACAAUGACUCUCAGCCUUUGCCACAAAUAUUUGAGCCACAUACAGAAUCUCAUCAUUCCCUGCCUACUCAAUCAUUCACUACCAACACACUCUCUCCAUCACAAAUUUUAACCAACAUCAUUUCCACAACACUUUUGCUCCNNNNNNNNNNNNNNNNNNNNNNNNNNNNNNNNNNNNNNNNNNNNNNNNNNNNNNNNNNNNNNNNNNNNNNNNNNNNNNNNNNNNNNNNNNNNNNNNNNNNNNNNNNNNNNNNNNNNNNNNNNNNNNNNNNNNNNNNNNNNNNNNNNNNNNNNNNNNNNNNNNNNNNNNNNNNNNNNNNNNNNNNNNNNNNNNNNNNNNNNNNNNNNNNNNNNNNNNNNNNNNNNNNNNNNNNNNNNNNNNNNNNNNNNNNNNNNNNNNNNNNNNNNNNNNNNNNNNNNNNNNNNNNNNNNNNNNNNNNNNNNNNNNNNNNNNNNNNNNNNNNNNNNNNNNNNNNNNNNNNNNNNNNNNNNNNNNNNNNNNNNNNNNNNNNNNNNNNNNNNNNNNNNNNNNNNNNNNNNNNNNNNNNNNNNNNNNNNNNNNNNNNNNNNNNNNNNNNNNNNNNNNNNNNNNNNNNNNNNNNNNNNNNNNNNNNNNNNNNNNNNNNNNNNNNNNNNNNNNNNNNNNNNNNNNNNNNNNNNNNNNNNNNNNNNNNNNNNNNNNNNNNNNNNNNNNNNNNNNNNNNNNNNNNNNNNNNNNNNNNNNNNNNNNNNNNNNNNNNNNNNNNNNNNNNNNNNNNNNNNNNNNNNNNNNNNNNNNNNNNNNNNNNNNNNNNNNNNNNNNNNNNNNNNNNNNNNNNNNNNNNNNNNNNNNNNNNNNNNNNNNNNNNNNNNNNNNNNNNNNNNNNNNNNNNNNNNNNNNNNNNNNNNNNNNNNNNNNNNNNNNNNNNNNNNNNNNNNNNNNNNNNNNNNNNNNNNNNNNNNNNNNNNNNNNNNNNNNNNNNNNNNNNNNNNNNNNNNNNNNNNNNNNNNNNNNNNNNNNNNNNNNNNNNNNNNNNNNNNNNNNNNNNNNNNNNNNNNNNNNNNNNNNNNNNNNNNNNNNNNNNNNNNNNNNNNNNNNNNNNNNNNNNNNNNNNNNNNNNNNNNNNNNNNNNNNNNNNNNNNNNNNNNNNNNNNNNNNNNNNNNNNNNNNNNNNNNNNNNNNNNNNNNNNNNNNNNNNNNNNNNNNNNNNNNNNNNNNNNNNNNNNNNNNNNNNNNNNNNNNNNNNNNNNNNNNNNNNNNNNNNNNNNNNNNNNNNNNNNNNNNNNNNNNNNNNNNNNNNNNNNNNNNNNNNNNNNNNNNNNNNNNNNNNNNNNNNNNNNNNNNNNNNNNNNNNNNNNNNNNNNNNNNNNNNNNNNNNNNNNNNNNNNNNNNNNNNNNNNNNNNNNNNNNNNNNNNNNNNNNNNNNNNNNNNNNNNNNNNNNNNNNNNNNNNNNNNNNNNNNNNNNNNNNNNNNNNNNNNNNNNNNNNNNNNNNNNNNNNNNNNNNNNNNNNNNNNNNNNNNNNNNNNNNNNNNNNNNNNNNNNNNNNNNNNNNNNNNNNNNNNNNNNNNNNNNNNNNNNNNNNNNNNNNNNNNNNNNNNNNNNNNNNNNNNNNNNNNNNNNNNNNNNNNNNNNNNNNNNNNNNNNNNNNNNNNNNNNNNNNNNNNNNNNNNNNNNNNNNNNNNNNNNNNNNNNNNNNNNNNNNNNNNNNNNNNNNNNNNNNNNNNNNNNNNNNNNNNNNNNNNNNNNNNNNNNNNNNNNNNNNNNNNNNNNNNNNNNNNNNNNNNNNNNNNNNNNNNNNNNNNNNNNNNNNNNNNNNNNNNNNNNNNNNNNNNNNNNNNNNNNNNNNNNNNNNNNNNNNNNNNNNNNNNNNNNNNNNNNNNNNNNNNNNNNNNNNNNNNNNNNNNNNNNNNNNNNNNNNNNNNNNNNNNNNNNNNNNNNNNNNNNNNNNNNNNNNNNNNNNNNNNNNNNNNNNNNNNNNNNNNNNNNNNNNNNNNNNNNNNNNNNNNNNNNNNNNNNNNNNNNNNNNNNNNNNNNNNNNNNNNNNNNNNNNNNNNNNNNNNNNNNNNNNNNNNNNNNNNNNNNNNNNNNNNNNNNNNNNNNNNNNNNNNNNNNNNNNNNNNNNNNNNNNNNNNNNNNNNNNNNNNNNNNNNNNNNNNNNNNNNNNNNNNNNNNNNNNNNNNNNNNNNNNNNNNNNNNNNNNNNNNNNNNNNNNNNNNNNNNNNNNNNNNNNNNNNNNNNNNNNNNNNNNNNNNNNNNNNNNNNNNNNNNNNNNNNNNNNNNNNNNNNNNNNNNNNNNNNNNNNNNNNNNNNNNNNNNNNNNNNNNNNNNNNNNNNNNNNNNNNNNNNNNNNNNNNNNNNNNNNNNNNNNNNNNNNNNNNNNNNNNNNNNNNNNNNNNNNNNNNNNNNNNNNNNNNNNNNNNNNNNNNNNNNNNNNNNNNNNNNNNNNNNNNNNNNNNNNNNNNNNNNNNNNNNNNNNNNNNNNNNNNNNNNNNNNNNNNNNNNNNNNNNNNNNNNNNNNNNNNNNNNNNNNNNNNNNNNNNNNNNNNNNNNNNNNNNNNNNNNNNNNNNNNNNNNNNNNNNNNNNNNNNNNNNNNNNNNNNNNNNNNNNNNNNNNNNNNNNNNNNNNNNNNNNNNNNNNNNNNNNNNNNNNNNNNNNNNNNNNNNNNNNNNNNNNNNNNNNNNNNNNNNNNNNNNNNNNNNNNNNNNNNNNNNNNNNNNNNNNNNNNNNNNNNNNNNNNNNNNNNNNNNNNNNNNNNNNNNNNNNNNNNNNNNNNNNNNNNNNNNNNNNNNNNNNNNNNNNNNNNNNNNNNNNNNNNNNNNNNNNNNNNNNNNNNNNNNNNNNNNNNNNNNNNNNNNNNNNNNNNNNNNNNNNNNNNNNNNNNNNNNNNNNNNNNNNNNNNNNNNNNNNNNNNNNNNNNNNNNNNNNNNNNNNNNNNNNNNNNNNNNNNNNNNNNNNNNNNNNNNNNNNNNNNNNNNNNNNNNNNNNNNNNNNNNNNNNNNNNNNNNNNNNNNNNNNNNNNNNNNNNNNNNNNNNNNNNNNNNNNNNNNNNNNNNNNNNNNNNNNNNNNNNNNNNNNNNNNNNNNNNNNNNNNNNNNNNNNNNNNNNNNNNNNNNNNNNNNNNNNNNNNNNNNNNNNNNNNNNNNNNNNNNNNNNNNNNNNNNNNNNNNNNNNNNNNNNNNNNNNNNNNNNNNNNNNNNNNNNNNNNNNNNNNNNNNNNNNNNNNNNNNNNNNNNNNNNNNNNNNNNNNNNNNNNNNNNNNNNNNNNNNNNNNNNNNNNNNNNNNNNNNNNNNNNNNNNNNNNNNNNNNNNNNNNNNNNNNNNNNNNNNNNNNNNNNNNNNNNNNNNNNNNNNNNNNNNNNNNNNNNNNNNNNNNNNNNNNNNNNNNNNNNNNNNNNNNNNNNNNNNNNNNNNNNNNNNNNNNNNNNNNNNNNNNNNNNNNNNNNNNNNNNNNNNNNNNNNNNNNNNNNNNNNNNNNNNNNNNNNNNNNNNNNNNNNNNNNNNNNNNNNNNNNNNNNNNNNNNNNNNNNNNNNNNNNNNNNNNNNNNNNNNNNNNNNNNNNNNNNNNNNNNNNNNNNNNNNNNNNNNNNNNNNNNNNNNNNNNNNNNNNNNNNNNNNNNNNNNNNNNNNNNNNNNNNNNNNNNNNNNNNNNNNNNNNNNNNNNNNNNNNNNNNNNNNNNNNNNNNNNNNNNNNNNNNNNNNNNNNNNNNNNNNNNNNNNNNNNNNNNNNNNNNNNNNNNNNNNNNNNNNNNNNNNNNNNNNNNNNNNNNNNNNNNNNNNNNNNNNNNNNNNNNNNNNNNNNNNNNNNNNNNNNNNNUUGGUUCACUUCAACUAUCUAAGGAACAAACUCAAUGUGCAGCCUUGCCCCUUGAGUUUGAGGGGGGCUGUUAAGGAAGCUCAUUGUGCUGAGUUUAUGAAGAACAUGAAGGCAAAGAAGUUCUCAGUCUUAGUCAGUGAAGCAAGUCAAUAGUGCCAGCUCAUUAGUGCCAGAUCAGCAGAAUUAGUUACGGGAAUUAACUAGUCAGCAUAAGUUGUUAAUGUUUGUUACUAGUUUCUUUAGCAUGUGUAUGUAAAUAUCUUCAAGUAUAUAAGCUGUAGAAGUUCAGUUGGUAUGUAACGAAAACGAAUUAAGAAAUAAGAACCUUGAUUUUUCCUCUGUAAAUUUUCUCUUGAAACAAACAGCCUUUAACUUUCUUUCACUUUCCAAAAGAGGGUUGGUGCACUAUACAAAUUUAAAUUUGAACAAUAUUUAAUUUUUUUGGAGUAAUCACGAGAAUAAUAUUUCUGCUUAACCUCAACAUCUUGUUGAAAAAAAGCUACGGAUCCCAUCAAUGGCCUGAUCCAAAAUGCUUGUUGGGAUUCCAUGAUUGAUCACUUGAAAGAAACCCCACUUCUCACAAGCACUUCUAAUUUGGUCAAUUACCUGAGAACGCAAACUUGAAUCCUUGAGUAUUCUUUGAAGGUCUAUGAUAGGGAUGCUGAUUUUGGGGUCCCUGCAGAUUGGCUUAUCAUCAAACUUAUGUUUAGUGUGACGAUCUUGAAUGAUGAUCUGUGGAAUGGUUGUGAUCCCAGCAUCUACGAGUCCCUUAACACCAGCUUUCGUGUCAUCAAAAGCUUUCAACUCGCUAACUCUGUCACAAGUAAUGCUUCCCAUUGCUUGGUGAAUUAUCUUUUACCUGGUGAAUUAUGAAGUACAAAUGCUGACUUGCGGGUGAUUGCUUUUGGUAUAUGCCGUUUAUAUGAAUAUGAUUCCUAGCUUGCCACGUGCAACAUGUUGAAAUAUAGCGAUAGCAUGAAGAUGUGGAAAUUUGUAAAAUUUGAUCCUGCGUUAUUUAUCAUGAUUAAAUUAAUUAUAAAUUAUCAAUAAUAGUCAAUUCCGGGGACCACCAAUUACUGGGUGGCACAUCACAAUAAUAAAUUAUCAAUAAUAGUCAAUUCUGCAUUAUUUAAUAUUUAUGUGGAUAAAAUUUCAAUUAGCUACACUACAUUGUUGUUUGAUAGUUAACGGUUCACCUUCUCCAUUUGUAAAUAUUAUUAUGGACUUAUAGUGUGGCUUAAAAGCUAGAUCUUAAAUGAAAAGAAAGCUUUAAUGGUGAAAUAAAAAUUUAAAUAAAUGAUAAAGGGAUUAAAGGUUAACCUAAUGUUAACAAAAAUAAUUGUAAAAUAUACAUGUUUUAUCAUGUUAAUUGAUGUUUUUCCAGUAUGCACAUAAAAAAGAUCUAUUUUACAAUUGUUUCUGUUGGCGUUGGGGCAGAUUUUUUUUUAGUCUAAUUAAGUAUAUCAUAAGUUAAUAAUAGUGCGUAUUUUAACUUUAAUAAAUUUGGCCACUUAGAUUUUUAAUUCUGACUCCUUCCCUAAUCAAUCAAGAAAAAGAAUGCUUUUCUCCAUAAAAAUUAAAAUAGAAAAUUCAGCAAGGACAUAACUGCGGAGAUGUUUGAUCCUGGAUUUAUAUAUCAAAGCAACAUCAAAAUUAUAAUACUUCCUUGCCACCGAGAAGAGAUAUAUUCAAGAGCACUGGCCUUAUAAAGCCUAAACCAUACUAAACUACCUACAUGGAAUCUAAUGCGUACAUGCAAUGCUUUCUAAAGUGAAACUGUCGCUUGAAAAUAGAAUUCAUGUUCAGCAGCCUCUCUCUAUCCGGGCUCCAAUUUUAUAACAAGGCAGCUAAAUAAGAUGAUUUAGAUGGCAUCGGCAUCUGUAGUAUCGUUUGUCUGUAGUCCCUCAUUAUCUACGAUCUGAUCGCUCCCUAUAGUAUUGUUUGCCUGUAGUCCCUCAUUAUCUACGCUCUGAUCACUCCCUAUGUAGAGAAUCGACAAGAGCAAAUUGAAGCACACGUUCACAGCACUAAUAACUGUUAAACUCUUAUAGUACUUGUCAAGCCUACUAUCAUCCAGGGUUUCAGCAAAGUCGCCUUUGUUUGCCAAAAUGAAAAAGAUGUUAAAAAUGCUUCCUAUUCCGACGAAAAAAUAACUUAUUGCUGAUACAUGGUACUCCAUCCGUUCAGGAAAAUGAGAGCUCGAGUAUUCAUCACAUCCAUACCAGGCAAGCCCUUCCAUAAGACCUAAUAGACAGAAUUGUGGAACAAGCCAAAACAUGCUCAUAUUUUACAGUAAAUGUUAAAUUUCACAGCAUGUAAAAUAUAUAUAUAUAUAUACACACACACACACAUACCUAAUAAGAGGAUAUUAGGAGCUUUACCCUUAUAAAAAUAAUGCUAGAGAUCUCAAUAGUUAAGUUACAAUUGAUGUGACAUUAAUUCAUUUUGGCUCCACUUUGAUUAUAAUAAUGAUUAAGAAAAGCAUUUCUAGGAUCAUAAUGUCAUGCUAUACAAUUAGUUCCAACAAUUUUCGUUUCAGGCAUUGGGGCUAUUGUUCUGUACAGCGUCCAGAGAAUUUUCAGAAACCAACUUUGAGCUACUCAACAUGAUAGGAAUUAUCCUGUUAGCAGUGGGUGAAGUUGGAGCGGCGCCUCUUUUGGGACCAUUUCUUGCCGAUCAAUUAAGAGAACAUGGUAAAGGAGGGAGAACAGAAAAUUCAAAUGAGGAUCAAGUAAUGGCUCAGAAAAGAGUGUGGUGGCGGUUUGCCUGGUGCUGUGGUUCAGCUGCGGCAUUCUAUGCAAAUAAUAUUAAGACAUGGAAGAAGACUUUCAUGUUCACAUUGUUGUUUAUGGGGGGCAGUUUGAUCCUCUUGUUGUUGGGUAUUCCCUUUUAUCAUAGUAGACAAAUACCUCCUAUUGACCGUUUUGCUAUAAUCCGCGUUGUUAAAACCUCCCUGAAGAAAAAGCAUCUCAAUUAUCCUCUUUCUCCGGAGCUGUUCUUCAGUAAUGAUGAGGGAAACGUAUUACACUUGUCACCAAGAAUCAAAUUACUCAGGUAUAUGCCCAACAUGUAUACACCCACACCCGGCCCGUGGUCUGGCAAAAUUGUUGGGGAGACCCUCUUAUUUUUAUUAAUAAUUAUAUAAACCUCUUUAUGGACACAUUAAUACCCUUUUGUGUUCGGGAAUAGUCACACCGACCUCCAAGAUUUGUCCAAAAGGGCGUAUUUAUAAACGCGUCUGUGUGAUCAUUUUGCCAAACCAUGAGCUGUCGCUUUCUCUUUUCCUAAAAAAUUACCAAUAAAUUAAUUCUUUGAAUUGCAGAUGGAUAGACAAAGCGGCAAUUAUAGAGACAUCAAGUACUUCUAACGAACAAGAAGAGGCAGGCACACUUUGCACUGUGGCCCAGGUCAGGGAGUCAAAAUCUCUUCUUAAUGCGUACAUGCAAUGCUUUCUAAAGUGAAACUGUCGCUUGAAAAUAGAAUUCAUGUUCAGCAGCCUCUCUCUAUCCGGGCUCCAAUUUUAUAACAAGGCAGCUAAAAAAGAUGAUUUAGAUGGCAUCGGCAUCUGUAGUAUCGUUUGUCUGUAGUCCCUCAUUAUCUACGAUCUGAUCGCUCCCUAUAGUAUUGUUUGCCUGUAGUCCCUCAUUAUCUACGCUCUGAUCACUCCCUAUGUAGAGAAUCGACAAGAGCAAAUUGAAGCACACGUUCACAGCACUAAUAACUGUUAAACUCUUAUAGUACUUGUCAAGCCUACUAUCAUCCAGGGUUUCAGCAAAGUCGCCUUUGUUUGCCAAAAUGAAAAAGAUGUUAAAAAUGCUUCCUAUUCCGACGAAAAAAUAACUUAUUGCUGAUACAUGGUACUCCAUCCGUUCAGGAAAAUGAGAGCUCGAGUAUUCAUCACAUCCAUACCAGGCAAGCCCUUCCAUAAGACCUAAUAGACAGAAUUGUGGAACAAGCCAAAACAUGCUCAUAUUUUCCAAUUGUUUGAGCUUUUCCAACCUGCGAACCUCAACCUGCCAUGCCACUACACAGCAAACUGUAGUCAUCACCAUUCCAAUAAAUGUUCUCAACACUUGAGCUUGUCUCUUUUUAGUUUUUGGAACAAAAUUGGAAAUUAAAUUUUUUGACAGAUAAGAGAUCGUUGCACGAAUUAUCCCUUUAAAAGUUCGUAGAAAGAUUAAGUAUCUUUCAGAAAUCAUGUUGGCUCCCUGCCCAGGAAAAAAUGUAUUUCCUGCUGACAGAACCAAUCCAAACACAAUGAAGCUAGACCACAAUGGCAACAAUUUAAGAAGAGAUUUUGACUCCCUGACCUGGGCCACAGUGCAAAGUGUGCCUGCCUCUUCUUGUUCGUUAGAAGUACUUGAUGUCUCUAUAAUUGCCGCUUUGUCUAUCCAUCUGCAAUUCAAAGAAUUAAUUUAUUGGUAAUUGUUUAGGAAAAAAGAAAGCGACAGCUCAUGGUUUGGCAAAAUGAUCACACAGACGCGUUUAUAAAUACGCCCUUUUGGACAAAUCUUGGAGGCCGGUGUGACUAUUCCCGAACACAAAAGGGUAUUAAUGUGUCCAUAAAGAGGUUUAUAUAAUUAUUAAUAAAAAAAGAGGGUCUCCCCGACAAUUUUGCCAGACCACGGGCCGGGUGUGGGUGUAUACAUGUUAGGCAUAUACCUGAGUAAUUUGAUUCUGGGUGACAAGUGUAAUACGUUUCCCUCAUCAUUACUGAAGAACAGCUCCGGAGAAAGAGGAUAAUUGAGAUGCUUUUUCUUCAGGGAGGUUUUAAUAACGCGGAUUAUAGCAAAACGGUCAAUAGGAGGUAUUUGUCUACUAUGAUAAAAGGGAAUACCCAACAACAAGAGGAUCAAACUGCCCCCCAUAAACAACAAUGUGAACAUGAAAGUCUUCUUCCAUGUCUUAAUAUUAUUUGCAUAGAAUGCCGCAGCUGCACCACAGCACCAGGCAAACCGCCACCACACUCUUUUCUGAGCCAUUACUUGAUCCUCAUUUGAAUUUUCUGUUCUCCCUCCUUUACCAUGUUCUCUUAAUUGAUCGGCAAGAAAUGGUCCCAAAAGAGGCGCCGCUCCAACUUCACCCACUGCUAACAGGAUAAUUCCUAUCAUGUUGAGUAGCUCAAAUUUGGUUUCUGAAAAUUCUCUGGACGCUGUACAGAACAAUAGCCCCAAUGCCUGAAACGAAAAUUGUUGGAACUAAUUGUAUAGCAUGACAUUAUGAUCCUAGAAAUGCUUUUCUUAAUCAUUAUUAUAAUCAAAGUGGAGCUAAAAUGAAUUAAUGUUACAUCAAUUGUAACUUAACUAUUGAGAUCUCUAGCAUUAUUUUUAUAAGGGUAAAGCUCCUAAUAUCCUCUUAUUAGGUAUGUGUGUGUGUAUAUAUAUAUAUAUAUUUUUUUUUUUUUUACAUGCUGUGAAAUUUAACAUUUACUGCAAAAUAAUAAAUUUUUAAUUUAGCCCAAAGUACUAUAAAGUCCUGGGUCCGCCCCUGAAUAUAUAUAUUGCUUGCAAUGAUAGACAUAUGUUUUAAUUUCGUCUCUGUUUAGAAGUUUAGCAAAUUCAAAACAUAUUAACUUACAAGGAUGUAGGAGACAGUUGAAAAAAUGAGGAUUCUGAGAGGACGAAUGGCAUAACACGAAAUCCAGGCGGCAACAACCGUAAGAGUUGCUAAUAUUACAUCCUGAAUACUCGUAAAUAUUGCAGCUUUCUGAAGUGUGAAUACUUUUGAAUAUUCGGAGUUGGAGAAGUAAGUUAUCAAGACGCCCACUAUAGCCAAGUCUACGAGUUUGCGGCUUAUCAACAAACCUGGAAUCAAAAUAAUCAUUAGAAAAAAUGUUCGUGCUCACUAAAAAAAGCUUACACAUGAGGACUGCAAGAACAACGUGAGAGAACUAUUGUCAUGUUUUAUAAUUUAGCCCAACCUAAUCAAAGAUCUUAAGUACACCUCUCUUAACUGAAAUUAUUCUAGGGGAUUAUCUAUUUAGGAAUCUCAAAGUUCAUGAGCUCUUAAUACAUACACACAUACAUAUACAUACAUACAUCAUCAUGUUGUUAAAGUAAUGAUGUUAGUAAAAUACAAAAAAAAUAUAUGUACAUGUAUUAAAUUGUAUGAUUUAACAGAAUUAGUACAAAUAAAUAAAUUACAUGAUUUUGUAGUGCAUUGAAAAUUAAUUUUAUUAAACUAUACAAUUUACUAGUGUGUCUCCAUUAAAAAAAAUAAAGACCCUCAUAUAUAUAUAUAUAUAUAUAUAUAUAUAUAUAUGUAUACAAGUUUAUGUUCUGAAUAAAUACAUUUUUAAAAGAUAGGAUUACCUAAGGCCCCACACGCAAAAUUACCUGACAGAAAUGCAGCAGCCUUACAAAAGCAGACGUAAUAUCGUACCCAAGUUAUGAACCUGUUUUGAAGCUUCAACAGCUGAGAAAAUGGAAACAUUGUAGUUUCUGAAACUGCUUUUAUCUGCAAAGACUUCUACUUGUGAGUUGUGAAUCCCGAGACGAUGAAGAUUUUGUAAUUAUGCCAAAGUCUUUUAGGUAGUUUAUUCAAAUUAAAAAAUAAUAAGUCGCACUUCAAGACCACCUAUUGGUCACAUCAAGACCACCAUUUGGUCACAUAAGUCUUCUUUUUUUUCUUCUAACUUUAAUCCAGCUAGUCAGCUACGGUCCAACAGGUGCACCGUGCCCUCUUUUUGACAGCACCCCUUACUUUCUUCUAUAUUUACAGUUUAUUAAAGUAAUUUCUUUUUCCUCUUUCUUUCACCCCUCACCUUUACAAUCUUCCAAUUUUUUCCAUUUUCAAUUAAACCUGUAAUCAACCAAUUGCAAGCAAUAAGAAAAAAGUUGGCAAGCUAUUUGCUCUAUAAUACACAAGUAAUUAGGGGUGGGCAAAAUACCCGACCCGAUCCGACCCGAAAAAUUUCAGGUUCGGAUUGGAUCGGGUUAUUAAUAUAAUCCGAUCGGAUGAAAUAUUACAAACCCGAUCGGGUUGUGAUCGGAUCGGAUAAAACCCGAUCCGAUCCGAAAACCCGAUCGGGUUGCUAAAAAAAAUAUAUAUAUAUCUAUGGCCAAACACACACACACGGCACACAGCACACCACACAUAAUCACACAAAUCAGUGAAAUCACAUACUCAAAAGGUUACACUUUACAGUUUACACAAACACAAAACACACAAAAACAAAAAAAUCACAACACCCAACCCGUGAACCCACCCUCAAGAAGCAAGAAAACAUUCUCUCCUUCCCGCAAUCUGCUGCUGCCGUGUUGCGAGUCCGGCCAUCUGCUGCUGCGUCAGCGAUCUGCUGUUGCCGUGCUGUUGUCAUGCUGCUGCCGUGUUGCGUCCAGCCAUCUACUGCUGCGUCCACGAUCUGCUGCCGCCGUGCUGCGUCCACGAUCUGCUGCCGCCGUGCUGCGUCCAGCCAUCGCGAGGAAACUGCUGCUGCGUCCACGAUCUGCUGCCGCCGUGCUGCGUCCAGCCAUCGCGAGGAAACUGCUGCGCGUCCAGCCAUGCGCAAGCUGCUGCUGCACGCCCACCGAUCUGCUGCCGAAAACCCAGCCGCCGAUCUGCUGCUCCAAGGCUCAAGCUCCAACCCGACCCGAGUUUCUCCCUUAGUCCCUUAUGUGUUUUGAAUUUUGAAGCUUUCAUGGUGUAUUGGUAUAUAUGUUUUGAAUUGACCCGUUUAAUUUGACCCGAAUUGGUUUAAUUUGACCCGAAUUUAAUAUGAUCCAUUUUUAAUUCGAACCGAUUCAACCCAAAUUCAACCCGAUUUUUUACCCGAUCCGAACCGAUCCGAAUAUAUAUCGGAUCGGAUCGGGUCGGGUUGUAAGUUCGGGUUGUAUUCGGAUCAAUGUUUGCACAACCCGAAUAACUCGAAACUCGAUCGGGUUGACCCGAACCCGAUUUUGCCCACCCCUACAAGUAAUAAUGAAUUGAAGUUUUUAUAUAAAAAAAUUACAUAGAUGUAAUUUUUUUACGCACACUAUUUAUCAUCUACAAUGAAAUUAACAUGUAAGUAAAUUUAUUUUUUUAUCUUUUAUUAUAUGUAUUCUUCCCCUUUCUCCCCCGUAUGUCUUUUCAUUUUCUCUUUGAAUAAUCUAACCUAAGGCUUUCUAAUAAUUGGUUUAUUGUUAUUAUUUUUAUAAGUAAACCUUCUCUUUGUUAUGUCAAUAGGUUUAUUUUAUAAAAAAAAAUUCGUAAAUGACCAAAAGUGAGAACCUUAAUAAAAAUUCAAAACCUAUCUUAGUUUUUGUUGUCUUUGUUGAUGCAUCUUGCAUGUUUGAUGUCUUAAUUAUAACUUGUGAGAGUAAGUACUGUAAUACAAUGAUGAUUAAUGAUUAUUACUAAGAGUAUUCAGAGAAAAAGAAGUUGGUGUAAAAUUUUAUAAACUUUGAGUUUUCUAAAUUUUCACUAAACAAUAGGGAUUGCAUUAUUAAUAACUAAAUAAACACAUCCAUAACCUUGAAACUACAUUUGUGUAAGUUCUUUCUCUUUGUAAUGGUUACGAAGACUGACAAUUUUCUAUUGAAGUUAUUUAUACAUGUAUUUCUUUUUCAGCAUGUAAUACAUUUAGGAAAUGAGUAAUGAUUAAGUACAAACACUUUUAGAUAAACAAUGUUGUACGAACUUAUGUGAUAUUUUUUAGAAAAAAGGAUCUGAACAUCCUUAAGAUUUUAAAAAAUGGUCAUUUAUACUUUGAGUUUUCAAUACAGAACAUCAAGACACUUUUUUACUAUAGUAUUCUUAAUAGAUAAUAACAAAAAUUAUUGAAUUUAAACAUUUUAAUAAAUAUAAAUAAAAUUUAAAUAGUUUAAUAUGUCUAGUAGACUAAUAAUAUUAGAAAUUUCUAGUAGACUAAUAAUAUUAGAACAUUUCUUAAUAUGUAAAUAAUUUUUAAAAGAUAAAUUAGUAUAUUUAUUUUAAUAAUAUAUUUUUACUUAUUAUAAAAAUUGUAAAUAAAUCUUUAGGUUAGAUAGAUUUUAAAUUUAAUAAAAUACAUGUCAUGUACUAAUAAUAUUAAAACUAUUUUAUAUAAUAUUGAAAAUAAUUUAAAUUUUAAAUUUUAAUAUUAUCUUUCGAUUUAUUUUGAAAUUUAGUUUAAUAUAAUUUAAUGUUGUAAAGUAUUAAAAUAUUUUAAAAAUAUUGAAAUUAUUUUAAAAUGUAUAUAUUGUUACAUUUAUUUUAAUAUUAUACUUCUAUUUAUUAUAAAAUAUUAAAAAUAAUAUUUUAAUUAAAAGGGAGUUUUGGUGUCUCUUACUGAAAAAUAGAGUGUACAUAAUCAUUUUUUCAAAUUUUAAAGGGUGUACAUGUCAUUUUUCUUACUUUUUUAUAAUCAAUUGAAUAAAAAAAAAGUCAUCUGGCCACAUAAAUUAUUUCUAAUUUAUAUUUUCAAUCAACAAAUCAUAAUGUGUCAUAUCUAUUUGUAUAAGCAUUUAUGAACAUAAAAAAUUAAGUUUAGGCACUAGUCGGGUUGGAAAUCAACUCAUCCAAACCCAUGUAUAGUGCUAGUUGGGUGAGUUGGACUUAUCUCGAAGACCCAUUUUCUGUCUUUGAAAUAUCAAUAUGAAAUUAAAAUAAUUAAAAAAUAAUUUAAUUGAAACAACUAAAAAUAGAAUACAAAAUUACAAAUAAUAACUAUCCCUGAAACUUCAUUGUUAAUAAAAAUAAUUAUUUGUAUAGGAUCCUAAUUACACCAUAAAAAGUAAUAGGAUGAAUUCAAGAGUUGGGUUUGAAAAUUUUCAACACCUAGUAAAUAUAGUGCAUUUUCUCCACCCCUAUGAAAUUAGGGGUUGGCUUUCUACUUGAUUUUAAGUAGAGAAAAUGAUCAAUCCUACCUUAUUGUUUGUUGAAACUAUAGGGUGAAUUUAAGAGUUGGGUUUGAAAGAUGCAAUAUGUUCAUAUGUAUAUAUGAACAUAUUGCAUCUUCACUAUCUUAUCCCCAGAAUUUUUGCACCAAAUCAUGGUACAAGAAUAAAAAUUCGCAACUCGAAUCAACAAAGUAUAUCACUUAAGUUAUUCUGCAAGCCGCCAAAUUGGAAAAUGUCCCAAAUAAUUAAUUAACCACAUCGACUUGAUAGCUUAACUUUUUCCAACGCUGAGAGUCCUUCAUUCUUCCCUAUUGAGGAUUGGUUAUUGUAAACGUCUGUUGGAGUAACAUGGGGAUAGUGCGGAUGAUUUUUUUCGGAUAGCAACUAUUUAAUUGGACCAUAUUGUCUCGAGCAACUGUUGUUCAUAUAAAAAACUUCCAAUUGAAAUCGUUGAGCCUCGCCUUCUUGACAACACUCUGUGAUAGGCACUCUUGAACGCGACACUGGUAAUUAGCUGCAUAAACAUAUAAAAGAACACUAUAAUUAAGUUAUAUGAUGGAUUCAUAAUAGUCAAAGUUGUGCAUAACAUCUACUUGCCUGCAUCAUGUAGCCUAAGUUUACAACUAGAGCCCCGGAAACUGGGGUAAUAUCAAACCAUUGAUCUUCACAAAAGACUUGGAGGCCACAAUUCGAUCUUGUAUGAGCAUAGUGACAAAUCCAGGGUCAGAACGUAUUGUUACGCCAAUUGUCAAUUUCGGAUGAGGGCUAUCUGGGUAGUGACUAUUCCUAAUAGUCAUUUCCUCUACAGAACCUGUGUCUUUCAGGUAACUGGGGCCAAACCCUAAAGCUUCAGACAAAAGUUCAAACAGAGUGAAUUAGCAAUUGACGUUGUUGGAGAAAAAUCAAUUUUUAUUUUUUUUAAAAAAAAAACUUUUUAGAGUCGAUCUCAUAUAAUAUAUAAGAAUUCAUAAUUUAGAAAUUAUACCUUGAAAAUAUGAGAAAAUGAACAAUCUUUGCUUUUUCUACUGAAGUGAAACAAGGCUCCCAUAUCACGAUUUGUCACCACCACACCUGUUAGAUUACAAUCUGUCACCACCACGCUUGUUAGAUCACGAACUAUCACCAAUGAUUUUCUAGAUUAUGACUCAGGUUUGAUCUGCACUUGACGUGUGGGUGCUUUUAUCACUACCAAUAGCAACUAGUAUGAGAAAAAUUUUCUCUCAAGAUUAAAGAGAAAAAUUCUUUUUCUCUUAUCUGUAUAAUGUGGCCUUAUAUCUUUUCAAGAGAAAAUAAGCCCUUUUAUAUCUUAUCUAGUGGAAAUCCUAAGCUCUAUAUUUUUUAUUUUUUAAUUCUAUUAACACAAGGCCCCUUACACAUAAGCAUAUUACAUGGAGCCUCCCACUAAAUAAUAUAUUUAGGCUUUUAACCCAAAUAGCUAGUUAUUUUACUUAUUAAUCCAGUAGCGGCGCAGUCAAUUAAAUGAGCUAACCCAAAUAUCAUUUGAGAACAUACAAUAGUGGCUACAAUAAUUAGGCAUGUAAUCAAACUAGCCCAAUUAUUUAAUUCUAAAUCUACUCCACUAAAAGAUUGGAACUGACCUCCACAAUUGUAUGCUUGAAUAAUAAUUCAUCCCAAACAACAUUGAUUUCUUUACUGCACAAUCUUUUGUACCACAUCAUUAAUUAAAUUGAUAUCUCACCUGUCCAAUCAAUUUAACUACAUUUUGUUCCUUGAUUCUUACUGGUUUUCUCUAAUGAUCAUUUUCAACAUACUAAAUAUGUCGACACACUCUGACCAAAGAAUUCUAUGAUCAAGUGCCGAAAACCCAUCAAGAGAUGUGUUGUACAAAUUCUAUAUUGUCAAUUUAUAACUCCAAUACUCAUAAUUGGUCUCAUCAAGAUACCGGAUAAUCUUGACUACAAGUAUGUGUCGUGCCCAUUGGUAAUUCAAAUGGAAUAACAAUUAUAAUCAUGAAAUCAUAAUUAACUCAAGAUUAAGAUUGCAGUAAAAUCCAUGUCUAUGAGAUUUAAUAAGUCUGACAGUAAUUACAAAGUUAAUUAAAUCUCAUAUGUUAUCUUGUUCAAUGUAGUCUUACUACAUCAAUAAAUUUUUACAUGAAUAAGACAAAUCAUUCAAUGAAUUCAUUACAGUCUAUACCUAAAUAAAGUGCCCAACUUUAUUUAUCAACUGCGAAUUAAAUUUAUUUAAUCAUAAGAUAACUUGUAUUUAUGUCUUCUGUAAUCCACAUGGUGAUUCUUGUGCAAAUUUAUUGAACUCGCAAGUGCACGAAUAUAUUGUAGAAUAGAUUAAUGGUGACAAGUGUCGAUCCCACGAGAAAGUGGAUUUUAAUUAUGUGUAAAUUUAAUUUUCUAUGAGGGUGGUUGGAUUUGUGGUGAAAAUGAUUUGGAAUAUUCUAAACAUUAAAUUAGAAUGGCAGGAAUAAAUUAAAGCAAAAUCUAUUGAAAUAAAGCACUUGGGUAUCUGGAUCUGCAUUAACAUGCACCAUGUGCUAAAUAUUCCUUAGUAAUGCCAAUUAAAUCAUGAGGGGGGUUUCUACUCCUCAUGAACCACACUCUAAUCAAUAUGGUGUUAAGGACUUAUUGUGGCAAACAAUAAUAACCUUGUACUAGGGAGUCGGUUAAAUCAGCGCAGUAUCCAGACAAGAUUAUUACUAUUUGUCGACGAAAAGUCAAAAUAUCAAUAAUAAUUAGAGGAGAAGAGAAAGUAAAUUUACUAAAUAAAGCCCACGACACAUGUUGAGACUUCACCAACCCAAACUUGAAAGAAAAUUAGCUACUUAUAAUUGAACUAAGGGUAAAAUGAGAAUUUAUUAAAAUACAUAGAAAAUACAAGAUGGAGAAUGAAUUACAGAAAAUAGGCUCAAAAAUGAAUUCAAAAAUGCCAAAUUAGGGAGGAGCCCCCCUUUUAAUAGAUACACUGAGUAAAUCAUGGCCAUCAUAUUAAAAACAUUUUGGACGCUCAAGAUUGCGCCACGUCAUCGGUCAACAGUACGUGGUUUGGUUGUAAAUAAUCUCGUGUAUAUGCAUGUACCGUACGCACUAUUUUUGAUCCACUAACAUGCUGCCACGUCACAGAUCAACAGUACAUAAGAAUUUUAGUCUAAUAAAAUCGUGACAUCUCAUCAGUCAAUACCACAUCAUCAGUCAAUGCCACGUCAUCGUUUUGUAUAUGUGAAUAGUGUCGUGAACAGUAACAUGGAUAGUAUCGUAUCUGUGAAUAGUACCGUACAUGUGAACAAUUCCAUUUUUCCUUUUAAACUCCUCCUAAGAUUUUCGACUGUCCUGAUCUCAAAAGUGAUGUCUGUUUUGCUGUAUGAUCUCUCGUUCAUUGUGAAAUGACCAUGAUGCCCCUAAAAUACAUAAAAUAUUUAAUUAUAAUAUAAUACACAUAAUUAAAUCACAAGGAACUUAAAUACAUAAAAGUAUGAAUGUUAGUGAAACUUGAAGUGUAAAAUGACGAUUUUCUCCUUCAUAAAUAUACACUUUCUAACACUCAAAAGUGAUCACAUAAAUACAUAUAAUAUGAUUAAAUGGACUUUAAUCAAAAUAUUAAUGCAAUUAAGAUAUUUGAAUAAAAUACCUUAUUUAUUUUAUUAAUCAGAAAAAUUAUUUAUUACAAUUAAAUAAACACUUAUGCUUUUAAAGAGCAUAUUUUCCCAACAGGCGUAUCUCAUAAAGGCAACUUCGGUGGUUGAGGUAUCCUGCCGUGCAACACUGUAUCUCUUAUAGUCAACUUUUACGACUUGGACAAUUUGUAUUUUACCGAUUGUCCAUUGAAUUAAUUUGUUUUUGCUGAAAAUGAAUAUUAAAAAAAGAUUAAAAUAAAUAAAAUUAUAAAUAAUUAAAAUCACAGAUUGUCCCAAACCACCAAUAAAACCUCUAAAACUAAAAUUAUAAGCUCCUCCGUAAGAUCCACCAUUAUAUUUCUUAUUACCACUAGCAUUCUUUCAAGGAUUAAAAUGGUUUUGAGUUACAUUAGCUAACAAGUUAUGUGUGACAUCACUAGCAAUUUUACCUCUUGUCUGUUCAACUCUAUUCUCCUGAUUUAGCAGUAAAGAGUAAAAUUCAUCAAGACUGAUCUUAUCACCUCCAGCUAACACACUGAUAACUAAAGACUCAUAAUCAGAUGAAUCUAGUCUAGUCAAAAUAUAUUGAACAAAAUCACUUAACUCAACAGAUUUUCUAGCUAAAGCCAGACUGUCAGACAAUCUCUUCAUUUUAACAAAGUAAUCAAUCAUAGACAUUGAUCUUUUUUUGAGUGUUUGAAUAUGCAUCUUAAAGGCAUUAUUCUAGCUUGAGAUUGUAAAGUAAACAUACUUGUGAGUGUAUCCAAAAGCUCUUUAGCAAUGGAGCAAUGAACGAUUGUAGCGAGUAGAUUUUGCUGAAUAGAUGACAACAUCCAACUCAAAACUAAUUGAUCUGUCUUCAUCCAGGCUGUGUAUGCUGGAUUGACCUUUCGAUUUUCAGUAAUAGUUGAGGACCAACUUCAGUGCUAGCUGGUGUGAGAAAUUACUCCGAACAAGUUUGAUCACCAUUAAUGAAAUUAUCCAGAUCGUUUCCUUUGAUGGAUGUUAAAACCUGAGUUUGUCAGACAAUGAAAUUAUUAUGAUCUAGCUUAACAGGAUUGAUAAAACUAUAGGAUCCAGAAAAUUGAUUAGAACUGACCAUUGUAGGCUCUGAGAUCAUGAUAGAAUUUGUAAUAUAUAUGUCUGGAAAGCAAGAAAAUUAAGGAGAAAAAGAUAGAAAGAAAAGAAGAAGAAUUUAGAAUAUGUUAAUUGUUCAUUACAUUACAAAUGUGAUUAUAGCCUUUGUAUUUAUAUUAAGUGAAAUGCUUAACUAUAAUUUGUUAUAACUGGAAUAGGUGCUAAACAGUUCUUUAGCUAGAAGGCUGAGAUGGCUAACUAAUUAUUCCACGUUAGCAAGAGCACUCAUGUAUGGUCCUCAUCCGUACUGUAAUUAUCAUACUCUGUAACAGUUCUUCUACAUCUUCUUGCUCUUCAGGACCAAGUGUACUUCGUGGGUCUAUAAUUGCUGCUUUGUCUAUCUAUUUGCAAUUCAAAGAAUUAAUUUAUUGGUCAUUUUUUUAGGAAAAAAGAUAACGAAACAUAGUUGUUUGGUAAAAUAGUCAUGUGAACUCUUUCUUCAAAACAUAUAUAAAAACAAACCUUGGAGAUCAGUAUUGUCUAUGUGAUAAUUUCUAAAAAUAAGAGGUCUAGCUGACAAUUUUUUCAAACCAUGGGAUGUUGGUAUAUACUCUUUAAGUAUGUACCUUAGUAAUUUGAUUCUAGGUGACAAGGGUAAUUCAUUUUCAUCAUCUUUACAGGAGAAUUGAUCUGCAAAAGAAGGAAAAUUUAGAUGCCUUUUCUUCAGGGCAGCUUUAAAAAGACAGAUUAUAGCAAAACCGUGAAUAAGAGGUAAUUGUUUACUAUGGUAAAAGGGAAUACCCGACAGCAACAAGGCCAAACUGCUCCCAUAACCAAUAUUGUGAACCUCAAAGUCCUCCGUCAUGUUUCCAGAUUAUUUGCAGGGAAUGCUGCAACUACAUUAUAACACCAGGCAAGCUGCAGCUAUACUUCUUUUUGAGCCUUUACUUAUUUCUCAUUUGGAUUUUUUGUUCUCCCUUCAUCACCAUGUGCUCUUAAUUGAUCGACAAGACAUGGUCCUAAAAGAGGCCCCAUUCCAAAGUCACCCACUGCUAACAAGAUCAUUCCUAUUACGUUGUGUACUUCAAAUUUAGUUUCUAAGAAUUUACUGGACGCUGUAUAAUACAAUAGCCUUAAUGCCUCCAACAACAAUAGUCGGAACUAAUUGUAUGGCAUAACAUUAUGAUCCUAAAUAUGCUUCUUAAUCAUUACUAUAGUUAGGAGCGGAACAAAAUUGAGAUUUAGGGGGCCAAGUGUAAUUAAGGUAAUUAUUUCAGGAUUAGAGAGUAUUAGUUAUUUUCUGGGGUUAGGGGAUGGGGUUCACGUUUAUGAAGCCACCAUAUAAAGAAAAACAACUAGUUUGAAAGUUGAAAUUACAAAUUUAUAUAGUGUGAGAUUAUUUCAACCUACUAAAAUAUAUGUUAUUUUAAAGACUAAUGAGCUUGCGGCUUUGAAAAGGUUGGAAUGUUAUUUGGUUGGAGAGGGACUCGGUUUCAACUUUAACUUGUCUUACGAGUACCAAAUUCAAGCCGUCGUAGCAUCUGCAUAUCAUAUAGUUGAAUUGUUUGAGAGCCUAAAAGUCAAAUAUUGUGGAUCAUAUCAAAUGCCAAAUGUUGGAUAAUCUUUUCCAAAUGUUGGAUAACAAGAAAAGGGUUGCACACAAGACCGCUGACUGAAAAUAGAAAUAAUUGGACAAAUAAAGCCCAAACCACAACUCAUCAUAAUCUUUGUGUUACUAAUGGAAGCUAAAAGCACCUGAGUUAUCAACUAUUCACAUUUUCUAUUAGAUACUGAUGCUUGAUACAUUCAUCAUGAUAUCCAGAAACAAUAAAAUUAAGCUAGUACAAAGAUAUCUAAAUGAAGAUGAUAAUAUCAUAGGCAAAAUAUGGUCCAAUUGAUUAGGAAAAUCAAGCUAAGGUAAUUUUUUUUUAUACUAAAUGCUUAAUUAAAAAGACAUCAUUAUAUGUUUUAUACAUGCACAAAUUGUCAUUUAUUUGAGGCAUGUCUAAUAUUUAGUAGAGUGACAAAUAUACUUGAAAAUGUAUAAAAAUUAUCAAAUAAUAUGUGAGAAAUAUAGUUAUUUUUGUUGUAAUAUUAAUGCAAUAAACUUUUAUUGUAUCAUAUCGGCAUGUUUAAAGAGGAAAAAAAAAACUCAGAGACUCAAAAAUUCCAAACUUUAAUGUGUAGCUGGCAUUUAUUUGUAGGCUCAAUUGAAGUACAGAAGUCACAAUUCCAAACAACAAACAAGCUAUCAUCACUAAUCCACCAAAUUGGAAAACAUCCUCAAUUAAAUUAACCACCGCGCCUUUCCAGCUUGAGUUUUUCCAAUGCUGAUAGUCCUUCUAUUGAGGAUUGGUUAUUGUAAAUAUCUUUUAAGGUAAUUUCAGGAUAGAGCGGAGGAUUUUCUUCGGAUAGCAACUCUUUAAUUGGACCAUAUUGUCUCGAGCAACUGUUGUUCAUAAAAAAACUUUCGAUUGAAAUUCUUGAGCCUUCCUUUUUUGAUAACACUCUGUGAUAGACACUUUUGAACUUGUCAUUGGUGAUUAGCUGCAUAAACACACAAUAAAAAAAUCCACUAUAAUUAAGUUACAUGAUGGAUUAAUAAUAGUCAAAGUGAUGCAUAACAUGUACUUGCCUGCAUCAUGUAACCGAAGUUUACAACUAGAGCUCCGGGAACAGGGGUAAUUACGAUAUGCAGUUUCCUAAUUUAACUCAUGCACGCUCGAGGCUUUUGUUUACCCUAGUUUUCAGUAUAAAAAGAGGCGCGCAUCACAUAAUACGGCGGCAAAGAAUUAUCAUUAGAAAAAUUGGAGAGAAAAAGAAGAAGAAGAUCAUAAUUCAAGGGAACAGCUGCAACAUCAUUGAAGAAUCCAGCAGAGUUAUUUGGAUUCACUUUUUGUCGUUCUCGACUUAUACCUUUCUUCUUUCUCUAACUAAUCUAAUGUAUCUCAUGAACAAUAUGUUGCUGAUUGUUUAUCUCUUUCAGAAUAUGAACUAAACUCGCUUGUAUUUGAGUGACAAACAAUCUAAUGGGUUCUUGACUGUUCUUAUGAGUUGCUAUGUCAUUGCUGUAGCAUUUUACUCUAGUAGCUAUUAUUAUAACUGUUAUUUCGGUUGACCACCCAUUUAAUGGUUCAAGUUAAGAUAGGACCAUAAAAGGGCAUGUCUUACUGGAUAUUAUUAUAGUAAUACUUGAUCUUAAUUUAAGUUUCCUAGAUUACGUUUAUCUUGAAUCCCAUAAGGGCUAUACUUAAAGUUAAGAUUUGUGAUAAACUAGACAUAAGUAUUCACCUUGUAGGGUGGAGAGAAUGGAUGUUCAUAAUAUCAUGCCAUAGGUAAAAUAGCAACUGGCCAUUGUUAAGAUGUUUACGGGUAUGAGACUUCCAAUAUGCGACAACUGAGGAUGCAAAUUAAAUUAUGUCCAGUGCUAUAGAAAUUAUUGUAGCAACUGGUGUUAACUUGAUGAAAAGCAGUUAACCCAUAAAAAGAGUUUGAUCAUUCAACUACCUUAUUCUCAUUUGAUUCUUCGACGCAUUUUAUUUAAUUUGUUUCAUUACUACAUUGUUUAACUUUAUUCUCUCACAAUUAUCAAUUUCAAUAGUAACCAACUUUACAUUUGUUAAUUUAGGAAUUAAGUUAGAUUACACUAUCAUGAUUGCUGUAGCAUUUCUAGUAAUAUCAAUCCUUGUGAAGACGAUCUUAAAUAUUCAUCACUUUAUUACUUGUUCUGUACACUUGCACAUUGACAUAAAUAAAAUUUGAUAAAAAAUACCAACAAUGAGAUAGGGGUAAACUUCAGGAUGUGCUGCGCUUUUUAAUUGUUGUGUAGAUUCUUUUGAUUCCUAUCUCUAGUGGAGAACCAGAUGUGAUUUUGUGAGACCUUUCUCCUGAUGGUAGUUUUUCUUUGAGGACUGCUUCAAAUAUUGUGCAUUGGACAAUGCCAAGUGAUGAGGCUUUUUUUGUUAUUUGACAGCGACAUCUUUUCCUGGAUAUCUUUUUUUCUCUAGAGGUUGUGACACAAAUUCUUGACCACAGAUGAUGCCUCGUGUUCGGGGGAUUUCUGCAUAGUUUCUUAGUAUCUUUGUGGUCGGGCUUAUGAGACUUCUAGGUAUUUUCUUUCUUGGUUGCCCUCGAGUUAGGCCAGUUUGGGUCCAUUUUCUAUGUACUCUUGGUUUGCGCUAUGUUGCUUUUCUAUUCCCCCGCACUUUAUUUUUUAAUUGGUAGUGAUGUGCCCUUUCUUGGAGCCAUAUUCGAGUUCUUCUUCCUUGUUUCAUUUUGUGGCGAGUUUAGAAGGCCUGUAAUGCAUUGAAGUUUGACUCAAUGGCCUUUUUUGUUGAUGCUGUUAUUUAUUGGGCAAUGUUGGAUCUUAGGCUUGCUGGUUCUGCCUUUGGUCUUAAACCAUCCCAACUGUGAGGAGUUCUAGGUUCUCGAUUUGCAAAGUUCUUGAGAGUUGUUGUUUCAUCCAAGAGGCUGAUUCUUUUAGUUUUUUGGCAGUGGUCACCACCUGGGGCGGUGAAGCUGACUAUUGAUGGUUGCUUUAGGAGUAAUCCUAGGAUGGCUGCUUCAGAUAGUAUUUUACGUGAUGAUUAGGGUGUGGCUUUGGCUGCUUUUGGUUCCUUCCUUGGGCGCUCACUGAUCUUUCAUGCAGAAUUCAUGGCUGUUUUUUAGGGGUUAGAGUUGGUGCUCAGCUCCAUUAUUCUGUGCUUGACGUAGAGUUGGACUCAACCAUGGUGGCUUCUUGGAUUCUUUUCUAAGGCCUUGUUCAUAUGGACUAUACCUAUUCUUUGCAUCGGGUGUGUAGUUUGACAUUUUCUUCUACUUCGUGGUUAGUCAUGUGCUUCAGAAGGUUACUUCUACUGCUGAUUUCUUUGGCCUGCACUCUUCAAGGUCAUUUGUGUUUCUUGGGUUCUCAAGAUAUAUUUGCUAGCUUAUCUAAUAAUCUCUGUUUGGAUAUGUGGGUAAUUUCUCGUAUCAGGCAAUAGGAUUGCUUAUUUAUGUAUUCCAUUUUUUAUCUUGUAUUUUUCUCUUUUCCAUUCUUAUGUUCUUGCAAUUGCGGUUUUGAUUUAUAUUCACCUCCUUAUGUAUUUGAUUCAUUCUAUGAUUUAUAUGAAAGAUAGGAGUUCCACCUAACCCCACCUUUUUGUGGUUAAAAAAAAAAAGAUCAGGAAUUCAACCUAGAUCAUCAAGGUGAAACAUCAAAUAGGUUGUAAAUUUAACAUAUGAACGUAAAAGCUUAACAAAACAUUUGAAGUUGCUUGACAACAUAGAAAUACAAGCAAAAAGAGAUGCUAAACAACACAAAAUUUUGAUUGGGUGGGAGUAUUGUUCAUGCUAGCAUAAUAAUGAGGUGCUUGAGAAUACCUAAGACUUUCUUGAUAAAUAAUAUCAUCUAAAAGGUUAGGAAUCAUAGAUAAUUGUCCACGUAUGAACAAACCUAGCUCAAAAUGUGAAAUGUGUUAAGAUUUUCAAACAUUUAAAUCAAUAGUUAAUAAUUUCAGACAAAGGAUUCUUGGAGACCUUAAAGUUCACUGAUUCUAUCUUAUGGCUCAUUGUCUCUCUCAACAAUUUAAUUUCUAGAUUAUUUGGCUCCUAUCUAUUAAAAGACAACACCGUUACUAAAAUUAUAAAUUAUAACAGUUAAACCUAAACCUACGUCGUUUAGCAAUUUACGAAAGAAAAAAAUAUAACAAAAGCCAAUUGUUGGAGUAGCAACGUGCCAACGAGAAAACCUCAAGCCAUGUAAUAUCAUGUGUCAACAACUAAAGAAGAACAAACCACCACCCUCUAGGUCGUCGCUGCACUAACGCUGGGCCCGAUUUGAAUAGUUAGAAGUUGUAACAUUAAUUAGGGAAUGAGGGCAAAAUUUUGGACUUCGAUUUAAUAAAAUUGAUUUAAAUGAGUCCCAAUAGAAAUAUGAUUAUAAAUAUAUCAAUACAAUUAUGACAUGUUUAAAAGAAAAAAAUUAUUUUCACACAAAACAAAAAACACAACCCUUGGAUGUGGGAUGUGUCUAAAAAAUAAUAGGGUGGAAAUAUUAUCACCCUCAAAUUAGAUAUAUAAAUAUUUAAUGUUUUACUCUUAUAAUUUUAUAAUUGUUUUUUUAAAUAUUAGUAAGAGAAAGAUAGAAAUUAAUAUAUAGACAAAUCGAGUCCUUUAUUUUAUUAUUCAUAUCCAUAAAAAGUAACCACUAUGCUAGUCCCACGAACUUAGCAUAAGACGGUAAUUUAGAAAAAAGAAAAAAAAAGGAACGUUUUAGACACCAAAACAAAAGCAAAACAAGCACAAAGCGAGACAUACAAACAAAUUUUAUGCUACUGCAUAGGGGUGUUCGCGGAUCGGAUUUUAUGGAUAUGAUAUCAAUCCAUAUCCGAUCCAUGAUUUUGCAGAUUAUAAUUUUUCAAUCCAAUCCAAUACACAGAUUGAUAAAAUUCAAUCCAAAUCCAAUCCAUACAUCUGCGGAUCGGAUGCGGAUUUGACUCAAUCCAUAUGCAAUCCACCAUUUUGCGCAUUAGUUUUCGAAUUAAAAAUUUUUAGUUCUCUCCAACUAAUGAAAUAAAAAAAAUCUAAUAUAAAAAUAAUUUUGCUACUAAUUAAAUUUAAAAUUGAAUAAAAUUUAAAUAAAUUAAUUGUUUAAAUAAAGCUAAAAUAAUAUAUUUAAAGUUUUAAAAUAUAACACAUCGAGACUAAUUAUUCAAAUAAAGCUACAAUAAUACGUUCAAAGUUUCAAAAUAUAACACACAAAGCUUAAUUGUUCAAAUAAAGUUACAAUAAUACGUUAAUAUAACACCGAAAUUAAUUGUUCAAAUAAAGCCACAAUUAAUUGAAAAUGGCGAAGUUUUGGAAACCAAACACAGUUUGAUCCUUCACCAGGGCUGUUGUGCCUGUCGAAAAGUGGUGAUUACGGAGCCAUCCACGAUGGGAACCAGGAGAAGCCGUACGGGUGGCGAUUUUGAAGGUUGUGAUUGUGAAAUUGUUCAAUUGGAACCAAUGAAUGUGAAGUGGCUCGAUGGACUUGGGAAAGAAGAUGGCUUGCUCUCGCCAGAAUCGUGCAGCCGAUGUCCUUUAAAUCCGUGUCGAGAGUGUAUCCAACCAGUAUUAAGUGUUGUUAGUGUGUAUGACGGCGGGAAAGUUUAGGGUUUUUUGUUUGUAAAUUGGUUGUAACUUUACGUUAUGUUACUUUGCUUUUGCUAGUGCGUGUGACUUUGCUUUUAUUUUGUUUUACAAUUUUUACAAGUUAUAUUUGUAUAUUUGAUUAUUUAAUUAUUUUUCAUUUUAUAUUAUUAUUAGGUAAUGGCUAAGAUAUGUUAUAAUGUUUAGUAACUAUGUAAUGUCAUAUUUAUAAUUUUUUAAUUAUAUAUAUAUAUAUAUAUUUUGCGGAUUCAUGGAUUUCUGCGGAUUUACAGAAGUAAAUCCAUAUCUAAUCCAUCGACUGCGGAUUUUUAAAUUUUCAAUCCAUAUCCAAUCCACCAAUCCACGGAUCGGAUUUAUACGGAUCAGACGGAUUGAGGGGAUCGGAUUGGAUUCUGAACACCCCUACUACUGCAUUCAAGCAGAAGCCACCAAUUGUUCACGACGGCGUUUGAAAACAACCAACAUUUCAUCCUGAUUGGGAAGGUUUUCUUCAAUUAUAGGGACUUGCUUGAAAGUUUCAAGCCAGGCAUGCAAGCGAGGGAAUUUGUGUGAUACAAAUAUUUUAACUCCUACUACAUCUUCAAUGACUUGCAACCAAUAAACAAUUGAACCAAAUGCUAGGUCCACUAAGCCAAUAUUGUCUCCGUUGAAAAAUUUCUUCUCUCCCAAGCCAUGCUCUUCAACGUUUUGUAGCAUUUCCAAGGCUUCCUUCGCUGUGUUUUGUAGUUCUUGUCCAGUGCUACGAAACAUUUUCCAAAUGGCAACACCCUGCCACAAAUAUUUUUACAUCAGAUUUUAUCACCGACAUGAUUAAUUAAUAAUAUGUAUAUAAAAGCGAAAAAUCGUUAGACGAUAUGUACACGUGUCACAAUAUCCUUAAAUUAGAGGUUUAAUAAGUUAAUUAAGAGAGUUCAACCACUGAGUUGUAAAAUCUGUCAUUAGCUAGUAAAUUCACUUUUUCCCAAUGCUUCAAAAGUCAUCAAAUUCCCCGUGAAGUUAAAAACGGUUGUGUUAACUUUAACUUAUUACAACUUUUCAUAUUUUAGGAUAAAACAGUGAAGACACCAGAAAUUAACAGUUUAGAGAACGUUUAACAAAUAAAUAUGAAAAAGACCCCUGGGUGGCUGGGCUCGACUGGCUAUGAAUUCACUUUCACUUUGCGCCAUCACCCGAGUUCGAGUACAUAUAGAGAAUAAGAGUUGCUGUUUGGCGGGUGGAUUUUCUUAUCCUCGUCACCUCAUCUAGAUCUUAAAAUAAAUCAAUAAAUAAACAAAUUUGAAAAGAAUGAACUUAAUCAUAAACGUGUUUGCCAGAGUUGUGAGCGAACCUUGUCUUCAGCGAAUUUGAUCCAGAAUCAAGCAAGAGCCCUAUCAUAAGGAUUAUUUGGCAUCAAGGAGGGAUUCUGUGGCCACGUCUCUUCAAUGUAUUGUAGAAUAACCAUGGACUCACAAACUGGUUUUCCGCCAUGGACGAGCACUGGGAUCUUCUUGUGAACUGGAUUAUACUUCAAAAGCAAUGCACUUUUGUUUGAGAGAUCUUCGGAAACAAAUUCAUAUGGCACGCCUUUCAAUUUCAGAGCCCAAAUCGCCCUGUAAACAAAUGGACUCGGCAGGGCCCCAUGAAGCUUCACUGCAGCCAUGAUAAUUCUAAGAUUGAAUUUGAAUUAUCGGUUUUUCUGAUCGAUGUUGUGUAUGGCUGUUAACUCAUUACAUAUGUUUCUGAAUUUAUAGUGAUUUAUGGAAUGCACUUUCUUGAGCAGAAAGCUUCAAUUUUCCAUUAAUAAAACGAUUAAUGAUGAAUUCAAAGAACUAGUGCAAUGACUUUAAUUAAAUAUUUUUUUACGUUGUGUGCAACCGCUUUUUGAGGUUAAUAUAAAGGAUAUUAUUUUCUCCUGAUCAAAACUUUUAUAUAAAAAAAUAUAAUUAUGUAAUUGGUAGUUAUUAAGUAGAAAUAAAAUAAAAAAUAAAUUUUGACCGUAAAUAAAUAAAAGUUCAUAUAUGUUAUAAAGAUUUUUUAAAACUCAAAUAAGUGCACCCAAUUCCUAAUUUAAAACGCUAGCCAAUGAGAUCAAUAAUUUGGUCAACCAGUCAGAGAUAACCAUACAAUAAUUAAUCAAAAAUUUGCCAUUUGUUUUACAUUUAAGACCUUUGCGUCAUGCAUGAUGAUCAAUUGAUCAUGGAUCAAUUAGUCAACAAGACAUUUGCCUUUUGUGAAUGUGUUCACAUUGGACGCAAAUAUAAUUUGUUAUAAAAAAAUUGGACUAAAUUAUUUUUUAAUAUUUUUUUAAAAAUAAUACAUCUGAUCCUCGAGGGCCUGUUAUUUAGUUCGUGAAUCUUAUAACAGGACCCAUGAUUUAUUUAUUUUUUAAAUCUUAUGGGUCCCCUAUUAUUUAAUUUGUGGAAUUGACGGAGGUAACUUACAGUUUCAUUUUUGUAAUUUACAGCUUUCAAUAAAUUCAGAUAAUAUUAGGCGGUAAAAGUAGGCCAGGCUGGAGGAGUAGAUCUAUAAAAUUUGCAAGCACUUUGCACUGUCUGUUUGGUGCCCAGAAACACACAUAUUUAUCAUCCACUUUUUAUUUAACGCUGGGUUUUUUUCGACCCAUAAUAAUUUCUCUUUGCACAUCAACUUUUUAAUAAAAACUUUUAUUGUCAAUAAAUUGUUAGUAAUUACUUCACUAAUCCUCCUUUUUUUUUUGGGCCAAUUUCUCUUUCGCAACUGACAAAAUUUAAUUCACAUCAUGUGAUAGUAUGAUUGCAAAUAAAUUUGAAGUUAUCUCUCGAAAGUUGUUCACAUAUCUUGUGUAUAGAACUAAAGAACAAUAGCAAAACCACUAUCCUCUAGCCGAUCGCUGCUAUUAGGACGGCAAAAUUAGUUGUAAAUAUGUAAAUUUGUCUAAACCCAUCUACAAAAAUCUGUCCACUGCCAAUAAUUUUGUAGGUUGCGAAUAAGUUUGAUAUUUUAAAUUUAAGUUCGUUGCAGGUUACAGAUGGAUUUAGUAUUGAAAAAAAAUUGGCGGGUAUCUGCCGACUAGCAUUUUUUUAAUUAUUUAUGUUUUUAAUUUUAAUCACAAAGAUUGUCUUUAAAAAAUUAAUCAAAAAAUAUAGUAGUUAAAGUUAUUACUCUAAUCUUCCAAAUUCCUAAACCUAACCUAACUCAUGACAGUUGCACACCCUACUCCUUCAAGUAUGUAUGUAUGUAAAUGUAUACACACGCACACACACACAAAAUAAGCUUUUAAUAAGUAGAUUUAGUAUUUUUGAAGUUUAAUAUUAAUGAUAUGUUAAUUUAAUUAAAUUACUUUUGUUUGUUUCUCUUUAAUGACUUGAACUUAGUGAUUGCUGGCUAAGAUUUGAUUUUUAUUUAUCUAAUUAAUGGUCAAUAGUUGUCCAAAAUAUAUUUGUUAUUAUUAUUGACAAUACUUAUAUAUUGACUAAAAGAUAGAGUAAGGCAUUAAUUUUAGUAAUAAUUAUUUGCCUACAACAAAAAUAUUUUGUGUUAGAAUGAUAUAUUUUGUGUAUUUGUUUUAAUAUUGAAACUUUAAUUUCUCUUUUACAUUGAUGAAAUCUAAAGUUGAGUAGUUUAUGUAGAUUUUUUAGUCUGUUACUAUAAAGUUAUAUUUUGAAUUAUAUAAUUUAAAUUAUUAAAUAUAAUUUUUUAAUAUUUAUGAUUUUAAAUAUAAAAAUUUAUUAAAAAAAACUACUACAUGUUAUGGGUGGAUUUGCUAAUUAUUAAAAAUUAUAGCGAACGAACUAAAAAAAAAAGAAGCAACCGGUUACGGGCGAAUUUAAUAAUGGCAAACUCAUAAUAAGCGAUACCAUUACCAUCGGCAGCUUCUAUAACGCAGGGCCGGGGGCGGUCUUGAAUUGUUAGAAGUUGUAACAUUAAUUAGCAAACUUUUCAGCGGCAUCCCUGAAGUUUAGCAUAGAGUUAGAUAUAUCCCCUUGUUUUCAAAAUUAGUCUCUGAUUCCCAUGUUGUUUACUUUAUUAUUUUUUGUUUUCAUUUCAAUUGGAUUUAUAACUUCGUAAUGUUGCGCCUUGUAAAAUGUAUGCUUAAAACGCGUGCUUCUUAUUUUUUAUAUACUGCUAAGAGAAUUUGAGAAUAGAAAUAUAUAAAAUGGUGUCUCAUUUAUUAAUUAUUUAUAUCCUCUAAAUAGCACCUAACAUGCAGCUCACUUCAAUGGUAAAAUUAAUUAAACAAAAUAAAAAAAAGCAUUUUUAACACCAGUACAAAAACAUAACAAGUGUAAAAGAAGACUCAUUAACUUAUUUUAUGAUAUUAAAUUCACGCAGAUACCACCAAUGUUUCUCGACCAUGUUUGAAAGAGACCACCAACUCAUGCUGACUUGGAAGAUUUUCUUUAAGUAUAUAAGUGAAAGUUAUUACUCUAGUCUUCAAAAUUCUUAAACCUAAUCUAACUCAUUACAGCUGCAUGCCUUGCUCCUUUUAUUAUAUGUAUAUAUUUUAAGAUGAAUACAAUAACUUUUUAAUAAGAAGAAUUUUAUACUUUUCAAGCUUAAUAUUAACGAUAUUUUAUUUUAUUUUAAUUACUUUGAAUUGUUUUGGUUUAAUGACUUGAACAUAUUGAUUGUUUGCUAAAGUUGAAUUUUUAUUUGUCUAAUUAAUUGACGAUAGCAAUUGUAUAAAAUUUACUUAAAAAGAUAAAAUCUUAGUAGAUUACAGAAAGAUUUAGUAAUGACAAACAUGUAGCAGCCAAUACACAUUACCAUCCCCAACGGCUGUAAUAUGGCCAUGGGCAGUCUUAAUUGUUAGAAGGUGCAAAAUUAAUUAGUAAAAUGUUCAGCGGUAUCCUUGAAUUUUAGCAUAGAAUUAGAUAUAUCCCCUAGUUUUCAAAAUUUGUUUUUGAUUCCCCUAUUGUUUAAUUUAUAUAUAUAUAUAUAUAUUUAUUUCACUUGGAUAUAUAACUUUGUAAUGUUGCGCCAUAUAAAAUGUAUGCUUAAAAUGCAUGCUUAUUACUUUUUAUAUGUUGUUAAGAGAAAUUGAGAAUAGAAAUAUGUAAAAUGGAGUUUCAUUUAUUAAUUAUUUAUAUCCAUUAAAUAGCACCCAACGUGCAGUUCGUCUCAAUAGUAAAAUUAAUUAAACAAAGCAGAAAGAUUUGCUUUAGCAUCAGUAAAAAAAAAAAAAAAAGCACAAAGCGAGAAUCACAAACUUAUUUUAUGAUAUUACAUUCACGCAGAUGUCACCAAUAUUUCCCGAUGACGUUUGAAAGCGAUCACCAUCUCAUGCUGAUUUGGAAGAUUUUCUUCAAUUACAGAGACUUUCCUGAAAUUUUCAAACCACUUAUGCAAGCUUGGGAAUUUGUGAGAUUCAAAUAGUUUCAUUGUUAUAGUGCAAUUUAUGCACUAGUUUUGCAUUGUUUACUUCCCUUAAUAUCGAUGUUUUGCACUUAAUAAUAGUGAUUUACUUGUGUUUUACUUUUGUAGGUGCAAUUCUAUUGAUUUGUGAUAAAAUUGAGCUAUAAGAUGAUGUUUAAAGAUGAUUGUUCUCUUGGAGAAAUUUAGGGCGUCAGAAGAACUUUGUUGACAAGGCGUGGGCGCGUACUGUCAACUGCGGACCUGCAAUUUUUAGUUUAACGUGUUUUGUAUUUUUGGUUAUUUUUGUAAUUAUGAAUUUAAUAUUUCAGAUAUUAGUAUUUUAUUUUAAAUAGAACUCUAAAAGAGAAAAGAGAGAGAGUAUUUAAGGGAGGAAUCUAUUGUGAAAACGAAGAGAUUGGGGGAAAAAGAAAGAAACCCUAGAUCUAAACUUUUCUCUUCUCUCUAUGAAGAACUAAACUUAUUUUUCUGGUUGAAGGUUAAUAAAGCUUUGAUUCAUCACUACUGCGAGAUCUUUCUUAUGCUUUAAUUGUUUUAUUACUUUUUGGGUAUUUUUUUUAUUUUCUGAAUUAUUAUUAUGAUUAUGUUUGUUAAUUAGAUAAUUGGCCACUAUUUAAAUAUCAACUUAAUCUAUUGUCAAUUAAAUGAUUUAUCGUAUGAAGAUUUUAAUGUUUGUGACAAAUAACAUAGCAGAGAGUUGUGUUGUGAGAAUAAACAAUCUAAUUUAAAUGAACCAUCGUAUGUGUUUGUUGAUUAGGAUUUGGGUCUCUCUGGUUUUUCAGGCUGUCAAUUGAUUAAAUCCUAUGAUCGUAUCUAGGGUUGUCUAUUGAUUAGGGAAAUAACCAACGGUCGUACCUUGGUUAUCGACUAGUUAAGGAGAGAUUGGCUAUUAGAGGGUCUCAGUAGCUAUAACCGGUCUAUUCAUAAGAAAUAAUAAUUUAUAUUUGAAUCAAUGAUCAGUAGUCGAAUCAAGCUGAGUUAAUUCCUUCAACCAGAGCUUUCUCCAAUUUGAAUUACAACUUUAAUUUGCAUUCUUGUUAUUUUAAUUUGAUUUUUAUUAUUGUCAACAAAACCCCCAUUUUAUGUUUUACGUUUCAAAAGGAUUUAAAUAAUUACCGAUCUCUGUGGACACGACCCUAUUCAAUCACUGUACACAAUUUAUUUAGAGUAAGUAUUUAUUUUUGUUGGCUUCGACAACCAUAAAAUUUUGGCGCCGUUGCUGGGGAUUGGUGUCAUUUAUUUAAUCCUUUUUACGUUUUACUUGGUGUAUGGUUCGUUCUUCUCGUACAGGUACACUUUCGUUUGAUCCUGAAAUUGAGAAGACAGCUCGCCAGCUAAGACAGCAGACGAAGCUAGCUAAGUAACGAUCCUCGUCGCCUUUGAUUUCUGAAACAGAUACGGUGCCUGAUUUGGUUGAAUCAUCUAGCGAUUCAGAAGAACAAGUGAUGGAUAGAUUUGCACCUGUAGAAAGAACUCUUAGAGAGUUAGUUGAACCAGACUUGAAUCAGCAGCCACUCUGCAUUCAAUAUGUAGACUUAGAGGUAAAUUUUGAAUUAAAGUCUGGUCUCAUUCAUUUAUUACCCAAGUUUUAUGGUUUUGCAGGUGAAGAUCCUCAUAAACAUUUCAAGGAGUUUCAUGUUGUAUGUUCAAGUAUGAGACCACAAGGCGUGACUGAAGAGCAGAUUAAGCUGCGUGCUUUUCCUUUCUCUUUAGAUGACUAGCUAAAGACUGGUUGUACUACUUGCCUCCUGGAUCGAUUACAACGUGGAAUGGUUUGAACAAGCAGUUCCUUGAGAAGUACUUUCCUGCUUCAAGAGCUGCCAACAUCAGAAAAGAUAUUUGUGGGAUCAGACAACUUCCUGGGGAGACUUUGUAUGAGUAUUGAGAGCAAUUCAAACAAUUGUGUGCCAGCUGUCCUCAGCAUCAGAUUUCUGAUCAACUUCUUAUUCAGUAUGUUUACGAAAGACUAUCAUUAAUGGAGAGGAGUAUGAUAGAUGCUGCUAGUGGAGGCGUGUUGGUGAACAAGACCCCUACUCAAGCAAGGGAGUUGAUCUCAAAUAUGGCUGCCAAUGCACAACAAUUUGGCAGUAGGCAAGAUCCCACUUCAAGGAAGGUGAAUGAGGUAAAUAUUUCUUCUGUUAAACAACGUUUAGAUAAACUUACUUCUUUUGUGGAAAAGUUUGUUGUAGGUAAUGUGCAAUAGGUAAAGACUUGUGGCAUCUGUUACAAUAUGGGUCAUUCAACUGAUAUGUGUCCUACGCUUCAAGAAGAACCCGUUGAACAAGCCAAUGCAGUUGGAGGAUUUCCAGGCAUGCCUCAGAGGAGGUAUGAUCCUUAUACACAAACAUACAAUCCGGGGCGGAAGGAUCAUCCCAACUUCAGCUAUGGAGUUAGGCCGUCAGGAUUCCCAUAACAGUAUCCACCAAGAUAACUAGCACCUCCACAGUCAAACUCCAAGUCAGGUAUAUCUCUUGAAGAAAUUGUUAAAUCACUUGCGACUAACGCUCAACAAUUUCAACAGGCAACUACAACAAGCAUUCAGAAUUUGGAGAGCCAAGUGAGUCAAUUGGCAACUACGAUGAGCCGUCUAGAGUCUCAAGUAUUAGAGAGAUUGCCUUUACAAUCUGAGGUGAAUCCCAAGCAAAACGCUAGUGCCGUCAUCCUUAGAAGUGGGAAUGAGUUGUAAGAGCUUAGUAAGAAAGUGACAGAGCAUGUAGAACCUGAGCUUGAAAAGAAUGAAUUGAUGCCUAAAUCUCAAUAUACGCAACCCACCAGAGCGAAACCCCUACCUAUUGUGAUACCUCCUCAUUUUCCAAGCCGGUUUGCAAAAUCUAAGAAGGAGGAACAAGUGAAAGACAUCCAUGAGACAUUUCGCAAGGUUGAGGUAAAUAUUCCCUUAUUAGAUGCUAUAAAACAAAUACCUUGAUAUGCUAAAUUCCUUAAGGAACUGUGCACCUCUAAGAGAAAAUUAAGAGGAAAUGAAAGAGUUCACAUGGGGGAGAAUGUUUCAGCAGUUCUCCUAAGUGCAAGGAUCUAGGUAUGUUUACUAUCCCUAGCAAAAUUGGUAGUGUUAGAGUUGAGAAGGCUAUGUUAGAUCUAGGAGCUUCUAUUAAUGUCAUGCCUCGUUCUAUUUGUUCGUAUUUGAAUGUUGGUGCAUUAAAAGAAACUGGCGUGAUAAUUCAAUUAGCUGAUAGGUCUAAUGCAUAUCCUGAUGGGGUAUUAAAAGAUGUCUUAAUACAAGUUAAUGAGUUAGUUUUUCCUGCUGAUUUUUAUGUACUUGAUAUGGAAGAGGAUAACUCCUCUAAUUCUGUCCCAAUUUUGCUAGGAAGACCUUUUCUUAAGACUGCUAGAACUAAAAUGGAUGUACAUAAAGGGACUCUUACUAUAGAGUUUGAUGAAGAGGUUAUAGAGUUCAAUAUGUAUGAUGCCAUGAAAUAUCCCAGUGAGGAACAUUCGGUAUUUUCUAUGGAUGUUAUUAACCCUAUAGUGCAGGAAGUUUUUUAUUUGGAUGUUAAAGAUUCAUUGGUAGCUGCUUUAAAUAACAGUUUGGACCUCAAAGGAUUGCAAAAGGAUGAAAAUGAGUUUGUUUUAAAUUUUGUAUUGCAAGAGAUAAUUUAUUAAUUAAAUUCUUUGAGAACUUUAACUCAUCAUAUGUCUAAUAUUGAAUUACCUUAAUCUCAUGCAAAACUUCUUCCAUCUAUUUUGCAGGCACCGAAAAUAGAGCUUAAACCAUUGCCGAGUCAUCUAAAGUACAUGUUUCUAGGAGAUGAUGAGACACUUCCGGUGAUCAUCUCUUCAAAGCUUAGUACUUUAGAGGAAGAGAAACUUAUUAGAGUGCUGAAGGAUUACAAAAAGGCUAUUGGGUGGACAAUUGCAGAUAUUAAAGGGAUAAGUCCGUCCACGUGCAUGCAUAGAAUACUGCUGGAGGAAGAUGCCAAACCUUCAAUUCAAGCUCAACGUCAUUUGAAUCCACUCAUGAUGGAAGUAGUGAAGAAAUAAAUUCUAAAACUUCUUGAGGCAGGUAUAAUCUAUCCAAUUUCAGAUAGCAAAUGGGUAAGUCCGGUACAAGUGGUACCGAAGAAAGCUGGUAUAACAAUUGUUGAGAAUUCUUAUAGUGAGUUAGUACCUACCCGAGUUUAGAAUGGGUGGAGGGUUUGUAUUGAUUUUAGAAAGCUUAAUUCACUCAGUAGGAAGGAUAAUUUUCCUAUUCCUUUUAUUGAUCAGAUGCUUGAAAGGUUGGCAGGAAAAUCUCACUUUUGUUGUCUUGAUGGCUAUUUAGGUUUUCAUCAGAUACCAGUUGCGCCUGAGGAUCAGGAGAAGACUACCUUCACAUGUCCUUUUGGAACCUUUGCGUACCGACGUAUGCCAUUUGGUCUUUGUAACGCUCUCGCCACUUUUCAAAGGUGCAUGGUCAGUAUUUUUUCAGACUAUGUAGAAAACACUAUAGAGGUAUUUAUGGACGAUUUUACGAUCUAUGCUGAUUCUUUCGAUGAUUGUCUCUAUAAUCUGAAGAAAGUACUUGAAAGAUGCAUUGAAACAAACCUUGUCUUAAAUUAUGAAAAAUGUCAUUUUAUGGUAGAUCAAGGCAUUAUUUUGGGUCAUGUAGUCUCUGCUAGAGGCAUUGCGAUAGAUAAAGCUAAGAUAGAUGUUAUUAAAUCUUUACCUUAUCCCACAUGUGUGCGGGAAGUUCGUUCUUUCCUUGGUCACGCAGGUUUCUAUAGACGAUUUAUCAAUGAUUUUUUAAAGAUAGCUUAGCCUUUAUGCAAGCUUCUUCAGAAAGAUGUGACGUUUGAUUUUAAUGAAGCAUGCAAGGUAGCCUUUGAUAAGCUCAAAGAGUUAUUGACUUCAGCUCCAAUUAUACAGCCACCCGACUGGAGCCUCCCUUUUGAGAUAAUGUGCGACGCCAGUAAUUAUGCUGUUGGUGCUGUUCUCGGACAAAGGGUUGGAAGAGCUGCUCACGUGAUAUAUUACACAUCAAGAACACUUGAUAGUGCUCAGUGUAAUUACUCAACAACGGAAAAAGAACUUUUAGCUAUUGUUUUUGCUUUAAAAAAAUUCCGCUCAUAUUUGUUGGGUACUAAAGUGAUUUUUUUUUUCUGACCAUGCAGCUCUCAGAUAUUUACUCGCCAAGAUGGAAGCGAAACCGAGACUUAUCCGCUGGAUCCUACUACUUCAAGAGUUCAACUUGGAGAUCCGUAACAAGAAAGGAACAGAAAACUUAGUUGCAGACCACCUUAGUAGAUUUACCACGUGUGAAGAAGCAACACCUUUGAAGGAUGAUUUUCCAGAUGAGCAUCUCUUUGUAACUAAAGGUAUGGUUCCUUGGUAUGCUGACAUUGUCAAUUACUUAGUUACAAGAACACUACCUAGUGAUCUGACGAGGUCUCAAAAAGAUAAAAUUAAGAACGAUGCUAAAUACUAUGUUUGGGAUGACCUUUACUUGUGGAAACAUUGCUCUGACCAAGUCAUCAAAAGGUGUGUGUCUGAGUUUGAAAUUCCUUCUAUUCUUCAGUUUUGUCACUCAUAUGCAUGUGGUGGUCAUUUUGGUCCUAAAAGGAUAGCAUCCAAUGUGUUAGAAUGUGGUUUAUUUUGGCCUACUUUAUUUCGUGAUUCAUACAUAUUUUGUAAGUCGUGUGAGAAUUGUCAAAAGACUGGUAAUUUAAGUCAUAGAAAUCAAAUGCCACUUACCCCUAUUCUUGUGUGAAAUAUUCGAUGUGUGGGACAUUGAUUUUAUGGGACCUUUUCCUUCAUCUGUUGGCAAUGCUUACAUUCUUUUAGCAGUGGAUUACGUUUCUAAGUGGGUAGAGGCUAAGGCCACCCGGACUGACAAUGCUAAAGUUGUUGUAGAUUUUGUCAAGUAUAAUAUUUUAGCCAAGUUUGGUGUACCAAGAGCGGUGAUAAGUGAUAGAGGCACUCAUUUCUGUAAUUGAGUGGUGGAGGUUUUGUUCAAAAGAUAUCAUGUUACUCACCGAGUGUCUACCGCCUAUCAUCCACAGACAAGUGGACAAGCUGAGAUAUCAAACAGAGAAAUCAAGUUUAUUCUUGAAAAGACAGUUAGUCUAAAUCAAAAGGAUUGGAGUUUGCAAUUAGAUGAUGCAUUAUGGGCGUAUCGCACCACAAUUAUUGUAACAAUGCCGAAGAGGAAAGCAUUAACUUCCAAGUCAUCUAAAAAGACACCCGUCGCAAAAAAAUCCAAGAUUGCCGCUCCCACUACGGUUCCAUGGAACACAGUUUCAGAUUUACGCCAAGCCGUAAGACAAAGAUCGAAACAUGGAAAAGGCAUGAGUGUUUUGCCACUUGCGGAAUCCAAUCUCGGAGGGUGCCUCGCAUUCGCGACUCAACAAGAGAAAAAGAGGUACAAAGAUAUUUCCAUGCGCAAAAUACUUCCAGCUAAGUAUAUUCAUUACCCGACUCUUGAAAAAUUGAAUGUUAAGGAUAAUUUUGAUUCUUUGAUAGAUAAGAUUGGGUUGCGUAAGUUUGUUGAUGUUGAUUGUUUGGGUUAUGUUGAGUUGAUUAGGGAGUUUUAUGCGACUUUUCAAUUUAAUAUACCGAAUGAUUUUACUUUGCAUAUCCCGGAUGUCAUAAAGUUUAGGUUAAUAGGACGAAAUUUUUCACACUCUAUCACGGAUUUUAACCUAGCUUUAGGAUUCAUUGAUGAUGAUUAUUCUUUUAGUGAUGCAUAUUUAGGAACAACUUGUGACUUUAGCGAAAAUUUUGAGCCUUAUGGUCUUUAGCGUAAUUUAUUUGUUGAUCACAAUGCCUAUGACCCGAGUAAAUCAAAGAGUUCUUUCUUACGUGAUCCUGUUUUGAAAUGUGUGCAUCGAUUCUUAGCAUAUAAUUUUUUAGGAAAGAAAGAUCACUUAGUAGUUUUCUCUAAAACUGAAUUUUAUUUUAUCUGGUGCAUGUUAAAUGAUGUGAGGCCUAAUUUAGGUUUUUGGUUAGCGGAUCAAUUUCAAAGUGUGCUUAAACGGUAUAGGACUUUAUUUCUUGGUCCAUACAUUACUCUGUUAGCUAUAAACCUAUGUGUGCUUGAUCCUAACAAUAAUGAUUUGCAUCCUGCUUGCAAAAAGGAAUUUUUGGAUAUGUCUGUGUUUGAAAAAACAGGUGUGGUCGAAUUCAAGGAGGGGAGAUUUCAGUUUACUGAACCAGGACCCACUCAACCUCCAAAGAAGCUUUAUGCUAGGAGUGGUGCUACCUCUGAUGACGAGUUUGACGACGACACUGCUGCCCUGCCAACUAUUCAUUCUACAUCAGCACCACCUUUGAGCAUUCAGUUAGAGAAAAUGAAGCACAAGCUAAACAAGAUGGAGCAGAAUUUGGCCGCAUACUUCGAGAGUGUGGGAUUUAUCUCACCAUUUCCGCCAAGCCCAUAGAUGUUAUGUGGAUCAAAGUUCACAAUUCAGGGAAGUUUUUUUUUGCCUUUAAUCUUUUAUCUUUACGCUUUAAUUUUUAUGUGAGCUUUGAUUAUCUUACAUUAGGGACAAUGUAAGUUCUUGGUGUGGGGGAGGGAUUUUUGCAUUAUUGAUGUCUGGAAAUAUUAUUUUCACUCUACUCAUCUAUUUUCACUCUACUCAUCCUUAAAUGAGUUUGGAGUUAGUAUGUUUCAUAUAAUAUUAUUUUUCUUUUGUUUUCUUUCUCACUACUCUUUUUCCAUCUAUCUCAAAUUAUUUACAUCUAUUUUUUUUAUUCUAUCAUACUCUUUCACACUAACAUUUUAUCUUCCACUUUUUAUAUUACUACAUACAUCUUUCUCACUUCUUAUCAUUUUUACCUUUCCUUUUAUAUAUCACUCAUACCUUCUUCUCAUUCUAAACCACUAUUGAUGGUUGAUUCAUUUGAAAAGUGUACAUGAUUUGAUGGCAAAUUUACCAACUUUGUGAGGAUUUUAGCCUAUGAGCAACCACUUUGCUCUAAUAUUUUUGUUAUGUGAAUAUCAAUCUUAGUUUGUUUAUUCUAGAACUUGGUUUGUUAUGCAUGUUGAAGCCGUAUUACAGGAUUUUAUGCAUUAAAAUGAUAACGGCAAACCGUUUACAUUUUUCUAUUCUCGCAUUUUCUUUUUUUUUCUCUACCCGAAGACCUUUAUUUACUAUCUUUGUUUGAACCUUAACCAUUACCCAUCUAAUUCUCUCCGUCUACUUAACCAUGUUUCUUUUUUUUUGAGCUUCAAUUUAAGGAGAUUUUGGGACUCAUUGUGUGGAUAUAUUUUGUUGCUUUUUCUACCUUGUAUUAAAGUUUCUCAAUUAGAUCAACAAGCAUUAUACUUGAAUUAAAUUGUGCAAGGUUCGUUUCUUUUGUUUGAAAAAAAAAACAAAAAAGAAAAAGAAAAAGAAAAGAAAAAAGAAAAGGAAAAAGAAAAAAAGAGAAAAAUAAAAAUAAAAAAAAAUCAAAAAAAAGAAAAAAAUUGUUUACAUUCUUGGUGACUUGAGUAGAAAUAAGCAUUUUGAUAUCAUAAGUUCAUUCAAUGAAUUCAUUCUUCUCAUUUUGAUCUCUUUUUCUUUCGUAAACCUUUCUUUUUCAUUUAACCUAUUUAACCCUAUUACAACCUUUUUAAGACUCUUAGAUUUUUGCAUUUUAUUCAUGUUUUGUGGAUUGUGAUGUGAUAUAUGAGCAAGCUUAUGGUAAUAGCAUUCUUUGAUUUGAUUUGAAUGCAUAAAUGAUACCCUAAACACUUUGAGUGCAUGUAACUAUGGCCAAUGGGCCGUGCUGGCUGUCGGCCCACAAUGGCUCGUGGGCCGGCACGGCACGACCCACCAAUUUGGUGGGCCGUGCCCACCUUUUUUCCAGUUGAGCCCAGCACGGCCCACGGCACGAGCCCGCUCGUGUCGUGUCGUGGGCCAUGCCCAAAAAAAGCCCACCAACUUUUUUUUUUAGCGUGCUUAAAAAAGUCCAUGUGCCUAGCGUGCUUUAUUCAAGCCCACGUGCCUGACGUACUUUUUUAUGCCCACCAACAUAAUAAUAAUAAUAAUAUUCACAAUCAUAAUCAUAUUAAUUUUUAUUAAGAGAGCAAUUAACAUUUUAUUAUUAGUUUAUCACAAUUUCACAACUAUAUAUUUUAUUUCACAAUAAUCAAUCAUAAUUCAUAACACAACAAUACAUAAAUUUAAUUAAAUUUAAUUCCAUAGAUCAUAAUAAUAAUUAAUUAAAAUUAAAAAUACAAUCCUCGAAUAAUCAUUACAAUAAGUCAUAACUACGAAAUAUUAAUAUAACAAAUCAUAGGUCACAACUUACAAGUUACAACUAUAAAACACGAACUACGAUCAAUUGACGAAUAACAAGCACGAAAAAAACAUUUAUUAAUCACAACUAUGGAUACGGGAAACGAGCAAGGUUAAUUCUAUCUCGGCUGGUGGCGAGCUAAACAAUUUGACACGUGCCGACAUAAACCCAAGGUGCCGUGGCUGUUUGAAUAAAUAACUUCUCGAUGACAAUAGUUGCACCUCAAGAUCAUCCGCUUGUAAGGACGACGCAAACUAUUAUCUAUUAUUUCCUCCCUUACUGUAGUAAAAUUUUGAAAAAGCUCAUUUAGAAAACGACUUCUGGGCUGAUUUAGCCUAGCAUUUUGUUGAGGUCCAACUACAUUAACACCGUAUUCUUGAGGGUGUUGAGGUUCUUCUGCAUUCAUAUUAUGUUGCUGCGGAUUCAUAAUGAUUUUGGCUUUUAGAAUAUUGGAAAGUUUGAGGAAAAAGAAGAAGAAUAAGAAUUGUGAAGCAUCAUAGCAUAAUGGCGUGUAUAUAUAAUAUUAGAUAGUAAUAAAAAGACAAAAAUUAAUUUUAUUUACUUUGUCGGUGGGAGUAAAAAGAGUAAGUAAAAAAAUAUUUAGUGAAAUAUAAAUAUAGCCGUGAGGCAAGUGCUUGGUUGGCAUGUGGGAAACAAAUCUUAAAUUAUUUAAAAAUCUGCAAUUUGCACGUCUGCAUGUGCACUAUAUGACAAGCUGACAACUACCGUGUUGAAAAUUUGAGUUGAGAAUUUAAAUUCAAAGAAAUAAAGUACUCUACAUAAUGAAUGCAAGCUCCUCCCGUACUACUAGUUUGUUAUUAUAAUAUUAUCUUAUCAACACACUUGUGAUAGGAUUUAUUAACAUUGUGAUAGUUGCGUGAUUCUCUUGUAACAAUGAACCAUAAUUUUUUUUAAUUUAAUAUGUUGUUUUGAAAAAAAAUUAAUUACAAAAAUUAUUUUUAAAAAUAAAUAACAACGGUGCACUUAGAAAAUAAUUUUUUCUAAUUAUUAAAUAAUAAAAAAAUUCUAAAUUAAUUUUAUUACUCACCCAACGGAUAAAAAAAAUUUGAAUUAAUUCAAUUAAAAAAAUUCUGAAUUAAUUGAAUUACUCACCCAACGGACAAUUUUUUUUUUGAAUUAACAGUAAAAUUGAUAUGACUACUCAAUUUUACAGUAUAAGCAGUCGGACUCUGAUUAUCAAUUAAUGUUUUCUGAUUUUUAAUGACAAAAAAAAUUUAAAUCAAUUUCAUAUUUUCAUUACUCACCCAACGGACAAAAAAAAAACUGAAUUAAUUGAAUAAAAAAAAUUCUGCAUUAAUUGAAUUAAUAAUAAAGUUGAUAUGCCUUUCCAAAAAAAAAACAAUAAAGUUGAUAGACUUGACUAGUCAAUUUCACUUUCACAGCAUGGGCAUUCAUGACUCAACAAUUAGACUUAACUAGCUUACAGAAUUUGUAAGCUAUAGACUGCAGCAUCAGCCGUUGGAUGUGGAGUGAGAAACUAAACAAUAGACAAUCGAAUGGUGGGAAUGGGAUGACAGGAGACGUUUGUUACAGUCUUGCAGAAUCGGUACCAUAGAGUCAUAGACAGAUCCCUCAACAAUUAAUUUUUAAUAAUAAAAAAUUCUAAAUUAAAUCAAUUGCUCACCUUACAAUUCCAAGUUUCCAACGGACAAAAUGAAUGAUAAAAUGUAACUGUUUAAUUUGCUGCAGCCUUGCAGAGUUGCAGGAAGCUUUGCAGUUGUAGACUUGUAGGUUUGCAGCGUGUUUGUUCGUUUUUGACCGUUAAAAUGUUUACUUUUUUAUUUGCUCGUUUCUAACCGUUAAUAUGUUUACUUUUUUAUUCUAUUUAAACGAUUAAAUUAUUUUCGAAUUCAUCUCACAUUCUCACUUCUCAAUUUCUAAUUCUUUAUCUCCUCGUUAUCUCUCUUAUCUCAUCAAUCAUCUCUAGUCUCUGCUUGCCCAAUCUUCUUUACUACAAUUCCAGCGCCUUUAUUUACCAAAACACUAAUUAUAUAAAAUGUCUCACUCUCAUUUCGAGUUAGAUGAGAAUUUUAAUUUUGUUGAAGAGGGAGAGGAAGUUGCAAAUGAAGAAAUUGCUGCACCAGAAUUUGAUCCAAGUAAUAUAUUUAUUGUCCCACCUAAACGAUUGCCUCCUACUUCUCAAGCAAGUCAAAGUGGUUCUACUUCUUCAACUGCCUGUCCUACUACUACCUCCAAACGACAAAGAACAUCGAUUGUUUGGUCAUGUUUUACUUUGGAAAAACAUCAAAUCAAAAAAGGUGAAAUGGUGGAUCAAGCAGUGUGCAAAUAUUGUCAAUUUGCUUUAAGUGCCAAAAGCAAUGGUGGAACUAGACAUCUUAGACGACAUAUGGAAACUUGUCAGACAAAACACGAGCCACAAGACCCAACACAAACCCAACUCUCACAAUAUGGUUCUAGAUCUUCCGGUAUAACAUCAUUCAGAUAUUCACAACAGCACAUGCGAGAAGGAUUGGCUCGGUAUAUUGCUGCAGCAGAACAACCUUUAACAUUUUCAGAAGAUGAACGUCUAAUAAAUUUUUUGCAAAGGUAUGUUCAACCUCAACUUAAGAAAGUGCCUAGAAAUACAUUAAAACGUCAUUUAACUAAAAUUUUUCAUGACAUGAAAAAACUUUUAAUUAAUACUUUUAUCAAUUUUAAUGGUGUUAUUUCAAUUUCUUCUGAUUGUUGGACUGGUAUUAAUAUGGUUGGUUAUUUUUGUGUGACUUCGCACUCUAUACAUGAGAUUAAUGGUAAAUGGAGGUUGGAAAAAAAAUUGCUUGCAUUUCAUGAAUUAGAAUAUCCUCACACUGGUUCAGUAAUUUAUGCAGCUAUAAUGUCUGUUUUAAGAGAAUAUGAAAUUACUGAUAAAUUGUUUAGCAUAUCAUUUGAUAAUGCAUCUGCCAAUACAGUGGCAAUUGAUAUGUUUUUGUGGAAUAUUUCUACUCUCAUGCCUGCACGUGGUUCAAAAGUUUUUCAUUUGAGAUGUGUGUGUCAUAUUAUUAAUUUAAUUGUUCAAGCUGGUAUGACUCAUAUAAAUCAUUAUUUAGAAAAAAUUAGAGCAUCCAUUUUAUAUAUUAGAGCACCUUCAAGACGUCAAUAAUUUUUAGAGACAUUGAAAAUUUUUGGAUUGAAAAGGAGAAAAUUCAACCUUGACAUGAAAGUUCGUUGGAAUUCUACGUAUUUAAUGUUGCUUUCUUGUCAAAACUAUUCUGAAGCAAUUUCUAGUUUUUACAAUGAGAGAAUGAAUGAUAAAGAUUAUCAUAUCACUGAUUAUGAUUGGAAUGUUGCAUUUAAAUUUAUGAAUUUUUUAAAGGUAUUUUAUGAUGCUACUCUUGCAUGUUCUACUGUUUAUGAGCCUACUUCAUGUAGAGUGUUAAUGCACUUGUACAAUAUAAGUUAUACUUUUAAGACUUUUAGAGAGAAUAUUACGUUUAAAAAUAUUUGUGAUACCAUGGAGGAAAAUUUUCAAAAAUAUUGGAAAGAUAUUCCCCACCUAUUUAUUUUUGCAGUAGUGUUGGAUCCUACAAUCAAGGAAGUUGGUGCAAAACUUUUAGUUGAGGGUAUUAGUGAAAAUUUACAAACCGGACUUGAUACAAAUUUUGAUACAAUUAUGUCCUCUAUGCAUGAACUUUUUAAUUUUUAUCGAAAUAAAUUCGAAUUAAGCAAUACAUAUUCUAAUGUUCAACAAGCAUCGACUUCUUAUAAAAAUCCAGCUCACCUUUUGUUACUCAAAGGUAAGGGUGUUGCCUCUAGUAUUGAUACUAAUCGUAAUGAAUUACAAAGAUAUUGUUAUGCCAAUCUUGAAGAUUUAGCAACUCCUUCACAAUUUCAAAAUUUUGAUAUUUUAGAUUUUUGGAUGGGUAAGAUAUCUUUUUUCCCUAUAUUAUCCAUUAUGGCCCGUGAUCUACUAACCCCUCCAGCUUCAACUGUAGCAUCAGAAUCAGCUUUUAGUAUAGGUGGCAGAAUUCUAGAUGAACAUCGGUCAAGAUUGUCAUCAGAGACAUUAGACUCUUUGUUGUGUUUGAAAGAUUGGGAAGAUGCUGAACGCCGAGUGCAACAAGAUUGGCAAAAUGCUUUAAUUAAACAAAUUGAGAGUUUGAAUGUUGAUCAAGAUGAAGUGGAUCCAGAUUAUGCAGAGUACUGAACAUUGAAGCCACUUCCAAAUACUAGAAAAUUUUUUUUCUUGUAACUUUUUGAUACAAUUUUUAUUAGUGAGAAGGUUGUAAAUUUGCAAAUGAUAGAUGGUCCAGUAGGUGCCAACCUAGUUGGGAUGUACUGUUAACUGUAGUGAUGCAAAUUACACCUAAUUUUAUUUGAAUUACUAAUAUUAUAAUUGUACUUUAACUUCAUUUAAUGAAAAUGUAAUUUUUAUUUAUCAUAAUUUUUCUUGUGUAUAAAAUGGAAAAUAUUUCAUUCACAAAUGAAACGUAUCUCUAUUAAAUAUUAACUAAGUUAUGAUUUAAUAUUAAUAUGAAAAAUAUUUCAUAUAAAAAAUAUUUUAUUAUUAAUUUUGUAAAAAAAUUUAUUUUUUAUUUAUAAUUUAUAAAUUUAUUAUAUUUAUAAUCUUAUUUAUUAAAAUCAUGAUAUUUAGUUAUUUACUUAUUCAUUUAAUAAAUUAUAAACAUAAAUAAAUAAUUAAAUAAAUAUCAUAAAUAACAUUAUUCAUUUAAUAAAUAUCAUAAAUAAAAUUAUGAUAUUUAUAAUUUUAUUUAUUAAAAUCAUGAUAUUUGCUUAUUCAUUUAAUAAAUUAUAAACAUAAAAGAUUAGAAUAUUUAUUUAAACUAAGAUUUAAUAAUUUAAAUUAAUUUUUAAAAGUCUAUGCUAAAAAAUAUAUUAAAACAUUUAAUUUCAAGAUAUUGUACUUUAAUUUCAUAACAUUUUAUAUUUACUUUUUGUUAAAAAAAAUUACUUAGAUAUAUUUUGGCCCAAGUGCUAUUAAUGGCUCACGGGCCGCGUGCUAGCCCACUAAUGAACUGUGCUUAUUACGUGCUUUUUCGCGUGCCGUGCUUUGGCCCAUCUCUAAUCGUGCCGUGCUUUAAGGCCCGUGUGCCUAAAAUUCUAGGCCCGACACGGCCCACAUGCAUGCCGUGCCGUGCCUCGUGCCUCACCGAAACGUGCUCGUGUCGUGCCGUGCCACGUGCCGCCCGGCCCAUUGGCCAUCUUUAAGUGCAUGGAGUGAAGUCAAUGAGAGGGCUAUUAAAUCUUGUUGCACUUGAAUUUUGAAUGGAUCUUCUUGGUGGUUGAAGGUUUUUAUUCUAGCUUAUGAGAUUCUAUGCUUUAAAAUCCUUGCCUCUCAAAUGUUGAUUAACUUAAAUUCUUGAGGCAUGCUUGCUUAAAAUUGUUUUUGGAUGAGUUGAGAUGAGAAUUGAGUGGAAAUUUGGGAUUAGUCUUGAGUUAUAUGCUUGAGGACAAGCAUCAUCUUGGUGUGGGGGAAUUUGUUAGAGUGCAAUUUAUACACUAGUUUUGCAUUGUUUACUUCCCUUAAUAUCAAUGUUUUGCACUUAAUAAUAGUGAUUUACUUGUGUUUUACUUUUGUAGGUGCAAUUCUAUUGAUUUGUGAUAAAAAUGAGCUAUAAGAUGAUGUUUAAAGAUGAUUGUUCUCUUGGAGAAAUUUAGAGCGUCAGAAGAACUUUGUUGAUAAGGCGUGGGCGCGUGCUGUCAACUGCGGACUUGCAGUUUUUAGUUUAACGUGUUUUGUAUUUUUGGUUAUUUUUGUAAUUACGAAUUUAAUAUUUUAGAUAUUAGUAUUUUAUUUUAAAUAGAACUCUAAAAGAGAAGAGAGAAAGAGUAUUUAAGGGAGGAAUCUAUUGUGAAAACGGAGAGAUUGGGGGAAAAAGAAAGAAACCCUAGAUCUAAACUUUUCUCUUCUCUCUAUGAAGAGCUAAACUUAUUUUUCUGGUUGAAGGUUAAUAAAGCUUUGAUUCAUCAAUACUGCGAGAUCUUUCUUAUGCUUUCAUUGUUUUAUUACUUUUUAGGUAUUUGUUUAUUUUCUGAAUUAUAAUCAUGAUUAUGUUUGUUAAUUAGAUAAUUGACCACUAUUUAAAUAUCAACUUAAUCUAUUGUCAAUUAAAUGAUUCAUCGUAUGAAGAUUUUAAUGUUUGUGACAAAUAACAUAGCAGAGAGUUGUGUUGUGAGAAUAAACAAUUUAAUUUAAAUGAACUAUCGUAUAUGUUUGUUGAUUAGGAUUUGGGUCUCUCUGGUUUUUCAGGCUGUCAAUUGAUUAAAUCCUAUGAUCGUAUCUAGGGUUGUCUAUUGAUUAGGGAAAUAACCAAUGGUCGUACCUUGGUUAUCGACUAGUUAAUGAGAGAUUGACUAUUAGAGGGUCUCAGUAGCUAUAAUCUGUCUAUUAAUAAGUAAUAAUAAUUUAUAUUUGAAUCAAUGAUCAGUAGUCGAAUUAAGCUGAGUUAAUUCCUUUAACCAGAGCUUUCUCCAAUUUAAAUUACAACUUUAAUUUGCAUUCUUGUUAUUUUAAUUUGAUUUUUAUUAUUGUCAACAAAACCCCCAUUUUAUGUUUUACGUUUCAAAAGGAUUUAAAUAAUUACCGAUCUCUGUAGACACAACUCUGCUCAAUCACUAUACAAUUUAUUUAGAGUAAAUAUUUAUUUUUGUUGGCUUCGACAACCAUCAUUCACUCCCAUUACAUCUUCAAGGACCUGCAGCCAAUAAGCAAUGGCUCCAAAUGCUAGGUUCGCUAAGCCAAUAUCGUCUCCAUUGAAAAAUUUCUUCUCUCCUGGGCCAUGUUUUUCAACGGUUUGAAGCAUUUCCAAGGCUGCCUUCAUUGCAUUCUCCAGGUCUUGUCCAGUGCUGAAAAACAUUUUCCAAACAGCUACUCCCUGCCACAAGAUUUUAUAUCUAAUUCUUAUCACCACAUGAUUAACAAUAUAAACGAGGUAAAAAGAAAUUAGAUAAUAGGUACACACGCAUCAAAGUAUCUUUCAAAGCCUAGACGUUUCAAACUGUCAAAGUAUCUAGAAGAGUUUACCCACUAAUUUUUAGACUAAUUUAUUAUAACUUUUAGAGCUUAUUCAAGUAGAAUUUUUGUUAGUAAAAUUUAAUUGUUAAUGAAAAUUUUCAUUAAUUUUUUUAAAUAACUUUAAUAGACAAGUUUAUAAAGUAAAGUUAUGAAAUAAAUAAAUAAAAUAAUAUUAUAAAAUAAAUGAUGAACAUUUUAAACUAUUUAACUUUUUAAAAAAUCCUCAAACUUCUAUUUCCAAAAAAUUAAAUUUAAAUUUUUACUAGUAUAGGUAAAAGAAUUUAUUUAACCCCAAAAGUUCUUCUAAAAAUAAAACUAAACAAUAAUAAAAAUUUGAAAUGAGAUUUUUUGAUUAAAUAAACACUUAUUAGUAAUAAAUAAGUCAUAUCAAACAAAUACUUAAUGAUAUAAAAGGAAAAAUAUUAAAAAAAAAAUCCUCUUAUUGUUUUAGUAAAUUAUAAUUUUGCUUUCAUGUUUCGAAAGUCCUCAAAAUUCCCCCUAUCGCUAAAACAAUUAUAUUUUAAUAUUUUACCCUUGAUGCAGUAAAAUCCACGAUUAAUUAAGAAAAAUUUCUAAAGGUAAAAAAUUUAAAGUAAUUAACCGAAUUUUUUUGAUAAUUUUCUCUAAUGUAAAAUAAAAGGUUCAUUGAGCUUAGUCGGCCGUGAAUGCAUUUUGCACAUGCGAGGACAUUAGUUUGAGCAUUAAUAGUAGAUAAAAAUUAAUGUUUAGGGAGUCAUGUUUCUCAUAUACAAUGAAAAAUUAAAGUAUAUAAAGAAACCCGACAAGAUUAAUUAAAUUUAUAAACGUGUUAGCAAGAAAAGUUGUGAUGCGAACCUUGUCUUCGGCAAAUUUAAUCCAAAAACGAGCUUGAGCUCUAUCAUAAGGAUCACUUGGCAUCAACGAGGGAUUGUGUGGCCACAUCUCUUCAAUGUAUUCGAGAAUAACCAUGGACUCGAAAACUGGUUUUUCGCCAUGAACGAGCACUGGUAUUGUGAACUGGGUUAUACUUCAAAAGCGAAGCACUUUUGUUGUAGAGAUCUUCUUCAAUGUAUUCAUACGGGAUGCCUUUCAAUUUCAGAGCCCAUACUACCUUGUUGCUAAAUGGACUCGCCCAUCCCCCGUGGAGCUUCACUUCAGCCAUGUGUCUGAGAUCGAAUUUGAAUAUGUGUGUGGUUGUUUUGCUUAGCUGAUGAGUUAUUGCAUACGUACAUCUGAAUUUAUAAUGAUUAAUAUUGGAAUAUCGAGUGCGCUUGCUUGAGCAGGGAGCUUCAUAUCUCCAAUUUAUUUAAUAAAACGAUUCAAUUAAGUUGAAUUCAAUGAACUAAUGCUGCGACAUUUUAACAAUUCUGUUAUAUAUUCAACGAGAAGAGGUAUCGUAUUUGACGGGAAUCUCUUGAAACAGUGCUGAAUUAACAAGUAACCAAUGGUGGCUGUCACUUUAUCACAGUAUUUGCUUCAAGUUUUUUCCAUGAUGAUGGUUGGUCAUCUUGGUCAACUUGCUCUUUCUAGCACCGCCAUGGCCAUCUCUCUAGCUAGCGUCGCGUCCUUGUAAGUUCUAUAAUCCAUAUAUAGUUAUUUACAAUAUCAAGAUCAUGACACAAGCUUGUUUGUUCUUUCUUUUGAUAGGUAUUUGCAUCAUUGCAUGUGGGAUUUAAACAAACAGAUAUGCCAAAUUUCGGAUGUUAAAAAACGUGCAAUUAACUAAUACCCUGUUUGUAAAAAUGCCAUUAAUUUUUAAAGGACUUGAUUUACUCGUUUUUAAAAAAAAAAAAAAUUCUACAGCUAACUUGAAUUGUGUAAUAUUUUCUUUGAAACAGUUAGGAAUGGCAAGUGCUCUGGAAACAUUAUGUGGGCAAGCAUAUGGAGCUCAGCAAUAUCAAAGAAUUGGAACUCAAAUUUACACUGCAAUAUUUUGUUUAUUCUUAGUAUGUUUUCCGCUUUCCUUUCUAUGGAUUUACAUGGGAAGGCUGCUAGUUUUGGUAGGCCAAGACCCCCAGAUUUCACAUGAAGUAGGCAAGUUUAUAAUCUGGCUUCUUCCAGCUCUGUUUGCUUAUGCAGCAAUGCAGGCGCUUAUUCGAUAUUUUCAGUCUCAAAGUUUGAUCAUUCCCAUGUUCUUAAGCUCCUAUGCCGCUCUUUUUUUGCAUAUUCCCAUCUGUUGGGGUUUGGUAUUCAAGUCUGGACUAGGAAACCUUGGAGGAGCAUUGGCAAUUGGUAUAUCGUAUUGGUUGAAUGUAACUUUCUUGGCAAUUUACAUGAAGUUCUCCACUGCUUGUGCAGAAUCCAGGGCUCCAAUUUCAAUGGAGUUGUUCCGAGGAAUUGGAGAGUUCUUCCACUUUGCUAUCCCUCCUGCAGUAAUGGUUUGGUAUGUUAGUUAUCUUCUGGAGCUUCAUUUUCCCUUCUCAUAGACAUCGUAGACACGUCAUAAAUUUUCAUGCUUCUUUUGUUUAUAAUUUUGCAGCCUAGAAUGGUGGUCAUUUGAAUUGCUCAUUUUAAUGUCAGGGCUGCUGCCUAAUCCACAGCUUGAAACUUCAGUCCUAUCUGUAUGGUAUGUUGACAUAGACUUUGUAUGUGAAAGUUCUAUACAGAGAAGCACCUACCAAAGGAAAUAGAUUUUUUUUCUUUUUUUCUUUUUUUUCCCGACUGCUCAUUAUUUGUCAACUUCUCUGGGCAGUCUCAGUACUAUUCAAACCCUCUCUGCAAUCCCAUAUGGACUUGGUGCUGCAGCGAGGUUUGUUCAUAACAAUCACUUAAAUAAUAAUUGUUUUAUAUCAACUAAUUAGCAGAUUAACCAUUAUUUCCUUCUAUAGUACUAGAGUUUCAAAUGAACUAGGAGCUGGGAAUGUGCAAAGAGCCCGUGUAGCUGUCUAUGCUGUGGUCUUUAUGGCAGUCAUGGAGACUAUCAUAGUAAGUGCAUCUCUCUUUGCCAGCCGGCAUGUUUUUGGUUAUGUUUUCAGCAAUGAGGGACAAGUUGUGGAUUAUGUCACAACCAUGGCUCCUCUGGUUUGUUUGUCUGUCAUCAUGGAUAGCUUACAAGGACUCUUUUCAGGUUAAAUUAACUUCUUCAACUCUGUCAAUUGCUAAAUAGUUCUCUUUAAGUGGAAAUAAAAUUUUUCAGGUUUCUAAAUUCUUUUUAUUAUUUUUAAGGUGUUGCAAGAGGAUGUGGGUGGCAGAAUAUAGCUGCUUUUGUGAAUCUUGGGGCUUAUUAUUUGUGUGGAGUCCCAACUGCUGCCAUUUUGGGUUUCUGGUUAAAGUUUAGAGGAAGGGGCCUAUGGAUUGGGAAACAAGCUGGUGCUUUUACACAAACACUUCUGCUUGGCAUCAUAACAACAUUUACAGAUUGGGAAAAACAGGUCUGUUUCUCAACAUUUAAUCCCUUAAAAAUUAGAGAAGCUUAUUGGACUAUAUAUGUAAAUAUGUAGCAAUUUUUUUUUCCCAAUACGUAUCUGAUACCUUUUGACUGAAAGUUCAAGAUUAAAAUCACUCAGCUUGAUCUGAAAUGGUUAGUAUUAUCAUCUUCUGCAGAAAUGGUUUUGCUCAUUGAGAAAAUGAUAUUCAAUAACACAAAUGCAAACUCAUUUGAAAAUUUUGCCAUUGAGAAAAUGAUAUUCAAUAACAGACAUGCAAACUCAUUUGAAAAUUUGCUUUUUUGCAAGAAUUAUAACCAUUUUCUAGUUUGUUAAUUGUUGCAUCUUCUGUGUUUCUAAGGGGUUUCUCAUGUUGCAGGCAAGUAAAGCAAGGAAAAGAUUAUCAAAGGGAAGAUCUUUAGAAGAAAAUAGAAUAGUUUGUGAGUGAGCAGAGUCAAUCAAUGAGCUGAUAUAUACAUUUUCCAGUUGAAAGAGAUAAUCAUUGCUUGAGAAAAUGAGCUGAUCAUAUGUCAAUUGAUGGCCAAGAAGGUUCCCCAAUCUGAUCUACGGAGCAUGGCAUUUCAUAAAACUCUGUUUCUAGAGAAAAAAAAAAAAAUUAACAGCUUCUUAGGAUUGGAGCAUCAGGUGACUUAGUAUUUCCAGUAUGAAUGAAUUAUAAGAUAGAUGAUGCUGCAAAAAUGAAUAGAGAUAAAAUUAAGCAAGAGAAAAUGUUUGAAUGUUAUUAUUGAAACCUUUUCCAGUGAUUGUAGAGAUAAUUUUCUUUGUAUUGAAACUUUCAGCAUCUGAAAGAUAAGGAAAAUAUUAAAAGAAAAAAGAAAAUUCUUAAAUCUUUUCCAUGUCACUCCAGCAAAGUUGAAUUGUGAUUCUAAACCCUACACCAAAGUGUAAGGUGGCCUGUGGCCUAUAGGUAAUACACAAUUUGACAACCCCAUAUAUUUAGUAAUCUAGGUGGAUGCCAUUAAUUUUUUUUAAAAAUUUUUGUUCAUUUUUAAUGCAAACAACGCCUCUUUCAUUGAGACAUUGGAAUAUAUAAAGAUUUGUAUACUGAUUUUGGACCAUAAUUCACAAAUAAUGCGGCGCAUAUCUUUCUUUCAGUACUUCUUCAGGAGGAUAAGAUACAGACAUUGUUGUCUUUUUACCUGAAGCAAGUGCAUGCGCAUGAAUUGUUGUUGUCUGUUAAUCUGCUGCCACUUUGCUGCCAAAAAACUUGAAAAAUAAACCAGGAAAAUUUUCAAUAAGCAAAGCCAAACAACUAACCCCUGUUUUAAGUUAUUUUCCUAAGAAAACUUUUAAACACUCAAAUAAAGCACAUAAGUAAAGUAUUUCUGUCACAUUAGCUUUCGAGUGAGGUUUGAUUUACAUUUAUAUCAUAUAUACCAAGUGUUUUUUAUUCUUUUAAUUAAUGUAUAUCACAGCUUGGAAAUUCUAAAAAUUAAUCAUGCUUAAUCUUGAGCAACAAUAUCUGUAAUCAUCAUACGAGGUCAAAAGUGAGGAAAAAAAAGGAAAAGAAAAAGGAAAGAGUUAGUUUUAUGUAUAAAAGUGAAAGGAUCUGUUAUAGACUAUUUCUGUUGCAUGGUUUUCGGAGGCAUAGCAUUGUCCACAGCAUUUGGGCUUUGCUUCUGAUUCAAUGGCAUUUAGAAUUUGGUUUCAUCUGAGAUCAUAUAUAGCUUGAUCCUGAUAUCUUCCAUUUUGGAGGGAUUCAGUUAAAUUGAAGAAGUUUGAUGUUCCAGUUCAAAUUGGGAUUGCUGCAGAUAAUAUAUAUAAUUCUGUAGAGGUUUUCUAAUUUUUAUUUUUAGUAAUGUAUUCAUGUCCUGUCAUUCUUCUUUCUGCUUAAAUCCAAUUGCCCAUGUUGGAAUUUCUUUUCAGCUUUUGUAUUCUUUUUCCUUUUUGUUCAAUAAUGCUAUAGACGAUGCUCUACCAUUUAAAAGAUAUAAAUAACAAAUUUUAUAAAUUUUUACUUCGUCAAGGUGUGAAACCUUAUAAAAUUUAUAAAUUUAACUUAUGAACAGAGAAGCAUAAAAAAAAUGUUUGGAGUUGCUUAAUACCAUAGAAACAAAAGCAGAAAGAUAUGUUCAAGAACAAAACCCAAAAUUUUCAUCAAGUGGAGGAUCGAUCAUGCCAGCAUAAUAACAUAAUUACAUAAUGCUCGAAGAGCAUGCAUGACUUUCUCAAAAAAUAAUAUCACUUAAAUGAUCAAAAAACAGAAAUAAUUAAUUGAUUAUCCAUAUAUAUAAACAAGCCUAGCUCUCAAUGUGAAAUAUAUUAAAACAGCAACUAUAAGAUUUUCGGUGAUGAUAUUUCCACCCCAUAAAUUUUAUAAACCCACCCAUUUUUUAAAAAAAUUAUUAUAAUAAGUUCACAUUAUUUUUUAAAACAUUUAAAUUAAGAAGAAAUUAAAAAAUUAAUCAAUUAAAUCUAUAUUCAUUUCUUCUUCUUUUUUUAACUAUGUUUCUUUAUUAUAUUUCAUCAAUAAGGUUGCUUUAACAUAAAUUAAUAUGACUAUUUUACCGUUAUAAGGUAAAAGUACCAAAAUAUCACUUUAAUAAAAUUUUAUGCAAUUUUUUUUAUAUUUUAAUGAUAUAUAAGUAAUUGUUAGUACAAUUAUUAUUACUCCACUAAACUAACAAAAUAUAAUUAGGAUAGGGAUGGCAAAAAUCCCCACGGGGACGGGUACCCUCGGGGAUUUUUCCCAUUCGGGGAGGGUACGGGGAUAAUUUUAUACCCAAUUUUUUAUUCGGGGAGGGGACGGGGAAAAUUUUUUACCCAAUUUUUUAUUCGGGGAGGGGAUGGGGAUGAGGUGGAAUCCCCAUCCCCUACCCAUUUCCCCAUUUUAAUUUUUAAUUUUAAUUUUAUUUUUAAAAUUACUAAUAAAUAAAUAACAAAAUUAUAAAUAUUGUUAAAAAUAAUAAAUAUCAAAAUAUUUAUAUUAUUAAAUGCUAAUAGGUAUCCUACAUUAGCUCGAAUUGCUAGAGAUAUUUUGGCAAUUCCAAUUAUAACAGUUGGUUCUGAAUCAACUUUUAGCACCGGUGGUAGAGUUGUGAGCUCACACCAUAACAAACUUCAUCCAAGCACAUUGGAGGUCUUAAUGUGCUGUCAAAGUUGGUUACGAGCUUACAAUAGUAGUAUGAGUUUAUUUUACAUUAUAAUUAUAUUAUAUAAUUAUUAAUAUUUGCACUUAUAAGUUACUUUACUUAUAUCAUUUUCAUUGUUUUAGGUUUGAAAUCUGAGGCUAUCUCUCAAUUUGCCACAUUUCUCGAGGAAGAAUAGGAGGAGCAGGACGAGCAGGAGGUAAAUAGUUUUAUUAAAAAUAUUAAUUAAGUAUCUACAUUUAUUUCAUUUAUUUUAUUGCCGAUAUAAAAAUAAUUUUUUUUCUUUUUAUUGUAGGAUUAUGAAGAUUGAGUCAUUGACAAAGAUAAUUAUUUUAAUAAUUUAUAUUUUGAAUGUGACUUUGUAAUGGAUCAAUAUUAAUGUAAGAUAUGUUUUGAACUUUAUUUUUAUCUGAAUUUUUUAUUUUAAUAUGAUUAAUUUAAAAUUGAAAAUAAAAAAAUUUAUUAGACUAUUAGUUAUUCGGGGACCGGGGACCCUCGGGGAUCCCCUGUUAUUAUUCGGGGAGGGGAUGGGGAUUCUUUCAAAUAAUUCUGACGGGGACGGGGAGGGGACGGGGACAUACCAAAAUAUCGGGGAUGGGUAUGGGGAGAUUGGUCCCCUCCCCUCCCCUCCCCAUUGCCAUCCCUAAAUUAGGACAUGUGGUGGAAUGAAAAUAAUUAAAUUUUAUAUAAAAACCUACGCAAUUAGUUACAAUAAAAAAUAAAUAAAUAAAUAUAUAUAUAUAGUAAUUUGGUUAUUUUAUAUUAUAAGGGUAAAAUAGUCAAAUUAAAUUUAUCUUGGGGCAACCUUCAAAAGUUAAAGAUUGUUAAAAGCUGAAGGCCAAAAAAAAAAUUGAUUUAAUUAAUUAAUUAUUCAAAGCUUUUAUUAAUUUGUAAUUUUAUAAAAUAAUGUAAAUUUAUUGUAAUUAUUUUAUGGAGGUGGAGGGGGUUUAUAAAAAUAGUGGGGUGGAAAUAUUCACACCCUUCAAUUAAUAGUUAGGAUAAUUUUUAGAUACUUCCCCUAAUGUUUGGCUUUGCUACACUUUUAGAUCAUUUUGAGAGAGAAUGUAUCUAUAUAUUGACAAGAGUGAUGAUACAACUACAAAUUUUUAUACAAACGUAUCUUGUAUAAAUUGAUUUGUCAUUAAUUCAUUAAUUGAAUAAAAAUAUAUCAUGUGGGCCAAAAGAUAUUUAAUUCAAAUAAUUUUAUUAUAUCACAUUAAUUUAUAUAAAAUAAAUUUGUAUAAAAAUUUAUAACUAUAUUAUUAUCCUAUUGAUAAUAUACACCUUGGCCGUGUAUAAGGGUUAGGCACUGAUUAAGUAGUUGCAGUUUUUUUUUUUUUAAAUCUUACAAAAGCUAUUAUACUGUAACUAAUAAGCUAGUGAAACCCGAGGGGAUAGUAACCCAUUUUCAUUGUCAAUGCCUAGCUUCAUUUCUUUUUUUUUCUUUUUUUUCUCACUUGAUGAGUGCUUAGCUUCAUGUCGAAGGUCGUGACACCAACUGAUUUUAGCAAAAGCAGAGAUACUUUGUGAUGCAGUAAGCUAACAAGUUUCUGAAAUCAACUAUGUUUUGAACCAAAUUUCGGCGACGACCAGCAGCUGAAAAGCCGGUGAUUAAAGGGCACAGUAGGUGCGUAAUUCUAUCAAAGCUUAAAACUGAAGUUAGGUUUUAUUAUUUUCUUGCAUUUUGUUGAAAUUGCUGUUAGUUAGGUGCUUUAUUCUUUGUUCCCAUUAAUUGAGAAAAAUGUUUAGGGUUUAUAGAAAUUGAAGUAACGACCGAAUAUAUUUGAAUUGAUUUUUGAGUUGAUAGUCACUCGAAAUGUUGUGUAAACCAUGAAAAUGAUUUAUUUUUUGAUGAUUUUGGACUGUGGGGUUUUUUUUUUUUUUGAAUUACAUGAGACUAAUGCUCAGAUUACAACUCAUAUUAUAUGAGAUUUACAACUGAUAUUUACAAUCAGACAAUUACUGGGCCUAAUUUACAUUAAUUCUUAUAUAGCAUUGCUCAGAUUUUACCCUCUCUAAUAUUCGAGGGGUGUCUACUCCACUCACAUUUCGAAAGGGAGAAGACUGACUUCACUUAAUAAUUAAGGAAGGAAAUAAACCCCUACAUGCGUCGCGGGGGCUCGAACCGCUGCGCUCACAGUUGUGAGUACAGGGUCCUGGCCACUGGGCUAAAGCCCAGUUGGUUGACUGUGGGUUUUGAAUGCUUACUGAAAUUUGCUUGAUAUGUUCUUUAAAUUGAGAAAAAUCCAAGCUUCUUCUAAGAAUACAGAGGUGUUGCUGAGAAAAUGCUUAUGGUGUUGUUUUGUUUCUUUUUUUAUUUUACAAGUGGGCAGUUCAUGAACCAGUACAGUUGAGAAAGUGUCUUUUGGGACAUUCAUUUUAAUACACAGAUUAACAGAUUUAAUUACAUAAACACAAGACUUCAUUUGUUUAUCCAAGUAGUACUUCUGAUGCUUUCGUAUAAUGAAUGCCAAAGAGAUGACAUUUGCAAAAAGGCCAUUUGAAUGUACCAAUUGCUAUCCUUGUAAACCUCUAUUGUGAUUCUGUUAUCAUUAUAUGUUUAAUGAUCUGAUGAUUUCGAGAUAUCAAGAUGAGUUUAUGGUAGUACAUGUUCAUUUAGCUACUUUAGGUACUAAUACAUGCAUUUAUUGUAUAAUGCCUACUUAGCAGCCAUAACUACACUCAUUGUUGAAGCUACAGCAACACAAAUGAGAAAAAACAUGCUGAGGAACAACAUUGUCUUUAUAUCAUUGCAUUUUACUCCAUUUUGUUGUGCUUUUUGCAUCAGUGACUUCAAAUCCAUCAUAUCCUUUUGCAUACUCAUCAGCAGUUCAUAAUUUGCUUGACAUGUUCCUAAACCAUCAAAUAUAACACCUCGAUCGAUAUCAUUUGAGGAUGGCAUCCAAAACUUGAAAUAGCCACAACCAUUUUUGCUAUCCAUACAGCAAUAACAUAGCUUGUUUGGGUUGUCAUCUGAUUGCGCUACCUUCAUAGUAGCUCUUUUGUAGCAUUUACAAAUCUUGUUUGAAAAUCGAAUGAAUUUAAAAUAUUAUCAUUUAUUGUUUUUUUGUAGCAUUUACUAAUCUUCUGAUAUUCAGUAUUGUUUUUAUAUAAAUUAAUUUAAAAUAUUAUCAUUUCUUUAUCUUAUUAUGUGAUUUUACACUAUCAAAUUAUUUGUUUUAAGGGGCAUUUUGGUCUUUUCAACACUCAUUUGAGUUUUGUCUUAUUAUAAGAAUAUGUAAUGUCAACAGCAAUUAUCAUAAGAGUAUAAUGGCCUUUUCACUGCUCUACAAACCCCCCCCCCCCCAACCCCGCGGCCAAAAACAAUUUCGCCCCAAAUAUAAAGAUCAUCUACCGUGUCCAAUAAUUUUGGCAUUCAUUGAAAUAUGUACUAAAGGGCAUUAUUGUAUAUUCACUCAACUACCUAACGAGUGCCUAACCUUUAUACAUGGCCGGGGAGUAUAUUGUCAAUAUAUGGAUACAUUCUCUCUAAGUGUAUCUAAGCCAAACCUCAGGGGAGGUUUCUAAAAGUUUUCCUAAAUAGUUAAUAAUUUUGUACAACAGAUUCUUGGAUACGCCUCAAGUUCACUGAUUGUACGUUAUGGCUGACUUUCAAGAAAUUAAAUUCUACAUUAUGACCCCCAGUGAAACAUUGUCGCCGAUAAAAUUAUAAAAUAUAUGUGUAAUAGUAGUCAAACCUAAACCUACGUCGUUUAGCAAUUUACAAAAUGAGAAAGACGACAAAAGCCAGGUGUUGGACCGGCAACGAGCCAACGAGAUAAGCUCAAGUUCACUGUGUUUUUUAUGAACCCUCUGAAGACCCGAAACUCUGGGUUUGUUUUUUACGUUCCCUAACUGUUUGACUGCAUUUUUAUUCUUUGCUACGUUCGUUAUGAACUGUUCAGGCUAAGUGCUCGACGAAAUCCCUAAGUGAGUAUGUAUAAUGGUUUGCUCUUGUAUUUAUUCUGUUAUAGAAGGUUUUGCUUUGGGUGGUUAAAUGGAGGAGACUAGACAUUGAACUUUAUGCACUUGUAUGUUUUCAAGUAAUUGGUUGUUCAGGGACAUGUACUUUGAAUUGCUUCAUUCAUCUUCAGAGAUAUCAUAACAUUUUUUGCUUAGUGUGAGUCUUAUUGUUGUUAAUUUGUCCAAAGUGAAGGCUUUUUUAACUUUUAUUUCUUUGAUUUAUUUAUUUAUUGUUGUGUCGAAGUUCUGUGUCUCAACUUUUAUUUGAUAAGUUCUUUCAGACUACUAAUUAGAAGAAAAAAAUGCUAGAGAGUGAGUAUGAGAGGGAAUGAUGUUUGGGCAAGGGGUGAUUGGUUCACUUGGCUCAUGAAGAACCCCAACUAUAAUGGCAUGUAUCAAUUUCGCAGCCUAAUUGGCAGGUAAGCUCAUUUCUUGAUUUCCUUCAAUUUUCACUUUCAUUUUACUGUUUUCAAGUAGCAGGUAAUCUAAAUAAAAGUAAAAUCAGUAGUGAUUUGCUUCAAGUGCAUGUGGAUAGUAUAUCACAUGUGAGAAGAUUGUAUUUGUUAUAUGAAAAUCCUUAAUAACUUUAAUUAAAAAAUAUAUUCUCAAACCUGAUCGUGGAAUGUACUAUUUCUUAAUAUCUGAGUUUGGAUCAACACAUUUUUUGCCAUGCAAUUUGACAAGUUGUCAUGUCCUCAUUCUGCGCUAUUAUAAGUUUUGCCAAUCUGCAUAGGUGUUUUUAUAGAUUGAGUUAAUCUAGUUUCGAGAACAUGCCUUACUAAAGGGCGUCGAGUUUCUAAAUGAAGGCAAGUGCAACUAUAAUUAUCUAUUUCAUAUCCUCCCUGUUACCUCUAAAUUCUUUCAAUAACUUGGGGACGUUAAUCCUAUUAACGACAGCCACAUAUUAUAAGUCGAGAAAACUGAUUUUUUGAUUAUUGAAAAAUUAAAUUUUUUGUAUUAUUCUGUUGAUGAUCUCAGUAACCUACCUGUUGCGGUUGUCUUGUAUGGAUCAUUGUUUCUCUUUUAAGCUGUUAUAUUGACAAUUUUUAGCUCUUAUUGCAGAUCUUAAAGUCAUUGCAAGCACAUGCUCCAUUGAUCUCCAUAAAUUCAGAUACAUAUGUAUAGUUAGCUAUUCAAACAACCACACGGGUAUUCAACUUCAAUAUUCAGAAACAUGGCUGAAGUGAAGCUUCAUGGGGUAUGGGCGAGUACAUUUUGUUACAGAGUGAUAUGGGCUCUGAAAUUGAAAGGCAUAGCAUAUGAUUACAUUGAAGAAGAUCUCUCUAACAAAAGUGCUUUGCUUUUGAAGUAUAAUCCAGUUCACAAGAAGGUCCCAGUGCUUGUUCAUGACGAAAAAUCCGUUUGCGAGUCCAUUGUUAUCCUUGAAUACAUUGAAGAGAUGUGGCCAUACAAUCCCUCCUUGAUGCCAAGUGAUUAUCCUAUGAUAGAGCUCUGGCUCAUUUCUGGAUUAAAUUUGCCGAAGACAGGGUUCGCUUCAGAACUCUAGCUAAUGCGUUUAUAAGUUCAUUAUUUUCAUGUUUAUUUCUUAUUAGAGAAAAUGAUCAGUAUCCCCCAUUGUGUGUCAAAAUUAAUCAUUUCUUCUUUUAUGUUUUAAAACCUAUCAAAAUCUCCAUUGUUGUUAAAAAAAUUCUGUUAACUUUCAACUUUUUGUGUCUUUUACUAAUUUACCUCUGGAAAAAUUUUUAUUAUUAAGAAGUUGAAAGUUUAUUAGAAUUUUUUUAAUGGCAGGGGAAAUUUUGAUGGCUGUUGAAAUAUGAGGGAGAAAGGAAUUGAUUUACCAAAACAGCAUUGGGGUUUUGUUGUUCAUUUACCCUCUGUCAUUCGAUGUAGUGGUUAACCUUUGGUAUAAGGAUGCUUGACAAGGGUAUUUAGGUCCAAGUCUUUUAGCUCAUAUGUAUUAUUAAUCAUGUGGUGAUAUUUUGGCAGGGAGCUACUGUUUGGAAAAAGUUUCGUAGCGUACAAGAUCAAGAGAAUACAAUGAAAGAAAUCUUGGAAAUGCUAAAAACCGUUGAAGAACAUGGCUUAGGAGAGAAGAAAUUUUUUCAUGGAGACAAGAUUGGCUUAGUGGACAUAGCAUUUGCUUCUAUUGUUUAUUGGUUGCAAAUAAUUGAAGAUGUAGCAAGAGUGAAACUAUUUGAAUCUCACAAAUUCACUAGCUUACACGGCUGGUUUGAAAAUUUUAAAAGAGUCCGAGAAAUUGAAGAGAACCUUCCUAAUCGGGAUGAACUGUUGGUUUUUUUCAAACGUCGCCGUGAAAAGUUGGUGGCCUCAUCCUCAUUGCAUUAGCACAAAAUUUGUUCAUGCAAUUGUAUUGUUGUCAAGAGGCCGCUCUUUGCUUAGUUUUUUAUUGUCUUUUGUGCUCAAUUGGGAGGCCGCCGGUUUGCUGGGUACUUUCAUAUGGAUUUGAGUAAUAAAAGGGACUUGACUUUAUAUUUAUGAAUUAUUGCAUGUAUUUCGUUAAUUAUUAAUGGACUACUAGCGGUUAUGUAUUGUUUGGAAGGAAGUUUGAAUGCUACGAUGUACUAAUGACUUAAUGACAUGUGUCAAAAAAAAUCAGUUAAGUAAAGUCAACUCGAUUGAACGAAUGGUAAUAUAGCUCUCAAAAGUUAGAAAUAAGCUUCCUAUGGAAAAAGAUAGUUUCGGUAAUAUGUCUAACAUUAAAGGGUAUUAUCGAAACUUAAAUUUUAAUGGUUAGACCCAGUAUGUGAACAGUGUGCCAUUAUUUUUAGGGUUAUAUUUUGCUAAGAAUAACGAGCCAAUAGAACUUUAGAGAUUUUUUUCUAGAUCUAAUUUGUUGAGAGACUUCUUCAUCUUCUUCAUCCUCUAUUUUUAGGGUUUCUUUCUCCAUUUUAACACCACCAUGGAAAAUCUUAACCAUCUCAUCUCCAAAAGAAACCUCUUCCCUUACUCUUUUCUUGGAAAACUCUCUAAUUUGGGCCAGGCACCUAAAAUCUUGUGUGUUCUUUAUUGUUUAUGCUUAUUUUCUAUUUAUUAGGAUGAUGAUAAUGCUCAGAUCGUAUUUCAUAUAUGAGCUCACUAGAGGUAUACCACGAGCUCUAUUGGGUUCCCCAAAUAAGCUCUCUAGUUAAAGCUAUCCUUAAAUUCGCUAGAGCUACUCCCUAAACUCUCUUGACCUCCGCAAAUCAACUCUUGAAACUAAAUCCCAUGAGCUCCACAAAGCUUACCUCCCAACAGCAGAACAUCAAGCUUAUCUCAAUUCAUCUUCCAGAUCACCUCAGUUAUUUCUUUUGUCCCUAACAGUAGAAAAACACACUUAGAUUUUUACUAGCCCAAUCUCACCUCAAAUAUAAAUUUAUUUAUUUAAAUUGUCUUUGACCUAGAUCUAGUGAGGACAAUGAUUCAAAUCAGAUCCUAGAGGAAAUCCGGUCAAAACAUGUAUCUAUGUAUAAUAUUUAACAUCAUCCUAACGAUAAAUCCGAAUGCACUUGGAUUUGUUCUUAAUAGUACACAAAAGUAGAAAAAGCAUAGCAAGCAACACUUGCACACACGAGGCUCAAUACAAGUACGAACGUCACAAUUCCAAGCAACAAACAAUGAUCCAUCAGUACUAAUUUUUUCUGCAAGCCACCAAAUUGGAAAAUACCGCCAAGUAAUUAAUUAACCACUGUGACUUGCCAGCUUAAGCUAAUCCAAUGCUGAGAGUUCAUUAUUCUUCAAGGAUUGGUUAUUGUAAAUGUCUUUUAGAGUAAUUUCAGGAUAGAGCGGAGGAUUUACUUCUGAUAGCAACUCUUUAAUUGGACCAUAUCGUCUCGAGCAACUAUUAUUCAUGAAAACACUUCCGAUUGAAAUUCUGGAGCCUUCCUUAUUUGAUAACACUCUAUGAUAGGCACUCUUGAACUUAUCGUUGGUAAUCAGCUGCAUGAACACAAACAUGUUGGUAAUCAGCUGCAUAAACACACACUUCAUAUAAACGAUAAUUAAGUUAUCUGAUAGAGAUUCAUGCUCAGGUGUAGAUGUUCACAUGAAAUUUUGUGAGGACGAUUCUUUCACAGUAUUGUGAAAGUGUGUGUCCGCACAAGAUUUAGUGCGAAUGUCGCACCAGAGAAUUUUUGAUAGGUCCCGAUCAAAUACAGAAAAGCAAUGCCUGAUAUUUGUUCAGUUUAUGGUAUGAACAACCAGUAUUUGUUUAACUAAUUUAUUUAUUUUUUUUUGUUUAACUAAUUUUUUUUUUUGUUUAUUGAUAAUUCUUCUCCUUUUAUUCGCAGCGGAGAACUAAUUUAUAGUAGCUAACCUUACAAGUCUUUGAUUCCUAGCCAACAAUAUCAGCUAGAUUAUAGUAAAAUAAAACAAGAAGAAAUAUUUAAAGAUAACUUAGAGACCGAAUCCAAAUCAAACAUGACCACCACGCUUUGAUUCUCUUCCAAACAGGAAACGAAAAUUUUGACGUGGUAAUUCUCCUGCUCUCGUUUUGACACUCAAUAAACUCAUCCUGCACGUGAAACACGGUCUGCAUGAAGCCAUGCAUGGCUUGCAUGAGCACAGCUUGGUUCCUUAUCAAUACCCCCUCGUGGAAGAGGACCCUUGUCCUCAAGGGUCAGCAAAGGAAUUAUUGUUGUAGCAAUGCCGUAUCUUCCCAAGUUGUUCUCUUUUGUUUUCUUCACCAUGUAGUUCCUCUGCAACUUCUUCACAAGUGAUCUCGUUGGUGUCGUUGUAGCUCUCGAGAAGUAGAAGUUGAGGCCCUUGACAUUUAUGACCCGCAGUGAAUCGUUCGUUGCAAGUGAAACACAGUCCCUGAGCUCGUCGUCGUUGCAUUUCAUCCCACGGUAAUCUUUUGACAGGCACGGUUGGUGAUGCUUGAGUAGGUGGCAAUGUUGGCGGUGUGCGACUGGAGGGUGGCUGGAAUAAUCUCCGUUGGUGUGUUAUCUGGUCAUCUUUCAUACGAGCAAGGCUGAUGGCUUCCUUUAACGUACGUGGCCUGAACAUCCGUAUAUCCUCUGCAAUCUCCGGUUUCAAUCCUCCCAUGAAAGUUCCUACCAACGCUUUCUGUGACCACCCAUGAACUCGGUUUCCCAACCUCUCGAAUUCCUUCUGGUAUUCUCGCAGAGAACGUGUUUGUUCGACCCGAGACAGUGCUUCAUCAAAGUCUUCACAAUCCGUUGGUCCGAAGCGCGCCCAAAGCUCGUCAACAAAUGUUUCCCACGUAACCGGUUGGCCUUCUUCUUGGUAAGCCUUGCGCAUCCACUGCCACCAUUGAUUUGCUUCGCCCUCCAAGUGAUAUGACGCUACGACUACUUUCUGCUCAUCUGUGGUUUCUUGGUACUCAAAAUACUGCGUUACCCGAUUGAACCACUCCGUUGGGUCGUCGCCGGCAUAGCGGGGAAACUCCAACUUAGCAAUUCUUGUCGGCAACGGUGGUCGACGUCCUUCACUUUCCUCACGGAAUGGUCGUGAAGAUCCAAUGUGCUCGUUAGUGCCGCGACUGGCAGUGCCUCUGGUUGCACUAAAAGAUUCUGCCAAUUUGCUCAGAGUGUCCUCCAGACGCUGCAACUUGUCAUUGAUCCCAAUUUCUAUUUGUUCCAUCUUGUUCUGUAAGUUCCCGAUAUCAGCUUCAAUUCGUUCGAUGCGUUCCUUGUUGGUUGCCAUUAAUAGCUAGCUCUGAUACCAAUUGAUAGGUCCCAGUCAGAUGCACGCUAACAAUGACUAAAAAAGAUGAUAAUGUUGUUCUGCUUUUGGUGAGAACGGCUAGAGAUAAUUUAGUUUGAUAAUUCUUCUCCUUUUAUUCGCAGCGGAGAACUAAUUUAUAGUAGCUAACCUUACAAGUCUUUGAUUCCUAGCCAACAAUAUCAGCUAGAUUAUAGUAAAAUAAAACAAGAAGAAAUAUUUAAAGAUAACUUAGAGACCGAAUCCAAAUCAAACAUGACCACCACGCUUUGAUUCUCUUCCAAACAGGAAACGAAAAUUUUGACGUGGUAAUUCUCCUGCUCUCGUUUUGACACUCAAUAAACUCAUCCUGCACGUGAAACACGGUCUGCAUGAAGCCAUGCAUGGCUUGCAUGAGCAACUUGCAUGAGCACAGCUUGGUUCCUUAUCAAUUUUAAAUUCGAUGGAUAGUAUUUCUUAAUAAGUUAUCUAACACACACUUGCCUGCAUCAUGUAGCCUAAGUUUACAACUAGAGCUCCCGGAACAGGGGCAAUGUCAAACCACUGAUCUUCGUGAAAGACUUGGAGGCCACCAAUUUGAUCUUGUAUGAGCACAGUGACAAAUCCAGGGUCAGAAUGUGUUGCUAUGCCGAUGGACAAUUCUGGUUGAGGGCAUUCAGGGUAGUAACUAUUCCCAAUAGUCAUUUCCUCUACACAACCUAUGUCUUUCAGGUAAUUGGGGUCAAGCCCUAAAGCUUCGGAUAAAAGUUCAAACAGAGUGUCCCCUGUUUUCCACAUUAGGUUGUUGUAUGUGAUCAUUAUCUCUCUGCAAAUUAAUAAAGACAAAAAAUAAUCACUACUAAAAGAAAGGGAGAAUGACAUUUCGACUUUUAGAAAUUAUUUUUUUAUUGGGUUAACAUCUAGAUGAAAUGAGAGUAAUAAAACUUAUUAGGAACCCAAGUGAUGCAAAAAGUUCUAAGAAAGAGGCAGGUGUUAUCCACUGUAAAAGAAAUAAAAUCUAUUGGUCAUCGUCCACAUACCUGCAAGCUUCAGGCAAAUCUUCAGGAUUUGAAAAAUAGCGACCCAUAACACAACUCAAAGUAUCUUUCCAAAAGAGAGUCGGUGCACUAUACAAAUUUAAAUUUGAACAAUAUUUAAUUUUUUUGGAGUAAUCACGAGAAUAAUAUUUCUGCUUAACCUCAACAUCUUGUUCAAAAAACCUACGGAUCCCAUCAAUGGCUUGAUCCAAAAUGCUUGUUGGGAUUCCAUGAUUGAUCACUUGAAAGAAACCCCACUCCUCACAAGCACUUCUAAUUUGGUCAAUUACCUGAGAACGCAAGCUUGAAUCCUUGUGUAUUCUUUGACGGUCUAUCAUUGGGAUGCUGAUUUUGGGGUCCCUGCAGAUUGGCUUAUCAUCAAACUUAUGUUUAGUGUGAUGAUCUUGAAUGAAGAUCUGUGGAAUGGUUGUGAUCCCAGCAUCUACGAGUCCCUUAACGCCAGCUUUCGUGUCAUCAAAAGCUUUCAACUCGCUAACUCUGUCACAAGUAAUGCUUCCCAUUGCUUGGUGAAUUAUCUUUUACUCGGUGAAUUAUGAAGUACAUAUGCUGACUUGCUGAUGAUUGCUUUUGGGAGAUACCGUUUAUAUGAUUUCUAGCUUGCCACGUGCAACAUGUUGAAAUAUAACGUCACCAUGAUGAUAUGGAAAUUUGUAAAUUUGAUUCUGCAUUAUUUAUCAUGAUUAAAUUAAUUAUAAAUUAUCAAUAACAGUGAAUUCCGGGGACCACCAACCAGUGGGUGGCACAGCACAAUAAUAGACUGGGCUGUGGCUUUGUUUUAUGUGGACAAAAUUUCAAUUAGCAUAUUGCUGCUUGAUAGUUAACGUUUCACAUUCUCCAUUUGGACAUGCUAUUAUGGAUUCACAGUGUUGCUUAAAAGAUAGAUCUUAAAUGAAAAGAAAGCUUUAAUGGUGAAAUAAAUAUUAAAAAAAAUGAUAAAGAGACUAAAUGUUAACCUAAUGUUAACAAAAAUAAUGGUAAAAUAAACCUGUUUUAUCAUGUUAAUAAUAGUGGUACAUAUUUAACUUUAAUAAAUUUGGCCAUUUCGAUUUUUAAUUUGGCACCUUCCCUGCUCAGUCAAGAAAAAGAAUACUAUAAAAAUUAAAAUAGAAAAUUUGGCAAGGACAUAACUGCAGAAGUGUUAUAUAUCAAAGCAAUGUCAAAGUUAUAAUACUUCCCUUAUUAAUGAGAAGAGCACUAGCAUAUACAAGAUCGACAAUCACUUAAAUUAAGCCUUAAUAAUACUAAACUACAUACAUGGGAUCUAAUGCGUACAAGCAAUGCUUUCUGGUCACAGCAGCUUUAGGCUUUCAGCUACAGUAUAAAGUGAAACUGUCGCUUGAAAAUAAAAUUCAUGUUCGGCAGCCUCUUUCUAUCCGAGCUCCAUUUUUAUAACCAGGCAGCUAAAUAAGAUGAUUUAGAUGGCAACGGCGUCUGUAGUAUUAAUUGUUUUUCUGUAGUCCCUCAUUAUCUACUUUCUGAUCGCUUACUGUGUAGAGAAUCGACAAGAGCAAAUUGUAGCACACGUUCACAGCACUAAUAACUGUUAAACUCUUAUAGUACUUAUCAAGCCUACUACCAUCCAAGGUUUUAGCCAAGUCGCCUUUGUUUGCCAAAAUGAAAAAGAUGUUAAAAAUGCUUCCAAUUCCGACGAAAAAAGAACUUAUUGCUGAUACAUGGUACUCCAUCCGUUCAGGAAAAUGAGAGCUCGAGUAUUCAUCACAUCCAUGCAAAGCAAGCCCUUCCAUAAGACCCAAUAGACAGAAUUGUGGAACAAGCCAAAACAUGCUCAUAUUUUCCAAUUGUUUGAGCUUUUCCAACCUGCGAACCUCAACCUGCCAUGCCACUGCGCAGCAAACUGUAGUCAUCAUCAUUCCAAUGAAUGUUCUUAACACUUGAGCUUGUCUCUUUUUAUUUUUUGGAACAAAAUUGGAAAUUAAUUGUUUUGACAGACAAGAGAUCGUUGCACGAAUUAUCCCUUUACAAUUGUUUCAUUAUCACGACCCAAAUGAAAUGGCACUUGAGCAAAUGUACGAUCAAACAUGCUAAAAUCAAAUACCAAAAAAUAAAAUUGGAAUUGGAAGAGUAAAUAGCAAAAGAUUGGAUGAAAAUUGAAUACCAUAACAUAAAAAAAUUAAAAUAAAUUGAAAUGACAAGAGUUAAUUAAGAGCAAAAAGAUGCUUGACUUACCAAGAGCAAGGACCAAGCAAAUGGUGUUACAUUCGGGCUUGAUGGUGAACUGGUUGGAGAUGGGUACGAAUGUGAUCUCGUUGAGAUUUGGAGAAGAAAACGGGGAAAUAGAUGCAAUAUCUUUGUUACUGUUUUUUGUUUUAACUUUAUUUUACUGUUGAUCACGUGCAACUCAUUAAAAUUUCUAAACGCAGUUAUUAUUGUCGUUUCGGUGUUCUCGGGCUAUCACAUGCUCGGUACGUCUAUCACUAAGUCUACUCUUAAUAAAUUUGGCCACUUAGGUUUUUAAUUUUGGCUCCUUCCCUACUCAAUCGAGAAAAAGAAUGUUUUUCUAGAUAAAAAUUAAAAUAGAAAAUUCAGCAAGGACAUAACUGCGGAGAUGUUUGAUCCUGGAUUUAUAUAUCAAAGCAACAUCAAAAUUAUAAUACUUCCUUGUUACCGAGAAGAGAUAUAUUCAAUAGCACCAGCCUAAAUAAAGCCUAAACAGUACUAAACUACCUACAUGGAAUCUAAUGCGUACAUGCAAUGCUUUCUAAAGUGAAACUGUCGCUUGAAAAUAGAAUUCAUGUUCAGCAGACUCUCUCUAUCCGAGCUCCAAUUUUAUAACGAGGCAGCUAAAUAAGAUGAUUUAGAUGGCAUCGCUCCCUAUAGUAUCGUUUGUCUGUAGUCCCUCAUUAUCUACGAUCUGAACGCUCCCUAUAGUAUUGUUUGUCUGUAGUCCCUCAUUAUCUACGCUCUGAUCGCUCGCUAUAGUAUUGUUUGUCUGUAGUCCCUCAUUAUCUACGCUCUGAUCGCUUCCUAUAGUAUUGUUUGUCUGUAGUCCCUCACUAUCUACUUUCUGAUCGCUUACUAUGUAGAGAAUCGACAAGAGCAAAUUGUAGCACACGUUUACAGCACUAAUAACUGUUAAACUCUUAUAGUACUUAUCAAGCCUACUACCAUCAAGGUUUAGCCAAGUCGCCUUUGUUUGCCAAAAUGAAAAGAUGUUAAAAAUGCUUCCAAUUCCGACGAAAAAAGAACUUAUUGCUGAUACAUGGUACUCCAUCCGUUCAGGAAAAUGAGAGCUCGAGUAUUCAUCACAUCCAUGCAAAGCAAGCCCUUCCAUAAGACCCAAUAGACAGAAUUGUGGAACAAGCCAAAACAUGCUCAUAUUUUCCGAUUGUUUGCGCUUUUCCAACCUGCGAACCUCAACCCGCCAUGCCACUACACAGCAAACUGUAGACAUCACCGUUCCAAUGAAUGUUCUCAAUACUUGAGCUUGUCUCUGCUUCGUUUCCGGAACAAAUUUGGAAAUUAAUUUUUUCGACAGAUAAGAGAUCGUCGCACGAAUUAUGGCUUCAAAAGUAAGUAGAAAGAUUAAGUAACGUUGAGAAAUCAUUCUGGCUCCCUGCUCAGGAAAAAAUGUAUUUCCCGCUGACAGAACCAAUCCAAACACAAUGAAGCUAGACCACAAUGGCAACAAUUUAAGAAGAUAUUUUGACUCCCUGACCUGGGCCACAGUGCAAAGUGUGCCUGCCUCUUCUUGUUCUUUAGAAGUACUUGAUGUCUCUAUAAUUGCCGCUUUGUCUAUCCAUCUGCAAUUCAAACAAUUAAUUUAUUGGCAAUUUUUUUAAGGAAAAUAGGAAGCGACAGCUCAUGGUUUGGCAAAAUGAUCACAUAGACUCUUUUAUAAAUACACCUUUUUGGACAAAUCUUGGAGGUCAGUGUGACCAUUUCUGAAUACAAAAGGGUAUCAGUGUGUCCAUAAAAAGGUCUAUGUAAUUGUUACUAAAAAAAGAGGGUCUCCCCGACAAUUUUGCCAGACCACGAGCCGGGUGUGGGUUUAUACAUGUUAGGUAUAUACCUGAGUAAUUUGAUUCUGGGUGACAAGUGUAAUACGUUUCCCUCAUCAUUACUGAAGAACUGCUCCGGAGAAAGAGGAUAAUUGAGAUGCUUUUUCUUCAGGGAGGUUUUAACGACACGGAUUAUAGCAAAUCGGUCAACAGGAGGUAUUUGUCUACUAUGAUAAAAGGGAAUACCCAACAACAACAGGAUCAAACUGCCCCCCAUAAACAACAAUGUGAACUUGAAAGUAUUCUCCCAUGUUUCAAUAUUAUUUGCAUGGAAUGCUGCAGCUACACCGCAGCACCAGGCAAACCGCCACCACACUCUUUUCUGAGCCAUUACUUGAUUCUCAUUUGUAUUUUCUGUGCUCCCUUCUUCACCAUGUUCUCUUAAUUGAUCGGCAAGAAAUGGUCCCAAAAGAGGCGCCGCUCCAACUUCACCCACUGCUAACAGGACAAUUCCUAUCAUGUUGAGUAGCUCAAACUUGGUUUUUGAAAAUUUUCUGGACGCUGUAUAGAACAAUAGCCCCAAUGCCUGAAACGAAAAUUGUUGGAACUAAUUGUAUAGCAUAACAUUAUGAUCCUAAAAAUGCUUUGUUUAAUCAUUAUUAUAAUCAGGAGUGCAGCCAAAAUGAAUACAUGCCACAUCAAUUAUAGCUUAACUAUUGGGAUCUUUAGCAUUAUUUUCAUAGGGGUAAGGCUCCUAAUAUCCUCUUAUUACGUAUAUUUUUCUCUAUAUUCUGUGAAAUUUAACAUAUGCUGCAAAAUAAUAAUUUCUAAAUUUAGCCUAAAGUACUACAAAAUCCAGGGUCCACCCCUGGAUAUAUAUUUCUUGCAGAUGAUAGACAUAUGUUUUAAUUUAGCAAAUUUAAAACAUAUUUACUCACAAGGAUGUAGGAGACAGUUGAAAAUAUGAGGAUUCUGAGAGGACGGAUGGCAUAACACGAAAUCCAGGCGGCAACAACCGCAAGAGUUGCUAAUAUUCCAUCCUGAAUACUCGUAAAUAUUGCAGCUUUCAGAAGUGUGAAUAGUUCUGAAUAUUCGGAGUCGGAGAAGUAAGUUAUCAAGACGCCCACUACAGCCAAGUCUACCAGUUUGCGGCUUAUCAACAAACCUGGACUCAAAAUAUAAUCAUUAGAAGAAAUGUUCGUGCUCACUGAAAAAAGCUUACACAUGAAAACUACAAGAACAACAUAAAAACUGUUGCCAUGUUUUUAUUAUUUAGCCCAACUUAGUCUAAGAUAUUAAGUACACCCUCUUAACUAAAUAAAUACAUUUUUAAAAGAUAUGAUUUCCUAAGGCGCCUCAAGCAAAAUUACCUGACAUAAAUGCAGCAGCCUUACAAAAACAGACGUAAUAUCGUACCCAAGUUAUGAACCUCUUUUUAAGCUUCAACAACUGAGAAAAUGGAAACAUUGUAGUUUCUGAAACUGCUUCUUUUAUCUGCAAAUACUUCUACUUGUGAGCUGUGAAUCCCGAGACGAUGAAGAUUUUGUAAUUAUACCAAAGUCUUCGCUAGUCUUCUAAAAAGUUAGUUUAUUCAAAUUAAAAAAUAAUAAGUCGCACUUCAAGACCAGCUAUUGGUCACAUAAGUCAAAAUAAUGACUUACUGUACAGCUCAAUAAUUUUAGGUGGUAUGAAACACGUUUGAUGAGACGGUCAUAAUUACACUGUACCAUGAAUGAUCCUUAUUGAGUAUAUAACCCCUUUCUUUUUUCAAACAAGAUUUACGCUUUAAUUUUGGGAGGUUUGCUAAGUUCUUUCUUUUUGUAAUGGUUAAGGAGACUGACAAUUUUCUAUUGAAGUUAUUUAUACAUGUAUUUCACUUUUAGAUAAAUAAUGUUGUACAAACUAAUGUGAUAAUUUUUUAGAAAAAAGUAUAUGUAUAUCCUUAAGAUUUUAAAAAAUGGUCAUAUACACUCUGAGUUUUCAAUAAGGGACACCAAAAUACUUUUUUACUAUAGUAUCCUUAAUAGAUAGUAACAAAAAAUAUUGACUAAAUAUUUUAAUAAAUAUAAAUAAAAUUUAAAUAGUUUAAUUUGUCUAGUAGACUAAUAACAUUAGAAUGUUUCUUAAUAUAUAAAAUAAUUUUUAAAAUAUAAAUUAUUAUAUUUAUUUUAUUAAUAUAUUUUUACUUAUUAUAAAAAUUUUAAAUAAAUAUUUAGGUUAGAUUUUAAAUUUAAUAAAAUACAUGUCAUGUACUAAUAAUAUUAAAAUUAUUUUAUAUAAUAUUAAAAAUAAUUUAAAUUUUUAAAAUUUUAUUUAAUAUUAUGUUUCAAUUUAUUUUGAAAUUUAAUUUAUUUUGAAAUUUAGUUUAAUAUAAUUUAAUGUUGUAAAGUAUUAAAAUAUUUUAAAAAUAUUGAAAUUAUUUUAAAAUGUAUAUAUUGUUACAUUUAUUUUAAUAUUAUACUUCUAUUUAUUAUAAAAUAUUAAAAAUAACAUUUUAGUCAAAAGGGAGUUUUGGUGUCUCUUACUGAAAAAAUGGAAUGUACAUAACCAUUUUUUUGAAUUUUCAAGGGUGUACAAGUCAUUUUUCCUACUUUUUUUAUAAUCAGUUGAAUUAAAAAAAGUCAUGUGGCCACAUAUAUUAUUUCUUAUUUAUAUUUUCAAUCAGCAAAUCAUAAUGUGUCAUAUCUGUUUGUAUACGCAUUUAUGAACAUAAAAAAGUAAGGUUAGGCACUAGUCGGGUUGGAAAUCAACCCAUCCAACCCAUGUAUAGUGCUAAUUGGGUGAGUUGGACUUAUCUCGAGACCCAUUUUCUGUCUUUGAAAUAUCAAUAAGAAAUUAAAAUAAUUAAAAAAUAAUUUAAUAAAAACAACUAAAAAUAGAAUACAAAAUUACAAAUAAUAACUAUCCCUCAAACUUCAUUGUUAAUAAAAAAAUUAUUUGUAUAGGAUACUAAUCACACCAUAAAAAGUAAUAGGGUGAAUUCAAGAGUUGGGUUUGAAAAUUUUCAACACCUAGGAAAUAUAGUGCAUUUUCUCCACCCCUAAGAAAUUAGGGGUUGGCUUUCUACUUGAUUUUAAGUAGAGAAAAUGAUCAAAACUACCUUAUUGUUUGUUAAAAUUAUAGGUUGAAUUUAAGAGUUGGGUUUGAAAGAUGCAAUGUGUUCAUAUAUAUGGAAUGUGCUUUCUUUAUAGUGAUUUAUGGGAUGUGCUUUCUUUAUAGUGAUUUAUGGAAUGUGCUUUCUUUAGCACUUAGCCGAAAGAUUCAAAUUUCCAUUAAUAAGACGGUUAAUGAUGAUUUCAAAGAGCCAAAAAGAUUUCAAGAAAAUACAUGUUUUCAACUUUGUGUACAAAUUAAUUACGUCUGUAUUUGGAUGGUUAAUGUAAACUAGUCAGAUAAUUAACCACGCAUUAAUUAAUCAAAUUUUUAUUAUUUAAUAUCUUUGCAUCGGAUGAUCAUUGAUCAAUUAACAAUAUAUUUUCCUUUUGUGCAUGUAUCCACAUUGGACGUCAAUAUAGUAAUUUGUUAUGAAAAAAAAAUCAAUCAAAAUUAUUUUUAAUAUUUUUAAUAUUUUUAAUUUUCUAUCUAACUUAGUGCUUGUUUAGUAUAAAAUAUCUAACGCCCAGCAGUAGGAUAACUCCAACAAUUCCCCUCACACAUCGGACCUUGGGUCAGAAGAUAGACACUCGUUCUCUUUAUUAGAUUGUUGGGUUGAGAUUGUUGAUGAAUGUGGACUCUGAUACUAGUGUUAGGUAGUCUUAAACUUCUCUCAACCCCAAAAGUUAGUUUCAGGGGUGAGAUUUUCCUGACAUUUAUAAAAUCACCAAUAGUCCUUUUCACAAUCCAUGUGGGACAACUUCGAUAGUUUGAUUGUAUUUUGAGUAUAACUUUUGAAGAUUAAAUAAAUUAUUUUGCUUCUAUUAGUAAAACCUUAAAAAUUAGAUUUUUGAGAGUGAUGGUCAUAGUACUUAAAGAAUAAAUUGUGUAGAAUAACGUUUUAUAUAUUAAAUGAUCUUAUUCCAUUCUUUUUAUUUUUUAACCUAACAAAAACCUAGUCCCUUCCCCACCCAUUUGAGUAAGUUGCGAAUCUCAGAUCCCUUGCUUUCAACCAGAUGAUACCCAUAAAUUAGAUCAAAUCCUUUUCAUAAUAUCACUUGCCGCAAUAGUAAAAUUAAACAAAGCAAAAGUACUCUUUUUAACACCAAUACAAAAACAAAACAAGCAUAAAGCAAGACACAAAAUAUUAAAAUAAAAAUCAUAAUAUUGCAUAUCUCCACAUGCCACCAACAUUUUCCAUCAACUGUUUGAAAGAGAUCCUCCAUCUCAUCCUGCUUUGGAAGCCAUUCUAAGGAGACUUGCUUGAAAUUUUUAAACCACUCGUGUGUAAGCUAGGGAAUUUUUAAGAUUCAAAUAGCUUCACUCCCUCUAUGGCUCCAUUUUGUAUAACUUUUUAAAUAGAGUUGAUUUAAAUAGGCAUUCAAUUAGUAGAGUUUUUACAAAUAGAUCUUUUACCCAAAAAAAAAAAUUGUUUAGUUCAUUAGUUGUCCAAAGAGAUUUUAUUAAAAAUUAAAAAUUUAUUUUAAUGUACAAAUUUUCUAAGUUAUGUUGUGAAAUGGAUACGAAUAAAAUAAGAAUAUAAAAUAAAUAACGGGCAUAUUAGAUAAUUUAAUAAUUUAAAAAAGUUUUCUAAUCUCUACUCUAAAAAAUUCAAAAUUCGAGUUUUUACUAAUAGAGUCAAAAUAAUUUAUUUAAUCCCAAAAACUAAAUUCAAAAUAAAACCAAAGAACAACCAAAAUUUUGAAAGAAUUUUUAAAAUUAAAUAAAUAUAUAUGACCAUUAAAUAAGCUAAUACUAAACAAGCACUAUACCUUUGAAGGACUUGCAACCCAUCCAAACGCUAGGUCCACUAAGCCAAUAUUGUUCUUGUCCAGUGCUAAAAAAGCAUUUUUCCAAACAGCUCCACCCUGCCCCAAUAUAUAUAAAUAAUAUGGAUAAGAUUCUCUCUUUCUUUCUUUUUUUUUUCCCCCUCUCAUAUUCUUCAACAAUGUUGAAUUAACAAGUGAUCCUAUUUUUAAUUUAAAAAAGGAGUCAUGUUUUUAUUAAUUUUCAAAUUACAUCUAUGUUUUGAUUAAUUAAAAAGGCCAGCUAAUGAGAUCAUUAAUUUGGUCAACUACUCAGAUAACCGUGCAUCAAUUAUACAAUAGGCAUUUCUUUCCCAAAUUAAUAUAUUUGCGUCAUGCAUGACGAUCAUGGAUCACUUGUAUUAGAGAGCUUAGGUGCCCAGCGAGUAAGUUGCAAGCUGCUAUCUUUGGCCAUACCUUUGAAGCACAAAUACUUCUUUUUAUUCUUGUUUGAUAGUACGGUUAAAAUCAAGGCAUCAAUCAGGAAGGUGCGCAGCAAGUCAGGUUGCCCAGCCGCUGUCUUUGACUGUACCUUUGAAGCACAAGUACUUCUUUUCAUUCUUGUUUGAUAGCACGGUUAAAAUCAAGGCAUCAAUCAGGUGGGUGCCCAGCAAGUUAGGUUGCCGAGCUGCUGUCUUUGACUAUACUAAUGGUUGUCGAAGCCAACAAAAAUAAAUACUUACCCUAAAUAAAUUGUGUAUAGUGAUUGAGCAGGGUCGUGUCCACAGAAAUCGGUAAUUAUUUAAAUCCUUUUAAAAUGUAAAACGUAAAAUGGGGGAAUUGUUGACAAUAAUAGAAAUCAAAUUAAAAUAACAAAAAUGUAAAUUAAAGUUGUAAUUCAAAUUGGAGAAAGCUCUGGUUGAAGGAAUUAACCCAGCUUGAUUCGACUACUGAUCAUUGAUUCAUAUAUAAAUUAUUAUUACUUAUGAAGAGACCGGUUAUAGCUACUGAGACCCUCUAAUAGCUAAUCUCUCCUUAACUAGUCGAUAACCAAGGUAGGACCGUUGGUUAUUUCCCUAAUCAAUAGACAACCCUAGAUAAGAUCAUAGGAUUUAAUCAAUUGACAGCCUGAAAAACUAGAGAGACCCAAAUCCUAAUCAACAAACACAUACGAUGACUCAUUUAAAUUAGAUUGUUUAUUCUCACAACACAACUCUCUGCUAUGUUAUUUGUCACAAACAUUAAAAUCUUCAUACGAUGAAUCCUUUAAUUAACAAUAGAUUAAGUUGAUAAUUAAAUAGUGGCCAAUUAUCUAAUUAACAAACAUAAUCAUGAUAAUAAUUCAGAGAAUAAACAAAUACCCAGAAAGUAAUAAAACAAUUAAAGCAUAAGAAAGAUCUCACAGUAGUGAUGAAUCAAAGCUUCAUUAACCUUCAACCAGAAAAAUAGAUUUAGUUCUUCAUAGAGAGAAGAGAAAAAUUUAGAUCUAGGGUUUCUUUCUCUUCUCCAAUUCUCCCUUUUUUCACAAUAAAUUCCUCCCUUAAAUACUCUCUCUCUCUUCUCCUCUAGAGUUGUUUUUUUAAAAUAAAAUACUAAUAUCUGAAACAUUAAAUUCGUAAUUACAAAAAUACAAAACACGUUAAACUAAAAACUGCAGGUCCGUAGUUGACAGCACGCGCCCACGUCUUAUCAACAAAGUUCUUCUGACGCUCAUAAUUUCUCCAAGAAAACAAUCAUCCUUAAAUAUCAUCUUGUAGCUUAAUUUUAUGAUCAAUCAAUAGAAUUGCACCUACGAAAGUAAAACACAAGUUAAUCACUAUUAUUAAGUGCAAAACAUUGAUAUUAAGGGAAGUAAACAAUGCAAAAUUAGUGCAUAAAUUGCACUCUAACAUAUACCUUUGAAACGCAAAUACUUCUUUUCAUUUUUGUUUGAUAGCAUGGUUAAAAUCAACCAUCAAUCAUGUACUUAUUGUGAAUCGUUGAAGUAGAUCUACAAUGCAUAAUAAGUAAUAUUUAUUUAAAAAUUGAAGCUACUAGAUAAUUUCGAUAUAAAUUAAGUUCAACUUUUACUUCAUCAAGGUGAAACAUCAUAAAGCUUGUAAAUCUAACACAUGAACGUAAAAGCUUAAAAAAAAAUUUGAAGUUGCUUGAUAACAUAGAAAUACAAGCAAAAAGAGAUGCUAAAGAAUACAUCCCAGAUUUUUCAUUGGGUGGGAUUAUUGAUCAUGCUAGCAUAAUGAUGAGGGCUGCCUGGAUAUCCAGUAUUUUAAUAAUAUGGUUAAGGUUUUUGAGCUUAAGCUUUGGUGGUGUUUUUAGGAGCAGCUUUCAUUAUGGGCUUCUUUUAUGAAGUCUAAGUAUUGUACAACUGCACAUUCGAGUAUGAUUUAGUUUUAAUAUCCUACCUACCCUCUUUGGAGGCACCUAUGCUUGAUUCAAUAUGUUGCUGAGCUUCAUGUGUGUUGGUUGUUUGGCCGAGGGUUGUUUUUGGUAUGGUUGUUAGCUGGGUUCUUGUCCUUUGGCCUUUUAUAAUCAUGUGGUGGCUUUUAUGGUGCCAAUUUCUUUUUAUUAGCAACAUACAGUAUGAGAUAGGGGUAAGCUUCAGGAUGUCCUGCCUUUUUUAAUUGUUGUGCAUAUUCUUUUGAUUCCUAUCUCUAGUGGGGAACCAUAUGUGAUUUUGUGGGACCUUUCUCGUGAUGGUAGUUUUUGUUUGAGGAUUUGCUUCAGAUAUUGUGCAUUGGAUAAGGCCGAUUUUUGUUAUUUGGCAGCGACAUAUCUCUUCAUGGAUAUCCUUUUUUCUCUAGAGGUUGUGACACAAAUUCUUGACCACAGAUGAUGCCUCGUGUUCAGGGGAUUUCUGCGUAGUUUCUUAGUAUCUUUGUGGUCAGGCUUCUGAGACUUCUAGGUAUUUAUUUCUUGAUUGCCCUCGAGUUAGGCCGGUUUGGGUCCAUUUUCUACUUACUCUUGGUUUGCGCUAUGUUGCUUUUCUGUUCCACCGUACUUUAUUUCUUAAUUGGUAGUGAGAUGCCCUUUCUUGGAGCCAUAUUCGAGUUCUUCUUCCUUGUUUUAUUUUAUGGCAUGUUUAGAAGGCCUGUCAUGCAUUGAAGUUUGACUCAAUGGCUUUUUUUGUUGAUGACAUUAUUUAUUGGACGGUGUUGGAUCUUAGGCUUGAUGGUUUUGCCUUUGGUCUUAAACCAUUCCAAUUGUGAGGCGUUUUAGGUUCUCGGUUUGCAAAGUGCUUGAGAGUUGUUGUUUCAUCUAGGAGGCCGAUUCUUUUAGUUUCUUGGCUGUGGCCACCACCUGGGGCGGUGCAGUUGACUAUUGAUGGUUGCUUUAGGGGUAAUCCUAGGAUGGCUGCUUCAGAUAGUAUUUUACGUGAUCAUCGGGAUGUGGCUUUAGCUGCUUUUGGUUCCUUCCUUGGGCGCUAACGGAUCCUUCAUGAAGAAUUCAUGGUUGUUUUUUUAGGGGUUAUAGUUGGCUGCUCAGCUCCAUUAUUCUGUGCUUGAGGUAGAGUCAGACGCAGCCAUGGCGGCUUCUUGGAUUUUUUUCUAAGGCCUUGUUCAUUCGGACUAUACCUAUUCUUUGCGUCGGGUGUGUAGUUUGACAUUUUCUUCUACUUUGGUAAGUCAUGUGCUUUGAAAGGCUACUUCUACUGUUGAUUUCUUUGGCUUGCACUCUUCACAGUCAUCGGUGUUUCUUGGGUUCUCAUGAUAUCUCUGCUAGCUUAGCUAAUAAUCUCCAUUUGGAUGUGUGUAAUUUCUCAUCUCAAGCAAUACGAUUACUUAUUUUUGUCUUCCAUUUUUUAUCUUGUAUUUUUCUCUUUCCAUUCUUAUGUUCUUGCAAUUGCAAUUUUGAUUUAUAUUCACCUCCUUAUGUAUUUGAUUCAUUCUAUAAUUUAUAUGAAAGAUAGGGGUCCCACCUUUUUUUGUAGUUAAAAAAAAAAAUCAGGAAUCAAACCUAGGUCAUCAAGGUGAAACAUCAAACAGGUUGUAAAUUUAACAUAUGAACUUAAAAGCUUAACAAAACAUUUGAAGUUGCUUGACAACAUAGAAAUACAAGCAAAAAGAGAUGCUAAACAACACAAAAUUUUGAUUGGGUGUGAGUAUUGUUCGUGCUAGCAUAAUAAUGAGGUGCCUGAGAAUACCUAAGACUUUCUUGAUAAAUAAUAUAAUCUAAAAGGUUAGGAAUCACAAAUGAUUGUCCAGGUAUGAACAAACCUGGCUCAAAAUGUGAAAUGUAUUAAGAUUUUCAAACAUUUAAAUUAAUAGUUAAUAAUUUCGGACAAAGGACACUUGGAGACCCUAAACUUCAUUGAUUCUAUGUUAUGGCUCAUUGUCUCUCUCAACAAUUUAAUUUCUAGAUUAUUUGGCUCCUAUCUAUUAAAAGACAACACCGUUACUAAAAUUAUAGAUUAUAACAGUUAAACCUAAACUUAAGCCGUUUAGCAAUUUACAAAAGAAAAAAAUAUAACAAAAGCCAAUUGUUGGAGUAGCAACGUGCCAACGAGAAAACCUCAAGCCAUGUAAUAUCCUGUAUCAACUAAAAAAGAACAAACCACCACCCUCUAGGUCGUCGCUGCACUAACGCUGGGCCCGAUUUGAAUACUUAGAAGUUGUAACAUUAAUUAGGGAUUGAGGGUAAAAUUUUGGACUUUGAUUUAAUAAAAUUGAUUUAUAUGAGUCCCAAUAGAAAUAUGAUUAUAAAUAUAUCAAUGCAAUUAUAAUAUGUUUAAAAGAAAAAAAUUAUUUUCACACAACAUAAAACUCAACCCUUGGACGUGGGAUGUGUCUAAAAAAUAAUAGGGUGGAAAUAUUACCACCCUCAAAUUAGAUAUAUAAAUGUUUAAUGUUUUACUCUUAUAAUUUUGUAUUUAUUUUUUUUAAUAUUGGUAAGAGAAAGAUAGAAAUUAAUAUAUAGACAAAUCGAGUCCCUUAUUUUAUUAUUCAUAUCCAUAAAAAGUAACCACUAUGCUAGUCCCCCCGAACUUAGCAUAAGACGGUAAUUUAAAAAAAGAAAAAAAAAGAAUGUUUUUAAACACCAAAACAAAAGCAAAACAAACACAAAGCGAGACAUACAAACAAAUUUUAUGCUACUGCAUUCAAGCAGAAGCCAUCAACUGUUCACGACGAAGUUUGAGAGCAACCAAUAGUUCAUCCUGAUUAGGAAGAUUUUCUUCAAUCACAGGGAUUUGCUUGAAAUUUUCAAUCCAGGCAUGCAAGUGAGGGAAUUUGUGUGAUUCAAAUAGUUUAACUCCCACUACAUCUUCAAUGACUUGCAACCAAUAAACAAUUGGACCAAAUGCUAGGUCCACUAAGCCAAUAUUGUCUCCAUUGAAAAAUUUCUUAUCUCCCAAGCCAUGCUCUUCAACGGUUUGUAGCAUUUCCAAGGCUUCCUUCAUUGUGUUUUGUAGUUCUUGUCCAGUGCUACGAAACAUUUUCCAAAUAGCAACACCCUGCCACAAAUAUUUUACAUCAGAUUAUAUCACCGACAUGAUUAAUUAAUAAUAUGUACAUAAAAGCUAAAAAUCGUUAGGCAAUAUGUACACGCGUCACAAUAUCCUUUAAUUAGAGGUUUAUAUAAUAAGUUAACUAAGAGAGUUCAACCACUGAGUUGUAAAAUCUGUCAUUAGUAAAUUCACUUUUUCCCAACGCUUCAAAAGUCAUAAAAAUUCCCCGUGAAGUUAAAAACGGUUGUGUUAACUUUAACAGUGAAGACACCAGAAAUUGAAAGUUUAGAGAACUUUUUACAAAUAAAUAUGAAAAAGACCCCUGGGUGGCUGGGCUCGACUGGCUAUGAAUUCACUUCCGCCAUCACCCGAGUUCGAGUAUAUAUGGAGAGUAAGAGUUAGUGUUUGGUGGGUGGAUUUCAUUAUCCUCGUCACCUUAUCUAGAUCUUAAAAUAAAUAAACAAAUAAACAAAUUUGAAAAGAAUGAACUUAAUCAUAAACGUGUUUGCCAGAGUUGUGAGCGAACCUUGUCUUCAGCGAAUUUGAUCCAGAAUCGAGCAUGAGCCCUAUCAUAAGGAUUAUUUGGCAUCAAGGAGGGAUUGUGCGGCCAUGUCUCUUCGAUGUAUUCGAGAAUAACCAUGGACUCACAAACUGGUUUUCCGCCAUGGACGAGCACUGGGAUCUUCUUGUGAACUGGAUUAUACUUCAAAAGCAAUGCACUUUUGUUUGAGAGAUCUUCGGAAACAAAUUCAUAUGGCACGCCUUUCAAUUUCAGAGCCCAAAUCACCCUGUAAACAAAUGGACUCGGCAGUGCCCCGUGAAGCUUCACUUCAGCCAUGAUAAUUCUUAGAUUGAAUUUGAAUAUCAGGUUUUUUGGUCGAUCUUGAGUGUAGCUGAUAACUCAUUACACAUGUUUCUGAAUUUAUAGUGAUUUAUGGUAUGCACUUUCUUGAGCAGAAAGCUUCAAUUUUCCAUUAAUAAAACGAUUAAUGAUGAAUUCAAAGAACUAGUGCGAUGACUUUAAUUAAAUUUUUUUUUACGUUGUGUGCAACCGCAAUUUGAGGUUAAUUUAAAGGAUAUUAUUUUCUCCUGAUCAAAACUUUUAUAUAAAAAAAUAUAAUUAUGUAAUUGGUAAUUAUUAAGUAAAAAUAAAUUUUGACCGUAAAUAAAUAAAAGUUCAUACAUGUUAUAAAGAGAUUUUAAAACUCAAAUAAGUGGACACAAUUCCUAAUUUAAAGCGCUAGCCAAUGAGAUCAAUAAUUUGGUCAACCAGUCAGAGAUAACCAUACAAUAAUUAAUUUUGCCAUUUGUUUUACAUUUAAGACCUUUGCGUCAUGCAUGAUGAUCAAUUGAUCAUGGAUCAAUUAGUCAACGAGACAUUUGCCUUUUGUGCAUGUAUCCACAUUGGACGCAAAUAUAAUUUAUUAUAAAAAAUUGGACUAAAUUAUUUUUUAAUAUAUAUUUUUAAAAUAAUACACCUGAUCAUAGAGGAGAUAUUAUUUAGUUUGUGAAUCUUAUAACAGGACCCAUGAUUUUUUUUUUAAAAUCUUAUGGGUCCCCUAUUAUUUAAUUUGUGGAAUUGACGGAGGUAACUUACAGUUUCAUUUUUGUAAUUUACAGCUUUCAAUAAAUUCAGAUAAUAUUAGGUGGUAGAAGUCGGCCAGGCUGGAGGAGUAGAUCUAUAAAAUUUGCUAGCACUUUGCACUAUCUGGUAGGUGCCCAAAAAUACAUGUAUAUCAUCCAUUUUUUGUUGGGAUUUUAUGCUCUUUUAAAGCAUAUUAAUUUAUUUUCUGAUUAAUAAAAUAUUUGAGACAUUUUCAAUUGCAUAAAUAUAUAUUGAAUAAGGUCCAUUUAAUCAUAUUAUAUGUAUUUAUGUGAUCAUCAUAUGGAUUCACAGAAGACAUAAAUACAAGCUAUCUUAUGAUUAAAUAAAUUUAGUUCGCAGUUGAUAAAUAGAGUUGGGCGCUCUAUUUAUUUUUAGACUGUAGUAAAUUCAUUAAAUGAUUUAUCUUAAUCAUAUAUGAAUUUACUGAUGUAGGUUGACUACAUUGAGAUGGAUCACAUAUGAGAUUUAAUUAACCUUGAAAGGACUGUCAGACUUAUUAAAUCUCAUAGGCAUUCUUUUUAUUAUAAUCUUAAUCUUGAGUUGGUUAUGAUUUCAUGAUUGUAAUUGUUAUUCCAUUUGAGUUACCAAUGGGCACGACACACACUUGUGGUCAAGAUUACCGGGUAUCUUGGUGGGAGCAAUUAUGAGUAUUGGAGUUAUAGAUUAACAAUAUAAAAUUUGUACAACACAUCUCUUGAUGGGUUUUCGGCACUUGAUCAUAGAAUUCUCUGGCCAGAGUGUAUCAAUAUAUUUAGUAUGUUGAAAAUGAUCAUUAGAGAAAAUCAAUAAGUAUCAAGGAAUAAGAUGUAAUUAAAUCGUUUGGACAGUUGAGAUAUCAAUUUAAUUAAUGAUGUGGUACAAAUGAUUGUGCAGUAAGGAAAUUAAUGAGGCUUGGGAUGAAUUAUUAUUUGAGUAUACAAUUAUGGAGGUCAUUUCCAAUCUUUUAGUGGAGUAGAUUUGGAAUUAAAUAAUUGAGCUAGUUUAAUUACAGGCCUAAUUAUUGUAGCCACUAUUGUAUGUUCCCAAAUAAUCCCCAGGUUAGCUCAUUUAAUUGACUGUGCCGCUACUGGAUUAAUAAGUAAGAUAACUAGUUAUUUGGGUUAAAAGUCUAAAUAUAUUAUUUAGUGGGAAGCUCCAUAUAAUAUGUUUGUGUGUAAGGGGCUUUAUGUUAUUUUACAAGGUGGGCCCCUAUAACACAAGAACAAGUAACGUUGUCUUUGUUUUUUUAUUUUUUUAAUUUAAAUCAAAUUUGAUUUAAUAAAUUUAAAAAUAGAAAAUAUAGAGCCUAGGGUUUCCACUAGAUAGAGAUAUAAAAAGGGCUUAUUUUCUCCCAAAAGAAUAGAGAGGCCACAUUAUACAAAUUAGAGAAAAAAAAAUUCUCUCUAAUUUUGAGAGAAAAAUUUUCUCCUGCUAGUUGCUUUUAGUGGUGAUAAAGGCGCCCACACCUCAAAUGCAGAUCAAACUUGAGUCAUAACCUGGAAGAUUAUUUGGUGGCGAUUCGUGCUCUAACAGGAGUGGUGGUGACGGAUCGUGAUCUAGGAGUCCAAAUCACUUCAGCGGAAAAAACAAAGAUUGUUCACCUUCUCAUAUUUUCAAGAUACGAUUUCUAAAUUAUGAAUUCUUAUAUAUUGUAUGAGAUCGAUCCUAAAAUUUUUUUUUUAUAAAAAAUUUAAAAAAAAUGAUUUUUCUCCAACACUUUUUAUUUAACGCUGGGUUUUUUUCAACCCAAAAUAAUUUCUCUUUGUACAUCCACUUUUUAAUAAAAACUUUUAUUGUCAAAAUAAUUUGUUAUUAAUUACUUCACUAAUCCUUCUUUUUUUUUUUGCCAAUUUCUCUUUCGCAUCUGAAAAAAUUUAAUUCACAUCAUGUGAUAGUAUGAUUGCAAAUAAAUUUGAAGUUAUCUCUCGCAAAUUGUUCAAAAAUACAUUGACCUAUCUUGUGUAUAGAACUAAAGAACAAUAGCAAACCACUAUCCUCUAGCCGAUCGCUGCUAUUAGGACGGAAAAUUCGUUGUAAAUAUGUAAAUUUGUCUAAACCCAUCUACAAAAAUAUGUCCACUGCGAAUAAUUUUGUAGGUUACGAAUAAGUUUGGUAUUUUAAAUUUAAGUUUGUUGCAAGUUACAGAUAUAUUUAGUAUUUUAAAUUUGGCGGAUGCCUACCGACUAUCAUUUUUUUUAAUUAUUUAUGUUUUUAAUUUAAUCACAAAGAUUGUCUUAAAAAAAAUUUAAUCAUAAAAAUAUAGUAGUUAAAGUUAUUACUCUAAUCUUCCAAAUUCCUAAACCUAACCUAGCUAACUCAUUACAAUUGCACACCCUACUCCUUCAAGUAUGUAUGUAUGUAAAUGUAUACACACGCGCACACACCAAAAAUAAACUUUUAAUAAGUAGAUUUAGUAUUUUUCAAGUUUAAUAUUAAUGAUAUUUUAAUUUAAUUUGAUUACUUUUGUUUGUUUCGCUUUAACGACUUGAACUCAGUGAUUGCUGGCUAAGAUUGAAUUUUUAUUUGUCUAAUUAAUGGUCAAUAGUUGUCCAAAAUAUAUUUGUUAAUAUUGUUGACAAUACUUAUAUAUUAACUAAAAGAUAGAACAAGGCAUUAAUCUUAGUAAUGAUUAUUUGCGUACAACAAAAAUAUUUUAUGUUAGAAUGAUAUAUUUUGUGUAUUUGUUUUAAUAUUGAAACUUUAAUUUCUCUUUUACAUUGAUAAAAUCUAAAAUUGAGUAAUUUAUGUAGAUUUUGUAGGCUGUUACUAUAAAGUUAUAUUUUGAAUUAUAUAAUUCAAAUUAUUAGAUAUUAUUUUUUUAAUAUUUGUAAUUUUAAAUAUAAAAAUUUAUAAAAAAAAAACCUACUGCAUGUUAUGGGUGAAUUUGGUAAUUAUUAAAAAUUAUAGCGAACGAACUAAGGCCACCGGUUACUGGCGAGUUUAAUAAUGACAAACCCAUAAUAAGCGAUACCCAUUACCAUCAGCAGCUUCUGUAACGCAGGGCCGAAGGCGGUCUUGAAUUGUUAGAAGUUGCAACAUUAAUUAGCAAAAUUUUCAGCGGCAUCCCUAAAGUUUAGCAUAGAAUUAGAUAGAUCCCCUUGUUUUCAAAAGAUUAGUCUCUGAUUCCAUGUUGUUUACUUAAUUUUUUUUUCCCUUUUCAAUUGGAUAUACAACUUCGUAAUGUUGCGCCUUGUAGAAUGUAUGCUUAAAAUGCGUUCUUCUUAUUUUUUAUAUACUGCUAAGAGAAGUUGAGUAUAGAAAUAUAUAAAAUGGAGUCUCAUUCAUUAAUUAUUUAUAUCCACUCAAUAGCACCUAACAUGCAGCUCACUUCAAUAUAAAAUUAAUUAAACAAAAUAGAAAGAAUAUUUUUAACGCUGGUACAAAAACUUAACAAGUGUAAAAGAAGACUCACUAACUUAUUUUAUGAUAUUACAUUCACGCAGGUACCACCAAUGUUUCCCGACCACGUUUGAGACCACCAACUCACGCCAAUUUAGAAGAUUUUCUUUAAGUAUAUAAGUUAAAGUUAUUACUCUAGUUUUCAAAAUACUUAAACCUAAUCUAACUAAUUACAGCUGCAUGCCUUGCUCCUUCUAGUAUAUGUAUAUAUUUUAAGAUGAAUACAAUAACUUUUUAAUAAGUAGAAUUUUGUACUUUUCAAGCUUAAUAUUAAUGAUAAUUUAUUUUAUUUUAAUUACUUCGAAUUCUUGAACAUAUUGAUUGUUUGCUAAACUUGAAUUUUUAUUUGUCUAAUUAAUUGGCGAUAGCAGUUGUAUAAAAUUUAUAAAGACAAAAUCUUAGUAGAUUACAAAAAGAUUUAGUAAUGACAAACCUGCAGCAGCCAAUACCCAUUACCAUCCCUAGCUACUAUAAUGCAGGGACACAGGCGGUCUUAAUUGUUAGAAGGUUCAAAAUUAAUUAGCAAAAUGUUCAGUGGUAUCCUUGAAUUUUAGCAUAGAAUUAGAUAUAUCUCCUAGUUUUCAAAAUUAGUUUUUGAUUCCCCCAUUGUUUAUAUAUAUAUUUCAAUUGGAUAUAUAACUUUGUAAUGUUGCGCCUUAUAAAAAUGUAUGCUUACAAUGCAUGCUUAUUACUUUUUAUAUGCUGUUAAGAGAAACUGAGAAUAAAAAUAUGUAAAAUGGAGUUUCAUUUAUUAAUUAUUUAUAUCCAUUAAAUAUCACCCAACGUGCAGUUCGUCUCAAUAGUAAAAUUAAUUAAACAAAGUAGAAAGAUUUGUUUUAGCAUUAGUACAAAAAUAAAACAAGUACUAAGCAAGAAUCACAAACUUAUUUUAUGAUAUUACAUUCACGCAGAUGUCAUCAACGUUUCCCGACGACGUUUGAAAGCGAUCACCAUCUCAUGUUGAUUUGGAAGAUUUUCUUCAAUUACAGGGACUUUCCUGAAAUUUUCAAACCAACCAUGCAAGCUUGGGAAUUUGUGAGAUUCAAAUAGCUUCACUCCCAUUACAUCUUCAAGGACCUGCAACCAAUAAGCAAUGGCUCCAAAUGCUAGGUCCGCUAAGCCAAUAUUGUCUCCAUUGAAAAACUUCUUCUCUCCUAGGCCAUGUUUUUCAACGGUUUGAAGCAUUUCCAAGGCUGCCUUCAUUGCAUUCUCCAGGUCUUGUCCAGUGCUGAAAAACAUUUUCCAAACAGCUACUCCCUGCCACAAUAUUUUAUAUCUAAUUCUUAUCACCACAUGAUUAAUAAUAUAUAUGAGGUGAAGAGAAAUUAGAUAAUACGUACACACGCGUCAAAGUAUCUUUCAAAGACUAGACGUUUCAAACUGUCAGAGUAUUUAGGAGAGUUUACCCACUAAUUUUUAGACUAGUUUAGUAUAACUUUUCAGAGCUUAUUUAAAUAGAAAUUUUAUUAGUAAAUUUUUAAUUUUUAUAAAAAAAUGUUAAUUAUUUAGCUGUUAACGAAAAUUUUCAUUAAAAUUUUCAAAUUACUUUAAUAGACAAAAUUUUAAUGUUAUGUUAUGAAAUAAAUAAAAUAAGAUUAUAAAAUAAAUGAUGAAUAUUUUAAACAAUUUAACUUUAAAAAAAAUCCUCAACCCUCUAUUUCCAAAAGUGUAAAUUUAAACUUUUACUAAUAUAGGCAAAAGAAUUUAUUUAAUCCCAAAAAGCUCUACUAAAAAUAAAACUAAACAAUAAUAAAAAUUUUGAAAAGAACUUUUUUUUUAUUAAAUAAACACGUAUGAGUAAUAAAUAAGCCAUAUCAAACAAAUACUAAUGAAAUAAAAGGAAAAAGAUAAAAAAAUCCUCUAAUUGUUUUAGUAAAUUAUAAUUUUAUUUUCAUGUUUCAAAAGUCCUUAAAAUUCUCCCUGUCGCUAAAACAAUUAUAUUUUAAUAUUUUACCCUUGAUUCAGUAAAAUCCACGGUUAAUUAAGAAAAUUUUCUAAAGAUAAAAAAUUUAAAGUAAUUAACCGAAUUUUUUUUAUAAUUUUCUCUAAUGUAAAAUAAAAGGUUCAUGGAGCUUAGUCGGCCGUGAAUGCAUUUGCACAUGCGAGGACAUUAGUUCGAGCAUUAAAAGAAGAUAAAAAUUAAUGUUUAGAGUCAUAUUUCUCAAAUACCAUGAAAAAUUAAAGUAUAUAAAGAAAUCCGACAAGAUUAUAAAAUUUAUAAACGUGUUGGCAAGAAAAGUUGUGAUGCGAACCUUGUCUUCGGCAAAUUUAAUCCAAAAACGAGCUUGAGCUCUAUCAUAAGAAUCACUUGGCAUCAAGGAGGGAUUGUGUGGCCACAUCUCUUCAAUGUAUUCGAGAAUAACCAUGGACUCGCAAACUGGUUUUUCGCCAUGAACGAGCACUGGUAUCAUCUUGUUAACUGGGUUAUACUUCAAAAGCGAAGCACUUUUGUUGUAGAGAUCUUCUUCAAUGUAUUCAUACGGGAUGCCUUUCAAUUUCAGAGCUCAUACCACCUUGUUGCUAAAUGGACUCGCCCAUCCCCCGUGGAGCUUCACUUCAGCCAUGUGUCUCAGAUCGAAUUUGAAUAUGUUUGCGGUUGUUUUGAUUAGCUGAUGAGUCAUUGCAUACGUACAUCUGAAUUUAUAAUGAUUAUUCAUUAAUAUUGGAAUAUGGAGUGCGCUUGCUUGAGCAGGGAGCUUCAUAUUUCCAACUUAUUUAAUAAAACGAUUAAAUUAAGUUGAAUUCAAUGAACUAAUGCUGCGACUUUUUAACAAUUCUGUUAUAUAUUCAACGAGAAGAGGUAUCGUAUUUGACGGAAAUCUCUUGAAACAGUGCUGAAUUAACAAGUAAUCUUAUUUAAUUUGGUCAACUGGUCAGAUUUGGAUUAAUUAUAUAUUUGGCGUUUGUUUUAGGUGCCCAGCUAGCCCUGCUGCUGUGCUUUUGACUUUACGAUGGGGUGGAGUCGUGGAGAUAUCAUCAUCCCAACUGAAGACAGAUUAUGAUAUUCUCCUGAAAACUUUGUGAGACUCAUUUACUCUACAAUUUUAGCAUUUUAGGCCCAAUAACUCCAUAUAAAUGACGUUUUGUCCCCCGGCUCCAUCUCUUCUAUAUAAAUCCGAACACCUGAAAAAUGACCAGACCGGAACAACUCUCCGUCUUAAGUCUAUGCAAAUUUUACACACAAGAGAAAGAGAGGGAGAGGGGCAGCCAUGAGAGACAACGAUACAGAAAAGAAUAUGGAAGAGAGUUUAUUAAUACCAAAAGAGAGUUUAUCAUCAACAUCCACAACAUGGGAUUUGUUGAGUGGAGAAGUGAAAAAGCAAGGUUACAUAGCAGCACCAAUGGUGGCAGUAACUUUAUCACAGUAUUUGCUUCAAGUUGUUUCCAUGAUGAUGGUUGGUCAUCUUGGUCAACUUGCUCUUUCUAGCACCGCCAUGGCCAUCUCUCUAGCUAGCGUCACCGGCUUCAGCGUCCGUGUGUCCUACAAUCCAUAUAUAGUUAUAUACACAAGAUUGUUUAUUCUUUCUUUUGAUAGGUACUUGCAUCAUUGCAUGUGGGAUUUAAACAAAUAGAUAUGCCAAAUUUCUGAUGUUAAAAAACAUGCAACUAACUAAUACCCUGUUUGUAAAAAUGCCAUUAAUUUUUAAAGGACUUGAUUUGCUCUUUUUUUUUAAAAAAAAAAAUGCUACAGCUAACUUGAAUUGUGUAAUAUUUUCUUUGAAACAGUUAGGAAUGGCAAGUGCUCUGGAAACAUUAUGUGGGCAAGCACAUGGAGCUCAGCAAUAUCAAAGAAUUGGAACUCAAAUUUACACUGCAAUAUUUUGUUUAUUCUUAGUAUGUUUUCCGCUUUCCUUUCUAGGGAUUUACAUGGGAAGGCUGCUAGUUUUGGUAGGCCAAGACCCCCAGAUUUCACACGAAGUAGGCAAGUUUAUAAUCUGGCUUCUUCCAGCUCUGUUUGCUUAUGCAGCAAUGCAGGCGCUUAUUCGAUAUUUUCAGUCUCAAAGUUUGAUCAUUCCCAUGUUCUUAAGCUCCUAUGCCUCUCUUUGUUUGCAUAUUCCCAUCUGUUGGGGUUUGGUAUUCAAGUCUGGACUGGGAAACCUUGGAGGAGCAUUGGCAAUUGGUAUAUCGUAUUGGUUGAAUGUAACUUUCUUGGCAAUUUACAUGAAGUUCUCCACUGCUUGUGCAGAAUCCAGGGCUCCAAUUUCAAUGGAGUUGUUCCGAGGAAUUGGAGAGUUCUUCCACUUUGCUAUCCCUUCUGCAGUAAUGGUUUGGUAUGUUAAUUAUCUUCUGGAGUUUCAUUUUCCCUUCUCAUAGAUAUCGUAGACACGUCAUAAAUUUUCAUGCAUCUUCUUUUGUUUAUAAUUUUGCAGCCUAGAAUGGUGGUCAUUUGAAUUGCUCAUUUUAAUGUCAGGGCUGUUGCCUAACCCACAGCUUGAAACUUCAGUCCUAUCUGUAUGGUAUGUUGACAUAGACUUUGUAUGUGAAAGUUCUAUACAGAGAAGCACCUACCAAAGGAAAUAGAUUUUUUUUCUUUUUUUCUUUUUUUUCCCGACCGCUCAUUAUUUGUCAACUUCUUUGGGCAGUCUCAGUACUAUUCAAACCCUCUCUGCAAUCCCUAUGGACUUGGUGCUGCAGUGAGGUUUGUUCAUAACAAUCAUUUAAAUAAUAAUUAUUUUAUAUCAACUAAUUAGCAGAUUAACCAUUAUUUCCUUCUAUAGUACUAGAGUUUCAAAUGAACUAGGAGCUGGGAAUGUGCAAAGAGCCCGUGUAGCUGUCUAUGCUGUGGUCUUUAUGGCAGUCAUGGAGACUAUCAUAGUAAGUGCAUCUCUCUUUGCCAGCCGGCGUGUUUUUGGUUAUGUUUUCAGCAAUGAGGGACAAGUUGUGGAUUAUGUCACAACCAUGGCUCCUCUGGUUUGUUUGUCUGUCAUCAUGGAUAGCUUACAAGGAGUCUUUUCAGGUUAAAUUAACUUCUUCAACUCUUUCAAUUGCUAAAUAGUUCUCUUUAAGUAGAAAUAAAAUUUUUCAGGUUUCUAAAUUCUUUUUAUUAUUUUUAAGGUGUUGCAAGAGGAUGUGGGUGGCAGAAUAUAGCUGCUUUUGUGAAUCUUGGGGCUUAUUAUUUGUGUGGAGUCCCAACUGCUGCCAUUUUGGGUUUCUGGUUAAAGUCUAGAGGAAGGGGCCUAUGGAUUGGGAUACAAGCCGGUGCUUUUACACAAACACUUCUGCUUGGCAUCAUAACAACAUUUACAGAUUGGGAAAAACAGUUCUGUUUCUCAACAUUUAAUCCCUUAAAAAAUAGAGAAGCUUAUUGGACUAGAUAUGUAAAUAUGUAGCAAUUUUUUUUCCCAACAAGUAUAUGAUACCUUCUGACUGAAAGUUCAAGAUUAAAAUCAUUCAGCUUGGUCUGAAAUGGUUAGUAUUAUCAUCUUAUGCAGAAAUGGUUUUGCUCAUUGAGAAAAUGAUAUUCAAUAACAGACCUGCAAACUCAUUUGAAAAUUUGCUUUUUUGGAAGAAUUAUAACCAUUUUCUAGUUUGUUAAUUGUUACAAGUUCUGUGUUUCUAAGGGGUUUCUCAUGUUGCAGGCAAGUAAAGCAAGGAAAAGAUUAUCAAAGGGAAGAUCUUUUGCAGAUAAUAGAGUAGUAUGUGAGUGACCAGAGUCAAUCAAUGAGCUGAUAUAUACAUUUUCCAGUUGAAAGAGAUAAUCAUUGCUUGAGAAAAUGAGCUGAUCAUAUGUCAAUUGAUGGCCAAGAAGGUCCCCCGAUCUGGUCUAUUGAGCAUGACAUUUCAUGAAACUCUGUUUCUAGAGAAAAAAAAAAAAUAACAGCUUCUUAGGAUUGCAGCAUCAGGUGACUUAGCAUUUCCAGUAUGAAUGAAUUAUAAGAUAGAUGAUGCUGCAAAAAUGAAUAGAGAUAAAAAUUAAGCAAGAGAAAAUGUUUGAAUAAAAUUAUUUAAACCUUUUCCAGUGAUUGUAGAGAUAAUUUCUUUGUAUUGAACACUUUCACCAUCUGAAAGAUAAGGAAAAUAUUAAAAGAAAAAAGAAAAUUCUUAAAUCUUUUCCAUGUCAUUCUAGCAAAGUUGAAUUGUGAUUCUUAACCCUACACCACAAUGUAAGGUGGCCUGUGGCCUGUGGGUAACACACAAUUUGACAACCCCAUAUAUUAAGUAAUCUAGAUGGAGGACAUUAUAUUUUUCAAUUUUUUAAUUUUUGUUCUUUUUUUUUUAAUUCAAACGACACCUCUUUCAUUGUGGCAUUGGAAUGUAUAGAGAUUUGCACACUGAUUUUGGACCAUACUUCACAAAUAAUGCGACGCACAUCUUUCUUUCAGUACUUCUUCAGGAGGAUAAGCUACAGACGUUGUUGUCCUUUUACCUGAAGCAAGUGCAUGUGCAUGAAUUGUUGUUGUCUGUUAAUCUGCUGCCACUUUGCUGCCAAAAAACUUGAAAAAUAAACCGGGAAAAUUUUCAAUAAGCAAAGUCAAACAACUAACCCCUGUUUAAGUUAUAUUCCUAAGAAAACUUUUAACACCAAAUAAAGCACACAGCUAAAGUAUUUCUAUCACAUUAGGUUUCGAGUGAGGUUUGAUUUACAUUUAUAUCAGAUAUACCAAGUGUUUUUUCUUCUUUUAAUUAAUGUAUAUUCCUAAGAAAACUUCUAAUUGAUUAUCCACAUAUAUAAACAAACCUAGCUCGCAAUGUGAAAUAUAUUAAAACAGCAACCAUAAGAUUUUCAAACAUUUAAAUUAACGGUGAUGAUAUUUCCAUCCCAUGAAUUUUAUAAACCCACCCAUUUUUAAAAAAAUUAUUAUAAUCAAUUCACAUUAUUUUUAAAAAAUUUAAAUUAAGAAGAAAUUAAAAAAUUGAUCAAUAAAUUCAUAUUCAUUUCUUUUUUAAACUGUGUUUCUUUAUUAUAUUUAAUCAAUAAGAUUGCUUUAACAUAAAUUAGUAUGACUAUUUUACCCUCAUAAGGUAAAAGUACCAAAAUAUCUAAAAAUUUACUUUAACUUUAAUAAAUUUUUAUGCAAUUUUUUUAUAUUUUAAUGAUGUAUUAGUAAUUGUUAGUACAAUUAUUAUUACUCCACUAAACUAACAAGAUAUAAUUAGGACAUGUGGUGAAUUGAAAAUAAUUAAAUUUUAUAUAAUACAUAUUGGAUUAUAAAAUAUAAAAAAAAAUGUCUAAGCAAUUAGUUACAAUAAUAUAUAUAUAUAUAUAUUUCUUAGAGUAAUUUGGUAAUUUUAUAUUACAAGGGAAAAAUAAUCAAAUUAAAUUUAUCUUGAAGUGCUUCAAAAGUUAAAGAUUGUUAAAAGACUAAGUCGGAAAAAAUAAAAAAAAAAUAUUAUAAAAUUAAUUUAAUUAAUUAAUUAUUUAAAAUUUUUAUUAAUUUAAAAUUUUAUAAAAUAAUAUGAACUUAUUGUAAUUAUUUUAUACAGGUGGACUGGGUUUAUAAAAAUAGCGGGGUGGAUAUACUUACACCCUUGAAUUAAUAGUUAGUAUAAAUUUUAGAUACCCCCCUAAAAUUUGACUUUGCUACACUUAGAGAGAAUGUAAACAUAUAUUGACAAUAUACCCCCUGGUCGUGUAUAAGGGUUAGGCACUGGUUAGGUAGUUGAGGGCAAUAACGUACAUGUUGCAUAUUUUUUUAUUUUUAAAUCUUACAAAAGCUGCUAUACCGUAACUAAUUAGACAAGAGCAGCGAAAAUGCAUACAGUGCUUUGAAGCUAGGGAAGCCCAAGGGGAUAGUAACCCAUUUUCAUUGUCAAUGCCUAGCUUCAUUUCUUCUUUUUUCUCAGCAUAACUUGAUGAGUGCUUAGCUUCAUUUCGAAGGUCGUGACACCAACUGAUUUUAGCAAAAGCAGAGAUACUUUGUGAUGCAGUAAGCUAACAAGUUUCUGAAAUCAGCUAUGUUUUGGACCAAAUUCCGGCGACGACCAGCAGCUGAAAAGCCGGUGAUUAAAGGGCAAUCUAGGUGAGUAAUUCUAUCAAAGCUUAAAAUUGAAGUUAGGUUUUAUUAUUUUCUUGCAUUUUGUUGAAAUUGCUGUUAGUUAGGUGCUUUAUUUUUAGCUCAAAUUAAUUGAGAAAAAUGUUUAGGGUUUAUAGAAAUUGAAGUAGUGACCGAAUAUAUCGGAAUUGAUUUUUGAGUUGAUAGUCACUCAACAUGUUGUGUAAACUAUGAAAAUGAUUUAUUUUUUGAUGAUUUUGGACUCUGGUUUUUGAAUGCCUACUGAAAUUUGCUUGAUCUGUUAUUAAAAUUGAGAAAAAUCCAAUCUUUCUCUAAGAAUGCAGAGGUGUUGCUGAGAAAACGCUUAUGGUGUUGUUUUGUUUCUUUCUUUAUUUUACAAGUGUGCAGUUCAUGUAAGAUUGAGACAGUUGCUCUUGUUGCUUUUUGAUGUUUGUGUGGACUAAUUCCAAUCACUGAUUUUUGUUGGAAAAUGGAUGCUAUUAUUUGUCCUUUUCUUUGUGUAAAAAUUUGUACUUUGUUCCCAACAUAAAAUUCAGAUGCUUGCCUAUUACUUUUUGAGGUUGUUAUUAAGGUGUAAGAGAUAUAUUAGUUAUAGAGCUUGUAGGCAGUUGGUUUAUUGAAGAACUAGUACAGUUGAGAAAGUGUCUUUUAGGUCAUCCAUUUUAAUACACAUAUUAACAGAUUUAAUUACAUAAACACAAGACUUCAUUUGUUUAUCAAAGUAGUACUUUCUGAUGCUUUCAUAUAAUGAAUGCCAAAGAGAUGACAUUUGCAAAAAGGCCAUUUGAAUGUACCAACUGCUAUCCUUGUAAACCUCUAUUGUGAUUCUGUUAUCAUUAUAUGUUGUUUAAUGAUCUGAUGAUUUCGAGAUAUCAAGAUGAGUUUAUUCAUACAAUAAAUGUUGUCAUUAGGUUCAUAAUUAUUGUAGUACAUGUUCAUUUAGCUACUUUAGGUACUGCUACAUGCAUUUAUUGUAUAAUGCCUACUUAGCAGCCAUAACUACACCCAUUGUUGAAGCCGCAGUAGCAAAAAUGAGAAAAAAAACAUGUUUAGGAACAACGUUGUCUUUAUAUCAUUUUAUUUUACUCCAUUUUGUUGUGCUUUUUGCAUCAGUGACUUCAAAUCCUUCCUAUCCUUUUGCAUACUCAUUAGCAGUUCAUAAUUUGCUUGACAUGUUCCUAAACCAUCAAAUAUAACACCUUGGUCGACAUCAUAGCCACAACCAUUUUUGCUAUUCAUACAGCAAUAAUAUAGCUUGUUUGGGUUGUCAUCUGAUUCCGCUACCUUCAUAGCAGCUAUUUUGUAGCAUUUACUGAUCUUGUUUGAAAAUCAAAUGAAUUUAAAAUAUUCUCAUUUAUUGUUUUUUUGUAGCGUUCACUAAUCUUCUGAUAUUCAAUAUUGUUUUUAUAUAAAUUAAUUUAAAAUAUUAUCAUUUAUUUGUCUUAUUAUAUGAUUUUACGCUAUCAAAUUAUUUGUUUUAACAGGCAUUUUGUUCUUUUCAACACUCAAUUGAGUUUUGUCUUAUUAUAAGAAUUUGUAAUGUCAACAACAAUUAUCAUAAGGGUAUAAUAGCCUUUCACCCCCCCAGGCGCAAAAAAAAAAAUUGCCCCAAAUAUAAAGAUCAUCUACAGUGUCAAUUAAUUAUGAAGGGCAUUAUUGCACAUUCACUCAACUACCUAACGGGUGCCUAACCUUCAUACAUGGCCGGGGGUAUGUUGUCAAUAUAUGGAUACAUUCUCUCUAAGUGUAGCAAAGCCAAACCUCAGGGUGGUUUCUAAAAGUUUUCCUAAAUAGUUAAUAAUUUUAUACAACAGAUUCUUGGAUACCCCUCAAGUUCACUUAUUCUACGUUAUGGCUGACUUUCAAGAAAUUAAAUUCUACAUUAUGACCCCUAGGGAAACAACGUAGCCAAUAAAAUUAUAAAAUAUAUGUGUGUAAUAGUUGUCAAACCUGAACCUAUGUCGUUUAGCAAUUUACAAAAUGAGAAAGACGACAAAAGCCAAGUGUUAGAGUGGCAGUGAGCCAACGAGACAAGCUCAAGUUCACUGUGUUUUUGUUGAACCUUCUGAAGACCCGAAACUCGAGGUUUGUUUUUCACGUUCCCUAAUCGUUUGACUACAUUUUAAUUCUGUGCUACGCUCGUUAAGAACUGUUCAGGCUUAUGAACUGUUCAGGCUAAGUGUUCGACGAAAUUCCUAAGUGAGUAUAUAUUCUGUUAUAGAAGGUUUUGCUUUGGGUGGUUAAAUAGAGGAGAUUAGACAUUGAACUUUAUGCACUUGUAUGUUUUCAAGUAAUUGUUUGCUGAGGCACAUGUACUUUGAAUGGCUUCAUUCAUCUACAGAGAUAUCAUAACAUUUUUGCUUAAUGUGAGUCUUAUUGUUGUUAAUUUGUCCAAAGUGAAGGCUUUUUUAACUUUUAUUUCUUUGAUUUAUUUAUUUAUUGGUGUGUCGAAGUUCUGUCUCAACUUUAUUUGAUAAGUUCUUUCAGACUACUAAUUAGAAGAAAAAAAUGCUAGAGAGUGAGUAUGAGAGGGAAUGAUGUUUGGGCAAGGGGUGAUUUGUUCACUUGGCUCAUGAAGGACCCCAACUAUAAUGACAUGUAUCAAUUUCGCAGCCUAAUUGGAAGGUAAGCUCAUUUCUUGAUUUCCUUCAAUUUUCACUUUCAUUUUACUGUUUUCAAGUAGUAGGUAACCUAAAUAAAAGUAAAAUCAGUAGUGAUUUGCUUCAAGUGCAUAUGGAUAGUAUAUCACAUGUGAGAAGAUUGUAUUUGUUAUAUGAAAAUCCUUAAUAACUGUAAUGAAAAAAUAUAUUCUCAAACCUGAUCGUGGAAUGUACUAUUUCUUAAUAUCUGAGUUUGGAUCCACACAUUUUUUGCCAUGCAAUUUGACAAGUUGUCAUGUCCUCAUAUUCUGCGCUAUCAUAAGUUUUGCCAAUCUGCAUAGGUGUUUAAUAGAUUGAGUUAAUCUAGUUUCGAGAGCAUGCCUUACUAAAGGGCAUCGAGUUUCUAAGUGAGGGCAAGCACAACUAUAAUUAUCUAUUUCAUAUCCUCCCUAUCAGCGGGGCAGGUCUGUUACCUCUAAAUUCUUUCAAUAACUUGGGGACGUUAAUCCUAUUAAUGACAGCCACAUAUUAUAAGUCAAGAAAACUGAUUUUUUGAUUAUUGAAAAAUCAAAUUUUUUAUAUUAUUCUAUUUAUGAUCUCAGUAACCUACAUGUUAGUGAAUUAUAAGAAUAUGGAGGCAAAGAACAAAGAAUAUUUCUUAGGAUUUGAGACGUGUUUGCACACUUUCCUUUAAGGUUUUAUUUGCCCUCUCCAAUCUUAGUUUGCUAUAGAGUAUUAAUGGCAAAUUACCCCCAAGAUAUAUCAAAUCCUGAAUACAAUCUCUAGCAAAUAAGAUUGUAUUUCCAGAACAUAUAUAAAACCUACAAAAUCUGAUUUUUAAUCUUAUUGUAUGUCUUUCUUUUUAUGAAUAAGAUGUUUAUUUGAAAGAAUACAUCCAUUAGAAAUGGUACUUCUUCGAAAAAACUCUUUUGGUUUGAAAAUGCAUCGAUUUACAAUUGAAAUCUUUUCAAUCUUGCUAACCGUUUUUCAAUUGACAACUUUCUGGAAAUAAACGGUUAGCCGUUUUCUCAAUAAACGGUGAGCCGUUUAUUCUAGGACAUAAAACAUGCUCUCUGGACUUAAACGGUAAGCCGUUUUCACCAUAAACGGUGAGCCGUUUAUUCCAGAACAAAAAACAUGCUCUCUGGACUUAAACGGUUAGCCAUUUUCUCAAUAAACGGCAAACCGUUUUCGUCCAGAAUAUCAAACCAAACAGACUUGAAAGAUGUUACAAUCUCUCUUACAAUCCCCACUAGAUUGUAAUAUUUUUCAGAUUUAUUAAUGAUAAACUUAUACAUACAAAAGGUAUCUUUCGAUUUUAACCUUUAAUUAGUGAGUGUAUUUCAAAGCAUUUACAAGACAAUAGUGUGCUAAGCAUUAAACUUUGUCUCUUAAGUAAAUACCGGAGAUACAUCACAUAUAAGCUAUCCCAGAUUUCAAAGUUGUGUUCCAAUAGUUAGCACUAUUCCGGCCUUGUGCUCUAUCUUGGAUUCAUGAACAUUUACAAGAUUAAACUAUGACCUUGUUAGAAACGGCACCAUUUCUUAUGUUCACUUAGGUGAAGUUUCAAAUCAUGUCUUUAGCUACUAAAAGACUUGAACUUCAUUAAGAGUAAAUACUCAACCUCAAUCUCGUAGCUAUUUGCACCGAAUAUCUCGAAUGAGAUUAUUUAUUACUCGGUGUCAAACCAGUCACAUAACAACAACUUGUUAUUACCCAUUUAACUAUGGAGUAGCGGUAUAACUACUACAUAGUUGGGUUACCGUCGUUGGUGACUUUAUUAUAUAAAGGUUUCAAUCCCAUUCCAUAAGAUGUAUCCUUAACUAAGUCUCUUGAAAGACCUUUUGUUAAAGGAUCUGCUAGGUUCUUAUUAGUCCUAACAUAAACAAUAUUAAUAACACCAUCUGCUAUUAAUUGUUUCACAUAUUCAUGUCUUAAGCUAAUAUGUCUAGACUUUCCAUUAUACACUUUAUUAUAAGCUCUAGACAAUGUAGCUUCACUGUUGCAGUACAAAGAAAUAGAUGGCAUCGGUUGUGGCCACAACAUUAUAUCAAACAACAAAUUUCUCAGCCAUUCUGCUUCUUUGCCUGCAGCUGCAAGUGCUAUAAACUCACUUUCCAUUAUUGAAUGAGUUAUGCACGUUUGUUUCUUUGAAGCCCAAGAAACCGCUCCUCCAGCAAUUGUAAAAAUCCAACCAGAAGUGGAUUUAUUGUCUCUUGUAUUGGUUACCCAAAUAGCAUCUGAAUAUCCUUCCAGUACUUCAGGAUAAUCAUUAUAAAACAAACCCAAAUUAACGGUCCUUUUAAGAUAACCAAGUAUCCUACCAAUUGCUUUCCAGUGUUCAACACUAGGGUUACUCGUGAAUCUUGACAUUUUGCAAACUGCAAAUGCUAUAUCAGGCCUCGUACAAUGCAUAGCAUACAUCAAGCUACCAAUUGCACUAGCAUAUUCUAGUUGAGCUACUAUUCGGCCUGAAUUCUCUAGUAAUUUAAUACUAGAAUCAUAUGGGGUAUUAGCUUCUUUAAAUUCCAAAUAAUUAAAUUUAAGAAGCACUUUCUCUAUAUAAUGAGAUUGACACAACGAGUAACCCCCACUAUGUUUAUUCACUUUGAUACCUAAGAUAGUAUCUACUUCACCAAGUUCUUUCAUCUUAAAUUGUGAAGUUAAAUACUUCUUUGUAUCAUCUACUCCUUGCAUAUUUGUUCCAAAGAUAAGCAAGUCAUCAACAUACAAGCAUAUAAUCACACCAAAAUCAUUCGUAUAUUUAAAAUAUACACAUUUGUCAGCAUUAUUAUGCUUAAAACCAUGUGAUAAAAUUACCGAAUUCAAUGAAGCAAUUGCAAAUAGCACUCUUAUAGAAGUUAACCUAGCUACCGGAGCAUAUGUAUCGAAAUAGUCAAUACUAUUUCUUUACUUAAACCCUUUGGCUACUAAUCUAGCCUUAAAAGUUUGCAAAGAACCAUCAUUAUUGUACUUUUUUCUAAAUACCCAUUUGCUGCUAAUUGGUUGAGAUCCUGGAGGAAGAUCAACCAAUAUCCAUGUUUGAUUCGUCAUUAUCGAAUCCAUUUAAUCAUUUACCGCCUCUCUCCAAAAAGAAGCGUCUCUAGAAGACAUAGCCUCGCUAAAUGUCUUUGGAUCUUUUUCAAUAUUUAACAACAAUGGUACUUUGUUAAGUACAUUCUUUCUAUCCCCUUCAACCAAGAAAAGUAGUGCUUGUGAUGAAAUAAAAUCCGGAGCUAAACUCUUUUCUUUCUUUUCACGUUGACUCCUCCUUAGUUCGAAAGAUGUCGUAGACUCUUUCCUUUUAUUAUUGUUAGUGGAGGUAACAGGAGUAUUAACACAUGGUUGAUCAAUAAUUGAUUCUGAUUCAAUAUUAGAAUCAUGUUGAAAUUUAUUCUCAAUAAAUUCAACAUCUCUAGAUUCCACAAUCACAUUAGAAUCUAAAUCUAACAACCUAUAAGCCUUGGAAUUUUCAGCAUAUCCUACGAAAACACUUUUUAUACCUCUAGCACUCAACUUUGAUGACUUAGGGUCAUGUAUUUUAUAAAAAGCUAAACAACCCCAGACCCUUAAAUACAUCAAGUUUGGUUUUCUUCCUUUCCAAAUUUCAUAAGGAGAUAUAUGUGUUUUCAAAGAUGUAAUUCUGUUAUGAAUAUGACAUGCAGUGAGUAAUGCUUCCCCCCACAAAUUAUUUGGUAGUUUUGCAUUAAGGAUCAUGGAAUUUAUCAUAUCCGUGAAGAUCCUAUUCUUCCUUUCAGCCAAACCAUUUUGUUGAGGAGUAAAUGGAGCUGAUCUUUGGUGAAUAAUUCCAACUUCCUCACAAUGAUUAUUAAAUUCAAUUGAGAAAUAUUCACCACCUCUAUCACUACGAACCAUUUUGAUUUUCUUAUCUUUUUGGUUCUCAACUUUAGCUUUGAAAAUUUUAAAUUUAUCAAAAGCUUCACUUUUUGUUCUAAGUAAAUACACAUAAGUGUAUCUAGAACAAUCAUCAAUAAAAGUGAUGAAGUAUCUCUUACCUCCUCUUGUUAAAAUGCCAUUAUACUCACAAAUAUCAGUAUGUAUCAAAUCCAAUAUUUGAGUAUUUCGUUCAGCUUUAGGAAAAGGUUUCUUAGUUAUUUUAGCUUGGAUGCAGAUUUCACACUUAUGACCUUUAACAUCAUUGCAAUUAAUCAAACCAUGCUUAGACAUGUAUUUCAAAGAUCUAAAGUUCAAAUGUGCUAAUCUAGCAUGCCAAACAUCACAAGACUCAACAAUAUAAGCUAAGUUGAUAUUAUUAUUAUUAACGCUGAGUUUGUACAUUCCAUCACAAGAAUACCCUUUCCCAACAAAUAAUCCAUUCUUUGACACAAUACAAGUAUUACCCUCAAGCACAAUCUUAAGCCCAUGCUUACACAUACAACUAGCAGAAAUAAGAUUCUUCCUAACGGAAGGUACAUGAAAGACAUUAUACAAUGUGACUUUCUUUCCAGAAGUGAAGUUGAUCUCAACUACUCCUUUCCCUACUACUAUGGCUGCAUUAUUGUUCCCCAUGAGAACCAUUUGUCCUUCCGUUUCUUCUUUGUAUGAUAAGAAAAAUUUCUUAUCAUUACAAACAUGAAUUGUUGCACCCGAAUCGAGCCACCAAUCAUAGGACUUAGUUUCAGCCAUAUUGGUUUCAGUAAUCAUGCCAAUUUGCAUUUCAGAAACCAUAGCACAAAUCUCUUCAGAUUUGUUUUCAAUAACAUUAGCUUUAUGGGAAUUCACUUCUUCCUUUUUCUUCUUGAAUCUGCAAUCACUUUGGCGAUGGCCUUUCUUACCACAAAAGAAACAAUUUCCAGAAAACUUUUGUGUGCUGGACUUCUUGAAUUUCUUGUCAUUCUUGACUUUAAAAUUCUUUGAGAAUUUACUAGCUUCAACAACAUUAACUUUAGUAGAAUCAUGCUUAUCCUUGGAUUCACGAGACCUAGUCUCUUCUUCAAUUACCAAGUGUUUUUGCAAUUCUUCUAAAGUUAUGUUCUCUUUACUAUGAAGGAGUUUCUUUCUAUAAUCAUUCCAACUCUGAGGCAAUUUAGCAAUAAUAGCCCCAACUUGAAAUGAUUCAGAAAUUUCAACUUUUAACUCUCGAAGCUUAGCAACAAUAAUUUGUAACUCAUGUAUUUGAUCAAGAAUGGAUUUUGUGUCUACCAUAAUAAAUUCAAAAUAUUUAGAUACAAGGAAUUUGUCAGUACCUUCUUUCUCCGUUUUGUAUUUGUAUUCAAGAGCAUUUCAAAUUUCCACCGGAGAAGUCAUAGAAAUGUAGAGAUCAUAUAAUCUGUCAGAAAGCGUAUUGAGUAUGUGACCCCAGCAUAUCAAUUCAUCAUCUUCACGACGUUUCCUUGCAGCCUUAACAGCUUCAGUAUCAUCUUCUCUUGGUUCUGGAAAUGGUUCCAAUUUCGGAUCAAGAACAUAUGCCACUUUAAGAACAGUAAGGAGAAAGAACAAUUUUCCCUUCCAACGAGUGAAAUUAGUUCCAUCAAAACGAUCGAGAUGGACACUAGGAUUCAGAAAUGAUGUCAAACUCUUCUCAACCUCCAUUUGCAUAAUAAAACCUUAAAGAUUGUUAGUGAAUUAUAAGAAUAUGGAGGCAAAGAACAAAGAAUAUUUCUUAGGAUUUGAGACGUGUUUGCACACUUUCCUUUAAGGUUUUAUUUGCCCUCUCCAAUCUUGGUUUGCUAUAGAGUAUUAAUGGCAAAUUACCCCCAAGAUAUAUCAAAUCCUGAAUACAAUCUCUAGCAAAUAAGAUUGUAUUUCCAGAACAUAUAUAAAACCUACAAAAUCUGAUUUUUGAUCUUAUUGUAUGUCUUUCUUUUUAUGAAUAAGAUGUUUAUUUGAAAGAAUACAUCCAUUAGAAAUGGUACUUCUUCGAAAAAACUCUUUUGGUUUGAAAAUGCAUCGAUUUACAAUUGAAAUCUUUUCAAUCUUGCUAACCGUUUUCCAAUUGACAACUUUCUGGAAAUAAACGGUUAGCCGUUUUCUCAAUAAACGGUGAGCCGUUUAUUCUAGGACAUAAAACAUGCUCUCUGGACUUAAACGGUAAGCCGUUUUCACCAUAAACGGUGAGCCGUUUAUUCCAGAACAAAAAACAUGCUCUCUGGACUUAAACGGUUAGCCGUUUUCUCAAUAAACGGCAAACCGUUUUCGUCCAGAAUAUCAAACCAAACAGACUUGAAAGAUGUUACAAUCUCUCUUAUACUACAUGUUGCGAUUGUCUUGUAUGGAUCAUUGUUUCUCUUUUAAGCUGUUAUAGUGACAAUUUUUAGCUCUUAUUGCAGUUCUUAAAGUCAUUGCAAGCACAUGCUCUGUCGAUCUCCAUAAAUUCAAAUACAUAUGCAUAGUUAGCUAUUCAAACAACCACACUGGUAUUUAACUUCGAUAUUCAGAAAUAUGGCUGAAGUGAAGCUUCAUGGGGCAUGAGCGAGUGAAUUUUGUUACAGAGUGAUAUGGGCUCUGAAAUUGAAAGGCAUAGCAUAUGAUUACAUUGAAGAAGAUCUCUCUAACAAAAGUGCUUUGCUUUUGAAGCAUAAUCCAGUUCACAAGAAGGUCCCAGUGCUUGUUCAUGACAAAAAAUCAGUUUGCGAGUCCAUUGUUAUCCUUGAAUACAUUGAGGAGAUGUGGCCAUAGAAUCCCUUAAUGCCAAAUGAUCCUUAUGAUAGGGCUCUGGCUCAUUUUUGGAUUAAAUUUGCCGAAGAUAGGGUUUUGCUUCAGAACUCUAGCUAAUGCCUUUAUAAGUUCAUUAUUUUCAUGUUUAUUAGUUAUUAGAGAAAAUGAUCAGUAUCCCCCAUUGUAUGUCAAAAUUAAUUAUUUGUUCUUUUAUGUUUUAAAACCUAUCAAAAUCUCCAUUGUCGUUCAAAAAAUUCUGUUAACCUUCAAUUUUUUUGUCUUUUACUAAUUUUACCUCUGGAAAAAUUUUUAUUAAUAGGAAGUUGAAAGUUUAAUAGAAUUUUUUUAAUGGCAAGGGAAAUUUUGAUGGCUUUUGAAAUAUGAGGGAGAAAAGGAUUAAUUUACCAAAACAACAUUGUGGUUUUGUUGUUCAUUUACCCUUUGUCAUUCAAUGUAGUUGUUAACCUCUAGUAUAAGGGUGCUUGACAAAUGACAAGGAUAUGUAUUGGCUAAGUCUUUUAGUUCAUACAUAUUAUUAAUCAUGUGAUGAUAUUUUGGCGGGGAGCUACUGUUUGGAAAAUGUUUCGUAGCGUACAAGAUCAAGAGAAUACAAUGAAAGAAAUCUUGGAAAUGCUAAAAACCGUUGAAGAACAUGGCUUAGGAGAGAAGUAAUUUUUUCAUGGAGACAAGAUUGGCUUAGUGGACAUAGCAUUUGUUUCCAUUGUUUAUUGGUUGCAAAUCAUUGAAGAUGUAGCAGGAGUGAAACUAUUUGAAUUUCACAAAUUCACUCGCUUGCACGCAUGGUUUGAAAAAUUUAAACGAGUCCCAGAAAUUGAAGAGAACCUUCCUAAUUGGGAUGAACUAUUGGUUUUUUUCAAACGUCGCCGUGAAAAGUUGGUGGCCUCUUCCUCAUUGCAUUAGCACAAAAUUCGUGCAAUUGUAUUGUUGUCAAGAGGCCGCUCUUUGCUUAGUUUUUGAUUAUCUUGUGUGCUCAAUUGGGAGGCCCCGCUUUGCUGGGUACUUUCGUAUGGAUUUGAGUAAUAAUGGGGACUUGACUUUAUAUUUAUGAAUUAUUGCAUGUAUUUCGUUAAUUAUUAAUGGACUACUGACGGUUAUGUAUUGUUUGGGAAUUGUUUGGGAGGAAGUUUAAAAGCUGAUAUAUACUAAUGACUUGAAGAAAAGUCAACUUAUUUGAAGUAAUAUAACUCUAAAAAAUCAGAAGAAAAACUCUUUGUGGAAAAAGAUAGUUCUGGUAAACAUGCCCAGCAUUAAAGGGUAUUAUCGAAACUUAAAUGUGAAUGGUUAGAGCCAACAUGUGAACAGUACACCAUUAUGAAAAGAUUUUUUUUUUCGCUAAGAAUAACAAGCCAAUAGGACUUUAGUGAUUUUUUUUAGAUCUAAUUUCUUGAGAGACUUCUUCAUCUUCUUCUUCCUUUAUGGUUGGGGUUUCUUUCUCCAUUUUAACACCACCAUAGAAAAUUUUAACCAUCUAUCUCCCAAAGAAGCCCUUUCCCUUACUCUUCUCCUGGAAAACUCUCUAAUCUCUAUAAAACUCAUAUCUCCCUCAUGUCAUUAUUCCUCAUAAACAACCUUUAAUAAUGUUUUGUCCAUAUUAUAAUGCAAAUUAUGUAAUACUUCAUUUAUAUAGUGGAUUGGAGAUGAGUUACUCUUAUGGAUGUAGAUCAAAGGGCCGAACAAUGUAAAAUCUUAUGUGUUCUCUAUUGUUUAUGCUUAUUUUCUAUUUAUUAGGAUGAUGAUAAUACUCAAAUCGUAUUCCAUACAUGAGCUCAUAUAGAGGCAUAGCACGAGCUCUAUUGAGCUCCCCAGAUAAGCUCUAUAGUUAAAGCUAUCCUCGAAUUCGUUAGAGCUACUUCCUAAACUCUCUUGAGCUCCCCAAAUCAACUCUUUAAACUAAAUCCCAUGAGCUCCAUAGAGCUUAUCUCGCAAAACACUUCAAUUUACCUCUCAAAUUACCUCAGUUCACCUUCCAGAUCACCUUAGUUAUUUCUUUUGUCCUUAACAGUAGAAAAACACACCUAGAUUUUUACUAGCUCAAUCUCCCCUCAAAUAUAAAUUUAUUUAUUUAAAUUAUAUUUAACCUUGUUCUGGUGAGGACAACCACUAAAUGAUUCAAAUCAGAUCCUAGAGAAAAUCCGAUGAAAACAUGUAUCUAUGUAUAAUAUUUAACAUCACCCUAACAAUCAAUACGAAUGCACUUGGAUUUAUUCUUAAUAGUACACAAAGUGGAAAAAGCAUGACAAGCAACACUUGCACACUCGAGGCUCAAUAUAAGUACAAACGUCAUAAUUCCAAGCAACAAACAAUGACCAUCAUUACUAAUUUUUUCUGAAAGCCACCAAAUUGGAAAAGUACUGCCAAGCAAUUAAUUAACGACUGCGACUUGCCAUCCUAAGCUUAUCCAAUGCUGAGAGUUCAUUAUUCUUCAAGGUUUGGUUAAUGUAAAUAUCUUUUAGAGUAAUUUCAGGGUAGAGCGGAGGAUUUUCUUCUGAUAGCAACUCUUUAAUUGGACCAUAUCGUCUCGAGCAACUAUUAUUCAUGAAAAACUUCCGAUUGAAAUUCUGGAGCCUUCCUUAUUUGAUAACACUCUAUAAUAGGCACUCUUGAACUUAUCGUUGGUAAUCAGCUGCAUAAACACAAACACAUUGGUAAUCAGCUGCAAAAACACACACUUCAUAUAAACCAUAAUUAAGUUAUCUGAUAGAGAUUCAUGCUUGGGUGUUGACGUUUACAUGAAAUUUUGUAAGGACGAUUCUUUCACAGUAUUGUGAAAGAACGUUUCCGCACAAAAUUUAGUGCGAACGUCCCACUUGAGAAUUUUCAAUUUGAUGGAUAGUAUUUCUUAAUAAGUUAUCUAACACACACUUGCCUGCAUCAUGUAGCCUAAGUUUACAACUAGAGUUCCCGGAACAGGGGCAAUGUCAAAUCAUUGAUCUUCAUGAAAGACUUUGAGGCCACCAAUUUGAUCUUGUAUGAGCACAGUGACAAAUUCCGGGUCAGAAUGUGUUGUUAUGCCGAUGGACAAUUCUGGUUGAGGGUAUUCAGGGUAGUAACCAUUCCCAAUAGUCAUUUCCUCUACACAACCUAUGUCUUUCAGGUAAUUGGGGUCAAGCCCUAAAGCUUCGGAUAGAAGUUCAAACAGAGUGUCCCCUAUUUUCCACAUUAGGUUGUUGUAUGCGAUCAUUAUCUCUCUGCAAAUUAAUAAAGACAAAAAAUAAUCACUACUAAAAGAAAGGGAGAAUGACAUUUCGACUUUUAGAAAUUUUUUUUUAUUGGGUUAACAACUAGAUGAAAUGAGAGUAAUAAAAACUUAUUAGGAACCCAAGUGAUGCAAAACAUUUUAAGAAAGAUGCGAGUGUUAUCCACUGUAAAAGAAAUAAAAUCUAUUGGUCAUCGUCCACAUACCUGCAAGCUUCAGGCAAAUCUUCAGGAUUUGAAAAAUCGCGACCCAUAACACAACUCAAAGUAUCUUUCUGUUAAGGAAGCUCAUUGUGCUAAGUUUAUGAAGAACAUGAAGGCAAAGAAGUUCUCAGUCUUAGUCAGUGAAGCAAGUCAAUAGUGCCAGCUCAUCAGUGCCAGAUCAACAGAAUUAGUUACGGGAAUUAACAAGUCAGCAUAAGUUGUUAAUGCUUGUUACUAGUUUCUUUAGCAUGUGUAUGUAAAUAUCUUCAAGUAUAUAAGCUGUAGAAGUUCAGUUGGUAUGUAACGAAAAAGAAUUAAGAAAUAAGAACUUUGAUUUUUCAUCUGUAAAUUUUCUCUUGAAACAAACAGCCUUUAACUUUCUUUCAUGGUAUCAGAGCCAACCAUGGCUAGUUCCAGUACACCUAAUCAAGUUCAUUCCACAAACAAUCAAUUUCAAUCUACGCAAACUUCAUUUACUUUUGCUGCGACUGUAAACUCGAUCGAUCAAAUUUUCUUCUUUGGCGCAAACAAGUACUGACGUCAAUCAGAGGAAAUCGACUUGAAGGAUUAAUCUCAGAAGGUUAGAAUAUUCCAGAACAGUAUCUAUCUCAAUCAAGAGCUGACAGAUCUGUGGAGAAGAUUGAGAAUCCAGCUUAUGUUAAUUGGAGAGCUCAGGAUCAGACUCUGCUUAGCUGGCUUCUUUCAACAAUAAGUGAAGGUAUUCUAAGCUCAGUUCUUAAUUAUGAUACUUCCUUCGAUAUUUGGAGAUCCAUUGAAAAACAAUUUGGAGUUCAAUCCGAAGCAAAAAUAAUGCAACUUAGAUAUGAAUUGGACACUUUGAGAAAAGAAUCAAUGUCAGUUGAAGAAUAUUGCUCAAAAAUGAAAACUCUUGUGAAUAAGCUUGCUUGUGCUGGUGAUAAUAUAACUGAAAAAGAUCUGUUGAUUAGGACUCUUAAUGGAUUAGGAUCUGGGUAUUUGGAUCUAGCUUCCAUAAUCACAGCUAAUAAAAUGAACUUUGAUGAUGCGUAUGCACUGUUGUUGACACAUGAAGCUCGAUUAGAACAGAAUUAGAAUCCACAGCCUAUGUUUAAUGCCAACUAUAGUAUGGUGAAUGCAAAUUAUGCAAAUUCUUCGCAUAUGAGAGGUUUUCCUAGGAAAUGCUUCUAAUGGUCAAUAUGGAGGAAGAGGUCAGUAUUUUGGUCGUGGUAUGUUCUCUACUUCUUAUCCUAGAGGUUUUCCAGCUGGUAAUGGUGGUUUUGGUAGAGGGAAUGAUGUUGCAAGUUUUGGCAGAAAUCAGUUUCAACAUUUUCACAGACCACCACACAUCAGAAAUAUGUUUUCUCACGCACAUAAUCAAAACAAUUCUACUGGUGAACAUAAUGAACUGACACCUAUAUGCCAAAUAUGUCAUAAGCAAGGUCACACUGCUGAUGCUUGCUGGUAUCGAUAUGGUGAUAAUUACCUUCUUAAGAAUUUUGGCAUAGGUAAAAUGAUGGGAUCAAAGGCUGCUUAUAUGGCUAAUUUUGAGUCAUUUCCUUAUCAACAGUCAACAGAGGAAGAUUCUUAUGGAGUUGCAGAUAUUAACUACAGCUAUCAACCAGUGAAUUACUCACCUGUCUCUUCUUAUCAAUCUGAAGCUUUUACUUUCUCGGAAGCUUAUGUUGCUAACCUUGAAGGCUCAUCAGAUGAAGGGUGGUAUCUUGAUAGUCGGGCCACACAUCACAUUACAAAUAACAUGGGAAACAUGCAUGUGAGAGAAGAGUUCAGAGGUGCAGACCAGCUGACCAUUGGCAAUGGACAAGGUGUGAUUAUUACUCAUAUUGGUGAUGCUUGCUUUAGCUAUAAAAGUCUUAAUGCUGCCCACAAACACACACCUAUAGCACUUAAGGAUAUCUUAUUAGUUCCUUCUAUUACUAAGAACUUAAUAAGUAUAUCUAAGUUAACCACUGAUAAUAACCUUUCCAUUGAAUUUGUUGGUAAUGUGUGUUAUGUAAAGAAUUCACUGAAGGGACAAGUACUUCUGCAAGGUCUUGCUGAAAAAGGAUUAUACAAGUUGCUGUUACAAUCAUCUCAGUCAUCUCCUUCCUCUUUCUUGAGUCAAAUUUCUUCAAACAAGCCUCUGUCUAUGCUUUCUACAUGUCAUCUUCAAUUUCCUGUUAUAACGGAUGUCCAGAAUAAAGAUUCAAAGUCUGUAGCUUGUUAUCAAACUGCUGUCAAUUCUUUCUUUCCUUGUAAUGAAUUAGUUAAUAAAGUCAACUUGUUUCAUAGAUGAUUUGGUCAUCCUCAUUAUGAUGUACUAGUGCAUUUACUUAAGAAUGAUCAGUUUAUCAAUAUCUCUACUUCCAUUAUUAAACAAGCUGCACAACAAAUAUGUGAGGUAUCUCAAAUGGGUAAGGUUCAUAGGCUACACUUCCCUGCAACUAAAACCAAAACUUCCCACAUACUUAAACUUAUUUAUACUGAUUUGUGGGGUCCUUCCCCUUAUUCUUCCAGAGUUGGUUAUGUUUAUUACAUCAGCUUUGUUGAUGAUUUCAGUAGGUACACUUGAAUCUAUCCACUGAAACUGAAAUCAGAAGCCUUACAAAUUUUCAAACUCUUCAAACUGCAAGUUGAAAAACAAUUCCAGUGUUCCAUUAAAAAGUUACAAUCUGACUGGGGGGGAGAAUAUCGAGCAUUCACUGAAUUUUUGAACCAAAAUGGAAUUAUUUUUAGACACUCUUGUCCAUACACACAUCAUCAAAAUGAGGUAGUUGAGAGAAAGCACAGACACAUUGUUGAGUUAGGACUUACACUUCUAACUCAAGCUAAAUUACCCUUAAACUUUUGGUGGGAAGCUUUCCAAACCUCAGUCUAUCAUAUUAAUAGGUUGCCUUUUGCAACUUUGAAAUUUCUUACUCCCUAUGAAAAGCUCUUCAAUCAUAAGCCAGAUUACAAAAUGCUCAAGUGCUUUGGUUGUGCAUGCUAUCCUUACUUGAGAGAUUAUAAUAAGUAUAAGUUUGCCUAUCAUUCUAACAAGUAUGUCUUUAUUGGUUACAGUCCUUCUCAUAAAGGGUAUAAAUGUUUGCAUCCAUAUGGUCAGGUCUAUAUAGCUAGACAUGUCAUAUUUGAUGAGCAUUCCUUUUCUUACUCAUCAGAUUCUGUUUUCACUUCAAAUAAUUCAUGUCAACCUCUGUCAUUUACUCCUCAACAAGUGUAUCAUCUAUUCACUUUGUCAAUACCUUCUAAUUCAAAUGACAGUAACUCUUAUAAUCCUGUUUCUGUAAGUUCUACCAGCAGCAGUUCUCAUCAUUCAGUGAAUCAUACACAUAACAAUGACUCUCAGCCUUUGCCACAAAUAUUUGAGCCACAUACAGAAUCUCAUCAUUCCCUGCCUACUCAAUCAUUCACUACCAACACACUCUCUCCAUCACAAAUUUUACCAAACAUCAUUCCACACACCUUUGCUCCAGAAAAUACAAACCAGCAAACACACAUUCCAUGACCACUAGAAGCAAAGCUGGAAUCUUCAAACCUAAAGUCUAUAUUGCAGCACUUGUUCAUAAAGAACCAGAUUCUAUAGAAGAAGCUAUGCAGGAUUCUAAAUGGCUUGAAGCCAUCAAAGAAGAAUACAAUGCUUUACUCCAUAACAAUACAUGCUCUCUGGUUCCAAGGUUAGAUGGUCAGAAGGUUGUUGGUAACAAAUGGGUGUAUAGAGUUAAAUAUAAUUCAGAUGGAAGCUUAGCCAAGUACAAAGCUAGAUUAAUAGCUAAGGGAUUUCAGCAAAUUGAAGGGGUCAACUAUUUUGAAACAUUCAGCCCAGUGGUGAAAUCAACUACUGUCAGAGUGGUAAUCAAUUUAGAUGUUAUGAACAAAUGGCAUAUAAGACAGGUAGAUGUAAAUAAUGCUUUUCUUAAUGGAGAGUUGACAGAAGAGGUAUUCAUAGAUCAACUAGCAGGCUUUGUUGAUGAUAAGAAGAAAGAUUUUGUGUGUCAGCUUCAUAAGUCACUCUAUGGUCUUAAACAAGCUCUAAGAGCUUGGUAUGAGAAGCUGAAGAGUUGUUUACUGCAGUGGAAUUUUGUAAACUCAAGAGUUGAUCCUUCUCUGUUCAUAAAGAAAACAAGCUCAGUCAUGAUAAUGGUAUUGAUUUAUGUAGAUGACAUUCUAGUUACAGGGCCAAACAGUGCAGAAUUAAAAUCCUUUAUAGCUGAGUUCAGUAAAGUUUUUGCAUUGAAGGAUCUAGGUAAGUUGUCUUAUUUUCUGGGCAUAGAAGUGUUGUAUGAUGCAGGCUGUAUAUAUUUGUCACGAAGGAAAUACAUACGAGACCUGCUAUCCAAAGUGCAGUUUCUUGAGUGCAAAGGUACUGACACACCCAUGAGCACUGGUCUUAAGCUACAAAAGGAAACUCAAGGUGCUCCUACAAUGAAACACCUUCUAGCUUGUAAAAGAGUUCGUAGAUAUUUGAAAUCUACUCCAAAUUUUGGACUCAAGUUUGUUUAACAUGAAGAGAUGAAGAUUACAGGAUUCACUGAUGCAGAUUGGGCUUGUGAUCUUGAUGAUAGAAAAUCUAUUGGUUCUUAUUGUGUUUACUUAGGGAACAAUCUGAUAUCCUGGUCAUUUAAGAAGCAGUCAGUCAUUGCUCGAUCAAGUGCUGAAAGUGAAUAUAGAGCCUUAGCUUCAGCUAGUGCAGAGAUAAGCUGGUUACAAUCCUUAUUUUCUGAGAUUGAUUUGUGUUGCACAGAAAUUCCUACCAUUUGGUGUGACAACAUUAGUGCCACUGAAUUAGCUCGCAAUCCUGUCUUUCAUUCACGAACAAAACAUAUCGAGCUUGACAUUCAUUUCAUCAGAAAUAAAGUGAUUGCAGGGGAGCUGACAAUUUAGUACAUUCCUAGUGAAGAACAGAUAGCUGAUAUCAUGACCAAGCUUCUCUCUUUGGUUCACUUCAACUAUCUAAGGAACAAACUCAAUGUGCAGCCUUGCCCCUUGAGUUUGAGGGGGGCUGUUAAGGAAGCUCAUUGUGCUGAGUUUAUGAAGAACAUGAAGGCAAAGAAGUUCUCAGUCUUAGUCAGUGAAGCAAGUCAAUAGUGCCAGCUCAUUAGUGCCAGAUCAGCAGAAUUAGUUACGGGAAUUAACUAGUUAGCAUAAGUUGUUAAUGUUUGUUACUAGUUUCUUUAGCAUGUGUAUGUAAAUAUCUUCAAGUAUAUAAGCUGUAGAAGUUCAGUUGGUAUGUAACGAAAACGAAUUAAGAAAUAAGAACCUUGAUUUUUCCUCUGUAAAUUUUCUCUUGAAACAAACAGCCUUUAACUUUCUUUCACUUUCCAAAAGAGGGUUGGUGCACUAUACAAAUUUAAAUUUGAACAAUAUUUAAUUUUUUUGGAGUAAUCACGAGAAUAAUAUUUCUGCUUAACCUCAACAUCUUGUUGAAAAAAAGCUACGGAUCCCAUCAAUGGCCUGAUCCAAAAUGCUUGUUGGGAUUCCAUGAUUGAUCACUUGAAAGAAACCCCACUUCUCACAAGCACUUCUAAUUUGGUCAAUUACCUGAGAACGCAAACUUGAAUCCUUGAGUAUUCUUUGAAGGUCUAUGAUAGGGAUGCUGAUUUUGGGGUCCCUGCAGAUUGGCUUAUCAUCAAACUUAUGUUUAGUGUGACGAUCUUGAAUGAUGAUCUGUGGAAUGGUUGUGAUCCCAGCAUCUACGAGUCCUUUAACACCAGCUUUUGUGUCAUCAAAAGCUUUCAACUCGCUAACUCUGUCACAAGUAAUGCUUCCCAUUGCUUGGUGAAUUAUCUUUUACCUGGUGAAUUAUGAAGUACAAAUGCUGACUUGCGGGUGAUUGCUUUUGGUAUAUGCCGUUUAUAUGAUAUGAUUCCUAGCUUGCCACGUGCAACAUGUUGAAAUAUAACGAUAGCAUGAAGAUGUGGAAAUUUGUAAAAUUUGAUCCUGCGUUAUUUAUCAUGAUUAAAUUAAUUAUAAAUUAUCAAUAAUAGUCAAUUCCGGGGACCACCAAUUACUGGGUGGCACAUCACAAUAAUAAAUUAUCAAUAAUAGUCAAUUCUGCAUUAUUUAAUAUUUAUGUGGAUAAAAUUUCAAUUAGCUACACUACAUUGUUGUUUGAUAGUUAACGUUUCACCUUCUCCAUUUGUAAAUAUUAUUAUGGACUUAUAGUGUGGCUUAAAAGCUAGAUCUUAAAUGAAAAGAAAGCUUUAAUGGUGAAAUAAAAAUUUAAAUAAAUGAUAAAGGGAUUAAAGGUUAACCUAAUGUUAACAAAAAUAAUUGUAAAAUAUACAUGUUUUAUCAUGUUAAUUGAUGUUUUUCCAGUAUGCACAUAAAAAAGAUCUAUUUUACAAUUGUUUCUGUUGGCGUUGGGGCAGAUUUUUUUUUAGUCUAAUUAAGUAUAUCAUAAGUUAAUAAUAGUGCGUAUUUUAACUUUAAUAAAUUUGGCCACUUAGAUUUUUAAUUCUGACUCCUUCCCUAAUCAAUCAAGAAAAAGAAUGCUUUUCUCCAUAAAAAUUAAAAUAGAAAAUUCAGCAAGGACAUAACUGCGGAGAUGUUUGAUCCUGGAUUUAUAUAUCAAAGCAACAUCAAAAUUAUAAUAAUACUUCCUUGUUACCGAGAAGAGAUAUAUUCAAGAGCACUAGCCUUAUAAAGCCUUAACAAUACUAAACUACCUACAUGGAAUCUAAUGCGUACAUGCAAUGCUUUCUAAAGUGAAACUGUCGCUUGAAAAUAGAAUUCAUGUUCAGCAGCCUCCCUCUAUCCGAGCUCCAAUUUUAUAACAAGGCAGCUAAAUAAGAUGAUUUAGAUGGCAUCGGCAUCUGUAGUAUCGUUUGUCUGUAGUCCCUCAUUAUCUACGAUCUGAUCGCUCCCUAUAGUAUUGUUUGUCUGUAGUCCCUCAUUAUCUACGAUCUGAUCGCUCCCUAUAGUAUUGUUUGUCUGUAGUCCCUCAUUAUCUACGCUCUGAUCACUCCCUAUGUAGAGGAUCGACAAGAGAAAAUUGUAGCACACGUUCACAGCACUAAUAACUGUUAAACUCUUAUAGUACUUGUCAAUCCUACUAUAAUCCAAGGUUUCAGCAAACUCGCCUUUGUUUGCCAAAAUGAAAAAGAUGUUAAAAAUGCUUCCAAUUCCGACGAAAAAAUAACUUAUUGCUGAUACAUGGUACUCCAUCCGUUCAGGAAAAUGAGAGCUCGAGUAUUCAUCACAUCCAUACCAAGCAAGCCCUUCCAUAAGACCUAAUAGACAGAAUUGUGGAACAAGCCAAAACAUGCUCAUAUUUUCCAAUUGUUUGAGCUUUUCCAACCUGCGAACCUCAACCUGCCAUGCCACUACACAGCAAACUGUAGUCAUCACAUUUCCAAUGAAUGUUCUCAACACUUGAGCUUGUCUCUUUUUAGUUUUGGAACAAAAUUGAAAUUAAAUUUUUUGACAGGAUAAGAGAUCGUUGCACGAUUUAUCCCUUUAAAAGUUCGUAGAANNNNNNNNNNNNNNNNNNNNNNNNNNNNNNNNNNNNNNNNNNNNNNNNNNNNNNNNNNNNNNNNNNNNNNNNNNNNNNNNNNNNNNNNNNNNNNNNNNNNCAGAAAUCAUGUUGGCUCCCUGCUCAGGAAAAAAUGUAUUUCCUGCUGACAGAACCAAUCCAAACACAAUGAAGCUAGACCACAAUGGCAACAAUUUAAGAAGAGAUUUUGACUCCCUGACGUGGGCCACAGUGCAAAGUGUGCCUGCCUCUUCUUGUUCGUUAGAAGUACUUGAUGUCUCUAUAAUUGCCGCUUUGUCUAUCCAUCUGCAAUUCAAAGAAUUAAUUUAUUGGUAAUUUUUUAGGAAAAUAGAAAGCGACAGCUCAUGGUUUGGCAAAAGGAUCACCCAGACGCGUUUAUAAAUACGCCCUUUUGGACAAAUCUUGGAGGUCGGUGUGACUAUUCCCGAACACAAAAGGGUAUUAAUGUGUCCAUAAAGAGGUUUAUAUAAUUAUUAAUAAAAAUAAGAGGGUCUCCCCGACAAUUUUGCCAGACCACGGGCCGGGUGUGGGUGUAUACAUGUUAGGCAUAUACCUGAGUAAUUUGAUUCUGGGUGACAAGUGUAAUACGUUUCCCUCAUCAUUACUGAAGAACAGCUCCGGAGAAAGAGGAUAAUUGAGAUGCUUUUUCUUCAGGGAGGUUUUAAUAACGCGGAUUAUAGCAAAACGGUCAAUAGGAGGUAUUUGUCUACUAUGAUAAAAGGGAAUACCCAACAACAAGAGGAUCAAACUGCCCCCCAUAAACAACAAUGUGAACAUGAAAGUCUUCUUCCAUGUCUUAAUAUUAUUUGCAUAGAAUGCCGCAGCUGCACCACAGCACCAGGCAAACCGCCACCACACUCUUUUCUGAGCCAUUACUUGAUCCUCAUUUGAAUUUUCUGUUCUCCCUCCUUUACCAUGUUCUCUUAAUUGAUCGGCAAGAAAUGGUCCCAAAAGAGGCGCCGCUCCAACUUCACCCACUGCUAACAGGAUAAUUCCUAUCAUGUUGAGUAGCUCAAAGUUGGUUUCUGAAAAUUCUCUGGACGCUGUACAGAACAAUAGCCCCAAUGCCUGAAACGAAAAUUGUUGGAACUAAUUCUAUAGCAUGACAUUAUGAUCCUAGAAAUGCUUUUCUUAAUCAUUAUUAUAAUCAAAGUGGAGCCAAAAUGAAUUAAUGUCACAUCAAUUGUAAUUUAACUAUUGAGAUCUCUAGCAUUAUUUUUAUAAGGGUAAAGCUCCUAAUAUCCUCUUAUUAGGUAUGUGUGUGUGUGUAUAUAUAUAUAUAUAUAUAUAUAUAUAUAUAUAUAUAUAUUUACAUGCUGUGAAAUUUAACAUUUACUCCAAAAUAAUAAAUUUUUAAUUUAGCUCAAAGUACUAUAAAGUCCUGGGUCCGCCCCUGAAUAUAUAUAUUGCUUGCAAGGAUAGACAUAUGUUUUAAUUUCGUCUCUGUUUAGAAGUUUAGCAAAUUCAAAACAUAUUAACUUACAAGGAUGUAGGAGACAGUUGAAAAAAUGAGGAUUCUGAGAGGACGAAUGGCAUAACACGAAAUCCAGGCGGCAACAAUCGUAAGAGUUGCUAAUAUUACAUCCUGAACACUCGUAAAUAUUGCAGCUUUCUGAAGUGUGAAUACUUUUGAAUAUUCGGAGUCGGAGAAGUAAGUUAUCAAGACGCCCACUAUAGCCAAGUCUACGAGUUUGCGGCUUAUCAACAAACCUGGAAUCAAAAUAAUCAUUAGAAAAAAUGUUCGUGCUCACUAAAAAAAGCUUACACAUGAGGACUGCAAGAACAACGUGAGAGAACUAUUGUCAUGUUUUUAUAAUUUAGCCCAACCUAAUCAAAGAUCUUAAGUACACCUCUCUUAACUGAAAUUAUUCUAGGGGAUUAUCUAUUUAGGAAUCUCAAAGUUCAUGAGCUCUUAAUACAUACACACAUACAUAUACAUACAUACAUCAUCAUGUUGUUAAAGUAAUGAUGUUAGUAAAAUACAAAAAAAAUAUAUGUACAUGUAUUAAAUUGUAUGGUUUAACAGAAUUAGUACAAAUAAAUAAAUUACAUGAUUUUGUAGUGCAUUGAAAAUUAAUUCUAUUAAACUAUACAAUUUACUAGUGUGUCUCCAUUAAAAAAAAUAAAGACCCUCAUAUAUAUAUGUAUACAAGUUUAUGUUCUGAAUAAAUACAUUUUUAAAAGAUAGGAUUACCUAAGGCCCCACAUGCAAAAUUACCUGACAGAAAUGGAGCAGCCUUACAAAAGCAGACGUAAUAUCGUACCCAAGUUAUGAACCUGUUUUGAAGCUUCAACGGCUGAGAAAAUGGAAACAUUGUAGUUUCUGAAACUGCUUUUAUCUGCAAAGACUUCUACUCGUGAGUUGUGAAUCCCGAGACGAUGAAGAUUUUGUAAUUAUGCCAAAGUCUUUUAGGUAGUUUAUUCAAAUUAAAAAAUAAUAAGUCGCACUUCAAGACCACCUAUUGGUCACAUAAGUCUUUUUUUUUUCUUGUUUUGAGGGUUCUAAAAAGUUAGUUUAUUCAAAUUAAAAAAUAAUAAGUCGCACUUCAAGACCACCUAUUGGUCACAUCAAGACCACCAUUUGGUCACAUAAGUCUUCUUUUUUUUCUUGAAACUUUAAUCCAGCUAGGGAUGGCAAAAAUCCCCACGGGGACGGGUACCCUCGGGGAUUUUUCCUAUUUGGGGAGGGUAUGGGGAUAAUUUUAUACCCAAUUUCUUAUUCGGGGAAGGGACGGGGAAUUUUUUUUACCCAAUUUCUUAUUCAGGGAGGGGACGGGGAUGAGGUGGAAUCCCCAUCCCCUACCCAUUUCCCCAUUUUAAUUUUUAAUUUAAUUUUUAUUUUUUAAAAUUACUAGUAAAUAAAUUAUAAAAUUUGAAUUAUAAAAUUAUAAGUACUGAUAAAAAUAAAAAAAUAUCAAAAUAUUUAUAUUAUUAAACUUUUAGGUCUAAUUAACUAAUUAAAGUCCUAAAUUUUUAUUUAAGACAUUAAAAAGACCGAACAGAUUCUAUUAGCUCAAAACUUUUGUUUUAAUUUGAAUAUUCAUUAAAUAUUUUAAACUUAAAUCUAUUUUUUAUUUAUUUUUAGAUGUUAUAAUUGCCCAUAGCAAAUCACAAUUUUAAUAUCUAAUCUAAUAUAAUAUUUGCUCUUGAUUUGCUUCGACUUAAUUAUUGUGCUGUAAAGGGAAUAGUCCACAUUUAUAAAAUGCCCACGCCACCAUUGAAAAGUUAAUUUUGAAUCUAAAUUUGAUUUUAUUUGUAACAAUUUUGUAUUAGGCUAUUAAUUUGUUCAUGAUAGUUUGUAUCCCUUGCAUGUUGCGUUACUUACUAAUUUAAUGUAUGUGACUUUUGUAAUGGAUACUAAUGUAAGAUAUAUUUCGAACUUUACUUUUAUUUGAAUUUUUUUAUUUUAAUAUGAUUAACUCAAAAUCGAAAACAAAAAAAAAUGUAUUAGUUAUUCGGGGAUCGAGGACCCUCGGGGAUCCCCUGUUAUUAUUCGGGGAGGAGAUGUGGAUUCUCUUAAACAAUUUUGAUGGGGAUGGGGAGGGGACGGGGACAUACGCAAAAUAUCGGGGAUGGGUACGGGGAGAUUGGUCCCCUCCCCUCCCCUCCCCAUUGCCAUCCCUAAAUCCAGCUACGGUCCAACAGGUGCACCGUGCCCCUCUUUUUGACAGCACCCCUUACUUUCUUCUGUAUUUACAGUUUAUUAAAGUAAUUUCUUUUUCCUCUUUCUUUCACCCCUCACCUUUACAAUCUUCCAAUUUUUUCCAUUUUCAAUUAAACCUGUAAUCAACCAAUUGCAAGCAAUAAGAAAGAAGUUGGCAAGCUAUUUCUUUAUGACCUUAGGAUUCAUUUGCUCUAUAAUACACAAGUAAUAAUGAAUUGAAGUUUUUAUAUAAAAAAAUUACAUAGAUGUAAUUUUUUUACGCACACUAUUUAUCAUCUACAAUGAAAUUAACAUGUAAGUAAAUUGAUUUUUUUAUCUUUUAUUAUAUGUAUUCUUCCCCUUUCUCCCCCGUAUGUCUUUUCAUUUUCUCUUUGAAUAAUCUAACCUAAGGCUUUCUAAUAAUUGGUUUAUUGUUAUUAUUUUUAUAAGUAAACCUUCUCUUUGUUAUGUCAAUAGGUUUAUUUUUAAAAAAAAAUUCGUAAAUGACCAAAAGUGAGAACCUUAAUAAAAAUUCAAAACCUAUCUUAGUUUUUGUUGUCUUUGUUGAUGCAUCUUGCAUGUUUGAUGUCUUAAUUAUAACUAGUGAGAGUAAGUACUGUAAUACAAUGAUGAUUAAUGAUUAUUACUAAGAGUAUUCAAAGAAAAAGAAGUUGGUGUAAAAUUUUAUAAACUUUGAGUUUUCUAAAUUUUCACUAAACAAUAGGGAUUGCAUUAUUAAUAACUAAAUAAACACAUCCAUAACCUUGAAACUACAUUUGUGUUAGAUCCAAUGGUGGCAGUACAUAAAGACAAAAAGAGGGGCAUGGUGCACCCCUUGCACCGUAGCUGGAUCCUUUAGUCACAAAAUAAUGACUUACUGUACAGCUCAAUAAUUUUAGGUGGUAUGAAACACGUAUGAUGAGACGGUCAUAAUUACACUGUACCAUGAAUGAUCCUCAUUGAGUAUAUAAUCCCUUUCUUUUUUCAAACAAGAUUUAUGCUUUAAUUUUGGGAGGUUUGCUAAGUUCUUUCUCUUUGUAAUGGUUACGAAGACUGACAAUUUUCUAUUGAAGUUAUUUAUACAUGUAUUUCUUUUUCAGCAUGUAAUACAUUUAGGAAAUGAGUAAUGAUUAAGUACAAACACUUUUAGAUAAACAAUGUUGUACGAACUUAUGUGAUAUUUUUAGAAAAAAGGAUCUGAACAUCCUUAAGAUUUUAAAAAAUGGUCAUAUAUACUUUGAGUUUUCAAUACGGAACAUCAAGACACUUUUUGACUAUAGUAUUUUUAAUAGAUAAUAAUAAAAAUAUUGAAUUUAAACAUUUUAAUAAAUAUAAAUAAAAUAUAAAUAGUUUAAUAUGUCUAGUAGACUAAUAAUAUUAGAACGUUUCUUAAUAUAUAAAUAAUUUUUAAAAGAUAAAUUAGUAUAUUUAUUUUAAUAAUAUAUUUUUACUUAUUAUAAAAAUUGUAAAUAAAUCUUUAGGUUAGAUAGAUUUUAAAUUUAAUAAAAUACAUGUCAUGUACUAAUAAUAUUAAAACUAUUUUAUAUAAUAUUGAAAAUAAUUUAAAUUUUAAAUUUUAAAAUUAUGCUUCGAUUUAUUUUGAAAUUUAGUUUAAUAUAAUUUAAUGUUGUAAAGUAUUAAAAUAUUUUAAAAAUAUUGAAAUUAUUUUAAAAUGUAUAUAUUGUUACAUUUAUUUUAAUAUGAUACUUCUAUUUAUUAUAAAAUAUUAAAAAUAAUAUUUUAAUUAAAAGGGAGUUUUGGUGUCUCUUACUGAAAAAUAGAGUGUACAUAAUCAUUUUUUCAAAUUUUCAAGGGUGUAUAUGUCAUUUUUCUUACUUUUUUUAUAAUCAAUUGAAUAAAAAAAAGUCAUAUGGCCACAUAAAUUAUUUCUAAUUUAUAUUUUCAAUCAACAAAUCAUAAUGUGUCAUAUCUAUUUGUAUAAGCAUUUAUGAACAUAAAAAAUUAAGUUUAGGCACUAGUCUGGUUGGAAAUCAACUCAUCCAACCCAUGUAUAGUGCUAGUUGGGUGAGUUGGACUUAUCUCGAAGACCCAUUUUCUGUCUUUGAAAUAUCAAUAUGAAAUUAAAAUAAUUAAAAAAUAAUUUAAUUGAAACAACUAAAAAUAUAAUACAAAAUUACAAAUAAUAACUAUCCCUCAAACUUCAUUCUUAAUAAAAAUAAUUAUUUGUAUAGGAUCCUAAUUACACCAUAAAAAGUAAUAGGAUGAAUUCAAGAGUUGGGUUUGAAAAUUUUCAACACCUAGUAAAUAUAGUGCAUUUUCUCCACCCCUAUGAAAUUAGGGGUUGGCUUUCUACUUGAUUUUAAGCAGAGAAAAUUAUCAAAACUACCUUAUUGUUUGUUGAAACUAUAGGGUGAAUUUAAGAGUUGGGUUUGAAAGAUGCAAUAUGUUCAUAUGUAUAUAUGAACAUAUUGCAUCUUCACUAUCUUAUCCCCAGAAUUUUUGCACCAAAUCAUGGUACAAGAAUAAAAAUUCGCAACUCGAAUCAACAAAGUAUAUCACUAAGUUAUUCUGCAAGCCGCCAAAUUGGAAAAUGUCCCAAAUAAUUAAUUAACCACAGCGACUUGUAGCUUAACUUUUUCCAACGCUGAGAGUCCUUCAUUCUUCCCUAUUGAGGAUUGGUUAUUGUAAACGUCUGUUGGAGUAACAUGGGGAUAGUGCGAAUGAUUUUUUUCGGAUAGCAACUAUUUAAUUGGACCAUAUUGUCUCGAGCAACUGUUAUUCAUAUAAAAAACUUCCAAUUGAAAUCGUUGAGCCUCGCCUUCUUGACAACACUCUGUGAUAGGCACUCUUGAACGCGACACUGGUAAUCAGCUGCAUAAACAUAUAAAAGAACACUAUAAUUAAGUUAUAUGAUGGAUUCAUAAUAGUCAAAGUUGUGCAUAACAUCUACUUGCCUGCAUCAUGUAGCCUAAGUUUACAACUAGAGCCCCGGAAACUGGGGUAAUAUCAAACCAUUGAUCUUCACAAAAGACUUGGAGGCCACAAUUCGAUCUUGUAGGAGCAUAGUGACAAAUCCAGGGUCAGAACGUAUUGUUACGCCAAUUGUCAAUUUCGGAUGAGGGCUUUCUGGGUAGUGACUAUUCCUAAUAGUCAUUUCCUCUACAGAACCUGUGUCUUUGAGUAACUGGGGCCAAACCCUAAAGCUUCAGACAAAAGUUCAAACAGAGUGAAUUAGCAAUUGACGUUGUUGGAGAAAAAUAAGUUUUUAUUUUUUUUUAAAAAAAAAAUUUUUUAGAGUCGAUCUCAUACAAUAUAUAAGAAUUCAUAAUUUAGAAAUUGUACCUUGAAAAUAUGAGAAAAUGAACAAUCUUUGCUUUUUCUACUGAAGUGAAACUAAGCUCCCAGAUCACGAUCUGUCACCACCACACCUGUUAGAUCACAAUAUGUCACCACCACGCUUGUUAGAUCACGAACUAUCACCAAUGAUUUUCUAGAUUAUGACUCAGGUUUGAUCUGCACUUGACGUGUGGGUGCCUUUAUCACUAUCAAUAGCAAUUAGUAGGAGAAAAUUUUUCUCUCAAGAUUAAAGAGAAAAAUUCUUUUUCUCUGAUCUGUAUAAUGUGGCCUUAUAUCUUUUCAAGAGAAAAUAAGCCUUUUUAUAUCUUAUCUAGUCGAAAUCCUAAGCUUUAUAUUUUCUAUUUUUUAAUUCUAUUAACACAAGGCCCCUUACACAUAAGCAUAUUAUAUGGAGCCUCCCACUAAAUAAUAUAUUUAGGCUUUUAACCCAAAUAACUAGUUAUCUUGCUUAUUAAUCCAGUAACAGCACAAUCAAUUAAAUGAGCUAACCCAAGGAUCAUUUGAGAACAUACAAUAGUGGCUACAAUAAUUAGGCUUGUAAUCAAACUAGCCCAAUUAUUUAAUUCCAAAUCUACUCCACUAAAAGAUUGGAACUGACCUCCACAAUUGUAUGCUUGAAUAAUAAUUUAUCCCAAGCAACAUUGAUUUCUUUACUGCACAAUCCUUUGUACCACAUCAUUAAUUAAAUCGAUAUCUCAACUGUCCAAUCAAUUUAACUACAUCUUGUUCCUUGAUUCUUACUGGUUUUCUCUAAUGAUCAUUUUCAACAUACUAAAUAUGUCGACACACUCUGACCAAAGAAUUCUAUGAUCAAGUGCCGAAAACUCAUCAAGAGAUGUGUUGUACAAAUUCUAUAUUGUCAAUCUAUAACUCCAAUACUCAUAAUUGCUCUCAUCAAGAUACCAGAUAAUCUUGACUACAAGUAUGUGUCGUGCCCAUUGGUAAUUCAAAUGGAAUAACAAUUACAAUCAUGAAAUCAUAAUUAACUCAAGAUUAAGAUUACAGUAAAAUCAAUGUCUAUGAGAUUUAAUAAGUCUGACAGUAAUUACAAAGUUAAUUAAAUCUCAUAUGUUAUCUUGUUCAAUGUAGUCUUACUACAUCAAUAAAUUCAUACAUGAAUAAGACAAAUCAUUCAAUGAAUUCAUUACAGUCUAUACCUAAAUAAAGUACCCAACUUUAUUUAUCAACUGCGAAUUAAAUUUAUUUAAUCAUAAGAUAACUUGUAUUUAUGUCUUCUGUAAUCCACAUGGUGAUUCUUGUGCAAAUUUAUUGAACUCGCAAGUGCACGAAUAUAUUGUAGAAUAGAUUAAUGGUGACAAGUGUCGAUCCCACGAGAAAGUGGAUUUUAAUUAUGUGUAAAAUUAAUUUUCUAUGAGGGUGGUUGGAUUUGUGGUGAAAAUGAUUUGGAAUAUUCUAAACAUUAAAUUAGAAUGGCAUGAAUAAAUUAAAGCGAAAUCUAUUGAAAUAAAGCACUUGGGUAUCUGGAUCUGCAUUAACAUGCACCAUGUGCUAAAUAUUCUUUAGUAAUGCCAAUUAAAUCAUGAGAGGGGUUUCUACUCCUCAUGAACCACACUCUAAUCAAUAUGGUGUUAAGGGCUUAUCGUGGCAAACAAUAAUAACCUUGUACUAGGGAGUCGGUUAAAUCAGUGCGGUAUCUAGACAAGAUUAUUAUUAUUUGUCGACGAAAAGUCAAAAUAUCAACAAUAAUUAGAGGAGAAGAGAAAGUAAAUUUACUAAAUAAAGCCCAUGACACAUGUUGAGACUUCACCAACCCAAACUUGAAAGAAAAUUAGCUACUUAUAAUUGAACUAAGGGUAAAAUGAGAAUUUAUUAAAAUACAUAGAAAAUACAAGAUGGAGAAGGAAUUACAGAAAAUAGGCUAAAAAAUGAAUUUAAAAAUGCCAAAUUAGGGGGGACCCCCCCUUUUAAUAGAUACACUGAGUAAAUCAUGGCCAUCAGAUUAAAAACAUUUUGGACGCUCAAGAUUGCGCCAUGUCAUCGGUCAACAGUACGUGGUUUGACCACAUGGUUUGGUUUUAAAUAAUCUCGUGUAUAUGCAUGUACCGUACGCACUAUUUUUGAUCCACUAACAUGCUGCCACGUCACCGAUUAACAGUACAUAAGAAUUUUAGUCUAAUAAAAUUGUAACAUCUCAUCAGUCAAUGUCACGUCAUCGUUUCGUAUAUGUGAACAUUGUCGUGAACAGUAACAUGGACAGUAUCGUAUCUGUGAAUAGUACCGUAUAUGUGAACAGUUCCAUUUUUCCUUUUAAACUCCUCCUAAGAUUUUCGACUGUCCUGAUCUUAAAAGUGAUGUCUGUUUUGCUGUAUGAUCUCUCGUUCAUUGUAAAAUGACCAUGAUGCCCCUAAAAUACAUAAAAUAUUUAAUUAUAAUAUAAUACACAUAAUUAAAUCACAAAGAACUUAAAUACAUAAAAGUAUGAAUGUUAGUGAAACUUGAAGUGUAAAAUGACGAUUUUCUCCUUCAUAAAUAUACACUUUCUAACACUCAAAAGUGAUCACAUAAAUACAUAUAAUAUGAUUAAAUGGACUUUAAUCAAAAUAUUAAUGCAAUUAAGAUAUUUGAAUAAAAUACCUUAUUUAUUUUAUUAAUCAGAAAAAUUAUUUAUUACAAUUAAAUAAAUACUUAUGCUUUUAAAGAGCAUAUUUUCCCAACAGGCGUAUCUCAUAAAGCCAACUUUGGUGGUUGGGGUAUCCUGCCGUGCAACGCUGUAUCUCUUAUAGUCAACUUUUACGACUUGGACAAUUUGUAUUUUACCGAUUGUCCAUUGAAUUAAUUUGUUUUUGUUGAAAAUGAAUAUUAAAAAAAGAUUAAAAUAAAUAAAAUUAUAAAUAAUUAAAAUCACAUAUUGUCCCAGACCACCAAUAAAACCUCUAAAACUAAAAUUAUAAGCUCCUCCGUAAGAUCCACCAUUAUAUUUCUUAUUACCACUAGCAUUCUUUCAAGGAUUAAAAUGGUUUUGAGUUACAUUAGCUAACAAGUUAUGUGUGACAUCACUAGCAAUUUUUCCUCUUGUCUGUUCAACUCUAUUCUCCUGAUUUAGCAGUAAAGAGUAAAAUUCAUCAAGACUGAUCUUAUCACCUCCAGCUAACACACUGAUAACUAAAGACUCAUAAUCAGAUGAAUCUAGUCUAGUCAAAAUAUAUUGAACAAAAUCACUUAACUCAACAGAUUUUCUAGCUAAAGCCAGACUGUCAGACAAUCUCUUCAUUUUAACAAAGUAAUCAGUCAUAGACAUUGAUCUUUUUUUGAGUGUUUGAAUAUGCAUCUUAAAGGCAUUAUUCUAGCUUGAGAUUGUAAAGUAAACAUACUUGUGAGUGUAUCCAAAAGCUCUUUAGCAAUGGAGCAAUGAACGAUUGUAGCGAGUAGAUUUUGCUGAAUAGAUGACAACAUCCAACUCAAAACUGAUUGAUCUGUCUUCAUCCAGGCUGUGUAUGCUGGAUUGACCUUUCGAUUUUCAGUAAUAGUUGAGGACCAACUUCAGUGCUAGCUGGUGUGAGAAAUUACUCCGAACAAGUUUGAUCACCAUUAAUGAAAUUAUCCAGAUCGUUUCCUUUGAUGGAUGUUAAAACCUGAGUUUGUCAGACAAUGAAUUAUUAUGAUCUAGCUUAACAGGAUUGAUAAAACUAUAGGAUCCAGAAAAUUGAUUAGAACUGACCAUUGUAGGCUCUGUGAUCAUGAUAGAAUUUGUAAUAUAUAUGUCUGGAAAGCAAGAAAAUUAAGGAGAAAAAGAUAGAAAGAAAAGAAGAAGAAUUUAGAAUAUGUUAAUUGUUCAGUACAUUAAAAAUGUGAUUAUAGCCUUUGUAUUUAUAUUAAGUGAAAUGCUUAACUAUAAUUUGUUAUAACUGGAAUAGGUGCUAAACAGUUCGUUAGCUAGAAGGCUGAGAUGGCUAACUAAUUAUUCCACGUUAGCAAGAGCACUCAUGUAUGGUCCUCAUCCGUACUGUAAUUAUCAUACUCUGUAACAGUUCUUCUACAUCUUCUUGCUCUUCAGGACCAAGUGUACUUCGUGGGUCUAUAAUUGCUGCUUUGUCUAUCUAUUUGCAAUUCAAAGAAUUAAUUUAUUGGUCACUUUUUUAGGAAAAAAGAUAACGAAACAUAGUUGUUUGGUAAAAUAGUCAUGUGAACUCUUUCUUCAAAACAUAUAUAAAAACAAACCUUGGAGAUCAGUAUUGUCUAUGUGAUAAUUUCUAAAAAUAAGAGGUCUACCUGACAAUUUUUUCAAACCAUGGGAUGUUGGUAUAUACUCUUUAAGUAUGUACCUUAGUAAUUUGAUUCUAGGUGACAAGGGUAAUUCAUUUUCAUCAUCAUUACAGGAGAAUUGAUCUGCAAAAGAAGGAAAAUUUAGAUGCCUUUUCUUCAGGGCAGCUUUAAAAAGACAGAUUACAGCAAAACCGUGAAUAAGAGGUAAUUGUUUACUAUGAUAAAAGGGAAUACCCAACAGCAACAAGACCAAACUGCUCCCAUAACCAAUAUUGUGAACCUCAAAGUCCUCCGUCAUGUUUCCAGAUUAUUUGCAGGGAAUGCUGCAACUACAUUACAACACCAGGCAAGCUGCAGCUAUACUUCUUUUUUAGCCUUUACUUAUUUCUCAUUUGGAUUUUUUGUUCUCCCUUCAUCACCAUGUGCUCUUAAUUGAUCGACAAGACAUGGUCCUAAAAGAGGCCCCAUUCCAAAGUCACCCACUGCUAACAAGAUCAUUCCUAUUACGUUGAGCAGUUCAAAUUUAGUUUCUAAGAAUUUACUGGACGCUGUAUAAUACAAUAGCCUUAAUGCCUCCAACAACAAUAGUCGGAACUAAUUGUAUGGCAUAACAUUAUGAUCCUAAAUAUGCUUCUUAAUCAUUACUAUAGUUGGGAGCGGAACAAAAUUGAGAUUUAGGGGGCCAAGUGUAAUUAAGGUAAUUAUUUCAGGAUUAGAGAGUAUUAGUUAUUUUCUGGGGUUAGGGGAUGGGGUUCACGUUUAUGAAGCCACCAUAUAAAGAAAAACAACUAGUUUGAAAGUUGAAAUUACAAAUUUAUAUAGUGUGAGAUUAUUUCAAGCUACUAAAAUAUUUGUUAUUUUAAAGGCUAAUGAGCUUGCGGCUUUGAAAAGGUUGGAAUGUUAUUUGGUUGGAGAGGGACUCGGUUUCAACUUUAGCUUGUCUUACGAGUACCAAAUUCAAGCCGCCGUAGCAUCUGCAUAUCAUAUAAUUGAAUUGUUUGAGAUUUAUUCGUGGAAUACACUUUGCUAGUUUACACAUCUAGAGAGAGGGGAUUCAGUGGCUGAUAGUCUUGCAAAUUUGGAGUUAAAUCUUAAUGCUCAUAAUUGGUGGGAUAAUCCUCCUAUUUCAAUUCGUCAGAGUUUGCAUGAGUAUGCUUGGGAUAUCCCUAAAAAUCAUUUCAAAUGAGUGUUUUUGCAUUCUUUCUUCUCCUUGUUUCCUUAAUAAAAUUGAGUAUCAUAAAAACAAAAACUACCAAAAUGCUUAAUAAAUGUAUUUAUUCAAUAAAUUCAUUUAAAAAAUUAAUUUUUUUAAUUUUAUUUUACCAACCAAUUUUUAGUAUUCAAUAUGUCCUUAUUUGAAAUUCACAUAAUUCUUUCAUCUUUCUCUUUCAAGACUUUUAGGCUUUUAAGACUCUUUUACAUUCGUGUCUCCCUAAUAUUCUAUUUUUCACUAUUUCAUAAGCACAUCUUUCUUUAAAAUUGUGGGCAAUACUAUAUAAUUUACGUAUGUACGUAAAUUAUAAAUAAAUAGAUUUUUAAACGAUAUGAUUACCUAAGGUGCCAUGAGCAAAAUGUUACCUGGGGUAAAUGCGGCAGCCCUACAAAAACAGAUGUGAUGUCUUACCUGUACAUGGAAACGCUGUGGCUUCAGAAAUUGCUUAUUUUAUUUGCAAAUAUUUCCACCUGUGAAUCCUGAUUCCUGAUACCGUGGAAAUUUGUGUGGGCUCGAUAUUUACCACCUUAUUACGUCAAGGUAGUGCAUUCGAACAAUAAAAGUUUAUUAUUUUGAUAGGUUUAGUAGGUUUAAGGUGGGACCCCACUUAUUUAAUUAAAAAAUAAUAGAUAUAAAAAGUAAUAGUACUACUUCAUCACCGACUGAAUUAAAAAAUAACGGAUCUUGCUUCAAUUGUCUUUGAGACUUAACUAUCGUGGACAGACCGUGGAAGUCUACCUCCUUAUUUUUAAGUACAAAUUAAAGAAUGAAUUGUACUUACUAACAAGCCAAAAGCAUUUAUUGCACAGCUAAAUAUAUUUUAGAUGGUAUAGAUGACCAGCAAUAUAUUGCCAGUUAGGUGCUCAUACAAGAUCAUAUUUGGCUUAAGUAUCAUAAAUUAGGAUAACGCCUAAGAUUCAAACCUAAGUUCAGAGAAUGUCUAAUCACAAAACACUUUUUUUUUUUUUUUUGAGGAGAACUAUUACUUUUUACGCCUCUCAAAUAUUCGAGGGACGCCAACUCCCCUUUUGAAAAAAAAACUGCCUUCGCUUAAGCUCUGGAGCUCUAAAAAAAAAAUUUAAAUUAAACCCCCUACAAUAGGUCUGCAGGGGCUCAAACUAUUUCUUUCACACUUGUGAGAGAGUGGCUUUAGCCACUUAGGCCAAGCCCUAGUGGUUCACAAAACACAAUUAUAAACACUAUAAAAUCUAAAAUUGAAAGGAGAAUAAAGAUUUUACACAUUAAAGUCCUAUGAAGAACUAUAAAAAUUUUAAGGGACUAGCCUACCCGUCUUAGUUAUUAUAAGUAAAAACUACCUUCUAAUCAAAAGAAAAAUCCAGUACAGUGCCCGCAACAACGACAUACACUACCACUAGUACCACUAAACUAUUACCAACGUCACAAAACAACUCAAAUAUGAAUAUACAUCUCAAACAAUCACUGUUAUUCUACAAAAAUAGAGUAAAUCAUCGGCGGUUUAAUUAACAUUUAUUAAGGGCUCAAAUAAUAUUUUACAAAGGCUAUAAAGAGAGAAAAUUUUCCAUUGGGGGACUUUAGUCACUUGAGUCCCUUUAGGGCUUGAGAGUAACACAAACAGCCAAGACAAUAUAUAAUAACAAAAUGAAUGAUUAGAAGAGUCUAUGAAUAAUAAAGCCUCGUAAGGAUUGUGGAAAAUUUACUGGGAUAUUUAUCCAUUUUCAUUGGCAACAGGUCAAUAAUACAACUGGCAACUUCACUCACAAAAUGCGAAAAUCCAAUUCAAUAACCAGUUAACCACAAAGUAAUGGACUUGCAUGCCACAUUUCAAGUAUAUGAAGCAUAUAUAUUAGAAAAGUUGACAAAACCCAAAUUAUCACUUAAUUAAUUGUUAUUUAACCCCUCUCAAACUACAAGGGGGGAAAAAAGAACUUACAAAUGUGCAUGUGAAGAUUGUUUAUCGGGGCUCAUUUUGUCAAAGUCAUCUUCGUCAAUUCGAUCUGUUUUGAUUUUGGGCUUUCUAAUUAUAUAGCCAGUUUGAGCUUCUAACAUCCCUUUAAAAUUCUUGUGAAAUCCUACUGUUGCAUUUGUAACACUUGCUUUUAAGAAAUUAUUUAAAAAGACAGAAUAAUAUGAUAGAGUUAAUUAAAAUUUAACAUACUUUUUUAAAAUAAAAAAUCUAUCAUUAGGUAAUUUAUUUCUUCAUUGUCUCAAAAUUAUUUGAGUUUGUAUAAGAAAUUUAUUAUAUCAUAAAUUAGGAUUGGUGAUGAUACAGCUACAAACUCUUGUACAAACUUAUCUUGUACAAAUUGAUUUGACAUUAAUUCAUUGGUUGAAUGAAAACAUAAAAUAAUAAAAAUAGAUCAUGUGGGUCAAGAAAUAUUUAAUUCAACCAAUUUUAUCAUACCACAUCAGUUUAUAUAAAAUAAAUUUGUACAAGAGUUUGUGGCUAUAUUAUUACUCAUUAGAAUUUAAAGAUGGGAUAGUUCAUAAUUAGCAGGUAUAAAGAUAUUUUAAUCUAGUUAAAUUCAUAAUUGUCCUUCUCUAGCAAUAGAACUAUGUUCACAAAAAAUGCGGAUUUACAAGGAUUUUAAAGGGGUGUGAAAAGCAUUAAUUACUCUUACACGACAUCACCCAAAUAAUCAAAUCAAACGCACUCGGCUAGAUUUGUUCCAAGAUUAGACCUUUUGACACCCCUCAAAAUUCCUCAUAAAACCCCUUGUUAAUAGAAGUUACUUAAAUAAUCAAAGAUAAAUUAAUUCAUUUCUUACUUUAACUAGAAAUCCAAUUAAACAAUUAAAAAAUUUCUAUUAAAUUUUUUUUCACCCAUCCCAUUUCAUAAUUUAUAUUUAUAUUUAUAUUUUAGUUUUUAAUUUUUAAAAACUUAUAAGAGUUUAGAAUUAUGGAGAUAGAAACUAUAUAAUAAAAAGAAAAUAAUUUAAAUUUUAAGAAAUUUUAGUACUUUAUAAAUAAAACUUAAAAGAAAUAUUCAUUUAGAGUUGGUAAGAUAAUUGAUUUUAAUAUAUGAAUUUGUAUUUUAUAAAUUAAACUGUGAUAUUUUAAAAAAUAAAUUUAAAAGAAUAUUAUAAGAAUUUUAACGAAGUGUUAAAAACUCCACCCUUAUCUCAAAGAGUUAGUAUGCAAAAGUAAAAACAUAAGCAAUACCCGUUAACACCAUUGGACCUUUGACCUGGUGAUAAAGAACCUAUUGGGGUCACAGGUUCAAGUUUUUGUUUUAUUUAUCCAAAUUGAGUGAAAGUAACAUCAUUGAAUCAUAUAUUACAUAACUGCAAAAUCAUAGAACUAAAAAAUUUCGAAUUAAUUCAAACAAAUAAUAGAAGGGCAAUCUAGAAAUCAUAUUAUCUUGAACUAUUACUUUAUCAACUUUAAAUGAAUACUGCAACUUAAGUCCAAAAUCAGUACCAAUAAUGACACAUGGACAGCCUUAUUAUGCUGCUCUUGUUCUGUUUUCAGCAUAAAAAGCCAAUUCUGCUGUUCUUAAACUGUUUCUCAACAAGAUGGAACAUGAAGUUGUAUUCAAUGACACAUGGACAUUUCAUGAUUAUAAAAAAAUCUAUUUACUUCAGCUAACCUCAAGGAAAUAAUCUAGUAUUGUAGUCAGUGAUGCAUAGAAUAUAUUAAAUGAGAACAUAUUUUUCCAUAACAACGAAAAAGGAAUUGCUAUUAGAGCAGAGUACAUCAAACGGAAAGAUUACUCACAGUGAACACUGGAACUUGUGUGCCUUGCCUUCAAUUCUUUUCAAUUUAGAUUUGUUCAAGAAUGUGCAAUUGGUAUCAGCAAUUUUGGGUUGUAAGAAUAGAGACAGCAAACAACUAUCAAAAAAAAAAAUGUGGAACUUAGUUGAAGAAAUAUUGUGGAUCAUAUCAAAUGCCAAAUGUUGGAUAAUCUUUUCCAAAUGUUGAAUAACAAGAAAAGGGAUGCACACAAGACCGCUGACUGAAAACAGAAAUAAUUGGACAAAUAAAGCCCAAACCACAACUCAUCCUAAUCUUUAUGUUACUAAUGGAAGCUAAAAGCACCUGAGUCAUCAACUAUUUACAUUUUCUGAUAGAUACGGAUGCUUAAUACAUUCAUCAUGAUAUCCAGAAACAAUAAAAUUAAGCUAGUACAAAGAUAUCUAAAUGAAGAUGAUAAUAUCAUAGGCAAAAUAUGGUCCAAUUGAUUAGGAAAAUCAAGCUAAGGUCAUUUUUUUAUACUAAAUGCUUAAUUAAAAAGACAUCAUUAUAUGUUUUAUACAUGCACAAAUUGUCAUUUAUUUGAGGCAUGUCUAAUAUUUAGUGGAGUGACAAAUAUACUUGAAAAUUUAUAAAAAUUAUCAAAUAAUAUGUAAGAAAUAUAGUUAUUUUUGUUGUAAUAUUAAUGCAAUAAACUUUUAUCGUAUCAUAUCGGCAUGUUUAAAGAGGAAAAAAAAAAACUCAGAGACUCAAAAAAUCCAAACUUUAAUGUAUACCUGGCAUUUAUUUGUAGGCUCAAUUGAAGUACAGAAGUCACAAUUCCAAACAACAAACAAGCUAUCAUCACUAAUCCACCAAAUUGGAAAACAUCCUCAAUUAAAUUAACCACCGCGCCUUUCCAGCUUAAGUUUUUCCAACGCUGAUAGUCCUUCUGUUGAGGAUUGGUUAUUGUAAAUAUCUUUUAAAGUAAUUUCAGGAUAGAGCGGAGGAUUUUCUUCGGAUAGCAACUCUUUAAUUGGACCAUAUCGUCUCGAGCAACUGUUGUUCAUAAAAAAACUUCCGAUUGAAAUCCUUGAGCCUUCCUUUUUUGACAACACUUUGUGAUAGGCACUUUUGAACUUGUCAUUGGUGAUUAGCUGCAUAAACACACAAUAAAAAAAUCCACUAUAAUUAAGUUACAUGAUGGAUUAAUAAUAGUCAAAGUGAUACAUAACAUGUACUUGCUUGCAUCAUGUAACCUAAGUUUACAACUAGAGCUCCGGGAACAGGGGUAAUUGCGAUAUGCAAUUUCCUAAUUAAACUCAUGCAUGCCCGAGGCUUUUGUUUAUCCUAGUUUUCAAUAUAAAAAGAGGCGGGCAUCACAUAAUACGGCGGCAAGGAAUUAUCAUUAGAAAAAUUGGAGAGAAAAAGAAGAAGAAGAUCAUAAUUCAAGGGAACGGCUGCAGCAUCAUUGAAGAAUCCAGCAGAGUUAUUUGGAUUCACUUUUUACCGUUCUCGACUUAUACCUUUCUUCUUUCUCUAACUGAUCUAAUGUAUUUCAUGAACAAUAUGUUGCUGAUUGUUUAUCUCUUUCAGAAUAUGAACUACACUUGCUUGUAUUUGAGUGACAAACAAUCUAAUGGGUUCUUGACUGUUCUUAUGAGUUGCUAUGUCAUUGCUGUAGCAUUUUACUCUAGUAGCUAUUAUUAUAACUGUUAUUUUGGUUGACCACCCAUUUAAUGGUUCAAGUUAAGAUAGGACCGUAAAAGGGCAUGUCUUAGUGGAUAUUAUUAGAGUAAUACUUGAUCUUAAUUUAAGUUUCCUAUAUUAAGUUUAUCUUGAAUCCCAUAAGGGCCAUACUUGAAGUUAAGAUUUGUGAUAAACUAGACAUAAGUAUUCACCUUGUAGGGUGGAGAGAAUGGAUGUUCAUAAUGUCAUGCCAUAGGUAAAAUAGCAACUGGUCAUUGCUAAGAUGUUUACGGGUAUGAGACUUCCAAUAUGCGACAGCUGAGGAUGCAAAUUAAAUUCUGCCCAGUGCUAUAGAAAUUACUGUAGCAUCUGGUGUUAACUUGAUGAAAAGCAGUCAGCCCAUAAAGAGAGUUUGAUCAUUCAACUACCUUAUUCUCAUUUGAUUCUUCGAUGCAUUUUAUUUAAUUUGUUUCAUUACUGCAUUGUUUAACUUUAUUAUCUCACAAUUAUCAAUUUCAAUAGUAACCAACUUUACAUUUGUUAAUUUAGGAAUCAAGUUAGAUUACACUAUCGUGAUUGCUGUGGCAUUUCUAGUAACAUCAAUCCCUGUGGAGACGAUCUUGAAUAUUAAUCACUAUUACUUGUUGUGUACACUUGCACAUUGGCAUAAAUAGAAUUUGAUAAAAAAAUACCAACAAUGAGAUAGGGGUAAACUUCAGGAUGUGCUGCCGUUUUUAAUUGUUGUGCAGAUUCUUUUGAUUCCUAUCUCUAGUGGAGAACCAGAUGUGAUUUUGUGGGACCUUUCUCCUGAUGGUAGUUUUUCUUUAAGGACAACUUCAAAUAUUGUGCAUUGGACAAUGCCAAGUGAUGAGGCUUUUUUUGUUAUUUGGCAGCGACAUAUCUUUUCCUGGAUAUCUUUUUUUCUCUACAGGUUGUGACACAAAUUCUUGACCAAGAUGAUGCCUCGUGUUCGGGGGAUUUCUGCAUAGUUUCUUAGUAUCUUUGUAGUUGGGCUUAUGAGACUUCUAGGUAUUUUCUUUCUUGAUUGCCCUCGAUUUGCGCUAUGUUGCUUUUUUGUUCCCCCGUACUUUAUUUCUUAAUUGGUAGUGAUGUGCCCUUUCUUGGAGCCAUAUUCGAGUUCUUCUUCCUUGUUUCAUUUUGUGGCGAGUUUAGAAGGCCUGUAAUGCAUUGAAGUUUGACUCAAUGGCCUUUUUUGUUGAUGCUGUUAUUUAUCGAGCAAUGUUGGAUCUUAGGCUUGCCGAUUCUGCCUUUGGUCUUAAACCAUCCCAACUGUGAGGAGUUUGUUAGGUCCCAGUCAGAAUUUAGCGAGAAAUAACGAGUGAAUGAAUUGUUCUUCUUAGGGUGAGAACUACCACAAUUGCUAAUAGUUUUGAAUGAAUUGUUCUUCUUAGGGUGAGAACUACCACAAUUGCUAAUAGUUUUGAAUAAAAAUCUCAUAUGCUUUUAUUGCGAUUUUGGAGUCUAUUUAUAGAACAAAGUUAAUGAGAUAAAGUAGUUAAUAUCAAAUAAACUACUUCACUAUAAGUUCGAAGCAAAUAACAAUCUUUAAAGGAAACAAGUUUAAAUCUAAAUUCUCCACCAAAACCAUUCGGCUUGACGAAGGAAAACCUCCCUGCUGCACCCUUGAAGAGUCCUUGAAAGAAUCAACUUCAAACUCAGAAGCAUAUUCUCACUUAAAGAACAUACUUCCACGUGAUGCAUACCUCAUGCAUGACUUGCAUGGCUGCUUGCAUGUGCCCAUGCAUACUCUUUAUACUUGCUGUUGGGUUUGGAGGCUCGUUUGGACUUGCAUAGCUCCUUAUCAUCACCUCCCCCUCGAAGAGAACCCUUGUCCUCAAGGGUCAUGUGUGGAAAUUGUUGCUGUAGCAAUGCCGUGUCUUCCCAGGUUGUUCUCCUUUGUUGUCUUCUCCAUGUAGUUCCUCUGCAACUUCUUCACAAGUGAUCUCGUUGGUGUCGUUGUAGCUCUCGAGAAGCAGAAGUUGAGGCCCUUGACAUUUAUGACCCGCAGUGAACCGUUCGUUGCAAGUGAAACACAGUCCCUGAGCUCGUCGUCGUUGCAUUUCAUCCCACGGUAAUCUUUUGACAGGCACGGUUGGUGAUGCUUGAGUAGGUGGCAAUGUUGGCUGUGCGCGGUUGGAGGGUGGCUGGAAUAAUCUCCGUUGGCGUGUUAUCUGGUCGUCUUUCAUACGAGCAAGGCUGAUGGCUUCCUUUAACGUACGUGGCCUGAACAUCCGUAUAUCCUCCGCAAUCUCCGGUUUCAAUCCUCCCAUGAAAGUGCCUACCAACGCUUUCUGUGACCACCCAUGAACUCGGUUUCCCAACCUUUCGAAUUCCUUCUGGUAUUCUCGCAGAGAAUCUGUUUGUUCGACCCGAGACAGUGCUUCAUCAAAGUCUUCACAAUCCGUUGGUCCGAAGCGUGCCCACAGCUCCUCCAUGAAGAUUUCCCAUGUUACGACUCGUCCUUCCUCUUGAUAUGACCUCCUCAGCCACUGCCACCAUUGGUUAGCUUCUCCCUCUAAGUGGAAUGAAGCCAAGACAACUUUCUGGUCUUCUGUUGAUUCCUAAUAUUCGAAGAACUGGUUAAUUCGGUUGAACCAUUUGGUUGGGUCAUUGCCGGCAUAGCGUGGAAAAUCUAGUUUUGCCACUUUUGAUUGAAACUACUGUCGUCUACCAUCCUUGUCUUCACAGUUUGGCCGUGAUGUUGCUAUGUUAUUAUUGGUGCUUGGUGCGUCUUUGGAUGUGUUGAAGGACUCUGCAAGUUUGCUCAAGGUUUCCUCAAUGUGAGCCAACUUGUCGUUAAUUCCUACUUCCAUGCGCUGCAUCUUAUCUUGCAUUUCUCCGAGCUCCACUUCCAUCCGUUCGAUGCGUUCCUUGUUGGUUGUCAUCCUUGCCUAGCUCUGAUACCAAUGUUAGGUCCCAGUCAGAAUUUAGCGAGAAAUAACGAGUGAAUGAAUUGUUCUUCUUAGGGUGAGAACUACCACAAUUGCUAAUAGUUUUGAAUGAAUUGUUCUUCUUAGGGUGAGAACUACCACAAUUGCUAAUAGUUUUGAAUAAAAAUCUCAUAUGCUUUUAUUGCGAUUUUGGAGUCUAUUUAUAGAACAAAGUUAAUGAGAUAAAGUAGUUAAUAUCAAAUAAACUACUUCACUAUAAGUUCGAAGCAAAUAACAAUCUUUAAAGGAAACAAGUUUAAAUCUAAAUUCUCCACCAAAACCAUUCGGCUUGACGAAGGAAAACCUCCCUGCUGCACCCUUGAAGAGUCCUUGAAAGAAUCAACUUCAAACUCAGAAGCAUAUUCUCACUUAAAGAACAUACUUCCACGUGAUGCAUACCUCAUGCAUGACUUGCAUGGCUGCUUGCAUGUGCCCAUGCAUACUCUUUAUACUUGCUGUUGGGUUUGGAGGCUCGUUUGGACUUGCAUAGCUCCUUAUCGGAGUUCUAGGUUCUCGAUUUGCAAAGUGCUUGAGAGUUGUUGUUUCAUCCAGGAGGCUGAUUCUUUUAGUUUUUUGGUUGUGGUCACCACCUGGGGUGGUGAAGCUGACUAUUGAUGGUUGCUUUAGGAGUAAUCCUAGGAUGGCUGCUUCAGAUAGUAUUUUACGUGAUGAUUAGGGUGUGGCUUUGGCUGCUUUUGGUUCCUUCCUUGGGCGCUAACUGAUCUUUCAUGCAGAAUUCAUGGCUGUUUUUUAGGGGUUAGAGUUGGUGCUCAGCUCCAUUAUUCUGUGCUUGACGUAGAGUCGGACUCAGCCAUGGUGGCUUCUUGGAUUCUUUUCUAAGGCCUUGUUCAUACGGACUAUACCUAUUCUUUGCGUCGAGUGUGUAGUUUGACAUUUUCUUCUACUUCAUGGUUAGUCAUGUGCUUCGAAAGGCUACUUCUACUGCUGAUUUCUUUGGCCUGCUCUCUUCAAGUUCAUCGGCGUGUCUUGGGUUCUCAAGAUAUCUCUGCUGGCUUAUCUAAUAAUCUUCGUUUGAAUUGUGGGUAAUUUAACAUAUCAGGCAAUAUAAUUGAUUAUUUUUGUGUUCUAUUUUUUAUCUUGUAUUUUUCACUUUUCCAUUCUUAUGUUCUUGCAAUUGCGGUUUUGAUUUAUAUUCACCUCCUUAUGUAUUUGAUUCAUUCUAUGAUUUAUAUGAAAGAUAGGGGUCCAACCUAACCCUACCUUUUUGGUGGUUAAAAAAAAAGUCAGGAAUCAAACCUAGGUCAUCAAGGUGAAACAUCAAUCAGGUUGUAAAUUUAACAUAUGAACAUAAAAGCUUAACAAAACAUUUGAAGUUGCUUGACAACAUAGAAAUACAAGCAAAAAGAGAUGCUAAACAACACAAAAUUUUGAUUGGGUGGGAGUAUUGUUCAUGCUAGCAUAAUAAUGAGGUGCCUGAGAAUACCUAUGACUUUCUUGAUAAAUAAUAUCAUAUAAAAGGUUAGGAAUCACAGAUAAUUGUCCACGUAUGAACAAAUCUGGCUCAAAAUGUGAAAUGUAUUAAGAUUUUCAAACAUUUAAAUUAAUAGUUAAUAAUUUCGGACAAAAGAUACUUGGAGACCCUAAAGUUCACUGAUUCUAUGUUAUGGCUCAUUGUCUCGCUCAACAAUUUAAUUUCUAGAUUAUUUGGCUCCUAUCUAUUAAAAGACAACACCGUUACUAAAAUUAUAAAUUAUAACAGUUAAACCUAAACCUACGUCGUUUAGCAAUUUACAAAAGAAAAAAAUAUAACAAAAGCCAAUUGUUGGAGUAGCAACGUGCCAACGAGAAAAUCUCAAGCCAUGUAAUAUCCUGUGUCAACAACUAAAGAAGAACAAACCACCACCCUCUAGGCCGUCGCUGCACUAACGCUGGACCCGAUUUGAAUAGUUAGAAGUUGUAACAUUAAUUAGGGAUUGAGGGUAAAAUUUUGGACUUUGAUUUAAUAAAAUUGAUUUAAAUGAGUCCCAAUAGAAAUAUGAUUAUAAAUAUAUCAAUACAAUUAUAACAUGUUAAAAGAAAAAAAGUUUAUUUUCACACAAAACAAAAAACACAACCCUUGGAUGUGGGAUGUGUCUAAAAAAUAAUAGGGUGGAAAUAUUAUCACCCUCAAAUUAGAUAUAUAAAUAUUUAAUGUUUUACUCUUAUAAUUUUGUAUUUAUUUUUUUGAAUAUUGUUAAGAGAAAGAUAGAAAUUAAUAUAUAGACAAAUCGAGUCCUUUAUUUUAUUAUUCAUAUCCAUAAAAAGUAACCACUAUGCUAGUCCCACGAACUUUGCAUAAGACGGUAAUUUAGAAAAAAGAAAAAAAAAGGAACGUUUUUAGACACCAAAACAAAAGCAAAACAAGCACAAAGCGAGACAUACAAACAAAAUUUAUGCUACUGCAUUCAAGCAGAAGCCAUCAACUGUUCACGACGAAGUUUGAGAGCAACCAAUAGUUCAUCCUGAUUAGGAAGAUUUUCUUCAAUCACAGGGACUUGCUUGAAAGUUUCAAUCCAGGCAUGCAAGUGAGGGAAUUUGUGUGAUUCAAAUAGUUUAGCUCCCACUAUAUCUUCAAUGACUUGCAACCAAUAAACAAUUGAACCAAACGCUAGGUCCACUAAGCCAAUAUUGUCUCCAUUGAAAAAUUUCUUCUCUCCCAAGCCAUGCUCUUCAACGGUUUGUAGCAUUUCCAAGGCUUCCUUCAUUGUGUUUUGUAGUUCUUCUCUAGUGCUACGAAACAUUUUCCAAACAGCAACACCCUGCCACAAAUAUUUUACAUCUGAUUUUAUCACCGACAUGAUUAAUUAAUAAUAUGUAUAUAAAAGUGAAAAAUCGUUGGACGAUAUGUACACGUGUCACAAUAUCCUUUAAUCAGAGGUUUAAUAAGUUAAUUAAGACAGUUCAACCACUGAGUUGUAAAAUCUGUCAUUAGCUAGUAAAUUCACUUUCUCCCAAUGCUUCAAAAGUCAUCAAAAUUCCCCGUGAAGUUAAAAACGGCUGUGUUAACUUUAACUUAUUACAUCUUUUCAUAUUUAAGGAUAAAACAGUGAAGACACCAGAAAUUGAAAGUUUAGAGAACUUUUUACAAAUAAAUAUGAAGGAGACCCCUGGGUGGCUGGGCUCGACUGGCUAUGAAUUCACUUCCGCCAUCACCCGAGUUCGAGUAUAUAUGAAGAGUAAGAGUUAGUGUUUGGUGGGUGGAUUUCGUUAUCCUCGUCACCUCAUCUAGAUCUUAAAGUAAAUGAAUAAAUAAACACAUUUGAAAAGAAUGAACUUAAUCAUAAACGUGUUUGCCAGAGUUGUGAGCGAACCUUGUCUUCGGCGAAUUUAAUCCAGAAUCGAGCAAGAGCUCUAUCAUAAGGAUUAUUUGGCAUCAAGGGAUUCAGUGGCCACGUCUCUUCGAUGUAUUCGAGAAUAACCAUGGACUCACAAACUGGUUUUCCGCCAUGGACAAGCACUGGGAUCUUCUUGUGAACCGGAUUGUGCUUCAAAAGCAAAGCACUUUUGUUUGAGAGAUCUUCUAAAACAAAUUCAUAUGGCACGCCUUUCAAUUUCAGAGCCCAAAUCACCCUGUAAACAAAUGGACUCAGCAGUGCCCCAUGAAGCUUCACUUCAGCCAUGAUAAUUCUUAGAUUGAAUUUGAAUAUCAGGUUUUUUGGUCGAUCUUGAGUAUAGCUGAUAACUCAUUACACAUGUUUCUGAAUUUAUAGUGAUUUAUGGUAUGCACUUUCUUGAGCAGAAAGCUUCAAUUUUCCAUUAAUAAAACGAUUAAUGAUGAAUUCAAAGAACUAGUGCGAUGACUUUAAUUAAAUAAUUUUUUACGCUGUGUGCAACCGCAUUUUGAGGUUAAUUUAAAGGAUAUUAUUUUCUCCUCAUCAAAAAUUUUAUAUAAAAAAAUAUAAUUAUGUGAUUGGUAGUUAUUAAGUAAAAAUAAAAUAAAAAUAAAUUUUGACCGUAAAUAAAUAAAAGUUCAUACAUGUUAUAAAGAUUUUUGAAAACUCAAAUAAGUGGACACAAUUCCUAAUUUAAAACGCUAGCCAAUGAGAUCAAUAAUUUGGUCAACCAGUCAGAGAUAANNNNNNNNNNNNNNNNNNNNNNNNNNNNNNNNNNNNNNNNNNNNNNNNNNNNNNNNNNNNNNNNNNNNNNNNNNNNNNNNNNNNNNNNNNNNNNNNNNNNCAACAAGACAUUUGCCUUUUGUGCAUGUGUUCACAUUGGACGCAAAUAUAAUUUGUUAUAAAAAAAAUUGGACUAAAUUAUUUUUAAAUACAUUUUUUUAAAAUAAUCACCUGAUCAUAGAGGACCUGUUAUUUAGUUCGUGAAUCUUAUAACAGGACCCAUGAUUUUUUUUUUUAAAUCUUAUGGGUCCCCUAUUAUUUAAUUUGUGGAAUUGACGGAGGUAACUUACAAUUUCAUUUUUGUAAUUUACAGCUUUCAAUAAAUUCAGAUAAUAUUAGGCGUUAAAAGUCGGCCAGGCUGGAGGAGUAGAUCUAUAAAAUUUGCUACCACUUUGCACUAUCUGUUUGGUGCCCAGAAACACACAUAUAUAUCAUCCACUUUUUAUUUAACGCUGGGUUUUUUUUCGACCCAUAAUAAUUUCUCUUUGUACAUCAACUUUUUAAUAAAAACUUUUAUUGUCAAGAUAAAUUGUUAUUAAUUACUUCACUAAUCCUCCUUUUUUUUGGGCCAAUUUCUCUUUCGUAUUUGACAAAAUUUAAUUCACAUCAUGCGAUAGUAUGAUUGCAAAUAAAUUUGAAGUUAUCUCUCGCAAGUUGUUCAAAAAUAAAUUGACAUAUCUUGUGUAUAGAACUAAAGAACAAUAGCAAACCACUAUCCUCUAGCCGAUCGCUGCUAUUAGGACGGCAAAAAUAUGUAAAUUUGUCUAAACCCAUCUACAAAAAUCUGUCCACUGUGAAUAAUUUUGGAGGUUACGAAUAAGUUCGGUAUUUUAAAUUUAAGUUCGUUGCAGGUUACGGAUAGAUUUAGUAUUGAGAAAAAAAUUGGUGGGUGUCUGCCAACUAGCAUUUUUUUAAUUAUUUAUGUCUUUUAUUUUAAUCACAAAGAUUGUCUUAAAAAAAUUUAAUCAUAAAAAUAUAGUAGUUAAAGUUAUUACUCUAAUCUUCCAAAUUCCUAAACCUAACCUAACUCAUUACAGUUGCACACCCUAUUCCUUCAAGUAUGUAUGUAUGUAAAUGUAUACACAGGCACACACACAAAAAAUAAACUUUUAAUAAGUAGAUUUAGUAUUUUUCAAGUUUAAUAUUAAUGAUAUUUUAAUUUAAUUUAAUUACUUUUGUUUGUUUGGCUUUAAUGACAUGAACUUAGUGAUUGCUGGUUAAGAUUGGAUUUUUAUUUGUCUAAUUAAUGGUCAAUAGUUGUCCAAAAUAUAUUUGUUAAUAUUGUUGACAAUACUUGUAUAUCUAUAUAUAUAUCUAUAUAUCUAUAUAAAGCUAGGACUUGAGGAGGUGAUGUGGCAUCACCAUUUCUCAUCUUUGUAUAUUCUCUAUUAUCCAAUAAAUAGAGAAAUUUUCUUUUAGAUUUGGCUUUUUAUCUUCUCAUAAUUAAUUUAAUUGUUAUUACAAAAUAACAAUUAUGUAAAGAUUUUAAUGAGGCAUAUUCUUUGUAAUGAACAUCCAAGGGGGAGUGUUAUGAAUUUAUUAAAAUAUAUAGAUGUUCAUAACAUAUAUCUCUUAGUCUCCCCACUAUCUCCCAUUAGUAAUCUUUAGCUUCCCUAUAACUCCCACUAUCUCACAAGGAAUUAUGAUCCAUAAUUUUUCAUUAAUUUCAUGGAGUGAUUAUGUAACUAUAAAAGGAGAGCUCAUCGUUUUGUUUUGUACAUACACAAUUGGAAUGAAUAAAAUCACUCUAUAAUAUAUUCUCUCAUUUUAUUCUUUAUCUUGCGUUGCUUCUUUAUUUGUAUUGCUGGCUAAUAGCUUUUUUUGUUUUUUAUAAGGCUGCCUCAUCUUAAAAAAAAAAAAUCAAUUCAUAUUUUUUAUCAGUUUCAUCAAGUGUAAAGUAAGAAAAAAAGAUAAUACUAAUUUUUUUUUAAGCCGCGUAAAGCGCGGUUCUAUUUUCUAGUAUAUAUAUAAAGUUGGGACUAGAGAAAGUAAUGUGGCAUCAUCAUUUUUUAUUUUUUUUGUAUUUUCUAUUAUCUAAUAAAUUGGUUGAGAUUAAAAAAAUAAUUACAUUACAAAAUAUUAAAUUUUAGUGGCUUAAAUACUUCAAUUAUUUAAUAUAGGAAGGAAGGUUUCUUCAUCUUCCCUCAACAAUGCCAUUAGGGCCUAAUUUUAAUGUCAUAAUCCCAUAUUUAAUUAUGUAACCUUUUGUUUAGUGCCUUUUGGUUUCUUCAAACUCUAUAAAUAUUAAGUAGUUAUGACUUGUUGCAUCAUUAUUUCUCAUCUUUUUAUAUUCUCUAUUAUCUAAUAUAUUAGUUGAGAUUAAAAAAUAAUUACAUUACAAAAAUAUUAAAAAUAGAAAAUAAAUAGAAAAUAAUUAUUAGAUUACAUGUCUCUUCCUCUUUCUAUUUAAAUUCAACAAUAUGUAACCAUUAAUAAUAAUUAAUUAUAAGUUUUGAAACAUUCAUUUAUUUUAUUAAGCCAACAACUAAACUUUAGUGGUUUAAAAUACAUCAACUAAUUAAUAUAAGAAGAACGGUUCUAUUAACGUAUAGAAUUCGUAUAGCAUUUGGUUUUGUAUAUAGAAGUCGUAUAGAAUUCGGUUUUCAUAUUUAAGGCAAUUAGAUUUGUAUAUAUAUUAUGAAUCUGUAAUGCUUUUCUACUUAGGAUUCUAUUCUUUAGGAUUGUACAUCUAUAUAUAUAUGUAGCAACGUUAAUGCAAGACAUAACAGUUUCAUUCAUAAACUCUAUUCUUUAUUUUACAUGGUAUCAGAGCUUUACUCACUUAUCAAAUUAACGUUUGUUGAAUCUUCGUUAUUUUUUCUUUGAUUUUGUUUAAAUACUCAUGGCAGACGGUCAAUCAUCAAAACAAGCUGCCAUCCUUAAUAAACAGGAGGAUGAUGUCUUCCUUGUCCACCCAUCAGAUAGUCAAACUGCCGUAUUGGUUUCUCCUUUACUCACUAGUGAUAACUAUGGUACAUGGGUAAGGGCAAUGACUAUGGCUUUACGAGCGAAAAACAAGCUCGGUUUUGUUGAUGGAACUAUAUCAAAACCAGAUGAUGAUGAAGAUGAUGGUGGUAGAUGGCAACGUUGUAAUGAUCUUGUUGGAUCUUGGGUGUUGAACUCCAUAUCAACUUGCGGGAAGUGUUGUGUAUGCACAAUCUGCUAGAGAAGUAUGGCAGGAUUUGCAAGAGCAUUUUCAGCAGACCAAUGCGCCAAAAAUCUAUAAACUCAAACAUGCCAUCUUUAAUUUACGACAAGGAGAUGCAUCUGUUUCACUUUAUUAUACUCAAAUAAAGGCGCUUUGGGAUGAGUUGAAUUCUCUACAACAAGUAGGACCAUGUACUUGUGCGAAUGCAAAAACUGUCAAUCAAUUGCAGCAACUAGAUCGAGCUAUGGAGUUUCUUCAAGACUUACAUGAUAGAUAUGCAGCAACGAGAAGUCAGAUUUUGUUGAUGGAUCCUUUUCCUAAUGCAAAUAAAAUUUAUUCCCUUGUGAGGCAAGAAGAAAAACAACAAGAUCUUCACGCUAUAGGGGGAUCUCCAGAAGCUGCAACAUUGACAACACAAAGCCGUACUUCAUUUGGAAAUAGGAAUUGGAAUAACAAUUCUGCAGUAGAUAACAAAGGAGGAAACUUGAAUGCAAAUGGUGGCAGACCAUCGUGUGAACACUGUGGAAAAUUGGGCCACACAAAACAAAAAUGUUUUAAGUUAAAUGGAUAUCCGCCAAAUUGUAGAAGAUGUGGACAAGGUAAUAAAAAUGAGAUUAAAGUUGCCAUGGCAACAAAUAGCAAUCAAGACGUCCAAGCACCAAUAUUUACUCAAGAGCAAUAUCAAAAACUCCUAGCUAUGUUGUCCUCUUCAGGUAGUUUACAUACUGCGAAUCUUGCAGGUAUAGCACUUAAUUCCUCUUUAUCACAUACUUGGAUCAUAGAUACAUGCGCUACUAAUCAUAUGUGUAGUUCGCUAGAUUUUUUUCAUGCCUAUGAACCAUGUCAUGUCCCUCUUCACGUUCAAUUACCAGAUGGUACAAUAGCACAAGUUACUCACAUAGGGAAAGUCUCAUUUUCACCAGAUUUUUUUAUUAGACAAAGUGUUUUACAUUCCGAGUUUUAAGUUUAAUUUACUGUCUGUUAGUCAGUUAACCAAAUCAAAUAGAUAUAAGGUAAUUUUUUCUUCCAAUUUUUGUGAGUUUCAGGACCUAUACACGAAGAAGCAGAUUGGCAAGGGUAGACUUCGUGAAGGUCUUUUCUACAUUCAACUUCCAGCUGCAUUUUCUUUCACCUCCCAAAUCACCUCUACACAUGAGAUUGAUCUUUGGCAUUGGAGACUUGGCCACCCUUCUCUUGGACGUUUAGAGCACUUUUCAAAAACUUGUCCUAUGGUUAGUUUUAAUAAAGCAUAUGUUUGUGAUAUUUGUCCUAAAGCAAAACAAACUAGAAAGCCAUUUUCCAUUAGUAGCAUCAAAAGUAAAGUACCUUUUGAAUUAAUCCAUUGUGAUGUUUGGGGUCCUUUUUCAACUUCAAGUUUUUUAGGGGCUUAUUAUUUUUUAACCAUUGUUGAUGAUUAUACUCGAUGCACUUGGUUAUAUUUAAUGAAAACCAAAUUUGAAACCCAAUUGCAUUUAUGUUCUUUUCAUGCAUUGAUAAAAACUCAAUUUAAUGCUAACAUUAAAAUUGUGCGUUCUGACAAUGAGACUGAAUUUCUUGUUAAAGAAUUACAAAAUUUUUUUUUAGACAAAGGGAUUAUUCAUCAAAGAAGUUGCAUUAGAACACCGCAACAGAAUGGUGUGGUUGAGCGUAAACAUCGCCAUCUUCUCGAAGUUACGCGAGGUCUACGUUUUCAAGCCAAUUUGCCAAUUAAAUUCUGGAGGGAGUGUGUUCUUACUGCAGCAUAUUUGAUCAAUAAAUUGCCCAGUGAUGUUCUUAAUGGAAAAACCCCACAUGAAAUGCUUUUUGGUAUAGCACCAGAUUUAUCACGCCUAAAAGUUUUUGGUUGCUUGUGUUUUGCCAAAAAUUUACAAGUUAAAAAUAAAUUUGAUCAGCGGGCAAAAAUGGGAAUUUUUAUUGGUUAUCCUUUUAGUUAAAAAGGAUAUCGGAUUUAUGAUAUUGAAUCUAAGACAAUCCAUGUGUCACGCGAUGUUCUCUUUUAUGAACAUAUUUUUCUUUUUAAGGAUGUUAAAUCAUCGGUUUUUUCUACACCUUUUACACAUGUCACUGAUGAGUUUUUCUUUGAUGAAAUUUUUUUUGAGUCAAAUACUCUUUUAUCACCUUCUCCUAAUGAAAACAUAAGUUCAUCACAUGCUCUUCAUGAACGUGACCCACCUUUGCAAGACACAGAUGAAUCCGUGACCAAUUUUCAUUCUCCACAGCCUAUUGAACACAUCAUAACUGAAACAUCAUCUACCCAACAACCUAGUUCACCAGCAGAUGCAACCUUUGAUUCAUCACUUUCUUUAGGCAACCAAAAUAUCCAAACUCCCACACGACCCCAACGUGAUAGACGCCCACCAGCUUACCUUCAAGAUUAUUGUACAUUGGCUUCUCACAAUUCUACCCCUGCUGAUCUUGUUUCUUCGUCUCCAGGUAAGAAAUAUCCUCUUCAUAAUUUUAUUUCUUACCAUCGUUUUUCUCCAGCACAUAAGUCUUUUUUGUCUGCCAUUACCUCUACAAUCGAACCAAGUUUUUUUCAUGAGGCAGUCAAAUUACCUGAGUGGCACAAAACCAUGGAGGAUGAGAUAACAGCUCUUGAAAAAAAUAAUACGUGGACUCUGACUCAUUUGCCGGAUGGUAAAAAGGCUAUUGGCAGCAGAUGGGUUUACAAAAUUAAAUAUCAAUCCGAUGGCACCAUUGAGUGUUACAAAGCUCGUUUAGUUGCUAAGGGGAUAUACUCAAACUGAAGGCAUUGAUUAUCAUGCUACUUUUUCACCUGUUGCUAAGCUUGUCACUGUGAGAGCUUUACUUUCUCUUGCGGCUGUUAAGGGUUGGAUUUUAGAACAAUUAGAUGUAAGCAAUGCUUUUUUACAAGGAGAUUUGGAGGAAGAAGUUUAUAUGCAAGUACCACAAGGUUUUUCUAAGCAGGGGGAGCAUCUAGUCUGCAAACUCAAGAAAUCUAUCUACGGAUUAAAACAAGCAUCCAGAAAUUAGUUUUCCAAGUUUUUUGCUACCAUUCAACAAGCGAGUUUUCGCCAAUCUAAGGCAGACUAUUCAUUAUUUGUGAAAACUAAUGCCAAUUUUUCAACCUAUGUGUUAGUUUACGUUGAUGAUAUUAUCGUAGCAGGGAAUGAUGCUACCGAGGUUAGCAGAAUUAAAGAUUUCCUUGCACAAAAAUUUUACAUCAAGGCAUUAGGGAAGUUGAAGUAUUUUUUGGGGAUAGAAGUGGCACAGUCAUCACGUGGGAUUUUCUUGAGUCAGCGAAAAUAUGCCCUGGAUAUUUUAAAGGAUGCUGGUUUACUUGCUGGACGGGUUUCUCAUUUUCCAAUGGAACAACAACUUCGGCUUUCAUCUACGGAUGGCGACCCUUUAUCAAAUCCCUCAAGUUAUCGACAUCUCAUAGGUCGGUUGAUCUAUCUCAUAGUUACCAGGCCUGAUAUCGUCUUUGCAGUACAUGUUUUAAGUCGAUUUAUGCAUGAACCACGAACUACUCAUAUGGAUGCUGCCAUUCGAGUGCUUCGGUAUUUAAAAGGCUCACUAGGCAUGGGUAUCUUAUUAUCUUCAAUAAGUGACUUACAUAUCCGGGGUUACUGUGAUGCGGAUUGGGCUAGUUGUCCUACUACACGUCGGUCUGUUACUGGUUAUUGUACUUUCCUUGGUGACAGCCCUAUAUCUUGGAAAACAAAGAAGCAAAAUGUGGUCUCUCGAUCUACAGCAGAAGCUGAGUAUCGCUCCUUGGCUGAUCUUUCAUGUGAAUUACAGUGGCUCAAAGCACUUUUUGCUGAUUUGGGGCACUUUCAACAUGAUCCUAUGACUGUUUAUUGUGAUAAUCAAUUAGCUUUAUAUAUCGCUGAGAAUCCUGUCUAUCAUGAGCGAACAAAGCACAUUGAGUUAGAUUGUCAUUUCGUGCGAGAGCGUGCGCAAUCCAAUUUUUUAUUACUACUGCAUAUUCCUACUUCCAUGCAAGUAGCUGAUGUGUUUACAAAGCCUCUCGGACAUGCUCUUUUCCAUCAUCAUAUACGCAAGUUGGGCGUUGUUGAUCUCCACGCUCCACUUUGAGGGGGAGUAUUAACAUUAUAGAUUCGUAUAGCAUUCGGUUUUGUAUAUAGAAGUCGUAUAUAAUUCCGGUUUCAUANNNNNNNNNNNNNNNNNNNNNNNNNNNNNNNNNNNNNNNNNNNNNNNNNNNNNNNNNNNNNNNNNNNNNNNNNNNNNNNNNNNNNNNNNNNNNNNNNNNNUUGAGUACUCUUUUCUUCAUGAGUUGAACAAUGAUAAAGAUAGUUGGAUGAUAAGAGUUAGGCUUUGUAGGAUGUGGGAAUCUGUUAAUAUCAAUAAGAAUGGAGAAUUGAUUAGUGUGAACAUAAUUUUUAUUGAUGAAAAGGUUGUGUACACUUAACUAUACACAUUAAUAUAUAUUUUUAAAGUUAACAAAAAAAUAAUUAACUUUAAUAAAUAACAUUAGUUUUAUAAGGUUGCGUCAUCUUUAUCAAUUCAUAUUUUUUAUCAGUUUCAUCAAGUGCAAAGUAAAAAAAAAAAGAUAAUACUAAAUUCUUUUUUUAAAGUUGCGUGAAGCGCAGUUCUAUUUCCUAGUUAACUAAAAGAUAGGGCAAGACAUUAAUCUUAGUAAUGAUUAUUUGCCUACAAUAAAAAUAUUUUGUGUUAGAAUGAUAUAUUUUGUGUAUUUGUUUUAAUAUUGAAACUUUAAUUUCUCUUUUACAUUGAUAAAAUCUAAAAUUGAGCAAUUUAUGUAGAUUUUUUUGGCUGUUACUAUAAAGUUAUAUUUUGAAUUAUAUAAUUCAAAUUUUAGAUAUAAUUUUUUUAAUAUUUAUGAUUUUAAAUAUAAAAAUUUAUAUAAAAAAAAACCUACUGCAUGUUAUGGGUGGAUUUGCUAAUUAUUAGAAAUUAUAUCGAACGAACUAAGGCAACCGGUUAUUGGCAGCUUUUGUUAAUAAUGACAAACCCAUAAUAAGUGAUUCCCAUUACCAUCAGCAGCUUCUGUAACACAGGGCCGGAGGCGGUCUUGAAUUGUUACAAGUUGCAACAUUAAUUAGCAAAAUUUUCAGCCGCAUCCCUGCAGUUUAGCAUAGAAUUAGAUAUAUCCCCUUGUUUUCAAAAAAUUAGUCUCUGAUUCCCAUGUUGUUUACAUAUAUAUAUAUAUAUAUAUAUUUUCCAUUUCAAUUGGAUAUACAACUUCGUAAUGUUGCGCCUUGUAGAAUGUAUGUCUAAAAUGCGUGCUUCUUAUUUUAUAGCACCUAACAUGCAGCUUACUUCAAUGGUAAAAUUAAUUAAAUAAAAUAGAAAGAACAUUUUUAACACCAGUACAAAAACAUAACAAGUGUAAAAGAAGACUCACAAACUUAUUUUAUGAUAUUACAUUCACGUAGGUACCACCAAUGUUUCCCGACCACGUUUGAGACCACCAACUCACGCCGAUUUAGAAGAUAUUUUUUUUAUUAAAAGGGGCUCAACAAAACGAGCUAAGCCGGAAAAAAGUGGGGUUAAGUAAUCCCAAACAUGUCUUGCAAUAUAAUUGAAUAAAUACCCACAGGCAGGCUAGUAAAUAAAUGCAAACCAUGAGGAACUGAAUGAGCCAUAUUAGCCAUGAAAUCCGCAGCUGAAUUCGCUUUACGAAAGAUGUGUGUGAUAGAAAUUUGCCAGUUUCUGCUUAGUAAUUCCUGGACAGCAACAACUAUAGCAUAGAAAGCAUUAGGCACGACCACCUGCUUAGAAAUUAUCUGUGAAACACAGAGACUGUCCACUUCCACCAAAAGAUUUUCUUUAAGCAUAUAAGUUAAAGUUAUUACUCUAGUUUUCAAAAUUCUUAAACCUAAUCUAACUAAUUAUAGCUGCACGCCUUGCUCCUUCUAGUAUAUGUAUAUAUUUUAAGAUGAAUACAAUAAAUUUUUAAUAAGUAGAAUUUUGUACUUUUCAAGCUUAAUAUUAAUGAUAUUUUAUUUUAUUUUAACUACUUUGAAUUGUUUUGCUUUAAUGACUUGAACAUAGUGAUUGUUUGCUAAACUUGAAUUUUUAUUUGUCUAAUUAAUUGACGAUAGCAGUUGUAUAAAAUUUAUAAAGACAAAAUCUAAAUAGAUUACAAAAAGAUUUAGUAAUGACAAACCUGCAGCAGCCAAUACCCAUUACCAUCCCUAGCUACUAUAAUGCAGGGACAUGGGCGGUCUUAAUUGUUAGAAGGUUCAAAAUUAAUUAGCAAAAUGUUCAGUGGUAUCCUUGAAUUUUAGCAUAGAAUUAGAUAUAUCCACUAGUUUUCAAAAUUAGUUAUAUAUAUAUAUAUAUAUAUAUAUAUAUAUAUAUAUAUAUAUAUAUAUAUUUCAAUUGGAUAUAUAACUUUGUAAUGUUGCACCUUAUAAAAAUGUAUGCUUAAAAUGCAUGCUUAUUACUUUUUAUAUGCUGUUAAGAGAAACUGAGAAUAAAAAUAUGUAAAAUGGAGUUUCAUUUAUUAAUUAUUUAUAUCCAUUAAAUAGCACCCAACAUACAGUUCGUCUCAAUAGUAAAAUGAAUUAAACAAAGUAGAAAGAUCUGUUUUAGCAUCAGUACAAAAAUAAAACAAGCACAAAGCGAGAAUCACAAACUUAUUUUAUGAUAAUACAUUCACGCAAAUGUCACCAAUGUUUCCUGACGACGUUUGAAAGCGAUCACCAUCUCAUGCUGAUUUGGAAGAUUUUCUUCAAUUACAGGGACUUUCCUGGAAUUUUCAAACCACUCAUGCCAGCUUGGGAAUUUGUGAGAUUCAAAUAGUUUCACUCCCAUUACAUCUUCAAGGACCUGCAACCAAUAAGCAAUGGCUCCAAAUGCUAGGUCCGCUAAGCCAAUAUUGUCUCCAUUGAAAAACUUCUUCUCUCCUAGGCCAUGUUUUUCAACGGUUUGAAGCAUUUCCAAUGCUGCCUUCACUGCAUUCUCCAGGUCUUGUCCAGUGCUGAAAAACAUUUUCCAGACAGCUACUCCCUGCCACAAGAUUUUAUAUCUAAUUCUUACCACCACGUGAUUAAUAAUAUAUAUGAGGUAAAAAGAAAUUAGAUAAUAUGUACACACGCGUCAAAGUAUCUUUUAAAGCCUAGACGUUUCAUUUUUUCAAACUGUCAAAGUAUUUAGGAGAGUUUAUCCACUAAUUUUUAGACUAGUUUAGUAUAAUUUUUCAGAACUUAUUUAAGUAGAAUUUUUAAUUUUUAUAAAAAAAAAUUAGUUAUUUAAUUGUUAAUGAAAAUUUUUAUUAAAAUUUUUCAAAUUAUUUUAAUAGAUAAAUUUUUAAAGUUAUGUUAUGAAAUAAAUAAAAUAAGAUUAUAAAAUAAAUGAUGAAUAUUUUAAACAAUUUAACAUUUUUAAAAAAUCCUAAACCCUCUAUUUCCAAAAGUGUAAAUUUAAACUUUUAUUAAUAUAGGCAAAAGAAUUUAUUUAAUCCCAAUAAGCUUUACUAAAAAUAAAACUAAACAAUAAUAAAAAUUUUGAAAAGAGUUUUUUUAUUAAAUAAACACGUAUGAGUAAUAAAUAAGCCAUAUCAAACAAAUACUUAAUGAAAUAAAAGGAAAAAGAUAAAAAAAAAUCCUCUUAUUGUUUUAGUAAAUUAUAAUUUUACUUUCAUGUUUCAAAAGUCCUUAAAAUUCCCCCAUCGCUAAAACAAUUAUGUUUUAAUAUUUUACCCUUGAUGCAGUAAAAUCCACGGUUAAUUAAGAAAAUUUUCUAAAGAUAAAAAUUUAAAGUAAUUAACCGAUUUUUUUUGAUAAUUUUCUGUAAUGUAAAAUAAAAGUUUAGAGAGUCAUAUUUCUCAAAUACCAUGGAAAUGGUGCUGAGUUUGUUCUUACUCAAGGGCCACGGGUUAUAUUGGGUCAUUAUUUGAAUGUUCAGCAAUGGAGUCCACAAUUUGAUUGCUUUAAGGAGAAAAUCGAGAAGAUUACGGCUUGGAUCCGUCUCCACGGCAUGCCAUUGCACUACUAUCAUAAAAAAUUAUUCGUCUGUUGGGGAAUGUAGUAGGAACAGUGCUCAAAAUUGACUAUAACACGGAACUAGUCACUCGGGGAAAAUUUGCUCGGAUUGCCGUCGAGGUUAAUCUUGACAGACCGUUAGUUUCACAGUUUCUAUUGGAUGGGAAGAUUCAGAAAGUGGAAUAUGAAUCCCUCCCGACUAUUUGUUUUAGUUGCGGAAGGUAUGGUCACGUGAUUUCAUCCUGCCCAAAAAGGUCGAAUAUUGGGAAUCCUGAGGCUAAUGUUGAUCCACAGAACUCAAACGAUCUCUCAAGCAGCAAGUUACCAUCAGCUCCGACUGCAGAGAAAGCUACCCCAAGCGAUCCUCGCUAUGGUCUAUGGAUGGUGGUUACCCGAAAAAGAAGGAAUCAGUAUGGGAAAGAGAAGGAGAAACUUCAAGAUUAUGCUAAUAAUCAAAAAGGCAACUUCAAUCAAGGAUCUCGAUUCGGGGCCCUGCUGGAAGAUGACGAUGGAAAAGAGAACCAAGGUGUAGAAAAUGAAUCCUCAGUUGCCAUGUUGAGGAGCCACGUGCCCGCAAACACAAAUUUACAGGAUUUGAUAGGUACCAAGCAUCUCAAACCAAGGAAAAAUAGCCGUGCCUUUAAACAAGCCACUAAACAGACCUUACAAGCCCAAAGAAGAAAAACCCAAGAUUCUAUGAAAGCCCAUAACACAGCCAAUCCUACCGAAAAGUCACUAAACAACCCCAUGCAAAACCUACACAUUCUACGUACUCAAACUAAAGACCAUGAAGUACAGCCCUCCCUGACUCCAUAUUUCCUCCUUAAAUCAAUUUCAAAUAAUUUUUUUGCCCCGCUGUUAAUUUUUUUAGUUUUACUAAAUUUAAAAUUUUCUGUGGUUCGACUUCGGUCUCACCGGGUUAUAUUAUAACUAGACAUUCUUAUACUUGAGAGUAAUACACUUUUGAGUCGUGUCAAGUUUUUGGCACCGUUAUCGGGGAGUUUUCUAAAUUUGUUAUUAGUUUGUCUUUACUUUAUUUUUAUUUAUUUUUAAUUUUUUUUGUUUUGUCGUUACCAUCUUUCCGUGAUUCUAUUUUAUUCUCUUUUUGUAAAACUUCAGUUAGCACUGCUCUUCUUUUCAAACCUUAACAUUAUCCAUAAAAUUUGCGAGAAACUUCAUCUUAGCCCAGAAAUCUUUGCAAAUCAGUCCCCAAAUCAAAUUUAUUUCUUUUAAUUUCUGUAAUUUACUUUCCGCAUUUAUUUUAAAUGGUCGGUUCUACCGCCUAGCAUUUUAAUUUCAGUUUAUUUAUUUUUGUGCAUUAAUUUAUUUAAUUUUAUGUUUUAUUAUAUGGUUGGUUUUAAAAUACCGCCUAAACUGUUUCUUUUAAUGGCUGGUUUCACCGCCUAAUUUAUUUAUUUAUUUUUCAGUUUGUUUAUUUUUCCUUAUCAUUUUUUUUGCUUAUUUAAUUUCCAGUUUAUUUUUAUUUCUGCAAUUUUCAUUUAGUCUUUUUGCAUCAUUAGUUUAGCACACAUCAUUAGCAUUGCAUGCGUCGUUGGUCUCGUACAAAUAGUGGUAGAUUAAUUAGAAAAUCACAUUCACCACCCUUAAAUAUGGCUGACAUAGGAGCUGAAAAUUUUUCGGAGCACGAAAAUGACCAAGCCUUGCAAAAUCUUCAUGAACAACCUAGGACCCUUAGAUACUUCAUGCAUCCUACUAGAACAGGGUCACCAUCAUGCAUAGUUUUCCCUCCUGAUGUAUCACGUUUUAAUUUCAAACAUGGUAUCAUUCAACUUCUUCCUACUUUUUAUGGUUUUGAGUCUGAAAAUCCAUAUUUGCAUUUAAGGGAAUUUGAGGAAGUCUGUAACACAUGUACUGAUUAAAAUUGUAGCAUGAAUAUAAUCAGGCUUAAGUUUUUUCCUUUCUCACUUAAGGAUAAAGCUAAAACUUGGUUACAAAAUCUUAGGUCAGAAUCCAUCAGAACUUAGGAUGAAAUGCAAGCACAAUUUUUGAAAAAAUUAUUCCCACCCCACAUAACAAAUUCUUUCAAAAGACAAAUCACCACUUUCACUCAAAAACCAGGAGAAACUCUCUACCAAUGUUGGGAUAGGUUUAAAGAACUACUUAACAUUUACCCAUAUCACGGUUUUGAAACAUGGAGCUUAGUGUCUUAUUUCUACCAGGGAUUAACAUCCCAAGGUAGACAAGUCGUUGAAAUGAUGUGUAAUGGUGAGUUUAGAGAUAAAAGUCCUGAAGAUACAUUAAACUAUCUUGACUAUAUAAUAGAAAAUGCACAACACUGGGAUACAGUUGGGUCUUAUGAGUCAUCAAGUAAACACCAGUCAUCUCCAUCUGGUGGAGGCAUGCAUAACCUUAGGGAAGACCAUGAUUUUCAAGCCAAAUUUGCAUCAUUAGAUAGAAAAGUUGAAGCAUUAGAGUCGAAAAAGAAUGAUCAUGUAAAGUCUGUUCAUAAUAUUUCUUGUUAUGUUUGCGAUUCUACUGACCAUUCUACGCAUGAUUGUCCAACUUUGCCAGCUCUGAGAGAAAGUUUGCAUGAACAAGUAAAUGUCGUUGACAAUUUCAAAAGGCCAAAUCCAAAUCCAUACUUCCAAACUUACAACUGUGGUUGGAGAAACCACCCAAAUUUCAGUUGGAGAAAUGACAAUCAUGCACAACCCUCACAACCAGUUCCUCCACGUCAAAAUUUCUAAAAUUCCCAGAGUUACCCACCAUAUGUCCUACCACCAAGAAAAACUCUAGAAAACACAUUGCAUUUGUUUAUUGAAAAACAAGAGUUAAUCAAUAACCAAACGAUGCAAACCUUAACCAAUUUGACAGAAACUAUCUCCAAACUUACAUCUGCUUUAACCAUACAUGAAAAAGGAAAGUUUCCUGCUCAACCUGAACCAAACCCCAAGAGUCAACAACAUCCUCAAACGAGAAAUUCAGGAAACUAAAAUAUGAGUCAAGUCAAAUCGGUUAUAACCCUUCGUGGUGGUAAAGUGGUCGAAAAACACAUUGUGGACCCUAGUGAAACUAGUAAAGAUUCAAUUUCAGAAAAUAGGGAAGAGUCUGUCGAACCUUUAACCCAUGAAGAAAUAACCAACUCUCCUCCUGUACCCCUAUUUCCUCAAGCACUAAUCAAGCCAAAGAAAUCAAACCACAGUCCAGAAAUUUAUGAAGUUUUUAAACAAGUAAAAGUCAACAUUCCUCUGCUGGAUGUCAUUAAACAAGUACCUUCUUAUGCUAAAUUUCUAAAAGAUUUGUGAACGGUGAAAAAGAAACAUAAGGUACAAAAGAGAGUUUUUCUAGCAGAACAGGUAAGUUCUAUUCUCUCAACCAAUAGUGCUUUGAAAUACAAGAAUCCUGGCUGUCCAACUAUUUCUUGCACUAUUGGGGAUCAUAAAAUUGGACAUGCUUUACUUGAUUUUGGUGCCAGUGAUAAUUUGCUUCCUUACUCAGUGUACCAACAACUCAAUCUCGGUGAGUUUAAACCAACUUCUACCACUCUUUUACUUGUUGAUAGUGAAAUACAAGUAUGCAACCCAAGAGGGGGGUGAUUUAAGAUUUUAAAAAUUAUUAGAUUCUAAAACAAAUUAUCAUGCAAAUCUAAAAUGAAUUUAAUGGAAUAACAAUUAAAUCAAUUACAAUAUAAAAAGAUAAGGGAAGAGAGAUUCAAACACGAAGAUUUUUACGUGGUUUGGCCAACCUCGCCUACGUCCACGCCUCUUGAUUUCUUUGUAGUGCAUUUUCUUGAUUAUCCUUUGAUGGUUCUUCUUGUAACUCUCCAUCUGCAUCAUCAUAAUUCAUUCAUUUCUCCGCAGAGGAGGGGUUAGACUCAUCAAAUGUAACAUGCAUAGAUUCUUCUACAACUAGUGUAUUUUUGUUAUAAACUCUAUAAGCUUUGCUUGAGUUUGAAUAACCAAGAAAAAUACCAACAUUAGAUUUUGGAUUAAAUUUGCCAAGAUUGUCUUUUGUGUUCAAAAUAAAACAUUUGCAUCCAAACACUUUGAAAUAACCAAUAUUGGGUUUUCUAUGUUUCCAAAGCUCAUAUGGAGUUUUGUUAAGGUUAGGUCUAAUCAACACACGAUUUAAAACAUAACAAGCGGUGUUGACGGCCUCGGCCCAAAAAUACUUAGGCAAUGAAUGUUCAUUCAACAUAGUCAUAGACAUUUCUUAAAUAGAUCUAUUCUUUCUCUCAACAACUCCAUUUUGUUGUGGAGUUCUAGGUGAUGAAAAUUGAUGCUCAAUGCCAAGAUUAUUGCAAAAAUUCGCAAAUGCAUGAUUUUCAAACUCUCCUCCAUGAUCACUCCUAAUGCAUACAAUACCAUGCCCUUUUUCAUUUUGUAUUUUCUUACAAAGCACUUUAAAGGCAUCAAGAGCAUCAUCCUUAUUGACUAAGAAUAAUACCCACGUAUAUCUAGAAUAAUCAUCCACUAUCACAAAUGCAUAAUAUUUGCCAUUUAGACUAGCAUAUCUAGAUGGCCCAAAUAAAUCUAUGUGAAGAAGUUGAAGUGGUUUUGAAGUAGAUAUAUGAUUUUUAUUUUUAAAAGAAGUUUUGAUUUGUUUUCCAAAUUGACAAGCUUCACAAAUCUUAUCUUUUUGAAAACCAAUUUUCGGAAGACCUUUAACUAAAUCAUUUUUCGAAAUUUUUGAAAUCAAAUCCAUACUUGCAUGUCCUAACCUUCUAUGCGAUAACCAACUAUCAUCAUGUAAUGCGGAAAAGCAUUUAUCAAGAGUAGAUGCACAUUCUAUGUCAAUGAUAUAAAUAUUACCACAUCUAUUCCCAACAAAUAAGAUCUUAUCAUCACAUGAAUUCUCAAUAACACAACUAAAUUUAUCAAAGAUAACUUUGUAACCUUUGUCACAUAAUUAACUAAUACUAAUUAAAUUGUGUUUCAAGUUCUCAACCAAACAAACAUUCUCAAUUAGAGUUGAGGAAACUUUACCAACAUUUCUAAUUCCAAGAAUUUUUCCUUUUGAGUUGUCUCCAAAAGAUACUUCUCCACCAUUUUCAAUUUUGGUGAAGCUUGAGAACCAUGCAUAGUUUCCGGUCAUGUGCCUCAAACAACCACUGUCCAAGUACCAUUUAUUUUUCUUUUUCUUUAAGCCCUACAAAGAAAAUCUCAAGUUUUAGGUACCCAAAGUUUUUUGGGUCCUUGAGAGUUAGCAAUGGUUCCUUUUGGAACCCAAAUCCAUUUAACACCAUAAUAUGCAUUCCUUUUCACGGGACAUCUAUAUUUCAUGUGACCGUUUUGAUUACAAUAAUGGCAAACAAUCUUAUGAUUACUUGUGGAGGUAGCUUUAACAAAAUAAUUCUUAUAAUAUUUUUGCUUCAAGUUAGGCUUAUACCCAAGUCCUCCUUUAUCAAAAACACAUUUUUGUGAGUUAAGCAUAUUAUCCAACAUCUUUUGCCCAUUUGUAAAUUUCAAAACAAUCUCAUUCAACUCAUUGCUCUUUUUCAUAAGCAUUUCGUUUUCAUUUCUCAAAUCAUCUAUGUGUGAUUCUAAAUGCUCAUGUGAGAUGCUAGGUUUCUCAUUUGAUAAUGCAAUUUCAUCAUGCAAUGUUUUGUUCUCUACUUCUAGGCAUGCAAUUUUUGCAUUUAGAGAUUCAUUUUCAUUUUUAAGCUUUGCCAUUUCCUUUUUAAGACAUACAUUCUUUUUACCAAUCUUCAUCAACUCAUUAUGCAAUUCUUUAAAAGCAUCAUAUAAUUCAUCAUAGGGGGGAUCACUUACCUCAUUAAGAUCAUCAUCCCCUCCUAUUGCCAUAAGCGCUAGGUUUGAUACUUCUUGCGACCCUUCUUCAUCACUUGAAUCUUCCUCGCUAUCAUCCCAAGUUGCAACCAUGGCUUUCUUCUAGAGUUUGUUGAUAAGUGGGCACUCCGAUCUUAUAUGGCCAGGCUUCUUGCAUUCAUAGCAUGUGAUUACCUCUUUCUUCUCCCUUUGGUUCUUGAAGUUUCUGAAAUUUCUUCGUUCUCCGGUUUUCUUGAAGAAUUUUCUGAACCUCCUUGCUAGCAUGGCCAGCUCUUCAUCAUCCGGUUCACUCUCCCCAUCACUCUCAUGUUUUGAAGCUUUGAGAGCAAUGUUUUUCUUCUUCUCCUUAUGCCCUUUUUCUGCGGCCAAAUCUUCUUCAUAUGAAAUGAGAGAACCAAUUAAAUCAUCAAGAGGUAAAGCAUUUAAAUCUUUGGCCUCUUCAAUAACGGUUCUUUUAGGUCUCCAUUCUUUUGGAAGUGACCUAAUGAUUUUCUUAAUUUUCUCGCUAUUUGAAAAGACAUUUCCUAAGGCUCCUAGGGUGUUUACUAUGUCUGUGAAUCUCGUAUACAUAGAGUAUACACUCUCAUUUUGUUCCAUUUGGAACAACUCAUAUUGUCGAGUGCACCUACUGAUUUUUUACUCUUUCACUUGAUUUGUGCCUUCAUAGACUACUUCAAGUUUGUGCCAAAUUUCAUUGGCACUUUCAAAACUAGAGACUCGAUGAAAUUCUUUCUUAUCAAGUGCAUAAAAUAAAGCAUUCAUAGAUUUGGAAUUUAGAGAAACUUUUCUCUUUUCCAAUUCAUUCCAUUCCCUUGAAGGUUUUGGAAUAUCUUCCCCAACUUCAUUUUUAUUUAGGGGCAUAAACGGACCAUCACAUACAACUUCCCAAAUUUCAUAAUCUAGUGCUUGUAAAUAAAUUCUCAUCCUACUUUUUCAAUAUGGGUAGUCAUUUCCGUCAAAGAACGGUGGUCUAGUUGUGGACUGUCCUUCCCUAAAGGUUGAGUCAUUUUGGGUUGCCAUGGAUCUUUUAUUCUAGACGGUUAAGUCCUAACAAGAGAACCAAGCUCUGAUACCAAUUGAAAUACAAGUAUGCAACCUAAGAGGGGGGUGAAUUGGGAUUCUAAAACAAAUUAUCAUGCAAAUAUAAAAUAAAUUUAAUGGAAUAACAAUUAAAUCAAUUAAAAUAUAAAAAGAUAAGGGAAGAGAGAUUCAAACACGAAGAUUUUUACGUGGUUCGGCCAACCUUGCCUACGUCCACGCCUCCAAGCUUUCCGGGCUUGAGGAUUUCACUAAGCAAGCCUCCAAGGCUUCAAAUGUUUACACUUGACUUCCAAGGUGUCAAUGAACCUUUACAACAAGAGAUUAUCCCCAAUCUCUUAACCCAAGUGUAUCCCAACACUUACAAUCACUCAAAGUAGAGGAUUAAAAAUUGUUUUUCUAUCACAUAAUAUUUAAGAUUAUAAAUCAAUGCCCAAUGUGUGAAUAGAUGAAGUAAGAAUGUGUUUUAAAGCUCUAUGAAGAUUGUAUUCUCGAAUAUAAGCUCAAUGGUCGUGUUGUGAUCAAUCUUGUUUGAAUUUGAAUGAGCUUAUUUAUAGUUGGAGCUGAAAAACUAGCCGUUACAAACUGUCUGCCCGAAAACGGUUCACCGUUAACCAUUAACGGUUCACCGUUUAGGCUGGUCAAAAGUUACCGUUGGGCCAAAUUUCAAAUAAACGGUUUGCCGUUUAGGCUUACUCUUUCGCCGUUAAAUUCCAGAGACCUGCAAGAUGAACAUCAGUUAUCCGUUUACAUUAAACGGUUAAGGAUUUGCAUGAAGUAACCUCUCUGGAUAGUAUCGGUUAACCGUUUGUAAUAAACGGUUCGUCGUUUGUUUCCAGUAACCUGCAAAAUAAUUUAACCUUAUCCGGUUUUGUUAAACGGUGCCAGAAGAGUACAACCUUCAAUUCCGGAUUUUAUCAAUGAACCGUUUAAAUAAACGGUUCAUCGUUAAAUUCCAGUAGUCUUCUUAGCUUUUUGUGUUUUCCGUUUUUCUUAAUCGGUUAGAGCUUAGGUAAUAUGUAACUCUAUGGUUUUAAUCGGUUAACCGUUUGAAAGAAAACGAUUUACCAUUUAUUUCCAGAAUCACAUUUUAAACCAGAUUUUGCAAAGAAUUAUUUUCUAAUUUGAAAGUCCAUCUUUUAUGAAUAUGAUUGGAAUGAUUAUAAGGUUUUUGUUUAUUAAGGAAUAGCUCCAACAUUUUAAUCAAAAACCAUUUAAAGAUUGUUAUCAUCAAAAUCAAUAUUAUUAACAUAUUCAUGUUAACAGAUAGAUCGAUUAAGGUUCCAAAAGGAAUAAUUGAAGAUGUAUUAGUCCAGGUCAAUAAAUUCAUAUAUCCUGUGGAUUUUAUUGUUCUGGAUACGGAACCAAUUGCUAAUGAAUGCAAAAAAAUUCCUGUUAUUUUGGGUUGAUCAUUUUUAGCUAUUGCUAAUGCUUUGAUAAAUUACAGGAAUGGAUUAAUGAAUUUAUCUUUUGGCAACAUGACACUGGAACUCAAUGUGUUCAACAUAUGUAAACAACAUCACCACCAAGAAGAUGAUGAUAAUGAGAAUGAGGAAAUUGAUCUCAUCGAGCCAAUCAUUGAGGAACACAUUCAGGAUGAGAAUUUUACAAACUGUGCUGAAAUUUGUUUUGCUGGUUCUUUUGAAUCAAGUAAAGAAUUAGAUUGUGAUACUGCUAACACAUGCCCUAUACUUGAUUCUAUGCAGGUACCUAUAAGUGACGAUGACCAAUCGAACUUUGAAGAUACGGUGCAACCUGAAGAACCAAACGAAGAGGAAGCACUAGAGCUCGAAUUAAAGCCCUUACCAGAAGAAUUGAAGUAUGCCUAUCUUGGAGAGCAGCAGACAUAUCCGGUGGUAAUUUCUUCUCAACUCACGCAUGAUCAAGAAUGUAAGUUGUUAUUUGUACUAAAAAGGCAUAAAACUGCAUUUGGUUGGACCUUUAAAGACAUAAAAGGCAUUAAUCCUUUAANNNNNNNNNNNNNNNNNNNNNNNNNNNNNNNNNNNNNNNNNNNNNNNNNNNNNNNNNNNNNNNNNNNNNNNNNNNNNNNNNNNNNNNNNNNNNNNNNNNNCAACCACAAAGAAGACUAAACCCUCAUAUGAAAGAAAUGGUAAAGAAUGAGGUCCUUAAACUACUAGAUGUAGGAAUUAUCUACCCUAUCUCUAAUAGUAAAUGGGUAAGUCCGACUUAAGUAGUACCAAAGAAAUCUGGAAUAACUAUUGUAAAAAAUGAAAAAGGUGAACCAAUCCCAACACGAAUUCCAUCUAGUUGGCGCAUGUGCAUUGAUUACAGAAAAUUAAAUAAUGCCACUAGAAAAGAUCAUUUUCCCCUUCCAUUUCUAGACCAAAUUCUCGAAAGAGUAGCUGGACAUCCCUACUACUGCUUUCUUGAUGGCUACUUUGGCUAUUAUCAAAUCCCUAUAGCCUUAGAAGACCCGAAAAUGACCACAUUCACAUGCCCAUUUGGAACAUUUGCAUUUAGGAGAAUGCCCUUUGGACUUUGUAAUGCUCCUGCAACAUUUCAAAGGUGCAUGCUAAGCAUUUUUAGUGACAUGGUUGAAAAUUGUCUAGAGGUUUUAUGGAUGAUUUAACUGUAUUUGGUAAUUCUUUUGAUACAUGUCUUGAUAAUCUAGAAAAAGUUUUGGAAAGGUGCAAAGAAAAAGGACUAGUUUUAAAUAGGGAAAAAUGCCAUUUCACGACCACUUCUGGAAUUGUCUUGGGCCAUGUUGUGUCUUCAAAAGGAAUCGAAGUUGAUAAAGCUAAAGUUGAAGUCAUUUCAAAAUUACCCUCACAAAAAAUAAUUAGAGAAGUCUGUUCUUUUUUAGGACAUGCAGGAUUUUAUAGGAGGUUUAUAAAAGACUUUAGUGCCUUAUCUAGACCAAUUUGUAACCUCCUAAUAAAAGACACACAAUUUGAAUGGACUAAUGAUUGUCAACAAGCUUUUUAAAAAAUAACUACUCUUUUGACAUCAGCCCCAAUAAUGCAACCCCCUGAUUGGUCUUUGCCUUUUGAGCUAAUGUGUGAUGCUAGUGAUUAUGUCGUUGGCACUGUUCUGGGUCAAAGAAAGGAAGGUAAGCCUUUUGUCAUUUGUUAUGCAAGUAGAACUUUAAAUAGUGCUCAAAUGAAUUACACUACAACUGAGAAAGAACUACUUGUUGUAAUAUUUGCAUUAGAUAAAUUUCGUUCGUAUUUAAUUAGUUAAUCUACUAUUGUUUAUUCUGAUCAUGCUGCUGUGAGAUAUUUAAUGUCAAAACAGGAUGCCAAACCAAGGUUGAUACGAUGGAUCUUGCUACUUCAAGAAUUUAAUUUGACAAUCAAGGACAAAAAGGGCGCUGAAAAUGUUGUUGCAGAUCAUCUUUCAAGACUUACAAAUGAGUCUUCAAUUGAAACAACACCCAUCGAUGAUUCUUUCCCUGAUGAAUUUUUGUUUUCUAUAAAUAAAAUGCCUUGGUAUGCUAAUAUUGUUAAUUAUCUUGCAACAGGUGAAAUGCCAUGUGACUGGAGUUCCCAAGACAAGAAGAAAUUCUUAACAGAAGUGAAAAGUUUUUACUGGGAUGAACCAUACCUGUUCAAGUAUUGCUUCGAUCAAAUUUUUGAAGAUGCAUACCAGACGACGAGGUAAGUAGGGUCAUUCAAUUUUGUCAUUCUAAAGCAUGCAGUAGCCAUUUUUCUUCAGAAAAGACAGUUGCAAAAAGAUUGCAGUGUGGAUUUUAUUGGCCUACAUUAUUUAAAGAUUCAUAUGUAUUCUGUAAAAUGUGUAAGAAUUGUCAAAUGAUAGGGUCUAUUUCAAAGCGGAACAUGAUGUCUUUAAACCUCAUCCUUGUCAUUGAAAUAUCUGAUUGUUGGGGAAUUGAAUUUAUUGGCCCUUUUCCAUCAUCAUUUGGAUUCGUAUACAUUUUGGUUGUUGUUGAUUAUGUUUCAAAAUGGAUCAAGGCGAUUCCUUGUCGGCACAAUGAUCACAAGAUUAUGAUCCACUUUUUAAAAGAAACUAUUUUGAGCAGAUUUGGAAUACCUCGAGCCAUUAUCAGUGAUGGAGGUAAGCAUUUUUGUAAUAAGCUAUUUGAGUCUUUAAUGAAGAAAUAUGGAAUUACACAUAAGGUUGCUACCCCUUAUCACCCUCAAACAAGUGGUCAAGUUGAAUUAGCAAAUAGGGAGAUAAAACAAAUUUUAGAAAAGGCAUUUAAUCCAAACCGUAAAGAUUGGUCUCUUCGAUUAAUUGAUGCACUUUGGGCAUAUCGUACUACUUUUAAAACAUCUUUAGGAAUGUCACCCUAUCGACUUGUUUAUAGAAAAUCUUGCCACUUACCAGUAGAACUUGAACAUAAAUCAUUUUGGGUCAUUAAAGCUUUUAAUUCAAAUCUUGAUGAUGCUGGCAAUGUGCAUAAAUUGCAAAUAAAUGAACUUGAGGAAUUAAGGAAUGAUGCAUAUGAGAAUUCCAGAAUUAUUAAGGCAAGAACCAAAUUUUUUCAUCACAAAAGAAUUUUUCGGAAAACAUUUGAAAUUAGUCAAAAAGUGUUUCUUUAUAAUUCUCGUCUUCAUUUAUUUCCAGGGAAGUUAAAGUCAAUGUGGAAUGGUCCAUUUGUUGUAAAAUAUGUCUAUCCAUAUGGAGCCGUAGAAAUUGAGAAUCCAAAGGAUGGUGUCACAUUUAAAGUUAAAGGCCAAAGAUUGAAAUCAUAUAUGGAAUACUAACCACAUGAAGCAGAUACCGAAAUCCAUUUGAGUGACCCACCAAAAUUUUGAUUAAGCCUUUUCAUUUUAAUGUUUUGUGAAUUUGAUUUACUGUUACUUUAUCGUUUGAAUUAUUUGAUUUUUUUUCUUUUUCCUUUUCCCUAUGUCUUGAAUGGAGUGCGUUGCAUUGUUUUAAUUGUGUGUAGUUUGACAAUUGUGAUUUAGCUCACCAAAUUUUUAUACUUGUCAUGAGUCCCUCCAUGAGAAAUUUCCUUUUCGAUCAUCUUAAAACGCUUUUUCAUGUAAAAUUUCACCUGAGGAAAUUGCUCCAAUUUUGUAAAUUACAUCCCAUUUGGGAUCUGCAACCACCAGAGUUAGUAUCUCACGUCAAGAUCUAGAAAGACAACUCAAGGAAAUAGGGGAUGGUAUUUAUAAUCUGCAAUUAGAACUGAAUUCAAUAAAGGACGAAUGUGAGUUAUAUUCCUUGUGUGUUUUUUUUUUAUUUUGUUGUUCUUUCUCACCUUUGAUUUGAUUUUGCAGAUUUGAUUGGUUUUGUUUUGAUUCACUCUCCUGUAUAAAUGGCGGAUAACGGUACUCUGUGACUUUUUAAGUCGGUAUUCUCAGUUUCCCACAAUAACUGAAACCUCAAUGUCAAGCAUGGAAGAAAUACAACAAAAUUUGCAUCAACAUUUUCCUUCUCUCCCUCAAAAUGCUCUUAAGAAGAUUUACAAAGCUCGUUGUGAACGACUGUGUUUAUUAAUGAUCAAUGGGAUUCCUGCUGACAUUCGCUGGUUAAUUGAAGCAAAGGUCCGAUUGGCAGGUGAGUUUUCUGAUCCAUUCAUUUCCUACAUGCCUGGUUUUGGUAAAAGUAUAUUUGCUAAGAAAAGAAGAACUAAGCGACUUGGCUCUGAAUGUUCUCACUGUGUAAGACUUGCUUGCAAAAAUCCACGUUCUAAAGCUUUAGGAAUGGUUUCUGUAAAUCAUGAAGAUAAAAUCAAAUUCGUUAAGGAUGACAUGAGUAAAGAAUCGUUGGAUGAUAUCUUACGAUCUCUUGAGAUGCAUCCGAGCGGAUAUGUUCAACGUGAAAUUCAAAAUUUGUGGAAGCUGUUCCAAAAGGAAAGUGCACAGUUUAGUCUUGAGAAUCUGACUCUAAAAGACCCUGUUUGCCAGUUUAUAAGAAAACUGGAUGGGAAGCAUAUCCUCGACCCAUAGAGGACGUUCAAGCCGUUAUUGGACGUAAAACCAGAGGAAAAUGUGAGCCACAAUCACAACUAUCAGUAAAUAUCCUUUUAUUUUACCGUUCGUUUAUCUUUUACAUUAUUAUUAUUAUUGUGUUUUUUUUUCUUUAUUUUAUCUAAUCACUGUUUGCUUUUUCUUUUCACUGUUUGCCUUUGAAUUAUUAAGCUAAAAGCUUCAUGCAUCAUUUGACAAACACACCACCCCAUUUACAUAUGUAUAUCAUUAUGUUCGUCACCAAGAUCCUUAAAUAGGAACUUCUUUUUAAGCACUCACCAACUGGAGAAGAGUUAGUUGUCUUUGGUAUGCAAGAAAGAAUAUUUGAAAUGUUGAAUCGUGCUGACGUUUUAUUUUCUUGCCGGGAGACCUUGCAACUUUGGAGGCGCUAAUUACAUUUGCUUCUUGGGCCCAUUUGAAUAUCCAUAAAAAACCCAUCGGUUUGUUAAAUGUUAAUAACUUUUAUGAUGGCUUAAUAACAUUUCUUAAUCAUGCAAUAAAAAAUUAUUUCAUUUCAUCAUCAGUAAAAAAACUCUUCAUUUGUGCUCUUACUGCUAAUGAGUUACUUGAUCUUUUGUAAGCUUACAAACCAGAGCCAGAUCCCAUGACUUUGGCGUUGGAUUGGGCAACUAAUGACGAUGGCAGUAACUCUCGUAAAAAGUGUAAAUUAGAUUUAACUCUCCGUCUGUAAAUAUUUCCAGCAGUGGCCAGGUGAUAUCUUCUAAACUCUACUCCUUUCUUUAAACAUUGAGGACAAUGUCUCCUUCAGGUUGGGGGGAGGGAAUAGUUGAUAAUUAUGGAAUGUCUCAGUCCUAGUGAUGUUUUUACAAAUUUUUGUUGUAAAGACUAACUUUGGAUAAAAAUUUGAGUCGAAGAUGGCAGAAUAUAGAAUGUAAUGUCUCUAGAAACGCAUCUUCUUAAUUUUUGUGUUUUCUUCCAAAAAAAAAUGUUUCUAACUUUUUAUUUUCGGUCUUUUUCUCUCUUUCUCUUAAUCAUCUCCCUUAAGUUUCUGCAAUCAGUCCCAAUUUCUUUUUGUGUUUUCUUUAAAAAAAAAAGAGUUUUCUUUUUCGGUGUGAUCUUUUAACAUUGGAUAACAUGAUAAUUUUCAAAUUUUGGCAUUCAUAUUAUCUUUGGCCUUGAGUUAUGUUACACUAUAUUUUUUCCCUUUGCAUGUUGAAACGUAAAUUGAGAAAUUGAAUGAGCGAAAUUGAUUAAGCCAUUUGGAGGAAUGUACAUGUUAUGAAAAGACCAAGCGAGUUUUUGAGCCUAUUAUCCUUGAAGAGUAACCUUGUUUGCCUAUACAGCUUCACAAUUUAUUGUACAAGAUCUCAAUAUUUAAUAAAAAAAAAAGUUUGUCCAGCCGCAUCUAAAAUUCCAUUGAACUAGUGGAUAUGAAAAAUUAUAUGGAACCCUAAAAGAUGACAGAAUGCCAUCUUUGAUCCGUUUGACCCUUUCUAGCCAACUCUAUUAUAAAGAAUCCAUAGUUAACCCCUUUAAGCCUUUGAAAAAAAAAAAAACUUUUUCUUUGGUAACCUAUCAUAUUUUCCUACUCCAAUGAGGAGUAUCACCUUAUGUUUUAUGUUUUCCAUCACCCAAUUAUGUUUAAAAAUAGGGAUGAUUAUGUAUUCCUAAUAAUGGUGCUAUAAAAAAGAAAAAAAGAAAAAAAAAAGAAAGAUGAUAUGUAUAUAUCAAUUAAUAAAAAAAUAAAAAAUAAAAAAAGAAGAGAAAAAAAAUCCAAGCAAAAAGAAAAAAAAAACACCUUAUAAUCUCCACAAAGUCCCCUAUUUUUCAAACAUAUAUUUUUGUUUUCCCUAUUACCUUUUUUGUUAGUCAUAACCCUAGCCUACGUUAUGUCCUACUAAAAGUCCUUCUUGAUUUUUGGGAACUAUAGUCUGAAGUAAAAUAUGGUAAUAUGGACUAAAAGAUGUGGUGAUGCAUAAAAAUAAAAAUAAAAUUUGCUAGUAAUUCAUUGGACUUGAGAUCAUUUUAUUUCUAAGCUGUGUGCAUUAUUUUUUCAUCUUGGAGAGAGCGUGUGAUAUUGUUUUAUUAUUCUCUCAGAUUUACCUUUUUUUUUAGAGUGACAAAUUAAUUUGGGGUAUAUCUUCUUUUGAGAGAGUCACUCUUAAUCGUGAGAUUUUGUGGUUUGAUGUAUCAUUCUUAAAAAUGGCUUGAUUAAUGUAGCUCUGAUAAUUGAUCAUUUUACAGGAUUUUACUAAAUUGUUUUGUUCGGGUGUGAUUUUCUUUAGGCUGAAGAUAAUGCUUAUACUUUUAUUUGAUUGUUGUCAUUAAUCUGAUGGAAGAAGCAAACACAAUUUAAAAAAAAAUGAUUUUCAAUUUGAGUUUGAAAUUUUACUAAACUUUUAUCACUUAAAUUGCUAGGGCCUAGCAAUAAGCUGGUUGGGGGGUGUGAUUGACACUAAAAAGUGUACAUUUAAUAAGGAUAAAAUUAUUAGUUUUUUACUUAUUGUGUCGAUUAAUUCGUUUAUUAUUUAUAAAUUAUUUUAAUACUCCCCAAAUAUAUUUUAUGUUAAAUUAAUUCGUAAUUUGUUAAUUUUUAUCUUGUAAAUAUUUUUCAGGAAUAAAGAUGGAAUUGGAAUUGAAAGCAAGAACAAAGAAGAACUACUGGAACAAAAUUGAAGAGAUGUGAUAAUAAAUAAUAAAUAAAAUAAAAUAAAAUAAAAUAAACAAAAGAACAAAAACUUGUUGGUGAUGGUCAGGAGGCCAUUACGCCUCCUGACCAUCACACAUUUCAAAACACUUAUAUAUUUUAAAAUAAAAAUAAAAUAAUAAAUAAAUAAUAAAAUAAAGAAAGUUAAAGGCAAUUGUUGCCUAUAAAAAGGGAGGAGAGAUUGAAGAGCCGAGGGGAAGCGAGGGAGCUAAAUUGAGAGCUGAAGCCGAGACUGAAGAUUUUCUUUCUUUCUUUGUUUCUUUUCUUUUCUUAUUUCCGUUUGUAUCAAUUUUCUUUAUAAUAUAUUUCAAAAAAUUUAUCAAAUAAAAAGAGUGUUGUGUUUUCUUUCAAUAUGAGUAGCUAAUUUUAUUAAGCUGAGGUGAAGGGUGAAGCUCAAUGUUUUAAACUAUUAAUUAUUAUUAUUUUCUCAAAUGAGUUUUUAAGUUUAUUUAAUUCUUUUCUAAUUAUUUUUAUAUCAUGUUAAUUUAUAAAUCUCACUGGAUUUUAUGGCAUUUUGACAUAAUGUCGACACAUUAAUAUAAUGUGGCACAUUAGGUACUUUAUUCUAUAUUUAUCCACACACAUAGAAUUAAAUGAUAUAAUAAUUAAUUAGUAAAAGUGAGGCAAAAUAUAAAUGAGAGAGUAUUAAAAUUAUAGUUUGAAUACAGAGAGUGGAUCCUAAACCUUAGCUUAUUUUUAAAUCAAUUUCAAAUAAUUUCUUUGCCCCGCAAUUAAUUUUUAUAGUUUUACUAGAUUUAAAACUCCCUGUGGUUCGACCCCAGUCUCACCGGGUUAUAUUAUAACUAGACACUCUUAUACUUGAGAGUAAUACACUUUUGAGUCGUAUCAUUCGGUUUUGAGCCGAACCGAAUAGAAACCAAUCGGUUCUUCAAAUUUCAAACCAUUCGGGUUUUUUAUUUAAAACCGAACCGAACCGAAUUGAAUUAAAAAUAUCGGUUCGGUUCGGUUCGAUGAAAACCAAACUAAAUGCCCAUCCCUGCCAGACCGUAUGAGCUAGGUCUGGUCCGAUUUGAAUAGUUAGAAGUUGUAACAUUAAUUAGGGAUUGAGGGUAAAAUUUUGGACUUUGAUUUAAUAAAAUUGAUUUAAAUGAGUCCCAAUAGAAAUAUGAUUAUAAAUAUAUCAAUACAAUUAUAACAUGUUAAAAAAAAAAAAUUAUUUUCACACAAAACAAAAAACACAACCCUUGGAUGUGGGAUGUGUCUAAAAAAUAAUAGGGUGGAAAUAUUAUCACCCUCAAAUUAGAUAUAUAAAUGUUUAAUGUUUUACUCUAUUUUUAAGAGAAAGAUAGAAAUUAAUAUAUAGACAAAUCGAGUCCCUUAUUUUAUUAUUCAUAUCCAUAAAAAGUAACCACUAUGCUAGUCCCCCGAACUUAGCAUAAGACAGUAAUUUAAAAAAAGAAAAAAAAAAGAACGUUUUUAGAUACCAAAAGAAAAGCAAAACAAGCACAAAGCGAGACAUACAAACAAAUUUUAUGCUACUGCAUUCAAGCAGAAGCCACCAACUGUUCACGACGGCGUUUGAAAACAACCAACAUUUCAUCCUGAUUGGGAAGGUUUUCUUCAAUUAUGGGGACUUGCUUGAAAUUUUCAAGCCAGGCAUGCAAGCGAGGGAAUUUGUGUGAUUCAAAUAGUUUAACUCCCACUACAUCUUCAAUGACUUGCAACCAAUAAACAAUUGAACCAAAUGCUAGGUCCACUAAGNNNNNNNNNNNNNNNNNNNNNNNNNNNNNNNNNNNNNNNNNNNNNNNNNNNNNNNNNNNNNNNNNNNNNNNNNNNNNNNNNNNNNNNNNNNNNNNNNNNNCAUUAGCUAGUAAAUUCACUUUUUCCCAAUGCUUCAAAAGUCAUCAAAAUUCCCCGUGAAGUUAAAAACGGUCGUGUUAACUUUAACUUAUUACAUCUUUCCAUAUUUAAGGAUAAAACAGUGAAGACACCAGAAAUUAACAGUUUAGAGAACUUUUUACAAAUAAAUAUGAAAAAGACCCCUGGGUGGCUGGGCUCGACUGGCUAUGAAAUUCACUUUGCGCCAUCACCCGAGUUCCAGUACAUAUAGAGAAUAAGAGUUAGUGUUUGGCGGGUGGAUUUUCUUAUCCUCGUCACCUCAUCUAGAUCUUAAAAUAAAUCAAUUAAUAAACAAAUUUGAAAAGAAUGAACUUAAACAUAAACGUGUUUGCCAGAGUUGUGAGCGAACCUUGUCUUCAGCGAAUUUGAUCCAGAAUCGAGUAUGAGCCCUAUCAUAAGGAUUAUUUGGCAUCAAGGAGGGAUUCUGUGGCCACGUCUCUUCGAUGUAUUCGAGAAUAACCAUGGACUCACAAACUGGUUUUCCGCCAUGGGAGAGCACUGGGAUCUUCUUGUGAACUGGAUUAUACUUCAAAAGCAAUGCACUUUUGUUUGAGAGAUCUUCGGAAACAAAUUCAUAUGGCACGCCUUUCAAUUUCAGAGCCCAAAUCACCCUGUAAACAAAUGGACUCGGCAGGGCCCCAUGAAGCUUCACUUCAGCCAUGAUAAUUCUAAGAUUGAAUUUGAAUUAUCAGUUUUUCUGAUCGAUGUUGUGUAUAGCUGUUAACUCAUUACAUAUGUUUCUGAAUUUAUAGUGAUUUAUGGUAUGCACUUUCUUGAGCAGAAAGCUUCAAUUUUCCAUUAAUAAAACGAUUAAUGAUGAAUUCAAAGAACUGGUGCGAUGACUUUAAUUAAAUAUUUUUUUACGCUGUGUGCAACCGCAUUUUGAGGUUAAUUUAAAGGAUAUUAUUUUCUCCUGAUCAAAACUUUUAUAUAAAAAAAUUAAUUAUGUGAUUGGUAGUGAUUAAGUAAAAAUAAAAUAAAAAAUAAAUUUUGACCGUAAAUAAAUAAAAGUUCAUACAUGUUAUAAAAUUUUUUUAAAACUCAAGUGGACCCAAUUCCCAAUUUAAAACGAACGCUAGCCAAUGAGAUCAAUAAUUUGGUCAACCAGUCAGAGAUAACCAUACAAUAAUUAAUCAAAAUUUUGCCAUUUGUUUUACAUUUAAGACCUUUGCGUCAUGCAUGAUGAUCAAUUGAUCAUAUAUCAAUUAGUCAACACGACAUUUGCCUUUUGUGCAUGUGUUCACAUUGGACGCAAAUAUAAUUUGUUAUAAAAAAAAUUGGACUAAAUUAUUUUUUAAUACAUUUUUUUUUAAAUAAUACACCUGAUCAUAGAGGACCUGUUAUUUAGUUCGUGAAUCUUAUAACAGGACCCAUGAAUUUUUUUAAAAAAAAUCUUAUGGGUCUCCUAUUAUUUAAUUUGUGGAAUUGACGGAGGUAACUUACAGUUUCAUUUUUGUAAUUUACAGCUUUCAAUAAAUUCAGAUAAUAUUAGGCGGUAAAAGUCGGCCAGGCUGGAGGAGUAGAUCUAUAAAAUUUGCUAGCACUUUGCACUAUCUGUUUGGUGCCCAGAAACACACAUAUAUAUCAUCCACUUUUUAUUUAACGCUGGGUUUUUUUGGACCCAUAAUAAUUUCUCUUUGCACAUCAACUUUUUAAUAAAAACUUUUAUUGUCAAGAUAAAUUGUUAGUAAUUACUUCACUAAUCCUCCUUUUUUUUUGGGCCAAUUUCUCUUUCGCAACUGACAAAAUUUAAUUCACAUCAUGUGAUAGUAUGAUUGCAAAUAAAUUUGAAGUUAUCUCUCGCAAGUUGUUCAAAAAUACAUUGACAUAUCUUGUGUAUAGAACUAAAGAACAAUAGCAAAACCACUAUCCUCUAGCCGAUCGUUGCUAUUAGGACGGCAAAAUUAGUCGUAAAUAUGUAAAUUUGUCUAAACCCAUCUACAAAAAUCUGUCCACUGCGAAUAAUUUUGUAGGUUGCGGAUAAGUUUGAUAUUUUAAACUUAAGUUCGUUGCAGGUUACGGAUAGAUUCAGUAUUGAGAAAAAAAUUGGCUGGUGUCUGCCAACUAGCAUUUUUUUAAUUAUUUAUGUUUUUAAUUUUAAUCACAAAGAUUGUCUUAAAAAAAUUUAAUCAUAAAAAUAUAGUAGUUAAAGUUAUUACUCUAAUCUUCUAAAUUCCUAAACCUAACCUAACUCAUGACAGUUGCACACCCUACUCCUUCAAGUAUGUAUGUAUGUAAAUGUAUACACAAGCACACACACACAAAAUAAGCUUUUAAUAAGUAGAUUUAGUAUUUUUCAAGUUUAAUAUUAAUGAUAUUUUAAUUUAAUUUAAUUACUUUUGUUUGUUUCGUUUUAAUGACUUGAACUUAGUGAUUGCUGGCUAAGAUUGGAUUUUUAUUUAUCUAAUUAAUGGUCAAUAGUUGUCCAAAAUAUAUUUGUUAAUAUUGUUGACAAUACUUAUAUAUUGACUAAAAGAUAGAGCAAGACAUUAAUUUUAGUAAUAAUUAUUUGCCUACAACAAAAAUAUUUUGUGUUAGAAUGAUAUAUUUUGUGUAUUUGUUUUAAUAUUGAAACUUUAAUUGCUCUUUUACAUUGAUAAAAUCUAAAAUUGAGUAGUAUAUGUAGUUUUUUUAGUCUGUUACUAUAAAGUUAUAUUUUGAAUUAUAUAAUUUAAAUUAUUAAAUAUAAUUUUUUAAUGUUAAAAUUAUUUAAAAAAAAAACUACUACAUGUUAUGGGUGGAUUUGCUAAUUAUUAAAACUUAUAGCGAACGAACUAAAAAAAAAAAAGAGGCAACCGGUUACGGGCGAAUUUAAUAAUGACAAACCCAUAAUAAGCGAUACCAUUACUAUCGGCUGUCGGCAGCUUCUAUAACGCAGGGCCGGGGGCGGUCUUGAAUUGUUAGAAGUUGAAACAUUAAUUAGCAAAAAUUUCAGCCGCAUCCCUGAAGUUUAGCAUAGAAUUAGAUAUAUCCCCUUGUUUUCAAAAUUAGUCUCUAAGAUAUAAAAACAUUAAUGUUGUUUACUUAAUUUUUUUUUCAUUUCAAUUGGAUUUAUAACUUCGUAAUGUUGCGCCCUGUAAAAUGUAUGCUUAAAACGCGUGCUUCUUAUUUUUUAUAUACUGCUAAGAGAAUUUGAGAAUAGAAAUAUAUAAAAUGGUGUCUCAUUUAUUAAUUAUUUAUAUCCUCCAAAUAGCACCUAACAUGCAGCUCACUUCAAUAGUAAAAUUAAUUAAACAAAAUUAAAAAAAAAGCAUUUUUAACACCAGUACAAAAACAUAACAAGUGUAAAAGAAGACUCAUUAACUUAUUUUAUGAUAUUAAAUUCACGCAGAUACCACCAAUGUUUCUCGACCACGUUUGAAAGAGAUCACCAACUCACGCUGAUUUAGAAGAUUUUCUUUAAGUAUAUAAGUGAAAGUUAUUGCUCUAGUCUUCAAAAUUCUUAAACCUAAUCUAACUCAUUAUAGUUGCCUGCCUUGCUCCUUUUAUUGUAUGUAUAUAUUUUAAGAUGAAUACAAAAACUUUUUAAUAAGAAGAAUUUUAUACUUUUCAAGUUUAAUAUUAAUGAUAUUUUAUUUUAUUUUAAUUACUUUGAAUUGUUUUGGUUUAAUGACCUGAACAUAUUGAUUGUUUGCUAAAGUUGAAUUUUUAUUUGUCUAAUUAAUUGACGAUAGCAAUUGUAUAAAAUUUACUUAAAAAGAUAAAAUCUUAGUAUAUUACAAAAAGAUUUAGUAAUGACAAACAUGUAGCAGCCAAUACACAUUAUCAUCCCCAACUGCUAUAAUGCAGGGCCAUGGGCAGUUUUAAUUGUUAGAAGGUGCAAAAUUAAUUAGUAAAAUAUUCAGCGGUAUCCUUGAAUUUUAGCAUAGAAUUAGAUAUAUCCCCUAGUUUUGAAAAUUAGUUUUUGAUUCCCCUGUUGUUUACUUUAUAUAUAUAUAUAUAUAUAUAUAUAUAUAUAUAUAUAUAUAUAUAUAUAUAUUUCACUUGGUUAUAUAACUUUGUAAUGUUGCGCCUUAUAAAAUGUAUGCUUAAAAUGCAUGCUUAUUACUUUUUAUAUGCCGUUAAGAGAAAUUGAGAAUAGAAAUAUGUAAAAUGGAGUUUCAUUUAUUAAUUAUUUAUAUCCAUUAAAUAGCACCCAACAUGCAGUUCGUCUCAAUAGUAAAAUUAAUUAAACAAAGCAGAAAGAUCUGUUUUAGCAUCAGUACAAAAAUAAAAAAAGCACAACGCGAGAAUCACAAACUUAUUUUAUGAUAUUACAUUCAUGCAGAUGUCACCAAUGUUUCCCGACGACGUUUGAAAGCGAUCACCAUCUCAUGCUGAUUUGGAAGAUUUUCUUCAAUUACAGGGACUUUCCUGAAAUUUUCAAACCACUCAUGCAAGCUUGGGAAUUUGUGAGAUUCAAAUAGUUUCACUCCCAUUACAUCUUCAAGGACCUGCAGCCAAUAAGCAAUGGCACCAAAUGCUAGGUCCGCUAAGCCAAUAUUGUCUCCAUUGAAAAAUUUCUUCUCUCCUAGGCCAUGUUUUUCAACGGUUUGAAGCAUUUCCAAGGCUGCCUUCAUUGCAUUCUCCAGGACUUGUCCAGUGCUGAAAAACAUUUUCCAAACAGCUACUCCCUGCCACAAGAUUUUAUAUCUAAUUCUUAUCACCACAUGAUUAACAAUAUAAACGAGGUAAAAAGAAAUUAGAUAAUAUGUACACACGCGUCAAAAUAUCUUUUAAAGGCUAGACGUUUCAAACUGUCAAAGUAUUUAGGAGAGUUUAUCCACUCAUUUUUAGACUAGUUUAUUAUAACUUUUCAAAGCUUAUUUAAAUAGAAUUUUUAUUAGUAAAAUUUUAAUUUUUAUAAAAAAAUUUAAUUAUUUAAUUGUUAAUGAAAUUUUAAAAAAAAUUCAAAUUACUUUAACAGACAAAUUUUUAAAGUUAUGUUACGAAAUAAAUAAAAUAAGAUUAUAAAAUAAAUGAUGAACAUUUUAAACAAUUUAACUUUUAAAAAAAAUUCCUCAAACCUCUAUUUCCAAAAGUUUAAAUUUAAACUUUUACUAGUAUAGGCAAAAGAAUUUAUUUAAUCCCAAAAAGUUCUACUAAAAAUAAAACUAAACAAUAAUAAAAAUUUUGAAAAGAACUUUUUUUUUAUUAAAUAAACACUUAUGAGUAAUAAAUAAGCCACAUCAAACAAAUACUCAAUGAUAUAAAAGGAAGAAGAUAAAAAAAAAAUCCUCUUAUUGUUUUAGUAAAUUAUAAGUUUGCUUUCAUGUUUCAAAAGAUCUUAAAAUUCCCCCUAUCGCUAAAACAAUUAUAUUUUAAUAUAUUACCCUUGAUGUGGUAAAAUCCACGAUUCAUUAAGAAAAUUUUCUAAAGGUAAAAAAUUUAAAGUAAUUAACCGCAUUUUUUUGAUAACUUUCUCUAAUGUAAAAUAAAAGGCUCAUUGAGCUUAGUCGGCCGUGAAUGCAUUUUGCACAUGCGAGGACAUUAGUUUGAGCAUUAAUGGAAGAUAAAAAUUAAUGUUUAGAGAGUCAUAUUUCUCAUAUACAAUGAAAAAUUAAAGUAAAUAAAGAAAUCCGACAAGAUUAAUUAAAUUUAUAAACGUGUUAGCAAGAAAAGUUGUGGUGCGAACCUUGUCUUCGGCAAAUUUAAUCCAAAAACGAGCUUGAGCUCUAUCAUAAGGAUCACUUGGCAUCAAGGAGGGAUUCUGUGGCCACAUCUCUUCAAUGUAUUCGAGAAUAACCAUGGACUCGCAAACUGGUUUUUCGCCAUGAACGAGCACUGGUAUCAUCUUGUGAACUGGGUUAUACUUCAAAAGCGAAGCACUUUUGUUGUAGAGAUCUUCUUCAAUGUAUUCAUACGGGAUGCCUUUCAAUUUCAGAGCCCAUACCACCUUGUUGCUAAAUGGACUCGCCCAUCCCCCGUGGAGCUUCACUUCAGCCAUGUGUCUAAGAUCGAAUUUGAAUAUGUUUGCGGUUGUUUUGCUUAGUUGAUGAGUUAUUGCAUACGUACAUCUGAAUUUAUAAUGAUUAUUCAUUAAUAUUGGAAUAUGGAGUGCGCUUGCUUGAGCAGGGAGCUUCAUAUUUCCAAUUUAUUUAAUAAAACGAUUAAAUUAAGUUGAAUUCAAUGAACUAAUGCUGCGACUUUUUAACAAUUCUGUUAUAUAUUCAACGAGAAGAGGUAUCGUAUUUGACGGGAAUCUCUUGAAACAGUGCUGAAUUAACAAGUAAUCUUAUUUAAUUUGGUCAACUGGUCAGAUAUGGCUUAAUUAUAUAUUUGGCGUUUGUUUUAGGUGCCCAGCUAGCCCUGCUGCUGUGCUUUUGACUUUACCAUGGGGUGGAGUCGUGGAGAUAUCAUCAUCCCAACUGAAGACAUAUUAUGAUAUUCUCCUGAAAACUUUGUGAGACUCAUUUUCUCUACAAUUUUAGCAUUUUAGGCCAAAUAACUUCAUAUAAAUGACGUUUUGUCCCCCGGCUCCAUCUCUUCUAUAUAAAUCCGAACACCUGAAAAAUGACGAGACCGGAACAACUCUCCCUCUUAAGUCUAUGCAAAUUUUACACACCAGAGAAAGAGAGGGAGAGGGGCAGCCAUGAGAGACAACGAUACAGAAAAGAAUAUGGAAGAGAGUUUAUUAAUACCAAAAGAGAGUUUAUCAUCAACAUCCACAACAUGGGAUUUGUUGAGUGGAGAAUUGAAAAAGCAGGGUUACAUAGCAGCACCAAUGGUGGCAGUAACUUUAUCACAGUAUUUGCUUCAAGUUGUUUCCAUGAUGAUGGUUGGUCAUCUUCGUCAACUUGCUCUUUCUAGCACCGCCAUGGCCAUCUCUCUAGCUAGCGUCACCGGCUUCAGCGUCCUUGUGAGUCCUACAAUCCAUAUAUAGUUAUAUACACAAGAUUGUUUAUUCUUUCUUUUGAUAGGUAUUUGCAUCAUUGCAUGUGGGAUUUAAACAAAUAGAUAUGCCAAAUUUCUGAUGUUAAAAAACAUGCAAUUAACUAAUACCCUGUUUUAAAAAAUGCCAUUAAUUUUUAAAGGACUUGAUUUGCUCUUUUUUUUUAAAAAAAAAAAAAAAUUCUACAGCUAACUUGAAUUGUGUAAUAUUUUCUUUGAAACAGUUAGGAAUGGCAAGUGCUCUGGAAACAUUAUGUGGGCAAGCAUAUGGAGCUCAGCAAUAUCAAAGAAUUGGAACUCAAAUUUACACUGCAAUAUUUUGUUUAUUCUUAGUAUGUUUUCCGCUUUCCUUUCUAGGGAUUUACAUGGGAAGGCUGCUAGUUUUGGUAGGCCAAGACCCCCAGAUUUCACACGAAGUAGGCAAGUUUAUAAUCUGGCUUCUUCCAGCUCUGUUUGCUUAUGCAGCAAUGCAGGCGCUUAUUCGAUAUUUUCAGUCUCAAAGUUUGAUCAUUCCCAUGUUCUUAAGCUCCUAUGCCGCUCUUUGUUUGCAUAUUUGCAUCUGUUGGGGUUUGGUAUUCAAGUCUGGACUGGGAAACCUUGGAAUUGGAGAGUUCUUCCAAUUUGCUAUCCCUUCUGCAGUAAUGGUUUGGUAUGUUAAUUAUCUUCUGGAGUUUCAUUUUCCCUUCUCAUAGAUAUCGUAGACACGUCAUAAAUUUUCAUGCAUCUUCUUUUGUUUAUAAUUUUGCAGCCUAGAAUGGUGGUCAUUUGAAUUGCUCAUUUUAAUGUCAGGGCUGUUGCCUAACCCACAGCUUGAAACUUCAGUCCUAUCUGUAUGGUAUGUUGACGUAGACUUUGUAUGUGAAAGUUCUAUACGGAGAAGCACCUACCAAAGGAAAUAUAUUUUUUUUCUUUUUUUUUUUUUUUCCCGACUGCUCAUUAUUUGUCAACUUCUUUGGGCAGUCUCAGUACUAUUCAAACCCUCUCUGCAAUCCCAUAUGGACUUGGUGCUGCAGUGAGGUUUGUUCAUAACAAUCAUUUAAAUAAUAAUUGUUUUAUAUCAACUAAUUAGCAGAUUAACCAUUAUUUCCUUCUAUAGUACUAGAGUUUCAAAUGAACUAGGAGCUGGGAAUGUGCAAAGAGCCCGUGUAGCUGUCUAUGCUGUGGUUUUUAUGGCAGUCAUGGAGACUAUCAUAGCAAGUGCAUCUCUCUUUGCCAGCUGGGGUGUUUUUGGUUAUGUUUUCAGCAAUGAGGGAAAAGUUGUGGAUUAUGUCAUAACCAUGGCUCCUCUGGUUUGUUUGUCUGUCAUCAUGGAUAGCUUACAAGGACUCUUUUCAGGUUAAAUUAACUUCUUCAACUCUGUCAAUUGCUAAAUAGUUCUCUUUAAGUAGAAAUAAAAUUUUUCGGGUUUCUAAAUUCUUUUUAUUAUUUUUAAGGUGUUGCAAGAGGAUGUGGGUGGCAGAAUAUAGCUGCUUUUGUGAAUCUUGGGGCUUAUUAUUUGUGUGGAGUCCCAACUGCUGCCAUUUUGGGUUUCUGGUUAAAGUUUAGAGGAAGGGGUCUAUGGAUUGGGAUACAAGCUGGUGCUUUUACACAAACACUUCUGCUUGGCAUCAUAACAACAUUUACAGAUUGGGAAAAACAGGUCUGUUUCUCAACAUUUAAUCCCUUAAAAAUUAGAGAAGCUUAUUGGACUAUAUAUGUAAAUAUGUAGCAAUUUUUUUUCCCAAUAAGUAUAUGAUACGUUAUGACUGAAAGUUCAAGAUUAAAAUCACUCAGCUUGAUCUGAAAUGGUUAGUAUUAUCAUCUUAUGCAGAAAUGGUUUUGCUCAUUGAGAAAAUGAUAUUCAAUAACACAAAUGCAAACUCAUUUGAAAAUUUUGCCAUUGAGAAAAUGAUAUUCAAUAACAGACAUGCAAACUCAUUUGAAAAUUGCUUUUUUGCAAGAAUUAUAACCAUUUUCUAGUUUGUUAAUUGUUACAUGUUCUGUUUUUGUAAGGGGUUUCUCAUGUUGCAGGCAAGUAAAGCAAGGAAAAGAUUAUCAAAGGGAAGAUCUUUUGAAGAAAAUAGAAUAUUUUGUGAGUGAGCAGAGUCAAUCAAUGAGCUGAUAUAUACAUUUUCUAGUUGAAAGAGAUAACCAUUGCUUGAGAAAAUGAGCUGAUCAUAUGUCAAUUGAUGGCCAAGAAGGUUCCCCAAUCUGAUCUACGGAGCAUGGCAUUUCAUAAAACUCUCUUUCUAGAGAAAAAAAAAAUUAACAGCUUCUUAGGAUUGGAGCAUCAGGUGACUUAGCAUUUCCAGUAUGAAUGAAUUAUAAGAUGGAUGAUGCUGCAAAAAUGAAUAGAGAUAAAAUUAAGCAAGAGAAAAUAUUUGAAUGUUAUUAAUGAAACCUUUUCCAGUGAUUGUAGAGAUAAUUUUCUUUGUAUUGAAACUUUCAGCAUCUGAAAGAUAAGGAAAAUAUUAAAAGAAAAAAGAAAAUUCUUAAAUCUUUUCCAUGUCACUCCAGCAAAGUUGAAUUGUCAUUCUAAACCCUAUACCAAAAUGUAAGGUGGCCUGUGGCCUAUAGGUAAUACACAAUUUGACAACCCCAUAUAUUUAGUAAUCUAGGUUGAUGCCAUUAAUUUUUUUUUUAAUUUAAUUUUUGUUCAUUUUUAAUGCAAACAACGCCUCUUUCAUUGUGGCAUUGGAAUAUAUAGAGAUUUGUACACUGAUUUUGGACCAUAAUUCACAAAUAAUGCGACGCAUAUCUUUCUUUCAGUACUUCUUCAGGAGGAUAAGAUACAGACAUUGUUGUCUUUUUACCUGAAGCAAGUGCAUGUGCAUGAAUUGUUGUUGUCUGUUAAUCUGCUGCCACUUUGCUGCCAAAAAACUUGAAAAAUAAACCAGGAAAAUUUUCAAUAAGCAAAGUCAAACAACUAACCCCUGUUUAAGUUAUUUUCCGAAGAAAACUUUUAAACACUCAAAUAAAGCACACAAGUAAAGUAUUUCUGUCACAUUAGCUUUCGAGUGAGGUUUGAUUUACAUUUAUAUCAGAUAUACCAAGUGUUUUUUAUUCUUUUAAUUAAUGUAUAUCACAGCUUGGAAAUUCUAAAAAUUAAUCAUGCUUAAUCUUGAGCAAUAAUAUCUUUAAUCAUCAUACGAGGUCAAAGGUGAAGGAAAAAAAAAAGGAAAAGAAAAAGAAAGAGUUAGUUUUUGUUAGAGCAGCUCACUAUGCUGAACAGAAGAAGGUGAAGGCUAAGAUGAAGAAAAUACUGAGCAAGUGUGUUAGCAGUGCCAGCUCAGUUGACAGCUCAGCAGAUUAGUUAAAGAUGGUUGCAAGCAUGCUGUGCAUUGUAUUGAAGUUAGUUAGCUUGAUUACAGUUAGUCUUUGGAUUAGUUAAAUGAUGUUAUCGUGAUUACAUUAUAUAUAAAUAGCUGAUGCUUUGUAAUCAAUCGUUAAGCAAAAAUAAGAAGUAAAAGUUUGUUAAGAAAUAUUUCCAGAAUUAUCAAAUUCAUUUUCUUAGUAACCAAACAGCUUCAUUUCGUUUUCUUUCAUGGUAUCAGAGCCACUCUAAUGGCUAGUUCCAGUAGCACAACAUCAAAUCCAAAUCAAACGAAUAUAAAUCAAUCAUCACAUAUCUCCUUUUCAUUUAGCACUCCAGUCAAAUUGGAUCAAUCAAAUUUCAUGAUUUGGCGAAAGUAAUUUCUUACUACAAUAAGAGGAAAUCGUCUUGAAGAUUUUAUUUCUAGAAAUCAAAUCAUACCAGAACAAUAUAUUUCUAAUACAGUAGUUGACGGAUCAGUACAGAGAAUCACGAAUCCAGCCUACAUCAAUUGGCGAGCUCAAGAUCAAACCUUGCUUGGAUGGAUUUUAUCCUCCAUAAGUGAAGGUAUCUUAAAUACUGUUCUUAAUUGCGAAAAUUCAUUUGAAGCAUGAAGAUCAAUUGAAAAACAGUUUGGAGUACAAUCUGAAGCUAGAGUUAUGCAAUUGAGAUAUGAAAUGAAUGUCCUUAGAAAAGAGAAUAUGUAUGUUGAGGAGUACUGUUUAAAAGUAAAAGUUGUUGCUGAUAAGCUUGCUUGUGCUGGUAGUCCUGUUUCUGAGAAAGAUUUGAAAUACUAACUAGGCAACCCAAGAGGGGGGGUGAAUUGGAUUUUUAAAAAUUAAGCUAAGCAAACCACACAACAAACCAAUCUAAUGCCUUAAUAAAUUCGAAAACAAUAAAUUCAAUGAAAGCACAAUAAUAAAUGAGCAAGGGAAGAGAAAACAAACUCAAUGAUUUUUACGUGGCUCGACAAUCCCCGCCUACGUCCACGCCUCCAAGCACACCGGGCUUGAGGAUUUCACUAUCCGAGCCUUUCCAAGGCUUCAAGCGUUUACAAUUGACUUCAAGGUGUCAAUGAACCUUUACAACAAGAGAUUAUCUCUCCAAUCUCUUCACCCCAAGUGUUUUUCACACUUGUACACUCACAAUUUGAUGAGAAAUGAAAAUUACAAUAAUGAAACUCUCUUUAAGAGUGGAUAUACAAAUGAUAGCUCAAUGAAGAUUUAAUCUAUGAUGAUUUUCAAAUUUGAAGCUCAACAUAAGUUGUGUGCACUUGUUUAUGCUUGCUUAGAUUACCAAAAAUGAAUUGGUUUUGAGUUUAUAUAGUUUGAGCUCAAAAACUAGCCGUUAUGCACAUUUUGGUCAUAACCGGCUUGCCGUUUAGGAAUCCAGUAAGCCGCUUUUAUGUUACCGUUAAGGCAAAAAUUUGAAUUUCAGAAUAUCCGGCUUGCCGCUUGCGAAAUCCGGUAAGCCGUUUAUGCUCCAGAGGCUUACUGCCCAAAAUCCGGUUUGCCGUUUAACCAUAUCCGGUAAGCCGCGUUCAAUUCGGAUAGAUUCUGCCCAACAUCCGGCUUGCUGGUUUUUCACAUCCGAUAAGCCGCUUGCUACAGUGACUGCUACAGUGAAUUAUUUUUUAAAAUUAUAGUUUGACCCCAAAACUUUAUAAAACUAUAUUACGACCCAAAACGCUAUGAAAAUUUACAAAUAAGUUCAAUUUCAGAAUUUCUAAGUGAUGCUUUGUUAAUCUCAAAACUUUCUGAAAUUAUGGUAUAGCCCAAAAUACUAUGACACUUUUCAAAUAAGUCAUUCUCUAAAAUUUCAAGCAAUAUUUGUUGAUUUCAAAGUUUUCAAAAUUUUCAAAAUUCUUUCAAUUAAACCAUAAACUUGAAAAACAACUAAUUUCAUAAAAUCAUUUUUCCAUUAAAUAUGAAACAUUUAUAAUGUGAAAAUAAUGAUUUAUUUAAAAAGAAUAAAAAAUAAUUUGAGCUUAAAAGAUUAAUCAUUUUUAAUCUUGUUUGUUAUCAUCAAAAUCAACAUUAUGGAAACAUAUAUGUUAACAAUCUCCCCCUUUUUGAUGAUGACAAACAUUUCAUGUAUUUAAAGAAUGAUUCCACAAAUUGCUUCCCCUAAAUAUAAUCUUCUCUUACAAUUUUCCAAUUAGCUAAAUUAACAUAUUUAAAUACAUGGAUUUUUCUCCCCCUUCAUCAUCAAAAAGAAAACUUAAUUGGCAAAGAAAAAAAAUAGCAAAUUUUUAUAAAUUUAAAAACAUGUAUUCUUCUCCCCCUUCAUCAUCAAAAAGAAAACAUAAAAGAAAAGAAUAAAAGUAGCAAAUUUUUUUACUCAUGUUUGUCCUAGUAGAAAUUUCAACACAUUCUCCCCCUAACAAUAAGCAUGACCUCAAAUACAAAUUUAGUAAUAUUACUCCCAAAUUAUUAUAAAUCAUGAUACAAGCCAACUCCAUACACAAAUCAUCACACUAAAAUAUCAUGAACCAUUAUUCCAUUAAUUACUAAAUCAACAACUCAUAACAUAAAUUUAUCAUAUAAAACAACUAUGUAAUCAAAACAUCAUUAUAUCUCAAAAUCAUCAAAUCCUCACCAUAAUCACAUAUCAAUUAUCAAAACAAUUACUCAAAAUGUAUAUUAUUCUCCUCCUUUUGACAACAUCGAAAUGAUAUAUUACUUUGUCUCCCCCUUUGGACAACAAAAAAAGUUCAAAAUGUAUAUUAUCCAUAAUCAUAUUAUAUGCUCCCCCUAAAUAUAUGGCCAAUUUAAAAUUUUAACCGAAAUGAUUUUAUCCAAAAACAUAUCAUAUUUGUCUCCCCCUUAAUCAAAUACAAUGUAAUCAUCAAAACACAUUCUUUAUCAUCAAAACUUAAGUAAAGCAUAAGUACAUAAUAGCAAUAUAUAGAUCAUCAAAAUCAACAUAUGCCAUUAUAGAUCAUCAAAAUCAACAUAACUAUUAAGAAAAGCCAUCAUUAUGAGUUAAAGAACAAGUGAUCAAAUCCAUUAUUACAAAUGUUUAUAUAUAUUUCUAAAUGAUGAUCUAGUAGUUACAUCUUGUGAUGGAUCUCCUUAAAUUAAGUCCUUAGGGUGAGAAGAAUCAUAUAAUUCAAAAUCAUAGCAAACAUCCAUAUAAUCCAAAAUGAAAAAUCAAAGAAAAAUAAAACAGUAAAUGAAAUGUUGGUGUGUCCAAAUACAAGUAUAAAAGACUACUUGUGAGUUUUAUGAUGAAAAUGGAUUUUAAAGAUGAUUUUAGACACAAGAAUGGAUAGGAAUAAUUUAUAUGAAUCAAUUUGGAUUGGAAACGAAUGAGAAUGAUGGAUUUUGGAAUGAAAAUUAAUGAAGGAAGAAACCAUUUUUAGAGAGAGAAUGGGAUCUAGUUUGCCGAAAUGAAGAAGAAGAUGAAUGGUUUUAAAAUGUGCGAAUUCGGCUUACAGUUUAGCAUAACCGGCUAGACGGUUUGAGGCAGAAAAGAAGCUUUGGAAAUCCGGCUUACCGGAUUUCAUAACCGGCUGACCGAUUGUUGUCCAGAAAUGAAACUCUCUCAAACGGCUUACCGAUUUUGCCAAUCCGGUUAUCCGAAAUUCAACCCGAGAGCAACCAAAGCCAAUUCGGUUUACCGGUUGCCAAUAUCCGGCUGACCGGUUGUGCUCCAGUGAGCACCAAAAUGAAUUCGGCUUACCAGUUUUAAAUGUCCGGUUAUCCGAAUUUCAUCCACAGAGCUCCAAAAUGAAAAACGGCUUUCCAAUUGAUUAGAAGUGGUAUACCGGUUAAGUUUUGGAAAAUAUUUUUGAAAUUUUGUAAGCUCUUAGACUUGAAUUAUACACACCAAUUUAUUUUUGGCUUAGAACUUGAUUAAUUUUAAAUCAUUUUGUGAUUUAAAACUUUUCAAUAAGCCAAUUAAUACAUGAGACAUAAAUGCAUACAAGACCAACACAUAUGAAAUCGUAUCAAACAAUGAUGUCAAUUUUAUAAAUGAAUGAUAAUAUAACACAAUUAAUGGCAUAUGAAUUCACACAUAUAUAGGAGAUGGACAAUGAUGAUAGACAAUUAAGAAGAUGAAAUCAAAGACCAUACAAUCAUCAAAAUCAAACAAAGGCAUCAUGAUAAAUCAUUCAAUGUUAUACACAAUGAUAAUUCUAUCAUGUAAAUAUACAAACAUACUUUCGCAAAUUCAUUUAUCAUGAUUCAUUCAACAAAAUUAAUAUGGCAAGAAUUGUUACCAAAACAAUUAAAUCAUCUUGCCUCAUCUUUUUCUCCUAGAUCAUACUCAAGUGAUUAUCCUCACAAGAUUUCAUCAAGGAACUCUCCAUCAUUCCUCGAUUGUGGUACCUACAAAGAAAACAUUCACGUUGUGCCCUUUGGUACCCAAAUACUCUUGGGUCCUUGAGUGUUAGCAAUGGUUCCUUUUGGAACCCAAACACAUUUUACUCCAUAAUAUACUUUUCUUUGAAUAGGACAACCAAGCUUCAUGUGACUGUUUUGAUUACAAUAAUGACAUACAACUUGAUUGUUAAUAGAUGUACUCUUCACAAAGUAGCUCUUAUAAUACUUUUGUUUCAAAUUUGGCUUAUAACCAAGUCCUCCUUUAUUAAACACACAUUUUUGUGAAUUAAUCAAGUUAUCCAAUAUCUUUUGUCCAUUUGUAAAUUUUAAAACAAUCUCAUUUAACUCAUUGCUCUUCUUCUUAAGCACUUCAUUUUCCUUUUUCAAGUCAUCUAUGUGAUAUUCUAGAUGCUCAUAUGAAGUGCUAGGUUUCUCAUUUUAUAAUGCAAUUCUAUCAUGCAAUGUUUUAUUCUCUAAUUCUAGGCAUGUAAUCUUUGCACAUAGAGAUUCAUUUUUAUUUUUGAGCUCUACCAUUUUCUUUUUAAGACAUGCAUUCUUUUUACCAAUUUUCAUCCACUCAUCAUGCAAUUCUUUAAAAGCAUCAUGUAAUUCAUCAUAAGUAGGAAGAUCAUUUACCUCAUCAAGUUCAUCAUCCGAUUCAUCUCCAAUUGCCAUGAGAGCUAGAUUUUUCAUUUCUUGAUGCUCUUUAUCAUCACUUGUUUCCUCAUCACAAUCAUCCCAUGUGGCUACCAUUACUUUCUUCUUGAGCUUGUUGAGAAGAGGACAUUCUGAUCUUAUAUGGUCAGGUUUCUUGCACUCAUAACAUUUGAUUACUUUAUUUUUCUCCUUUCGGUUCUUGAGGUCUCUAAAUUUUCUUCGCUCACCGGAUUUCUUCAAAAUUUUCUGAACUUCCUAGCCAGCAUAUCCAUUUCCUCCUCAUCCACGUCGCUUUCCUCAUCACUCUUCUGUUUCAAGGCUUUGAGAGCAAUGCUUUUCUUCUUCUCCUCAUUGCCUCUUUCGGCUGCCAUGUCUUCCUCAUAAGAAAUAAGAGAACCAAUUAAAUCAUCAAUAGGUAAGAUAUUCAAAUCUUUAGCUUCCUCAAUGGUAGUCCUUUUUGGUCUCCAUUCCUUAGAUAACGACCUAAUGAUUUUCUUAACUUUCUCGCUAUUUGAAAAGGUCUUUCCUAGGGCUCUUAGAGUGUUCACUAUUUCUGUAAAUCUAGUAUACAUAGAAUACACACUCUCAUUUUGUUCCAUUUGGAACAAUUCAUAUUGCCGAGUGUACCUACUAAUUUUAGACUCUUUCACUUGAUUCAUGCCUUCAUAAACAACUUCAAGUUUGUGCCAAAUUUCAUUAGCACUUUCACAACUAGACACUCUAUGAAACUCUUUCUUAUCAAGUGCACAAAACAAGGCAUUCAUGGCUUUGGAAUUUAGAGAAGCUUUUCUCUUUUCCAAUUCAUUCCAUUUCCGUGAAGGUUUUGGAAUACCUUCUCUGACUUCGUUUUUAGUCAAAGACAUAAAUGGACCAUCACAAACAAUUUCCCAAAUUUCAUAAUCUAAAGCUUGUAAAUAAAUUCUCAUCCUAGUUUUCCAAUAUGGGUAGUCAUUACCGUCAAAGAACGGUGGUCUAAUUAUGGAUUGUCAUUCCCUAAAGGUUGAGUCAUUAUGGGUUGCGAUGGAUCUUUAACUCUAGACGGUUAAGUCUACACAAGAGCACCUCACUCUGAUACCAAAUGAAAUACUAACUAGGCAACCCAAGAGGGGGGUGAAUUAGGUUUUUAAAAAUUAAGCUAAGCAAACCACACAACAAACCAAUCUAAUGCCUUAAUAAAUUCGAAAACAAUAAAUUCAAUGAAAGCACAAUAAUAAAUGAGCAAGGGAAGAGAAAACAAACUCAAUGAUUUUUACGUGGCUCGGCAAUCCCCGCCUACAUCCAUGCCUCCAAGCACACCGGGCUUGAGGAUUUCACUAUCCGAGCCUUUCCAAGGCUUCAAACGUUUACAAUUGACUUCAAGGUGUCAAUGAACCUUUACAACAAGAGAUUAUCUCUCCAAUCUCUUCACCUCAAGUGUUUCUCACACUUGUACACUCACAAUUUGAUGAGAAAUGAAAAUUACAACAAUGAAACUCUCUUUAAGAGUGGAUAUACAAAUGAUAGCUCAAUGAAGAUUUAAUCGAUGAUGAUUUUUGAAUUUGAAGCUCAAUAUAAGUUGUGUGUAAUUGUUUAUGCUUGCUUAGAUUACCAAAAAUAAAUUGGUUUUGAGUUUAUAUAGUUUGAGCUAAACAACUAGCUAUUAUGCACAUUUUGGUCAUAACCGGCUUGCCGUUUAGGAAUCCGGUAAGCCGCUUUUAUGUUACCCUUAAGGCAAAAAUUUGAAUUUCAGAAUAUCCGGCUUGCCGCUUGAGAAAUCCGGUAAGCCGUUUAUGCUCCAGAGGCUUACUGCCCAAAAUCCGGUUUGCCGUUUAACCAUAUCCGGUAAGCCGCGUUCAAUUCGGAUAGAUUCUGCCCAACAUCCGGCUUGCCGAUUUUUCACAUCCGGUAAGCCGCUUGCUACAGUGACUACUACAGUGAAUUAUUUUUUAAAAUUACAGUUUGACCCUAAAACUUUAUAAAACUAUAUUACGGCCUAAAACGUUAUGAAAAUUUACAAAUAGGUCCAAUUUCAGAAUUUCUAAGUAAUGCUUUGUUAAUCUCAAAACUUUCUGAAAUUAUGGUAUAGCCCAAAAUACUAUGACACUUUUCAAAAAAGUCCUUCUCUAAAAUUUCAAGCAAUAUUUGUUGAUUUCAAAGUUUUCAAAAUUCUUUCAAUUAAACCAUAAACUUAAAAAACAACUAAUUUCAUAAAAUCAUUUUUCCAUUAAAUAUGAAACAUUUAUAAUGUGAAAAUAAUGAUUUAUUUAAAAAGAAUAAAAAAUAAUUUGAGCUUAAAAGAUUAAUCAUUUUUAAUCUUGUUUGUUAUCAUCAAAAUCAACAUUAUGGAAACAUAUAUGUUAACAAGAUUUGUUAAUGCAAAUUUUGAAUGGCCUAGGACCUGAAUUUCUAGAUCUUGCUUCAAUAAUUACUGCUAAUAGGAUGUCGUAUGAUGAUGCUUAUGCAUUACUCUUAACACAUGAGGCAAGACUGGAACUAAAUCAGAAUACUAAAGAUCUGUUUAAUGCAAACUAUGGGAUGAUGAAUGCUAACUACUCUCAGUUUAGAGGAAAUAAUAGGAGAGGUGGUUAUAGUGGAUAUCAAGGACAAUUUAAUGCUAGUAAUAGGAAUCAAAAUGGAGGAAGAGGAAUGCCUUUCAAUACACAUUCAAGAGGAUUUCCAGCCGGUGGAUAUACUGGUAAUGCUGGUGGCAGAGGAUAGCAAAUGAAUGCAUAUGCUUAAAAAAAAUGCUUAACAAUAGGCAUAAUUUCAAUAUGAUUCAUGGUUCAACUUCAAUGUCUAAUGGAAAUGGAUCCGAUGAUAAUGUGCCUAUCUGUCAAAUUUGUCAUAAAGCUGGACAUGCAGCUGAUGUUUGUUGGCAUAAACACUUUGAUAAAUAUGUUCCUUAACCUAGACAAUUUGGAAGGGGCAGAAGACAUAAGUCUGCUUAUAUGGCUAACUUUGAUCCACAAAUUGGUUUUGUUUCACAAUUUGAAGACUCAUUUGCUAUAGAGUAUCCUGGUUAUCAUGGGUAUCAUCCACCUUAUAUGAAUUCAUCAGUAAAUCAUCACUCAUCUGAUAUGAACUUUGCACUUAGAGCAGCUUAUAUUGCAAAUUUUGAAGGACCAGCUGAUGAAGGAUGGUAUCUUGAUAGCAGAGCUACACACCACAUCACUAACAACAUGGCUAAUAUGCAUAUAAGAGAUCAAUUCACUAGAGCAUAUCAGCUCAUUAUUGGAAAUGGACAAGGUUUGCCCAUAACUCAUGUUGGUGAUGCAUUCUUUCUCUUUAAAAGUUCCAAUUCUAAACACAAACACUCAUCUAUAGCACUUAAAGAUAUACUGUUGGUUCCUUCCAUUACCAAAAAUUUGUUAAGUAUUUCAAAGCUUACCACUGAUAACAACUUGUCUGUUGAAUUUCUUGGAAAUGUUUGUUUUGUGAAGGAUUCUCUGAGGGGACAGGUACUUCUGCAGGGUCUUCCUGAGAAAGGGUUAUACAGGCUGUUAUUGAAAUCAUCAUCAUCUUCUCAGUUAUCACACUCAUCUUUUCUUUCUCAAAUGUGUUUAAAUAAACCUUUGUCUAUGCUUUCUUGUUGUUAUUUCAAUUCUGUUCCUUCUGGAGUUGUUACAGAAUCUCAAAAAUCAUGUAAUCAAACUGAUGAUUCAUCUUGUAAAACUUCAGUCAAUAAAACUACUUUGCUUCAUAGAAAGUUUGGUCAUCCCAAUCAUCAAGUGCUAACACAUAUACUCAAGAUAGCAAAAUCUAUUCAUUUACCUACAUAUCAAAAACAACAAAUGCAUCAGUAUAUCUGUGAAGCCUGUCAAAUGGGCAAAACACAUAAACUUCACUUUCCAAUUACUGAAACCAAAACCUCAAAAAUUCUAAAACUUAUACACACUGAUUUAUGGGGUCCUUCUCCCAUUAUUUCUAGAGAUGGUUAUCAGUAUUAUAUAAGUUUUGUAGAUGAUUUUAGCAGGUAUACAUGGAUCUAUCCUUUGAAGCUAAAGUUAGAGGCAUUAGAGGUCUUUAAGCUUUUUAAACUACAGGUUGAAAAUCAGUUUAGCACAACCAUUAAGAUGAUGCAAUCUGAUUUGGGGGGGGGGGGAGAGGAUAGACCAUUCACUAAAUUUUUAAACCACUCUGGGAUUAUCUUUAGACAUCCUUGUCCUUAUACUCCUCAUCAAAAUGGGUUAGUUGAGAGAAAGCAUAAGCAUAUUGGUGAAAUGGGUCUGACUCUCCUAGCUCAAGCUCAACUUCCCUUUAAGUUCUGGUGGGAUGCAUUUCAUAAUGCUGUAUAACACAUCAACAGACUUNNNNNNNNNNNNNNNNNNNNNNNNNNNNNNNNNNNNNNNNNNNNNNNNNNNNNNNNNNNNNNNNNNNNNNNNNNNNNNNNNNNNNNNNNNNNNNNNNNNNGUAAAAAAACUCAGCCAAUAUGUAGCUGCACCAACACUACAACAUCUAAUGGCAUGCAAGAGAGUUCUAAGAUAUAUAAAGGCAACUCAAGAUUAUGGUUUGAAAUUUUUCAGAGAAGGAAGCUUAACACUCACUGGUUUUACUGAUGCAGAUUGGGCAUGUGAUUUAGAUGAUAGGAAAUCAGUUGAUGCUUAUUGCAUUUAUUUAGACAACAAUUUGAUAUCCUGGUCUUCUAAGAAACAAUCAAUGAUAACCAGAUCAAGUGCAGAGAGUGAAUAUAGAGCCUUGGCAUCAGCAAGCGCAGAGCUAACUUGGUUGCAAAUCCUUAUUUUCUGAGUUGGGAAUAAGUUGCAUAGAAAAGCCAACCAUAUGGUGUGACAACGUUAGUGCCACUGAAUUGGCAAAGAACCCUGUAUACCAUUCAAGAACAAAGCAUAUCGAAAUUGAUAUGCACUUAAUUAGGAAUAAGGUUCUUGCUGGUGAGUUAACUAUUCACUAUGUACCAAGUGAAGAACAGAUUGCAGACAUAAUGACUAAGCCUCUCUCAUUUGUAAGGUUUAACUACUUGAGAUCCAAAUUCAAUGUCCAUCUUUAUCCUCUGAGUUUGAGGGGGGCCGUUAGAGCAGUUCACUAUGCUGAACAGAAGAAGGUGAAGGCUAAGAUGAAGAAAAUACAGAGCAAGUGUGUUAGCAGUGCCAGCUCAGCUGACAGCUCAACAGAUUAGUUAAAGAUGGUUGCAAGCAUGAUGUGCAUUGUACUGAAGUUAGUUAGCUUGAUUACAGUUAGUCUUUGGAUUAGUUAAAUGAUGUUAUCGUGAUUACAUUGUAUAUAAAUAGCUGAUGCUUUGUAAUCAAUUGUUAAGCAAAAAUAAGAAGUAAAAGUUUGUUAAGAAAUAUUUCCAAAAUUAUCAAAUUCAUUUUCUUAGUAACCAAACAGCUUCAUUUCGUUUUCUUUCAGUUUUAUGUAUAUAAUUGAAAGGAUCUGUUAUAGAGUAUUUCUGUUGCAUGGUUUUCGGAGGGAUAGCAUUGUCCACAGCAUUUGGACUUUGCUUCUGAUUCAAUGGCAUUUAGAAUUUGGUUUCCUCUGAGAUCAUAUACAGCUUGAUUCUGAUAUCUUCCAUUUUGGAGGGAUUCAAAUAAAUUGAAGAAGUUUGAGGUUCCAGUUCAAAUUGGGAAUGCUGCAGAUAAUAUAUAUAAUUCUGUAGAGGUUUUCUAACUUUUAUUUUUAGUAAUGUAUUCAUGUCCUGUCAUUCUUCUUUCUGCUUAAAUCCAGUUGCCCAUGUUGGAAUUUCUUUUCAGCUUUUGUAUUCUUUUUCCUUUUUGUUCAAUAAUGCUAUAGACGAUGCUCUACCAUUUAAAAGACAUAAAUAAAAAAAUUUAUAAAUUUUUACUUUAUCAAGGUGUGAAACCUUAUAAAAUUUAUAAAUUUAACUAAUGAACAGAGAAGCAUAACAAAAUAUUUGGAGUUGCUUAAUUCCAUAGAAACAAAAGCAGAAAGAGAUGUUCAAGAACAAAACACAAAAAUUUUCAUCAAGUGGAGCAUCGAUCAUGCCACCAUAAUAACAUAAUUACAUAAUGCUCGAAGAGCACCCAAGACCUUCUGAAAAAAUAAUAUAACUUAAAAUAUCAAAAAACACAAAUAAUUAAUUGAUUAUCCAAAUAUAUAAACAAACCUAGCUCACAAUGUGAAAUAUAUUAAAACACCAACCAUAAGAUUUUCAAACAUUUAAAUUAACGGUGAUGAUAUUUCUGCCCCAUGAAUUUUAUAAAUCCACCCAUUUUUAAAAAAAUUAUUAUAAUCAGUUCACAUUAUUUUUUAAAAAUUUAAAUUAAGAAGAAAUUAAAAAAAUUGAUCAAUUAAAUUCAUAUUCAUUUCUUUUUUUUAACUGCGUUUUUUUAUUAUAUUUAAUCAAUAAGAUUGUUUUAACAUAAAUCAGUAUGACUAUUUUACCCUCAUAAGGUAAAAGUACCAAAAUAUCUAAAAAUUCACUUUAACUUUAAUAAAUUUUUAUGCAAUUUUUUUAUAUUUUAAUGAUGUAUUAGUAAUUGUUAGUACAAUUAUUAUUACUCCACUAAACUAACAAGAUAUAAUUAGGACAUGUGGUGAAUUGAAAAUAAUCAAAUUUUAUAUAAAACACAUUGGAUUAUAAACUAUAAAACAAAAUGCCUAAGCAAUUAGUUACAAUAAUAUAUAUAUAUAUUUCUUUGAGUAAUUUGGUAAUUUUAUAUUAUAAGGGUAAAAUAAUCAAAUUAAAUUUAUCUUGAAGCGCUUCAAAAGUUAAAGAUUGUUAAAAGGCUAAGUCGGAAAAAAUAAAAAAAUUUAUAAAAUUGAUUUAAUUAUUAAUUAUUUAAAGUUUUUAUUAAUUUAUAAUUUUAUAAAAUAAUGUAAAUUUAUUGUAAUUAUUUUAUACAGGUGGACUGGGUUUAUAAAAAUAGCGGGGUGGAUAUACUUACACCCUUGAAUUAAUAGUUAGUAUAAAUUUUAGAUACCUCCCCUAAAAUUUGACUUUGCUACACUUAGAGAGAAUGUAAACAGAUAUUGACAAUAUACCCCCCGGUCGUGUGUAAGGGUUAGGCACUCAUUAGGUAGUUGAGGGCAAUAACGUACAUGUUGUAUAUUUUUUUAUUUUUAAAUCUUACAAAAGCUGUUAUAUAAAGCUACAGCUGUGAAGUAGAAGUUAAAAAAAAAAAUUUGCUAAGCUACCAAAGCCCAACUAUAAGUGUCACCAAACACUUUAAUAACUGAGAUUUGACAGUCCAACUACCUCACCACACUUCCAAACGGGCUAUGUUAACUAAUUAGACGAGAGCAGCGAAAAUGCACAUAGUGCUUUGAAGCUAGGGAAGCCCAAGGGGAUAGUAACGCAUUUUCAUUGUCAAUGCCUAGCUUCAUUUCUUCUUUUUUCUCAGCAUAACUUGAUGAGUGCUUAGCUUCAUUUCGAAGGUCGUGACACCAACUGAUUUUAGCAAAAGCAGAGAUACUUUGUGAUGCAGUAAGCUAACAAGUUUCUGAAAUCAACUAUGUUUUGAACCAAAUUCCGGCGACGACCAGCAGCUGAAAAGCCGGUGAUUAAAGGGCAAUCUAGGUGCGUAAUUCUAUCAAAGCUUAAAAUUGAAGUUAGGUUUUAUUAUUUUCUUGCAUUUUGUUGAAAUUGCUGUUAGUUAGGUGCUUUAUUUUUAGUUCAAAUUAAUUGAGAAAAAUGUUUAGGGUUUAUAGAAAUUGAAGUAGUGGCCGAAUAUAUCGGAAUUGAUUUUUGAGUUGAUAGUCACUCGACAUGUUGUGUAAACUAUGAAAAUGAUUUAUUUUUUGAUGAUUUUGGACUGUGGGUUUUGAAUGCCUACUGAAAUUUGCUUGAUCUGUUAUUAAAAUUGAGAAAAAUCCAAUCUUUCUCUAAGAAUGCAGAGGUGUUGCUGAGAAAACGCUUAUGGUGUUGUUUUGUUUCUUUUUUUAUCUUACAAGUGUGCAGUUCAUGUAAGAUUGAGACAGUUGCUCUUGUUGCUUUAUGAUGUUUGUAUGGACUAAUUCCAAUCACUGAUUUUUGUUGGAAAAUGGAUGCUAUUAUUUGUCCUUUUCUUCGUGUAAAAAUUUGUACUUCCGUUCCCAACAUAAAACUCAGAUGCUUGCCUAUUACUUUUUGAGGUUGUUAUUAAGGUGUAAGAGAUAUAUUAGUUAUAGAGCUUGUAGGCAGUUGGUUUAUUGAAGAACUAGUACAGUUGAGAAGUGUCUUUUAGGUCAUCCAUUUUAAUACACAUAUUAACAGAUUUAAUUACAUAAACACAAGACUUCAUUUGUUUAUCAAAGUAGUACUUUCUGAUGCUUUCGUAUAAUGAAUGCCAAAGGGACGACAUUUGCAAAAAGGCCAUUUGAAUGUACCAACUGCUAUCCUUGUAAACCUCUAUUGUGAUUCUGUUAUCAUUAUAUGUUGUUUAAUGAUCUGAUGAUUUCGAGAUAUCAAGAUGAGUUUAUUCAUACAAUAAAUGUUGUCAUUAGGUUCAUAAUUAUUGUAGUACAUGUUCAUUUAGCUACUUUAGGUACUGCUACAUGCAUUUAUUGUAUAAUGCCUACUUAGCAGCCAUAACUACACCCAUUGUUGAAGCCACAGCAGCACAAAUGAGAAAAAAAACAUGUUUAGGAACAACGUUGUCUUUAUAUCAUUUCGUUUUACUCCAUUUUGUUGUGCUUUUUGCAUCAGUGACUUCAAAUCCUUCCUAUCCUUUUGCAUACUCAUCAGCAGUUCAUAAUUUGCUUGACAUGUUCCUAAACCAUCAAAUAUAACACCUUGGUCGAUAUCAUUUGAAGAUGGUAUCCAAAACUUGAAAUAGCCACAACCAUUUUUGCUAUCCAUACAGCAAUAAUAUAGCUUGUUUGGGUUGUCAUCUGAUUCCGCUACCUUCAUAGCAGCUAUUUUGUAGCAUUUACUAAUCUUGUUUGAAAAUCAAAUGAAUUUAAAAUAUUCUCAUUUAUUGUUUUUUGUAGCGUUCACUAAUCUUCUGAUAUUCAGUAUUGUUUUUAUAUAAAUUAAUUUAAAAUAUUAUCAUUUAUUUGUCUUAUUAUAUGAUUUUAGACUAUCAAAUUAUUUGUUUUAAGGGGCAUUUUGGUCUUUUCAACACUCAAUUGAGUUUUGUCUUAUUAUAAGAUUAUGUAAUGUCAACAACAAUUAUCAUAAGGGUAUAAUAGCCUUUUGACCCCCCCCCCCAGGCGCGAAAAAAAAUCGCCCCAAAUAUAAAGAUCAUCUACAGUGUCAAAUAAUUUUGAAGGGCAUAUUGUACAUUCACUCAACUACCUAACGGGUGCGUAACCUUCAUACAUGGCCGGGGGUAUGUUGUCAAUAUAUGGAUACAUUCUCUCUAAGUGUAGCAAAGCCAAACCUUAGGGGUGGUUUCUAAAAGUUUUCCUAAAUUGUUAAUAAUUUUAUACAACAGAUUCUUGGAUACCCCUCAAGUUCACUUAUUCUAUGUUAUGGCUGACUUUCAAGAAAUUAAAUUCUACAUUAUGACCCCUAGGGAAACAACGUCGCCAAUAAAAUUAUAAAAUAUAUGUGUGUAAUAGUUGUCAAACCUGAACCUAUGUCGUUUAGCAAUUUACAAAAUGAGAAAGACGACAAAAGCCAAGUGUUAAGAGUGGCAGCGAGCCAACGAGACAAGCUCAAGUUCACUGUGUUUUUGUUGAACCUUCUGAAGACCCAAAACUCGAGGUUUGUUUUUACGUUCCCUAAUCGUUUGACUACAUUUUUAUUCUGUGCUACGUUCGUUAUGAACUGUUCAGGCUAAGUGUUCGACGAAAUUCCUAAGUGAGUAUAUAUAAUGGUUUGCUCUUGUAUUUAUUCUGUUAUAGAAGGUUUUGCUUUGGGUGGUUAAAUAGAGGAGAUUAGACAUUGAACUUUAUGCACUUGUAUGUUUUCAAGUAAUUGUUUGCUGAGGCACAUGUACUUUGAAUGGCUUCAUUCAUCUACAGAGAUAUCAUAACAUUUUUUGCUUAAUGUGAGUCUUAUUGUUGUUAAUUUGUCCAAAGUGAAGGCUUUUUUAACUUUUAUUUCUUUGAUUUAUUUAUUUAUUGUUUUGUCGAAGUUCUGUGUCUCAACUUUUAUUUGAUAAGUUCUUUCAAACUACUAAUUAGAAGAAAAAAAUGCUAGAGAGUGAGUAUGAGAGGGAAUGAUGUUUGGGCAAGGGGUGAUUGGUUCACUUGGCUCAUGAAGGACCUCAACUAUAAUGACAUGUAUCAAUUUCGCAGCCUAAUUGGAAGGUAAGCUCAUUUCUUGAUUUCCUUCAAUUUUCACUUUCAUUUUACUGUUUUCAAGUAGCAGGUAAUCUAAAUAAAAGUAAAAUCAGUAGUGAUUUGCUUCAAGUGCAUAUGGAUAGUAUAUCACAUGUGAGAAGAUUGUAUUUGUUAUAUGAAAAUCCUUAAUAACUUUAAUUAACAAAUAUAUUCUCAAACCUGAUCGUGGAAUGUACUAUUUCUUAAUAUCUGAGUUUGGAUCAACACAUUUUUUGCCAUGCAAUUUGACAAGUUGUCAUGUCCUCAUAUUCUGCACUAUUAUAAGUUUUGCCAAUCUGCAUAGGUGUUUGAUAGAUUGAGUUAAUCUAGUUUCGAGAGCAUGCCUAACUAAAGGGCAUCGAGUUUCUAAGUGAGGGCAAGCACAACUAUAAUUAUCUAUUUCAUAUCCUCCCUAUCAGCGGGGCAGGUCUGUUACCUCUAAAUUCUUUCAAUAACUUGGGGACGUUAAUCCUAUUAAUGACAGCCACAUAUUAUAAGUCAAGAAAACUGAUUUUUUGAUUAUUGAAAAAUCAAAUUUUUUGUAUUAUUCUAUUUAUGACCUCAGUAACCUACAUGUUGCGAUUGUCUUGUAUGGAUCAUUGUUUCUCUUUUAAGCUGUUAUAGUGAAAAUUUUUAGCUCUUAUUGCAGUUCUUAAAGUCAUUGCAAGCACAUGCUCUGUCGAUCUCCAUAAAUUCGGAUACAUAUGCAUAGUUAGCUAUUCAAACAACCACACUGGUAUUUAACUUCGAUAUUCAGAAAUAUGGCUGAAGUGAAGCUUCAUAGGGCAUGGACGAGUGCAUUUUGUUACAGAGUGAUAUGGGCUCUGAAAUUGAAAGGCAUAGCAUAUGAUUACAUUGAAGAAGAUCUCUCUAACAAAAGUGCUUUGCUUUUGAAGCAUAAUCCAGUUCACAAGAAGGUCCCAGUACUUGUUCAUGACGAAAAAUCAGUUUGCGAGUCCAUUGUUAUCCUUGAAUACAUUGAGGAGAUGUGGCCACAGAAUCCCUUAAUGCCAAAUGAUCCUUAUGAUAGAGCUCUGGCUCAUUUUUGGAUUAAAUUUGCCGAAGAUAGGGUUUGCUUCAGAACUCUAGCUAAUGCGUUUAUAAGUUCAUUAUUUUCAUGUUUAUUUGUUAUUAGAGAAAAUGAUCAGUAUCCCCCAUUGUAUGUCAAAAUUAAUUAUUUGUUCUUUUAUGUUUUAAAACCUAUCAAAAUCUCCAUUGUCGUUCAAAAGAUUCUGUUAACCUUCAAUUUUUUUGUCUUUUACUAAUUUUACCUCUGGAAAAAUUUUUAUUAAUAGGAAGUUGAAAGUUUAAUAUAAUUUUUUUAACGGCAAGGGAAAUUUUGAUGGCUUUUGAAAUAUGAGGGAGAAAAGGAUUAAUUUACCAAAACAACAUUGUGGUUUUGUUGUUCAUUUACCCUUUGUCAUUCAAUGUAGUUGUUAACCUCUAGUAUAAGGGUGCUUGACAAAUGACAAGGAUAUGUAUUGUCUAAGUCUUUUAGUUCAUACAUAUUAUUAAUCAUGUGGUGAUAUUUUGACAGGAGCUACUGUUUGGAAAAUGUUUCGUAGCGUACAAGAUCAAGAGAAUACAAUGAAAGAAAUCUUGGAAAUGCUAAAAACCGUUGAAGAACAUGGCUUAGGAGAGAAGAAAUUUUUUCAUGGAGACAAGAUUGGCUUAGUGGACAUAGCAUUUGCUUCCAUUGUUUAUUGGUUGCAAAUCAUUGAAGAUGUAGCAGGAGUGAAACUAUUUAAAUCUCACAAAUUCACUUGCUUGCACGCAUGGUUUGAAAAAUUUAAACGAGUCCCAGAAAUUGAAGAGAACCUUCCUAAUUGGGGUGAACUAUUGGUUUUUUUCAAACGUCGCCGUGAAAAGUUGGUGGCCUCUUCCUCAUUGCAUUAGCACAAAAUUUGUCGUGCAAUUGUAUUGUUGUCAAGAGGCCGCUCUUUGCUUAGUUUUUUAUUAUCUUGUGUGCUCAAUUGGGAGGCCGCCGCUUUGCUGGGUACUUUCGUAUGGAUUUGAGUAAUAAGGGGGACUUGACUUUAUAUUUAUGAAUUAUUGCAUGUAUUUCGUUAAUUAUUAAUGGACUACUAACGGUUAUGUAUUGUUUGGGAGGAAGUUUAAAUGCUGAUAUAUACUAAUGACUUGAAGAAAAGUCAACUUUUAUUUGAAGUAAUAUAACUCUAAAAAAUCAGAAGAAAAACUCCUUGUGGAAAAAGAUAGUUCUGGUAAACAUGCCCAGCAUUAAAGGGUAUUAUCGAAACGUUUUUUUUUUUAUUACAUGAAACUAUUGCUCGGGUGUUAUCGAAACUUAAAUGUGAAUGGUUAGAGCCAACAUGUGAACAGUACACCAUUGUGAAAAGAAUGAUUUUUUUUUUCGCUAAGAAUAACGAGCCAAUAGGACUUUAGUGAUUUUUUUUAGAUCUAAUUUAUUGAAAGACUUCUUCAUCUUCUUCUUCGUUUAUGGUUGGGGUUUCUUUCUCCAUUUUAACACCACCAUGAAAAAUUUUAACCAUCUAUCUACCAAAGAAGCCUUUUCCCUUACUCUUCUCCUGAAAAACUCUCUAAUCUCUAUAAAACUCAUAUCUCCCUCAUGUCAUUAUUCCUCAUAAACAACCUUUAAUAAAGUUUUGUCCUUAUUAUAAUGCAAAUUAUGUAAUACUUCAUUUAUAUAGUGGAUUGGAGAUGAGUUACUCUUAUGGAUGUAGAUCAAAGGGCCGAACAAUGUAAAAUCAUAUGUGUUCUCUAUUGUUUAUGCUUAUUUUCUAUUUAUUAGGAUGAUGAUAAUACUCAAAUCGUAUUCCAUACAUGAGCUCAUAUAGAGGCAUAGCACGAGCUCUACUGAGCUCCCCAGAUAAGCUCUAUAGUUAAAGCUAUCCUCGAAUUUGCUAGAGCUACUUCCUAAACUCUCUUGAGCUCCCCAAAUCAACUCUUUAAACUAAAUCCCAUGAGCUCCAUAGAGCUUACCUCCCAAAACACUUCAAUUUACCUCUUAAAUUACCUCAGUUCACCUUCCAGAUCACCUUAGUUAUUUCUUUUGUCCUUAACAGCAGAAAAACACACCUAGAUUUUUACUAGCUCAAUCUCCCCUCAAAUAUAAAUUUAUUUAUUUAAAUUAUAUUUAACCUUGUUCUGGUGAGGACAACCACUAAAUGAUUCAAAUCAAAUCCUAGAGAAAAUCCGGUCAAAACAUGUAUCUAUGUAUAAUAUUUAACAUCACCCUAACAAUCAAUACGAAUGCACUUGGAUUUAUUCUUAAUAGUACACAAAGUGGAAAAAGCAUGACAAGCAACACUUGCACACUCGAGGCUCAAUAUAAGUACGAACGUCAUAAUUCCAAGCAACAAACAAUGACCAUCAUUACUAAUUUUUUCUGAAAGCCACCAAAUUGGAAAAGUACUGCCAAGUAAUUAAUUAUCAACUGCGACUUGCCAGCUUAAGCUUAUCCAAUGCUGAGAGUUCAUUAUUCUUCGAGGUUUGGUUAAUGUAAAUAUCUUUUAGAGUAAUUUCAGGGUAGAGCGGAGGAUUUUCUUUUGAUAGCAACUCUUUAAUUGGACCAUAUCGUCUCGAGCAACUAUUAUUCAUGAAAAAACUUCCGAUUGAAAUUCUGGAGCCUUCCUUAUUUGAUAACACUCUAUAAUAGGCACUCUUGAACUUAUCGUUGGUAAUCAGCUGCAAAAUGACACACUUCAUAUAAACCAUAAUUAAGUUAUCUCAUAGAGAUUCAUGCUUGGGUGUUGACGUUCACAUGAAAUUUUGUAAGGACGAUUCUUUCACAGUAUUGUGAAAGAAUGUUUCCGCACAAAAUUUAGUGCGAACGUCCCACUUGAGAAAUUUCAAUUUGAUGGAUAGUAUUUCUUAAUAAGUUAUCUAACACACACUUGCCUGCAUCAUGUAGCCUAAGUUUACAACUAGAGUUCCCGGAACAGGGGCAAUGUCAAACCAUUGAUCUUCGUGAAAGACUUGGAGGCCGCCAAUUUGAUCUUGUAUGAGCACAAUGACAAAUCCAGGGUCAGAAUGUGUUGCUAUGCCGAUGGACAAUUCUGGUUGAGGGCAUUCAGGGUAAUAACCAUUCCCAAUAGUCAUUUCCUCUACACAACCUAUGUCUUUCAGGUAAUUGGGGUUAAGCCCUAAAGCUUCGGAUAGAAGUUCAAACAGAGUGUCCCCUGUUUUCCACAUUAGGUUGUUGUAUGUGAUCAUUAUCUCUCUGCAAAUUAAUAAAGACAAAAAAUAAUCACUACUAAAAGAAAGGGAGAAUGACAUUUUGACUUUUAGAAAUUAUUUUUUUAUUGGGUUAACAACUAGAUGAAAUGAGAGUAAUAAAAACUUAUUAGGAACCCAAGUGAUGCAAAAAGUUCUAAGAAAGAUGCAAGUGUUAUCCACUGUAAAAGAAAUAAAAUCUAUUGGUCAUCGUCCACAUACCUGCAAGCUUCAGGCAAAUCUUCAGGAUUUGAAAAAUCGCGACCCAUAACACAACUCAAAGUAUCUUUCUGUUAAGGAAGCUCAUUGUGCUGAGUUUAUGAAGAACAUGAAGGCAAAGAAGUUCUCAGUCUUAGUCAGUGAAGCAAGUCAAUAGUGCCAGCUCAUCAGUACCAGAUCAGCAGAAUUAGUUACGAGAAUUAACAAGUCAGCAUAAGUUGUUAAUGUUUGUUACUAGUUUCUUUAGCAUGUGUAUGUAAAUAUCUUCAAGUAUAUAAGCUGUAGAAGUUCAGUUGGUAUGUAACAAAAAAGAAUUAAGAAAUAAGAACUUUGAUUUUUCCUCUGUAAAUUUUCUCUUGAAUCAAACAGCCUUUAACUUUCUUUCAUGGUAUCAGAGCCAACCAUGGCUAGUUCCAGUACAACUAAUCAAGUUCAUUCAACAAACAAUCAAUUUCAAUCUACGCAAACUUCAUUUACUUUUGCUGCGACUGUAAAACUCGAUCGAUCGAUCGAAUUUUCUUCUUUGGCGCAAACAAGUACUGACGUCAAUCAGAGGAAAUCGACUUGAAGGAUUAAUCUCAUAAGGUCAGAAUAUUCGAGAAUAGUAUCUAUCUCAAUCAAGAGCUGACGGAUUUGUGGAGAAGAUUGAGAAUCCAGCUUAUGUUAAUUGGAGAGCUUAGGAUCAGACUUUGCUUAGCUGGCUUCUUUCAACAAUAAGUGAAGGUAUUCUAAGCUCAGUUCUCAAUUAUGAUACUUCCUUCGAUGUUUGGAGAUCCAUUGAAAAAUAAUUUGGAGUUCAAUCCGAAGCAAAAAUAAUGCAACUUAGAUAUGAAUUGGACACUUUGAGAAAAGAAUCAAUGUCAGUUGAAGAAUAUUGCUAAAAAAUGAAAACUCUUGUGAAUAAGCUUGCUUGUGCUGGUGAUAAUAUAACUGAAAAAGAUCUGUUGAUAAGGACUCUUAAUGGAUUAGGAUAUGGUUAUUUGGAUCUGGCUUCCAUAAUCACAGCUAAUAAAAUGAACUUUGAUAAUGCGUAUGCACUGUUGUUGACAUAUGAAGCCCGAUUAGAACAGAAUCAGAAUCCACAAGCUAUGUUUAAUGCCAACUAUAGUAUGGUGAAUGCAAAUUAUGCAAAUUCUUCGCAUAUGAGAGGUUUUCCUAGGAGAAAUAAUUUUGUUAAUGCUUCUAAUGGUCAAUAUGGAGGAAGAUGUUAGUAUUUUGGUCGUGGUAUGUUCUCUACUUCUUAUUCUAGAGGUUUUCCAGCUGGUAAUGAUGGUUUUGGUAGAGGAAAUGCUGUUGCAAGUUUUGGCAGAAAUCAGUUUCAACAUUUUCACAGACCACCACACAUCAGAAAUAUGUUUUCUCCUGCACAUAAUCAAAACAAUUCUACUGGUGAACAUAAUGAACUGACACCUAUAUGCCAAAUAUGUCAUAAGCAAGGUCACACUGCUGAUGCUUGCUAGUAUCGAUAUGGUGAUAAUUACCUUCCUAAGAAUUUUGGCAUAGGUAAAAUGAUGGGAUCAAAGGCUGCUUAUAUGGCUAAUUUUGAGUCAUUUCCUUAUCAACAGUCAACAGAGGAAGAUUCUUAUGGAGUUGCAGAUAUUAACUCCAGCUAUCAACCAGUGAAUUACUCACCUGUCUCUUCUUAUCAAUCUGAAGCUUUUACUUUCCCUGAAGCUUAUGUUGCUAACCUUGAAGGCUCAUCAGAUGAAGGGUGGUAUCUUGAUAGUGGGGCCACACAUCACAUUACAAAUAACAUGGGAAACAUGCAUGUGAGAGAAGAGUUCAGAGGUGCAGACCAGCUGACCAUUGACAAUGGACAAGGUUUGAUUAUUACUCAUAUUGGUGAUGCUUGCUUUAGCUAUAAAAGUCUUAAUGCUGCCCACAAACACACACCUAUAGCACUUAAGGAUAUCUUAUUAGUUCCUUCUAUUACUAAGAACUUAAUAAGUAUAUCUAAGCUAACCACUGAUAAUAACCUUUCCAUUGAAUUUGUUGGUAAUGUGUGUUAUAUAAAGAAUUCACUGAAGGGACAAGUACUUCUGAAAGGUCUUGCUAAAAAAGGAUUAUACAAGUUGCUGUUAUAAUCAUCUCAGUCAUCUCCUUCCUCUUUCUUGAGUCAAAUUUCUUCAAACAAGCCUCUGUCUAUGCUUUCUAUAUGUCAUAUUCAAUUUCCUGUUAUAACUGAUGUCCAUAAUAAAGAUUCAAAGUCUGUAGCUUGUUAUUAAACUGCUGUCAAUUCUUUCUUUCCUUGUAAUGAAUUAGUUAAUAAAGUCAACUUGUUUCAUAGACGAUUUGGUCAUCCUCAUUAUGAUGUACUAGUGCAUUUACUUAAGAAUGAUCAGUCUGUCAAUAUCUCUACUUCUAUUAUUAAACAAGCUCCACAGUAAAUAUAUGAGGCAUGUCAAAUGGGUAAGGUUCAUAGGCUACACUUCCCUGCAACUGAAACCAAAACUUCCCACAUACUUGAACUUAUUCACACUGAUUUGUGGGGUCCUUCCCCUUUUUCUUCCAGAUCUGGUUAUGUUUAUUACAUCGGCUUUGUUGAUGAUUUCAGUAGGUACACCUGGAUCUAUCCACUGAAACUGAAAUCAGAAGCCUUACAAAUUUUCAAACUCUUCAAACUGCAAGUUGAAAAACAAUUCCAGUGUUCCAUUAAAAAGUUACAAUCUGACUGGGGGGGAGAAUAUCGAGCAUUCACUGAAUUUUUGAACCAAAAUGGAAUUAUUUUCAGACACUUUUGUCCAUACACACAUCAUCAAAAUGGGGUAGUUGAGAGAAAGCAUAGACACUUUGUUGAGUUAGGACUUACACUUCUAGCUCAAGCUAAAUUACCCUUAAACUUUUAGUGGGAAGCUUUCCAAACCUCAGUCUAUCAUAUCAAUAGGUUGCCUUUUGCAACUUUGAAAUUUCUUACUCCCUAUGAAAAGCUCUUCAAUCAUAAGCCAGAUUACAAAAUGCUCAAGUGGUUUGGUCGUGCAUGCUAUCCUUACCUGAGAGAUUAUAAUAAGCAUAAGUUUGCCUAUCAUUCUAACAAGUGUGUCUUUAUCGGUUACAGUCCUUCUCAUAAAGGGUAUAAAUGUUUGCAUCCAUCUGGUCAGGUCUAUAUAGCUAGACAUGUCAUAUUUGAUGAGCAUUCCUUUCCUUACUCAUCAGAUUCUGUUUUCACUUCAAAUAAUUCAUGUCAACCUCUGUCAUUUACUCCUCAACAAGUGUAUCAUCUAUCCACUUUGCCAAUACCUUCUAAUUCAAAUGACAGUAACUCACUCUUAUAAUCUUGUUUCUGCAAGUUCUACCAGCAGCAGUUCUCAUCAUUCAGUGAAUCAUACACAUAACAAUAACUCUCAGCCUUUGCCAUAAAUAUUUGAGCCACAUACAGAAUCUCAUCAUUCCAUGCCUACUCAAUCAUUCACUACCAAUACACUCUCUCCAUCACAAAUUUUACCAAACAUCAUUCCACACACCUCUGCUCCAGAAAAUACACAACAAAUCACUACACCAGCAAACACACAUUCCAUGACCACUAGAAGCAAAACUGGAAUCUUCAAACCUAAAGUCUAUAGUGCAGCACUUGUUCAUAAAGAACCAGAUUCUGUAGAAGAAGCUAUGCAGGAUUCUAAAUGGCUUGAAGCCAUGAAAGAAGAAUACAAUGCUUUACUCCAGAACAAUACAUGGUCUCUGGUUCCAAGGUUAGAUGGUCAGAAGUUUGUUGGUAACAAAUGGGUGUAUAGAGUUAAAUAUAAUUCAGAUGGAAGCUUAGCCAAGUACAAAGCCAGAUUAGUAGCUAAGGGAUUUCAAUAAAUUGAAGGGGUCAACUAUUUUGAAACAUUCAGCCCAGUGGUGAAAUCAGCUACUGUCAGAGUGGUAAUCAGUUUAGCUGUUAUGAACAAAUGGCAUAUAAGACAGGUAGAUGUAAAUAAUGCUUUUCUUAAUGGAGAGUUGACAGAAAAGGUAUUCAUGGAUCAACCAGCAGGCUUUGUUGAUAAUAAGAAGAAAGAUUUUGUGUGUCAGCUUCAUAAGUCACUCUAUGGUCUUAAACAAGCUCCAAGAGCUUGGUAUGAGAAGCUGAAGAGUUGUUUACUGUAGUGGAAUUUUGUAAACUCAAGAGCUGAUCCUUCUCUGUUCAUAAAGAAAACAAGCUCAGUCAUGAUAAUGGUAUUGAUUUAUGUAGAUGACAUUCUAGUUACAGGGCCAAACAGUGCAGAAUUAGAAUCCUUUAUAGCUGAGUUCAGUAAAGUUUUUGCAUUAAAGGAUCUGGGCAAGUUGUUUUAUUUUCUGGGCAUAGAAGUGUUGUAUGAUGCAGGCUGUAUAUAUUUGUCACAAAGGAAAUACAUACGAGACCUGCUAUCCAAAGUACAGCUUCUUAAGUGCAAAGGUACUGACACACCCAUGAGCACUGGUCUUAAGCUACAAAAGGAAACUCAAGGUGCUCCUACAAUGCAACACAUUCUAGCUUGUAAAAGAGUUCUUAGAUAUUUAAAAUCUACUCAAGAUUUUGGACUCAAGUUUGUUCAACAUGGAGAGAUGAAGAUUACAGGGUUCAGUGAUGCAGAUUGGGCUUGUGAUCUUGAUGAUAGAAAAUCUGUUGGUUCUUAUUGUGUUUACUUAGGGAACAAUCUGAUAUCCUGAUCAUCUAAGAAGCAGUCAGUCAUUGCUCGAUCAAGUGCUGAAAGUGAAUAUAGAGCCUUAGCUUCAGCUAGUGCAGAGAUAAGCUGGUUACAAUCCUUAUUUUCUUAGAUUGAUUUGUGUUGCACAGAAAUUCCUACCAUUUGGUGUGACAACAUUAGUGCCACUGAAUUAGUUCGCAAUCUUGUCUUUCAUUCACGAACAAAACAUAUCAAGCUUGACAUUCAUUUCAUCAGAAAUAAAGUGAUUGCAGGGGAGCUGACAAUUCAGUACAUUCCUAGUGAAGAACAGAUAGCUGAUAUCAUGACCAAGCCUCUCUCUUUUGUUCACUUCAACUAUCUAAGGAACAAACUCAAUGUGCAGCCUUGCCCCUUGAGUUUGAGGGGGGCUCUUAAGGAAGCUCAUUGUGCUGAGUUUAUGAAGAACAUGAAGGCAAAGAAGUUCUCAGUCUUAGUCAGUGAAGCAAGUCAAUAGUACCAGCUCAUCAGUGCCAGAUCAGCAGAAUUAGUUACGGGAAUUAACAAGUCAGCAUAAGUUGUUAAUGUUUGUUACUAGUUUCUUUAGCAUGUGUAUGUAAAUAUCCUCAAGUAUAUAAGCUGUAGAAGUUCAGUUGGUAUGUAACGAAAAAGACUUAAGAAAUAAGAACUUUGAUUUUUCCUCUGUAAAUUUUCUCUUGAAACAAACAGCCUUUAACUUUCUUUCACUUUCCAAAAGAGGGUUGGUGCACUAUACAAAUUUAAAUUUGAACAAUAUUUAAUUUUUUUGGAGUAAUCACGAGAACAAUAUUUCUGCUUAACCUCAACAUCUUGUUGAAAAAAAACUACGGAUCCCAUCAAUGGCCUGAUCCAAAAUGCUUGUUGGGAUUCCAUGAUUGAUCACUUGAAAGAAACCCCACUUCUCACAAGCACUUCUAAUUUGGUCAAUUACCUAAGAACGCAAACUUGAAUCCUUGUGUAUUCUUUGAAGGUCUAUGAUAGGGAUGCUGAUUUUGGGGUCCCUGCAGAUUGGCUUAUCAUCAAACUUAUGUUUAGUGUGAUGAUCUUGAAUGAUGAUCUGUGGAAUGGUUGUGAUCCCAGCAUCUACGAGUCCCUUAACACCAGCUUUCGUGUCAUCAAAAGCUUUCAACUCGCUAACUCUGUCACAAGUAAUGCUUCCCAUUGCUUGGUGAAUUGUCUUUUACCUGGUGAAUUAUGAAGUACAAAUGCUGACUUGCGGGUGAUUGCUUUUGGUAUAUGCCGUUUAUAUGAAUAUGAUUCCUAGCUUGCCACGUGCAACAUGUUGAAAUAUAACUAGGGAUGGCAAUUGUACCCGCAAACCCGCAAACCCGCCCAAACCCACCCGUCAAAACCCGCCCGUUGCGGGUAAUUUUAUCCGUUGCGGGCGGGUUUAUUAUUAUAAAUUAAAACCCGCAUAUGGAUGCGGGUGGGUUUGGUAUUAACCUUAUACCCGGUGGAUACCCGCAUGGAUAUCCACCAAACCCGCAAUAAUUUUUUUCAAAUAUUUUUAAUUUAAUUUAAAUAUAAAAAUAUAUAAAGAAAAUAAUGUAAUUAAUCAAAUUACCAAAUAGCCAAAGGCUCAAAGUUGUGUAUGUGUGUAUAUGGCUCAUCUCUUAUUCUAAAGUCAUAACCUAAAGAAAACUAAAGUCAUUUCCCUUCGAAUUAGUAUUUGAAAAUAUUAAUCUUAAUUAUUAUUUUAGGCAUUGUGUUAGAUGGGUGCUUAUGGUGGUGAAUAAAAUAAAUAUAUUCUCUUUGAUCUUGUUUUAAAUGAUAAUAUGAAAUGUAAUUAUUAUUUUUAGAUAUUAGUUUGUGUUUUUUAAAUAGAUUUGUAUAAUUUAUACUUAAAUUUGAGAAUUUGUGUUGAAUUGAUGUGGAAAUUUUAAUUUUUCAUUUACAUUGUUUAAAUAUAAAAUUGAAUAUGCUAUAUGGAACUUGAGGUUAUUAUUAUAAAUUUAUAUAUUAAAUAUUUGUGAUUUUAAAUACGGAAACCCGCAAAAAAUCCACCGGAUACCAUUGCGGGUUUGGUAAUUGUUAAAACCCGCUGCGGGUGGGUUUUUUUAAAAAAAUUAAAACCCGCUGCGGGUUGCGGGUGGGUUUGGUAAUUUAAAUUUUGUGCGGGUUUGGGUUUGGUAAUGGCAAACUCGCUGCGGGCGGUGCCCAUUGCCAUCCCUAAAUAUAACGAUAGCAUGAAGAUGUGGAAAUUUGUAAAAUUUGAUCCUGCGUUAUUUAUCUUGAUUAAAUUAAUUAUAAAUUAUCAAUAAUAGUCAAUUCCGGGGACCACCAAUUACUGGGUGGCACAUCACAAUAAUAAAUUAUCAAUAAUAGUCAAUUCUGCAUUAUUUAAUAUUUAUGUGGAUAAAAUUUCAAUUAGCUACACUACAUUGUUGUUUGAUAGUUAACGUUUCACCUUCUCCAUUUGUAAAUAUUAUUAUGGACUUAUAGUGUGGCUUAAAAGCUAGAUCUUAAAUGAAAAGAAAGCUUUAAUGGUGAAAUAAAAAUUUAAAUAAAUGAUAAAGGGAUUAAAGGUUAACCUAAUGUUAACAAAAAUAACUGCAAAAUAUACAUGUUUUAUCAUGUUAAUUGAUGUUUUUCCAGUAUGCACAUAAAAAAGAUCUAUUUUACAAUUGUUUCUGUUGGCGUUGGGGCAGAUUUUUUUUUAGUCUAAUUAAGUAUAUCAUAAGUUAAUAAUAGUGCGUAUUUUAACUUUAAUAAAUUUGGCCACUUAUAUUUUUAAUUUUGACUCCUUCCCUAAUCAAUCAAGAAAAAGAAUGCUUUUCUCCAUAAAAAUUAAAAUAGAAAAUUCAGCAAGGACAUAACUGCGGAGAUGUUUGAUCCUGGAUUUAUAUAUCAAAGCAACAUCAAAAUUAUAAUAAUACUUCCUUGUUACCGAGAAGAGAUAUAUUCAAGAGCACUAGCCUUAUAAAGCCUUAACAAUACUAAACUACCUACAUGGAAUCUAAUGCGUACAUGCAAUGCUUUCUAAAGUGAAACUGUCGCUUGAAAAUAGAAUUCAUGUUCAGCAGCCUCCCUCUAUCCGAGCUCCAAUUUUAUAACAAGGCAGCUAAAUAAGAUGAUUUAGAUGGCAUCGGCAUCUGUAGUAUCGUUUGUCUGUAGUCCCUCAUUAUCUACGAUCUGAUCGCUCCCUAUAGUAUUGUUUGUCUGUAGUCCCUCAUUAUCUACGCUCUGAUCACUCCCUAUGUAGAGGAUCGACAAGAGAAAAUUGUAGCACACGUUCACAGCACUAAUAACUGUUAAACUCUUAUAGUACUUGUCAAUCCUACUAUAAUCCAAGGUUUCAGCAAACUCGCCUUUGUUUGCCAAAAUGAAAAAGAUGUUAAAAAUGCUUCCAAUUCCGACGAAAAAAUAACUUAUUGCUGAUACAUGGUACUCCAUCCGUUCAGGAAAAUGAGAGCUCGAGAUUCAUCACAUCCAUACCAAGCAAGCCCUUCCAUAAGACCUAAUAGACAGAAUUGUGGAACAAGCCAAAACAUGCUCAUAUUUUCCAAUUGUUUGAGCUUUUCCAACCUGCGAACCUCAACCUGCCAUGCCACUACACAGCAAACUGUAGUCAUCACCAUUCCAAUGAAUGUUCUCAACACUUGAGCUUGUCUCUUUUUAGUUUUUGGAACAAAAUUGGAAAUUAAAUUUUUUGACAGAUAAGAGAUCGUUGCACGAAUUAUCCCUUUAAAAGUUCGUAGAAAGAUUAAGUAUCUUUCAGAAAUCAUGUUGGCUCCCUGCUCAGGAAAAAAUGUAUUUCCUGCUGACAGAACCAAUCCAAACACAAUGAAGCUAGACCACAAUGGCAACAAUUUAAGAAGAGAUUUUGACUCCCUGACCUGGGCCACAGUGCAAAGUGUGCCUGCCUCUUCUUGUUCGUUAGAAGUACUUGAUGUCUCUAUAAUUGCCGCUUUGUCUAUCCAUCUGCAAUUCAAAGAAUUAAUUUAUUGGUAAUUUUUUAGGAAAAUAGAAAGCGACAGCUCAUGGUUUGGCAAAAUGAUCACACAGACGCGUUUAUAAAUACGCCCUUUUGGACAAAUCUUGGAGGUCGGUGUGACUAUUCCCGAACACAUAAGGGUAUUAAUGUGUCCAUAAAGAGGUUUAUAUAAUUAUUAAUAAAAAUAAGAGGGUCUCCCCGACAAUUUUGCCAGACCACGGCCGGGUGUGGGUGUAUACAUGUUAGGCAUAUACCUGAGUAAUUUGAUUCUGGGUGACAAGUGUAAUACGUUUCCCUCAUCAUUACUGAAGAACAGCUCCGGAGAAAGAGGAUAAUUGAGAUGCUUUUUCUUCAGGGAGGUUUUAAUAACGCGGAUUAUAGCAAAACGGUCAAUAGGAGGUAUUUGUCUACUAUGAUAAAAGGGAAUACCCAACAACAAGAGGAUCAAACUGCCCCCCAUAAACAACAAUGUGAACAUGAAAGUCUUCUUCCAUGUCUUAAUAUUAUUUGCAUAGAAUGCCGCAGCUGCACCACAGCACCAGGCAAACCGCCACCACACUCUUUUCUGAGCCAUUACUUGAUCCUCAUUUGAAUUUUCUGUUCUCCCUCCUUUACCAUGUUCUCUUAAUUGAUCGGCAAGAAAUGGUCCCAAAAGAAGCGCCGCUCCAACUUCACCCACUGCUAACAGGAUAAUUCCUAUCAUGUUGAGUAGCUCAAAGUUGGUUUCUGAAAAUUCUCUGGACGCUGUACAGAACAAUAGCCCCAAUGCCUGAAACGAAAAUUGUUGGAACUAAUUCUAUAGCAUGACAUUAUGAUCCUAGAAAUGCUUUUCUUAAUCAUUAUUAUAAUCAAAGUGGAGCCAAAAUGAAUUAAUGUCACAUCAAUUGUAAUUUAACUAUUGAGAUCUCUAGCAUUAUUUUUAUAAGGGUAAAGCUCCUAAUAUCCUCUUAUUAGGUAUGUGUGUAUAUAUAUAUAUAUAUAUAUAUAUAUAUAUAUAUAUAUAUUUUUUUUUUUUUACAUGCUGUGAAAUUUAACAUUUACUGCAAAAUAAUAAAUUUUUAAUUUAGCUCAAAUUACUAUAAAGUCCUGGGUCCGCCCCUGAAUAUAUAUAUUGCUUGCAAUGAUAGACAUAUGUUUUAAUUUCGUCUCUGUUUAGAAGUUUAGCAAAUNNNNNNNNNNNNNNNNNNNNNNNNNNNNNNNNNNNNNNNNNNNNNNNNNNNNNNNNNNNNNNNNNNNNNNNNNNNNNNNNNNNNNNNNNNNNNNNNNNNNGAAAAAAUGAGGAUUCUGAGAGGACGAAUGGCAUAACACGAAAUCCAGGCGGCAACAAUCGUAAGAGUUGCUAAUAUUACAUCCUGAACACUCGUAAAUAUUGCAGCUUUCUGAAGUGUGAAUACUUUUGAAUAUUCGGAGUCGGAGAAGUAAGUUAUCAAGACACCCACUAUAGCCCAGUCUACGAGUUUGCGGCUUAUCAACAAACCUGGAAUCAAAAUAAUCAUUAGAAAAAAUGUUCGUGCUCACUAAAAAAAGCUUACACAUGAGGACUGCAAGAACAACGUGAGAGAACUAUUGUCAUGUUUUUAUAAUUUAGCCCAACCUAAUCAAAGAUCUUAAGUACACCUCUCUUAACUGAAAUUAUUCUAGGGGAUUAUCUAUUUAGGAAUCUCAAAGUUCAUGAGCUCUUAAUACAUACACACAUACAUAUACAUACAUACAUCAUCAUGUUGUUAAAGUAAUGAUGUUAGUAAAAUACAAAACAAAUAUAUGUACAUGUAUUAAAUUGUAUGGUUUAACAGAAUUAGUACAAAUAAAUAAAUUACAUGAUUUUGUAGUGCAUUGAAAAUUAAUUCUAUUAAACUAUACAAUUUACUAGUGUGUCUCCAUUAAAAAAAAUAAAGACCCUCAUAUAUAUAUAUAUGUAUACAAGUUUAUGUUCUGAAUAAAUACAUUUUUAAAAGAUAGGAUUACCUAAGGCCCCACAUGCAAAAUUACCUGACAGAAAUGCAGCAGCCUUACAAAAGCAGACGUAAUAUCGUACCCAAGUUAUGAACCUGUUUUGAAGCUUCAACAGCUGAGAAAAUGGAAACAUUGUAGUUUCUGAAACUGCUUUUAUCUGCAAAGACUUCUACUUGUGAGUUGUGAAUCCCGAGACGAUGAAGAUUUUGUAAUUAUGCCAAAGUCUUUUAGGUAGUUUAUUCAAAUUAAAAAAUAAUAAGUCGCACUUCAAGACCACCUAUUGGUCACAUCAAGACCACCAUUUGGUCACAUAAGUCUUCUUUUUUUUCUUGUAACUUUAAUCCAGCUAGUCAGCUACGGUCCAACAGGUGCACCGUACCCCUCUUUUUGACAGCACCCCUUACUUUCUUCUGUAUUUACAGUUUAUUAAAGUAAUUUCUUUUUCCUCUUUCUUUCACCCCUCACCUUUACAAUCUUCCAAUUUUUUCCAUUUUCAAUUAAACCUGUAAUCAACCAAUUGCAAGCAAUAAGAAAAAAGUUGGCAAGCUAUUUCUUUAUCACCUUAGGAUUCAUUUGCUCUAUAAUACACAAGUAAGAAGUAAUAAUGAAUUGAAGUUUUUAUAUAAAAAAAUUACAUAGAUGUAAUUUUUUUACGCACACUAUUUAUCAUCUACAAUGAAAUUAACAUGUAAGUAAAUUGAUUUUUUUAUCUUUUAUUAUAUGUAUUCUUCCCCUUUCUCCCCCGUAUGUCUUUUCAUUUUCUCUUUGAAUAAUCUAACCUAAGGCUUUCUAAUAAUUGGUUUAUUGUUAUUAUUUUUAUAAGUAAACCUUCUCUUUGUUAUGUCAAUAGGUUUAUUUAAAAAAAAAAAUUCGUAAAUGACCAAAAGUGAGAACCUUAAUAAAAAUUCAAAACCUAUCUUAGUUUUUGUUGUCUUUGUUGAUGCAUCUUGCAUGUUUGAUGUCUUAAUUAUAACUUGUGAGAGUAAGUACUGUAAUACAAUGAUGAUUAAUGAUUAUUACUAAGAGUAUUCAAAGAAAAAGAAGUUGGUGUAAAAUUUUAUAAACUUUGAGUUUUCUAAAUUUUCACUAAACAAUAGGGAUUGCAUUAUUAAUAACUAAAUAAACACAUCCAUAACCUUGAAACUACAUUUGUGUUAGAUCCAAUGGUGGCAGUACAUAAAGACAAAAAGAGGGGCAUGGUGCACCCCUUGCACCGUAGCUGGAUCCUUUAGUCACAAAAUAAUGACUUACUGUACAGCUCAAUAAUUUUAGGUGGUAUGAAACACGUAUGAUGAGACGGUCAUAAUUACACUGUACCAUGAAUGAUCCUCAUUGAGUAUAUAAUCCCUUUCUUUUUUCAAACAAGAUUUAUGCUUUAAUUUUGGGAGGUUUGCUAAGUUCUUUCUCUUUGUAAUGGUUACGAAGACUGACAAUUUUCUAUUGAAGUUAUUUAUACAUGUAUUUCUUUUUCAGCAUGUAAUACAUUUAGGAAAUGAGUAAUGAUUAAGUAGAAACACUUUUAGAUAAACAAUGUUGUACGAACUUAUGUGAUAUUUUUUUGAAAAAAGGAUGUGAACAUCCUUAAGAUUUUAAAAAAUGGUCAUAUAUACUUUGAGUUUUCAAUACAGAACAUCAAGACACUUUUUGACUAUAGUAUUCUUAAUAGAUAAUAACAAAAAAUAUUGAAUUUAAACAUUUUAAUAAAUAUAAAUAAAAUUUAAAUAGUUUAAUAUGUCUAGUAGACUAAUAAUAUUAGAAAUUUCUAGUAGACUAAUAAUAUUAGAACAUUUCUUAAUAUGUAAAUAAUUUUUAAAAGAUAAAUUAGUAUAUUUAUUUUAAUAAUAUAUUUUUACUUAUUAUAAAAAUUGUAAAUAAAUCUUUAGGUUAGAUAGAUUUUAAAUUUAAUAAAAUACAUGUCAUGUACUAAUAAUAUUAAAACUAUUUUAUAUAAUAUUGAAAAUAAUUUAAAUUUUAAAUUUUAAUAUUAUCUUUCGAUUUAUUUUGAAAUUUAGUUUAAUAUAAUUUAAUGUUGUAAAGUAUUAAAAUAUUUUAAAAAUAUUGAAAUUAUUUUAAAAUGUAUAUAUUGUUACAUUUAUUUUAAUAUUAUACUUCUAUUUAUUAUAAAAUAUUAAAAAUAAUAUUUUAAUUAAAAGGGAGUUUUGGUGUCUCUUACUGAAAAAUAGAGUGUACAUAAUCAUUUUUCAAAUUUUCAAGGGUGUACAUGUCAUUUUUCUUACUUUUUUAUAAUCAAUUGAAUAAAAAAAAAGUCAUCUGGCCACAUAAAUUAUUUCUAAUUUAUAUUUUCAAUCAACAAAUCAUAAUGUGUCAUAUCUAUUUGUAUAAGCAUUUAUGAACAUAAAAAAUUAAGUUUAGGCACUAGUCGGGUUGGAAAUCAACUCAUCCAAACCCAUGUAUAGUGCUAGUUGGGUGAGUUGGACUUAUCUCGAAGACCCAUUUUCUGUCUUUGAAAUAUCAAUAUGAAAUUAAAAUAAUUAAAAAAUAAUUUAAUUGAAACAACUAAAAAUAGAAUACAAAAUUACAAAUAAUAACUAUCCCUGAAACUUCAUUGUUAAUAAAAAUAAUUAUUUGUAUAGGAUCCUAAUUACACCAUAAAAAGUAAUAGGAUGAAUUCAAGAGUUGGGUUUGAAAAUUUUCAACACCUAGUAAAUAUAGUGCAUUUUCUCCACCCCUAUGAAAUUAGGGGUUGGCUUUCUACUUGAUUUUAAGUAGAGAAAAUGAUCAAAACUACCUUAUUGUUUGUUGAAACUAUAGGGUGAAUUUAAGAGUUGGGUUUGAAAGAUGCAAUAUGUUCAUAUGUAUAUAUGAACAUAUUGCAUCUUCACUAUCUUAUCCCCAGAAUUUUUGCACCAAAUCAUGGUACAAGAAUAAAAAUUCGCAACUCGAAUCAACAAAGUAUAUCACUAAGUUAUUCUGCAAGCCGCCAAAUUGGAAAAUGUCCCAAAUAAUUAAUUAACCACAGCGACUUGAUAGCUUAACUUUUUCCAACGCUGAGAGUCCUUCAUUCUUCCCUAUUGAGGAUUGGUUAUUGUAAACGUCUGUUGGAGUAACAUGGGGAUAGUGCGGAUGAUUUUUUUCGGAUAGCAACUAUUUAAUUGGACCAUAUUGUCUCGAGCAACUGUUAUUCAUAUAAAAAACUUCCAAUUGAAAUCGUUGAGCCUCGCCUUCUUGACAACACUCUGUGAUAGGCACUCUUGAACGCGACACUGGUAAUCAGCUGCAUAAACAUAUAAAAGAACACUAUAAUUAAGUUAUAUGAUGGAUUCAUAAUAGUCAAAGUUGUGCAUAACAUCUACUUGCCUGCAUCAUGUAGCCUAAGUUUACAACUAGAGCCCCGGAAACUGGGGUAAUAUCAAACCAUUGAUCUUCACAAAAGACUUGGAGGCCACAAUUCGAUCUUGUAUGAGCAUAGUGACAAAUCCAGGGUCAGAACGUAUUGUUAGGCCAAUUGUCAAUUUCGGAUGAGGGCUUUCUGGGUAGUGACUAUUCCUAAUAGUCAUUUCCUCUACAGAACCUGUGUCUUUCAGGUAACUGGGGCCAAACCCUAAAGCUUCAGACAAAAGUUCAAACAGAGUGAAUUAGCAAUUGACGUUGUUGGAGAAAAAUCAAUUUUUUUUUUUAAAAAAAAAAACUUUUUAGAGUCGAUUUCAUACAAUAUAUAAGAAUUCAUAAUUUAGAAAUUAUACCUUGAAAAUAUGAGAAAAUGAACAAUCUUUGCUUUUUCUACUGAAGUGAAACUAGGCUCCCAUAUCACGAUUUGUCACCACCACACCUGUUAGAUCACAAUCUGUCACCACCACGCUUGUUAGAUCACGAAUUAUCACCAAUGAUUUUCUAGAUUAUGACUCAGGUUUGAUCUGCACUUGACGUGUGGGUGCUUUUAUCACUACCAAUAGCAACUAGUAUGAGAAAAUUUUUCUCUCAAGAUUAAAGAGAAAAAUUCUUUUUCUCUUAUCUGUAUAAUGUGGCCUUAUAUCUUUUCAAGAGAAAAUAAGUCCUUUUAUAUCUUAUCUAGUGGAAAUCCUAAGCUCUAUAUUUUUUAUUUUUUAAUUCUAUUAACACAAGGCCCCUUACACAUAAGCAUAUUACAUGGAGCCUCCCACUAAAUAAUAUAUUUAGGCUUUUAACCCAAAUAGCUAGUUAUCUUACUUAUUAAUCCAGUAGCGGCGCAGUCAAUUAAAUGAGCUAACCCAAAGAUCAUUUGAGAACAUACAAUAGUGGCUACAAUAAUUAGGCAUGUAAUCAAACUAGCCCAAUUAUUUAAUUCUAAAUCUACUCCACUAAAAGAUUGGAACUGACCUCCACAAUUGUAUGCUUGAAUAAUAAUUCAUCCCAAACAAUAUUGAUUUCUUUACUGCACAAUCCUUUGUACCACAUCAUUAAUUAAAUUGAUAUCUCAACUGUCCAAUCAAUUUAACUACAUCUUGUUCCUUGAUUCUUACUGGUUUUCUCUAAUGAUCAUUUUCAACAUACUAAAUAUGUCGACACACUCUGACCAAAGAAUUCUAUGAUCAAGUGCCGAAAACCCAUCAAGAGAUGUAUUGUACAAAUUCUAUAUUGUCAAUCUAUAACUCCAAUACUCAUAAUUGGUCUCAUCAAGAUACCGGAUAAUCUUGACUACAAUUAUGUGUCGUGCCCAUUGGUAAUUCAAAUGAAAUAACAAUUAUAAUCAUGAAAUCAUAAUUAACUCAAGAUUAAGAUUGCAGUAAAAUCCAUGUCUAUGAGAUUUAAUAAGUCUGACAGUAAUUACAAAGUUAAUUAAAUCUCAUAUGUUAUCUUGUUCAAUGUAGUCUUACUACAUCAAUAAAUUCAUACAUGAAUAAGACAAAUCAUUCAAUGAAUUCAUUACAGUCUAUACCUAAAUAAAGUGCCCAACUUUAUUUAUCAACUGCGAAUUAAAUUUAUUUAAUCAUAAGAUAACUUGUAUUUAUGUCUUCUGUAAUCCACAUGGUGAUUCUUGUGCAAAUUUAUUGAACUCGCAAGUGCACGAAUAUAUUGUAGAAUAGAUUAAUGGUGACAAGUGUCGAUCCCACGAGAAAGUGGAUUUUAAUUAUGUGUAAAAUUAAUUUUCUAUGAGGGUGGUUGGAUUUGUGGUGAAAAUGAUUUGGAAUAUUCUAAACAUUAAAUUAGAAUGGCAGGAAUAAAUUAAAGCAAAAUCUAUUGAAAUAAAGCACUUGGGUAUCUGGAUCUGCAUUAACAUGCACAAUGUGCUAAAUAUUCCUUAGUAAUGCCAAUUAAAUCAUGAGGGGGGUUUCUACUCCUCAUGAACCACACUCUAAUCAAUAUGGUGUUAAGGGCUUAUUGUGGCAAACAAUAAUAACCUUGUACUAGGGAGUCGGUUAAAUCAGUGCAGUAUUCAGACGAGAUUAUUAUUAUUUGUCGACGAAAAGUCAAAAUAUCAACAAUAAUUAGAGGAGAAGAGAAAGUAAAUUUACUAAAUAAAGCCCAUGACACAUGUUGAGACUUCACCAACCCAAACUUGAAAGAAAAUUAGCUACUUAUAAUUGAACUAAGGGUAAAAUGAGAAUUUAUUAAAAUACAUAGAAAAUACAAGAUGGAGAAGGAAUUACAGAAAAUAGGCUCAAAAAUGAAUUCAAAAAUGCCAAAUUAGGGAGGAGCCUCCCUUUUAAUAGAUACACUGAGUAAAUCAUGGCCAUCAGAUUAAAAACAUUUUGGACGCUCAAGAUUGCGCCACGUCAUCGGUCAACAGUACGUGGUUUGACCACGUGGUUUGGUUGUAAAUAAUCUCGUGUAUAUGCAUUUACCGUACGCACUAUUUUUGAUCCACUAACAUGCUGCCACGUCACCGAUCAACAGUACAUAAGAAUUUUAGUCUAAUAAAAUCGUGACAUCUCAUCAGUCAAUACCACAUCAUCAGUCAAUGCCACGUCAUCGUUUUGUAUAUGUGAAUAGUGACAUGAACAGUAACAUGGAUAGUAUCGUAUCUGUGAAUAGUACCGUACAUGUGAACAAUUCCAUUUUUCCUUUUAAACUCCUCCUAAGAUUUUCGACUGUCCUGAUCUCAAAAGUGAUGUCUGUUUUGCUGUAUGAUCUCUCGUUCAUUGUGAAAUGACCAUGAUGCCCCUAAAAUACAUAAAAUAUUUAAUUAUAAUAUAAUACACAUAAUUAAAUCACAAGGAACUUAAAUACAUAAAAGUAUGAAUGUUAGUGAAACUUGAAGUGUAAAAUGACGAUUUUCUCCUUCAUAAAUAUACACUUUCUCACACUCAAAAGUGAUCACAUAAAUACAUAUAAUACGAUUAAAUGGACUUUAAUCAAAAUAUUAAUGUAAUUAAGAUAUUUGAAUAAAAUACCUUAUUUAUUUUAUUAAUCAGAAAAAUUGUUUAUUACAAUUAAAUAAACACUUAUGCUUUUAAAGAGCAUAUUUUCCCAACAGGCGUAUCUCAUAAAGCCAACUUCGGUGGUUGGGGUAUCCUGCCGUGCAACACUGUAUCCUGCCGAUUGUCCAUUGAAUUAAUUUGUUUUUGCUGAAAAUGAAUAUUAAAAAAAGAUUAAAAUAAAUAAAAUUAUAAAUAAUUAAAAUCACAGAUUGUCCCAGACCACCAAUAAAACCUCUAAAACUAAAAUUAUAAGCUCCUCCGUAAGAUCCACCAUUAUAUUUCUUAUUACCACUAGCAUUCUUUCAAGGAUUAAAAUGGUUUUGAGUUACAUUAGCUAACAAGUUAUGUGUGACAUCACUAGCAAUUUUACCUCUUGUCUGUUCAACUCUAUUCUCCUGAUUUAGCAGUAAAGAGUAAAAUUCAUCAAGACUGAUCGUAUCACCUCCAGCUAACACACUGAUAACUAAAGACUCAUAAUCAGAUGAAUCUAGUCUAGUCAAAAUAUAUUGAACAAAAUCACUUAACUCAACAGAUUUUCUAGCUAAAGCCAGACUGUCAGACAAUCUCUUCAUUUUAACAAAGUAAUCAAUCAUAGACAUUGAUCUUUUUUUGAGUGUUUGAAUAUGCAUCUUAAAGGCAUUAUUCUAGCUUGAGAUUGUAAAGUAAACAUACUUGUGAGUGUAUCCAAAAGCUCUUUAGCAAUGGAGCAAUGAACGAUUGUAGCGAGUAGAUUUUGCUGAAUAGAUGACAACAUCCAACUCAAAACUAAUUGAUCUGUCUUCAUCCAGGCUGUGUAUGCUGGAUUGACCUUUCGAUUUUCAGUAAUAGUUGAGGACCAACUUCAGUGCUAGCUGGUGUGAGAAAUUACUCCGAACAAGUUUGAUCACCAUUAAUGAAAUUAUCCAGAUCGUUUCCUUUGAUGGAUGUUAAAACCUGAGUUUGUCAGACAAUGAAAUUAUCAUGAUCUAGCUUAACAGGAUUGAUAAAACUAUAGGAUCCAGAAAAUUGAUUAGAACUGACCAUUGUAGGCUCUGAGAUCAUGAUAGAAUUUGUAAUAUAUAUGUCUGGAAAGCAAGAAAAUUAAGGAGAAAAAGAUAGAAAGAAAAGAAGAAGAAUUUAGAAUAUGUUAAUUGUUCAUUACAUUACAAAUGUGAUUAUAGCCUUUGUAUUUAUAUUAAGUGAAAUGCUUAACUAUAAUUUGUUAUAACUGGAAUAGGUGCUAAACAGUUCGUUAGCUAGAAGGCUGAGAUGGCUAACUAAUUAUUCCACGUUAGCAAGAGCACUCAUGUAUGGUCCUCAUCCGUACUGUAAUUAUCAUACUCUGUAACAGUUCUUCUACAUCUUCUUGCUCUUCAGGACCAAGUGUACUUCGUGGGUCUAUAAUUGCUGCUUUGUCUAUCUAUUUGCAAUUCAAAGAAUUAAUUUAUUGGUCAUUUUUUUAGGAAAAAAGAUAACGAAACAUAGUUGUUUGGUAAAAUAGUCAUGUGAACUCUUUCUUCAAAACAUAUAUAAAAACAAACCUUGGAGAUCAGUAUUGUCUAUGUGAUAAUUUCUAAAAAUAAGAGGUCUACCUGACAAUUUUUUCAAACCAUGGGAUGUUGGUAUAUACUCUUUAAGUAUGUACCUUAGUAAUUUGAUUCUAGGUGACAAGGGUAAUUCAUUUUCAUCAUCAUUACAGGAGAAUUGAUCUGCAAAAGAAGGAAAAUUUAGAUGCCUUUUCUUCAGGGCAGCUUUAAAAAGACAGAUUAUAGCAAAACCGUGAAUAAGAGGUAAUUGUUUACUAUGGUAAAAGGGAAUACCCAACAGCAACAAGGCCAAACUGCUCCCAUAACCAAUAUUGUGAACCUCAAAGUCCUCCGUCAUGUUUCCAGAUUAUUUGCAGGGAAUGCUGCAACUACAUUACAACACCAGGCAAGCUGCAGCUAUACUUCUUUUUGAGCCUUUACUUAUUUCUCAUUUGGAUUUUUUGUUCUCCCUUCAUCACCAUGUGCUCUUAAUUGAUCGACAAGACAUGGUCCUAAAAGAGGCCCCAUUCCAAAGUCACCCACUGCUAACAAGAUCAUUCCUAUUACGUUGUGUAGUUCAAAUUUAGUUUCUAAGAAUUUACUGGACGCUGUAUAAUACAAUAGCCUUAAUGCCUCCAACAACAAUAGUCGGAACUAAUUGUAUGGCAUAACAUUAUGAUCCUAAAUAUGCUUCUUAAUCAUUACUAUAGUUAGGAGCGGAACAAAAUUGAGAUUUAGGGGGCCAAGUGUAAUUAAGGUAAUUAUUUCAGGAUUAGAGAGUAUUAGUUAUUUUCUGGGGUUAUGGGAUGGGGUUCACGUUUAUGAAGCCACCAUAUAAAGAAAAACAACUAGUUUGAAAGUUGAAAUUACAAAUUUAUAUAGUGUGAGAUUAUUUCAACCUACUAAAAUAUAUGUUAUUUUAAAGACUAAUGAGCUUGCGGCUUUGAAAAGGUUGGAAUGUUAUUUGGUUGGAGAGGGACUCGGUUUCAACUUUAACUUGUCUUACGAGUACCAAAUUCAAGCCGUCGUAGCAUCUGCAUAUCAUAUAGUUGAAUUGUUUGAGAGCCUAAAAGUCAAAUAUUGUGGAUCAUAUCAAAUGCCAAAUGUUGGAUAAUCUUUUCCAAAUGUUGGAUAACAAGAAAAGGGUUGCACACAAGACCGCUGACUGAAAAUAGAAAUAAUUGGACAAAUAAAGCCCAAACCACAACUCAUCAUAAUCUUUGUGUUACUAAUGGAAGCUAAAAGCACCUGAGUUAUCAACUAUUCACAUUUUCUAUUAGAUACUGAUGCUUGAUACAUUCAUCAUGAUAUCCAGAAACAAUAAAAUUAAGCUAGUACAAAGAUAUCUAAAUGAAGAUGAUAAUAUCAUAGGCAAAAUAUGGUCCAAUUGAUUAGGAAAAUCAAGCUAAGGUAAUUUUUUUUUAUACUAAAUGCUUAAUUAAAAAGACAUCAUUAUAUGUUUUAUACAUGCACAAAUUGUCAUUUAUUUGAGGCAUGUCUAAUAUUUAGUAGAGUGACAAAUAUACUUGAAAAUGUAUAAAAAUUAUCAAAUAAUAUGUGAGAAAUAUAGUUAUUUUUGUUGUAAUAUUAAUGCAAUAAACUUUUAUUGUAUCAUAUCGGCAUGUUUAAAGAGGAAAAAAAAAACUCAGAGACUCAAAAAUUCCAAACUUUAAUGUGUAGCUGGCAUUUAUUUGUAGGCUCAAUUGAAGUACAGAAGUCACAAUUCCAAACAACAAACAAGCUAUCAUCACUAAUCCACCAAAUUGGAAAACAUCCUCAAUUAAAUUAACCACCGCGCCUUUCCAGCUUGAGUUUUUCCAAUGCUGAUAGUCCUUCUAUUGAGGAUUGGUUAUUGUAAAUAUCUUUUAAGGUAAUUUCAGGAUAGAGCGGAGGAUUUUCUUCGGAUAGCAACUCUUUAAUUGGACCAUAUUGUCUCGAGCAACUGUUGUUCAUAAAAAAACUUUCGAUUGAAAUUCUUGAGCCUUCCUUUUUUGAUAACACUCUGUGAUAGGCACUUUUGAACUUGUCAUUGGUGAUUAGCUGCAUAAACACACAAUAAAAAAAUCCACUAUAAUUAAGUUACAUGAUGGAUUAAUAAUAGUCAAAGUGAUGCAUAACAUGUACUUGCCUGCAUCAUGUAACCGAAGUUUACAACUAGAGCUCCGGGAACAGGGGUAAUUACGAUCUGCAGUUUCCUAAUUUAACUCAUGCACGCUCGAGGCUUUUGUUUACCCUAGUUUUCAGUAUAAAAAGAGGCGCGCAUCACAUAAUACGGCGGCAAAGAAUUAUCAUUAGAAAAAUUGGAGAGAAAAAGAAGAAGAAGAUCAUAAUUCAAGGGAACAGCUGCAACAUCAUUGAAGAAUCCAGCAGAGUUAUUUGGAUUCACUUUUUGUCGUUCUCGGCUUAUACCUUUCUUCUUUCUCUAACUGAUCUAAUGUAUCUCAUGAACAAUAUGUUGCUGAUUGUUUAUCUCUUUCAGAAUAUGAACUAAACUCGCUUGUAUUUGAGUGACAAACAAUCUAAUGGGUUCUUGACUGUUCUUAUGAGUUGCUAUGUCAUUGCUGUAGCAUUUUACUCUAGUAGCUAUUAUUAUAACUGUUAUUUCGGUUGACCACCCAUUUAAUGGUUCAAGUUAAGAUAGGACCAUAAAAGGGCAUGUCUUACUGGAUAUUAUUAUAGUAAUACUUGAUCUUAAUUUAAGUUUCCUAGAUUACGUUUAUCUUGAAUCCCAUAAGGGCCAUACUUAAAGUUAAGAUUUGUGAUAAACUAGACAUAAGUAUUCACCUUGUAGGGUGGAGAGAAUGGAUGUUCAUAAUGUCAUGCCAUAGGUAAAAUAGCAACUGGCCAUUGUUAAGAUGUUUACGGGUAUGAGACUUCCAAUAUGCGACAACUGAGGAUGCAAAUUAAAUUCUGUCCAGUGCUAUAGAAAUUAUUGUAGCAACUGGUGUUAACUUGAUGAAAAGAAGUUAACCCAUAAAAAGAGUUUGAUCAUUCAACUACCUUAUUCUCAUUUGAUUCUUCGACGCAUUUUAUUUAAUUUGUUUCAUUACUACAUUGUUUAACUUUAUUCUCUCACAAUUAUCAAUUUCAAUAGUAACCAACUUUACAUUUGUUAAUUUAGGAAUCAAGUUAGAUUACACUAUCGUGAUUGCUGUAGCAUUUCUAGUAAUAUCAAUCCUUGUGAAGACGAUCUUAAAUAUUCAUCAUUUUAUUACUUGUUCUGUACACUUGCACAUUGACAUAAAUAAAAUUUGAUAAAAAAUACCAACAAUGAGAUAGGGGUAAACUUCAGGAUGUGCUGCGCUUUUUAAUUGUUGUGUAGAUUCUUUUGAUUCCUAUCUCUAGUGGAGAACCAGAUGUGAUUUUGUGAGACCUUUCUCCUGAUGGUAGUUUUUCUUUGAGGACUGCUUCAAAUAUUGUGCAUUGGACAAUGCCAAGUGAUGAGGCUUUUUUUGUUAUUUGACAGCGACAUCUUUUCCUGGAUAUCUUUUUUUCUCUAGAGGUUGUGACACAAAUUCUUGACCACAGAUGAUGCCUCGUGUUCGGGGGAUUUCUGCAUAGUUUCUUAGUAUCUUUGUGGUCAGGCUUAUGAGACUUCUAGGUAUUUUCUUUCUUGGUUGCCCUCGAGUUAGGCCAGUUUGGGUCCAUUUUCUAUGUACUCUUGGUUUGCGCUAUGUUGCUUUUCUAUUCCCCCGUACUUUAUUUCUUAAUUGGUAGUGAUGUGCCCUUUCUUGGAGCCAUAUUCGAGUUCUUCUUCCUUGUUUCAUUUUGUGGCGAGUUUAGAAGGCCUGUAAUGCAUUGAAGUUUGACUCAAUGGCCUUUUUUGUUGAUGCUGUUAUUUAUUGGGCAAUGUUGGAUCUUAGGCUUGCUGGUUCUGCCUUUGGUCUUAAACCAUCCCAACUGUGAGGAGUUCUAGGUUCUCGAUUUGCAAAGUUCUUGAGAGUUGCUGUUUCAUCCAGGAGGCUGAUUCUUUUAGUUUUUUGGCAGUGGUCACCACCUGGGGCGGUGAAGCUGACUAUUGAUGGUUGCUUUAGGAGUAAUCCUAGGAUGGCUGCUUCAGAUAGUAUUUUACGUGAUGAUUAGGGUGUGGCUUUGGCUGCUUUUGGUUCCUUCCUUGGGCGCUCACUGAUUUUCAUGCAGAAUUCAUGGCUGUUUUUUAGGGGUUAGAGUUGGUGCUCAGCUCCAUUAUUCUGUGCUUGACGUAGAGUUGGACUCAACCAUGGUGGCUUCUUGGAUUCUUUUCUAAGGCCUUGUUCAUACGAACUAUACCUAUUCUUUGCAUCGGGUGUGUAGUUUGACAUUUUCUUCUACUUCGUGGUUAGUCAUGUGCUUCAGAAGGUUACUUCUACUGCUGAUUUCUUUGGCCUGCACUCUUCAAGGUCAUUUGUGUUUCUUGGGUUCUCAGGAUAUAUUUGCUAGCUUAUCUAAUAAUCUCCGUUUGGAUAUGUGGGUAAUUUCUCGUAUCAGGCAAUAGGAUUGCUUAUUUAUGUAUUCCAUUUUUUAUCUUGUAUUUUUCUCUUUUCCAUUCUUAUGUUCUUGCAAUUGCGGUUUUGAUUUAUAUUCACCUCCUUAUGUAUUUGAUUCAUUCUAUGAUUUAUAUGAAAGAUAGGAGUUCCACCUAACCCCACCUUUUUGUGGUUAAAAAAAAAAGAUCAGGAAUUCAACCUAGAUCAUCAAGGUGAAACAUCAAAUAGGUUGUAAAUUUAACAUAUGAACGUAAAAGCUUAACAAAACAUUUGAAGUUGCUUGACAACAUAGAAAUACAAGCAAAAAGAGAUGCUAAACAACACAAAAUUUUGAUUGGGUGGGAGUAUUGUUCAUGCUAGCAUAAUAAUGAGGUGCCUGAGAAUACCUAAGACUUUCUUGAUAAAUAAUAUCAUCUAAAAGGUUAGGAAUCACAGAUAAUUGUCCACGUAUGAACAAACCUAGCUCAAAAUGUGAAAUGUGUUAAGAUUUUCAAACAUUUAAAUUAAUAGUUAAUAAUUUCAGACAAAGGAUUCUUGGAGACCUUAAAGUUCACUGAUUCUAUCUUAUGGCUCAUUGUCUCUCUCAACAAUUUAAUUUCUAGAUUAUUUGGCUCCUAUCUAUUAAAAGACAACACCAUUACUAAAAUUAUAAAUUAUAACAGUUAAACCUAAACCUACGUCGUUUAGCAAUUUACGAAAGAAAAAAAUAUAACAAAAGCCAAUUGUUGGAGUAGCAACGUGCCAACGAGAAAACCUCAAGCCAUGUAAUAUCAUGUGUCAACAACUAAAGAAGAACAAACCACCACCCUCUAGGUCGUCGCUGCACUAACGCGGGGCCCGAUUUGAAUAGUUAGAAGUUGUAACAUUAAUUAGGGAAUGAGGGCAAAAUUUUGGACUUCGAUUUAAUAAAAUUGAUUUAAAUGAGUCCCAAUAGAAAUAUGAUUAUAAAUAUAUCAAUACAAUUAUGACAUGUUUAAAAGAAAAAAAUUAUUUUCACACAAAACAAAAAACACAACCCUUGGAUGUGGGAUGUGUCUAAAAAAUAAUAGGGUGGAAAUAUUAUCACCCUCAAAUUAGAUAUAUAAAUAUUUAAUGUUUUACUCUUAUAAUUUUAUAAUUGUUUUUUUAAAUAUUAGUAAGAGAAAGAUAGAAAUUAAUAUAUAGACAAAUCGAGUCCUUUAUUUUAUUAUUCAUAUCCAUAAAAAGUAACCACUAUGCUAGUCCCACGAACUUAGCAUAAGACGGUAAUUUAGAAAAAAAAAAAAGGAACGUUUUUAGACACCAAAACAAAAGCAAAACAAGCACAAAGCGAGACAUACAAACAAAUUUUAUGCUACUGCAUAGGGGUGUUCGCGGAUCGGAUUUUACGGAUUGGAUAUCAAUCCAUAUCCGAUCCAUGAUUUUACAGAUUAUAAUUUUUCAAUCCAAUCCAAUACACGGAUUGAUAAAAUUCAAUCCAAAUCCAAUCCAUACAUUUGCGGAUCGGAUGCGGAUUUGACUCAAUCCAUAUCCAAUCCAUACGUCUGCGGAUCGGAUGCAGAUUUGACUCAAUCCAUAUGCAAUCCACCAUUUUGCGCAUUAGUUUUCGAAUUAAAAAUUUUUAGUUCUCUCCAACUAAUGAAAUAAAAAAAAAUCUAAUAUAAAAAUAAUUUUGCUACUAAUUAAAUUUAAAAUUGAAUAAAAUUUAAAUAAAUUAAUUGUUUAAAUAAAGCUAAAAUAAUAUAUUUAAAGUUUUAAAAUAUAACACAUCGAGACUAAUUAUUCAAAUAAAGCUACAAUAAUACGUUCAAAGUUUCAAAAUAUAACACACAAAGCUUAAUUGUUCAAAUAAAGUUACAAUAAUACGUUAAUAUAACACCAAAAUUAAUUGUUCAAAUAAAGCCACAAUUAAUUGAAAAUGGCGAAGUUUUGGAAACCAAACACAGUUUGAUCCUUCACCAGGGCUGUUGUGCCUGUCGAAAAGUGGUGAUUACGGAGCCAUCCACGAUGGGAACCAGGAGAAGCCGUACGGGUGGCGAUCUUGAAGGUUGUGAUUGUGAAAUUGUUCAAUUGGAACCAAUGAAUGUGAAGUGGCUCGAUGGACUUGGGAAAGAAGAUGGCUUGCUCUCGCCAGAAUCGCGCAGCCGAUGUCCUUUAAAUCCGUGUCGAGAGUGUAUCCAUGAUGGGUGUCGAAGCCAACAAAAAUAAAUUCCUACUCUAAAUAAAUUGUGUAUAGUGAUUGAGCAGGGUCGUGUCCACAGAGAUCGGUAAUUAUUUAAAUCCUUUUAAAAUGCAAAACAUAAAAUGGGGGUUUUGUUGACAAUAAUAAAAAUCAAAUUAAAAUAAUAAGAAUGCAAAUUAAAGUUGUAAUUCAAAUUGGAGAAAGCUCUGGUUGAAGGAAUUAACUCAGCUUGAUUCGACUACUGAUCAUUGAUUCAAAUAUAGAUUAUUAUUACUUAUGAAUAGACCGGUUAUAGCUAUUGAGACCCUCUAAUAGCCAAUCUCUCCUUAACUAGUCGAUAACCAAGGUACGACCGUUGGUUAUUUCCCUAAUCAAUGGACAACCCUAGAUACGAUCAUAGGAUUUAAUCAAUUGACAGCCUGAAAAACCAGAGAGACCCAAAUCCUAAUCAACACAUAUGAUGAUUCAUUUAAAUUAGAUUGUUUAUUCUCACAACACAACUCUCUGCUAUGUUAUUUGUCACAAACAUUAAAUUCUUCAUACGAUGAAUCCUUUAAUUGACAAUAGAUUAAGUUGAUAAUUACAUAGUGGCCAAUUACCUAAUUAACAAACAUAAUCAUGAAACUAAUUCAGAGAAUAAACAAAUACCCAAAAAGUAAUAAAACAAUUAAAGCAUAAGAAAGAUCUCACAGUAAUGAUGAAUCAAAGCUUCAUUAUCCUUCAACCAGAAAAAUGGGUUUAGUUCCUCAUAGAGAGAAGAGAAAAAUUAGAUCUAGGGUUUCUUUUUCUCCAAUCCAAAAAUCCCCCUUUUUCACAAUAGAUUCCUCCCUUAAAUACUUUCUCUCUCUUCUCUUUUAGAAUUCUAUUUAAAAUAAAAUCCUAAUAUCUGAAAUAUUAAAUUCGUAAUUACAAAAAUAACCAAAAAUACAAAACACGUUAAACUAAAAACUGCAGGUCCGCAGUUGACAGCACGCGCCCACGCCUUAUCAACAAAGUUCUUCUGACGCUCAUAAUUUCUCCAAGAGAACAAUCAUCCUUAAACAUCAUCUUAUAGCUCAAUUUUAUCAUCAAUCAAUAGAAUUGCACCUACAAAAGUAAAACACAAGUAAAUCACUAUUAUUAAGUGCAAAACAUUGAUAUUAAGGGAAGUAAAUAAUGCAAAACUAGUGCAUAAAUUGCACUCUAACAAUCCAACUAGUAUUGAGUGUUGCUAGUGUGUAUGACGGCGGGGAAGUUUAGGGUUUUUUGUUUGUAAAUUGGUUGUAACUUUACGUUAUGUUACUUUGCUUUUGCUAGUGCGAGUGACUUUGCUUUUAUUUUGUUUUACAAUUUUUACAAGUUAUAUUUGUAUAUUUGUAUAUUUGAUUAUUUAAUUAUUUUUCAUUUUAUAUUAUUAUUAGGUAAUGGCUAAGAUAUGUUAUAAUGUUUAGUAACUAUGUAAUGUCAUAUUUAUAAUUUUUUAAUUAUAUAUAUAUAUAUAUAUAUUUUUUUUUUUUUUUUUUUUGCGGGUUCACGGAUUUCUACGGAUUUACAGAAGUAAAUCCAUAUCCAAUCCAUCGACUGCGGAUUUUUAAAUUUUCAAUCCAUAUCCAAUCCACCAAUCCACGGAUCGGAUUUAUACGGAUCAGACGGAUUGAGCGGAUCGGAUUGGAUUCUGAACACCCCUACUACUGCAUUCAAGCAGAAGCCACCAAUUGUUCACGACGGCGUUUGAAAACAACCAACAUUUCAUUCUGAUUGGGAAGGUUUUCUUCAAUUAUAGGGACUUGCUUGAAAGUUUCAAGCCAGGCAUGCAAGCGAGGGAAUUUGUGUGAUACAAAUAUUUUAACUCCUACUACAUCUUCAAUGACUUGCAACCAAUAAACAAUUGAACCAAAUGCUAGGUCCACUAAGCCAAUAUUGUCUCCGUUGAAAAAUUUCUUCUCUCCCAAGCCAUGCUCUUCAACGUUUUGUAGCAUUUCCAAGGCUUCCUUCGCUGUGUUUUGUAGUUCUUGUCCAGUGCUACGAAACAUUUUCCAAAUGGCAACACCCUGCCACAAAUAUUUUUACAUCAGAUUUUAUCACCGACAUGAUUAAUUAAUAAUAUGUAUAUAAAAGCGAAAAAUCGUCAGACGAUAUGUACACGUGUCACAAUAUCCUUAAAUUAGAGGUUUAAUAAGUUAAUUAAGAGAGUUCAACCACUGAGUUGUAAAAUCUGUCAUUAGCUAGUAAAUUCACUUUUUCCCAAUGCUUCAAAAGUCAUCAAAAUUCCCCGUGAAGUUAAAAACGGUUGCGUUAACUUUAACUUAUU
This 238088-nucleotide long non-coding RNA is filed under the name Citrus x clementina. RNAcentral's name for it is "Citrus clementina (C. clementina) long non-coding RNA (CCLE_LNC000207)". Lineage: Eukaryota; Viridiplantae; Streptophyta; Magnoliopsida; Sapindales; Rutaceae. The record is from RNAcentral.